Molecule: long non-coding RNA, 326884 nt
Filed under: Malus domestica (apple)
Lineage: Eukaryota; Viridiplantae; Streptophyta; Magnoliopsida; Rosales; Rosaceae
Description: long non-coding RNA (MDOM_LNC005461)
Source: RNAcentral
GCACGCGUUUUAUCAGAAACUAUUAAAUAACUUCCUGUCGAUGAAUAUUGAGGUCGCCCUCUUAGUACCAAAAGAUCUGCCACUGAUCUCAAGUAUGCUUCAUUCAUGGUAGCUUUUGCCUUCUUCACCAACUCCAAAGCAUAUCCUAGUGGAUUUUUGCAUAGAGGUUCUGCCUUUGAAACAGCAGCUGGAAAUGCAAAUGCAUUGCCAUAGUAUCCCAAGGGAAGACGUGCUUGUUGGAAAUUAUAUAUUAUAGUAUAAAAUAUUGUAAUAUAUAAUUUUAAUAAUUGAAUGAAAAAUAGUGUUAACCAUAUUUCUUAGAAAGGUUAUAUUAUUUAGGUGCAUUCCCUUGUUAAAUGAUGUAUACUUAUAGAUGAAAAGUAACAUCACUUUAACAAGAAGUACUUGGGUUCUUUAUAAACUCAUGAAACCAUCAUCAUUAAUAUAGAAAUUAGAGUUAAUUUUUACUAUUGAGAAAUAGGGUUUCCCCACACUUUAUUUCUCUCAUGCUUCGUGUGUCAAAUUCCGAGUCGUGUCUUGAGGGUACGGAAUAUAUGAAGUUCGCCAAAGUCCGAAGAUUGAAGUGCUUUGACUUCGGAUUAUAGAUUGUUGAAUCUUGGGAGACAGACACCUACCGAACUACAAGCACAAGAGUAGGGGAAAAAUUCUGUCUUUAGGACAUUGCAUUUAUGCAAGCCUCAAUCUCCAAGUUUGUUAGUAUUUCUAACUUUCUCCCUAGUUGUUUAUAUUAAUCUCAAAUAUAAUUGAUGUUGUGAUUUUCUUUAUGAUUAUUAUCAUUGGAAUUAUAUUGUUAUUUUUCAUAUUUUCUAAUAUUGCUCCAACAAUCUAAAGACAUAAUGUAUUAUGCAAUAUUAGAAGUAUGUAUGAAUGUGAGUGUUAGAAGAUUUUAAGAUCAACAACAUUGAACGUAACCCUAACCCUAAGUCGGAGAAAACUAUGGUUUUCUACGGAAAAAGGUAUGUCUCGGUGGGGCUGCAGUUUAUUUGCUUAUUCAUGUAUAGUCGGUAUACAUAAUAUAGUAUUGUUAAACAUGAUACAAAUCUAAAUAUAUUCAUCUGUAUACGUAAGAGCAGUGUUUGCAUGUUGCUUCAAUAAAAUAUAGUCUGCAUGUUGCUUUAAUAAAAUAGUUUUACUUUGUGCAUACACUUAUUUUCUGGGAAAGAAAAGGACAUGAAGUGAUAUAGAGACGGCAAUAUAGAAGGAGUUGUUUCUCCUUCAUAAUUAUAUUUCAUUAUUAAUUUGCACGAGAUAGCAUAUCAUUGGUACAUGAGAAGUUUGAACAUUAUAUGCGUGCAAGGCAUGGGCAGGUGUAUAACUGUUUCUCGUUGCAAAAAUCUGAAAGGUCAUAACCUUUCGCCAGUGCAUGUAUGGUAUUGACUCUUUUGAUGUGUCAGACAUAUUGCAAUUACAUUAGAUAUUGUGUUUUGACACAAGGCAUGUUGCAUAAAAAUUCGUGUUUAACAGGCAUAACUAAAACUUGCAGUGAUAUCAUGAGUAUGGUCAUAUUCUUGAUAGAAUUUGACAAAAAGGCAUGAUCGCUUCAAUCGUGGAGUCAUUAAUUCGGUUCGUCUCAAACUGUAACCUUCGGUUGCAGUGAUGGUGCCAUUUGAAUGGCAUCAAUUGGCUUUGUUGUACUUGAAAAGUCACUAUAUGAAAGUUAUCUUCUCUACUUACAUUGGUUGAAAAGUUUAUUAAUUCUCAUGAAUGCAUAUAAGAUGUGAUUUUCUUUUGUUAUAAAGAAUUAGCGGUUUGUCUGAGAAAGUUAGCUAAAUUUUCUGCAAACCUCCAUGAAGAGUUGCGACCCUUCAUGAAAAUGUGAUAUGGCGCAAACAAGAAGAAACGGUUUCAAUUUUGAAAAGUAACGAUUAUCGCCUGAGAACAAAACUAAGAUAAAGCAAAUCUUUUUAUUGGGAAAGUAACAUUCCUUGCCUGGAAAAACCAAGCCCUACACAAUGAUUGGUCUUCUGCAUGCAAAUACAGAUGCUUGCAUUUUGUGAAAGCAAAUGGCAGAGUCAUGGUAGGUUUGGUUGGAGGAUGGAAACACUCGGUUUGUUUAGCAUCUAUUGGUGAAAGAUGCCUUGAUAUGUAUAUUUGCUUGGUGAGUAUAUUAACGCUGCAAAUAUUGAAGAUGCAAACUGCGGCAUCAUUGAAAAUUAUUGAAGCCAGGAUUAGGCUUAAGUGCUUAAAUCCAUGGCUUAAUUUUGGUCGAUCGGUUUCUGCAUAUCAUUAGGAAUAUGUUUUUUGCCCAUGUAAUGUGGUGAAAGGAAAAUAUAAAAUAAAAUAAAAUGGAAAGAUGAAUCUACCAUGCAAGAUUCAAACUUCAAAGAAAAGGCAUGUCAUGUGAUAUGUGUCUGCAUUUGGCAGUGAAUAUAACCUCUCCUAUCAGUCACCACCAGCCUUGAAGUUGAAGCUCUUGAGAAAAACAUAUGUACAUGGGUUGGUGGGUGCUUAUCUGUGAAUUGGGUAUUUUCAUACACUGAAGAUAUUGCUGUCACAAAAUCCUAUAUUUGGUUUUGCGCAGAGAUGAACUCAUUUUGGACAGAGCCCUGAGAAAGAAGUGAGAUGAGUAAAUGAACAGGUUUUGACUUCUGGGUUUCUUCGAUAUUUGAGUUUAUCAAUUAAUUGGGCAUGAGGGCAUAAAGGAUCUCCUUUUAUUAUCACCAAGAAAAUGUCUUUUCUCUUACACCAAUGAGUUAAAGUGUGGGGUCUUUCGUAAAAGGAAUGACUAAACACAUAAAUAAUGCUUAUUCAGUAAGCAUACAUAAUUGAAUUAGACAAGAUGAUGCUUAUUAAGUUAGCAUAUAAAUCGAAUGUACAUAGCCAUUGGGUUGUGUUAUUCAUAGUUAAGAGCAUUCAUAUGUACUAGGUGAAUUCAAUAAUGCUAACUAAUUGAAUCAUUGACAAUGUGAAGGCAAAGUACAUAGGUGGAAAUACAUGCAUUUCAAUAAAGAAAUCCUCCUAUGAAAGUACUUUACAAUCCGGAUAGGAAGCACGUUGGCUUCAAAAUGUUGUAGGGGAUAAUCUUAUGCAUGUAUUGAGAUGGUUUGCGAAUAAGGCAAAGAACAAAUUAGAAGGAGUAAUUUGCAUGUAAAGAGAGAUAAUAUUCUCAUAUUCUUUUGAGUUUUAAGGUGUGAAGAGGUUAGAGACCUUCUUUCAAUUACCUUAAAUGUGGGGGAAGUCUGUUUUCUAGCAAAUUACUUAUUAGUAAGUCCAACAUAUGUUUUGAUGACUUAAAACUGAAAAACAACUACUCUUGAUGAAAUUUAUUUCAUGCAUGAUGGAAUAUUUUGGCCAACAUUAGAAAUAGUCAACCUAAAUGGUACCAAUUGUUAAAGGUUAGACUAGAGAGUAAGGUGAUCAUUGAGGGGAAUGAGGCUAAAGCCAACAUAACUAAUGAAUCAGCCGAGCGGAAACUUAACUUAGUUGAUUGGAGAUCCCAUGGUCUAAGUUCAAUAGGCAAACUGGUUGGGCAUGAUUCAAAGAAGUUAACACACACUACAUACCUCAUUCCUAUGAUGGAAGAAGUGUGUUGUCUACAGAAGUUUUAGGGUGUAUAUUUAUAUUACUUAAUGACAGUGAUAUCUUAUAAAUAAGAGUAAUAGAGCAGACUAUUCUUAAUCAGUGAUCACCUAUGUGAGAGUAGAAGUGGGUCGCUUCUAUGAGUAUGAGAUGGCUAACUUCUCUAAAGCUCUCAUGAAUAUAUGAGAUUUGUUCAGGACCAAAAUGAACACAAGCGUAUGAACCGGAAUAUAUAUUAGGAUUAGUGAUGUGUGUUGCUUAUUGUCUCGGUUUACUACUGCGAUGAACAUUCAAGAUUUUAUAUUCACCGCGUCACCAAGUAAAUCCGAUAAGUAUUCACUAGGGUAGGUUCAAGUCCAAAAGACACCUCUCCCGAUGCAUCUCUUGUCCGCCUGUACUCUCAAAUUAUUCCUGAUUUUUCAUUCAUGUGGGGGAUUGUUGGAAAUUAUAUAUUAUAGUAUAAAAUAUUGUAAUAUAUAAUUUUAAUAAUUGAAUGAAAAAUAGUGUUAACCAUAUUUCUUAGAAAGGUUAUGUUAUUUAGGUGCAUUCCCUUGUUAAAUGAUGUAUACUUAUAGAUGAAAAGUAACAUCACUUUAACAAGGAGUACUUGGGUUCUUUAUAAACUCAUGAAACUAUCAUCAUUAAUAUAGAAAUUAGAGUUAAUUUUUACUCUUGAGAAAUAGGGUUUCCCCACUUUAUUUCUCUCAUGCUUCAUGUGUCAAAUUCCAAGUCGUGUCUUGAGAGUACGGAAUAUAUGAAGUUCGCCAGAGUCCGAAGAUUGAAGUGCUUUGACUUCAGAUUAUAGAUUGUUGAAUCCUGGGAGACAAACGCCUACCAAACUACAAGUGCAAGAGUAGGGGCGAAAUUCUGUCUUUAGGACAUUGCAUUUAUGCAAGCCUCAAUCUCCAAGUUUGUAAGUAUUUCUAACUUUCUCCCUAGUUGUUUAUAUUAAUCUCAUAUAUAAUAGAUGUUGUGAUUUUCUUUAUGAUUAUUAUCAUUGGAAUUAUAUUGUUAUUUUUCAUAUUUUCUAAUAUUGCUCCAACAGUGCUUUCCCAGUGCAUUAACAAUGCAUGAAAUGCGAACAGCCUGUUUUGGAUUAAUUUUAGGUGCUAGAGUGCGACAUUUCUACAAACAAGCUGUGAUCAAGUCAAAUGUGGAGCAAGUGGAAAUUAGGUGGGGUGGAAUCUGCUUUCGAAGGACUCUCAUCUCCUUGGCACCAAAGUAGAAAGAUCGUUGAACCAUGUUUGACUGGUUACUGGAUGCGUAUGAGCCAUCAGAAUGAUCAAUCACAUCUUCAUAUUCAUGAUGAGCACAUGUAAUUCUUGGUGGAUCUCAAGUGAACAAGAGCUCUCUCUCCCACACUGGUAGAAUAGAGACGGUGCAUGUUCGCCUCUUGCCAUCUCCGCAAUGGCGUUCAGGAACAGAUGCAGUCCAGGUGCAUCACACAUUGUGUGGUUUAGGCGCAAUGCAAGUAUGAAACCUCCACAUGUAAGAUGGGUCACCUGCAUAUUGCAAAAAUUAGUUACUAGGCUUUUUUCUUAAUCAUCAUAUUCGUGGUAGUUCACAAUUCUUUAGAAGGAAAAAAGAAAAAAAAAAUCUAAAUUAGGUGAUCUAAUUAGGAAACAAAAAUUUCAUAAAAAUUAGGAAUAAAAUUCAAGAAAGAUGGAGUCUCUUUGGAAGAGUCUCGUGCCUGUGGUAAUUUAUUACUUGAAAGAGUCUUUAAAUAUAGAGGAAUUUAGACAAAACACUUAAAGAAGAAAAAAAAAUUUAGACAGAAGACGAAGAGAACGACAUGACGACAGACAAAAACCCUAGAAGAAGAACGGCAAAGGAAAGCCCAGACGCUAAAGGUGACAUGAGACUGGUAAAAAGAACCUAGGACCUAAUCAGGCAGAUACCAUGUAGAAAUAUAAUUUCCUCGAUUCGUUGUGUAUACAAAUUUUGCAAUAUAUAGGGUUAAACAUAAGGACUGUUGAAAAAAAUUAGUUUAAAAAAAUAAUAAUGAAAAUCGUCUCAUUAUAUUUUCUUUCCAAAACCACCUAAUGAAUUUUCUUUAAUCAUAAGAACAAAGAAGCAUGGUAGUAUCAUAGAUAAGUUCAAGUUUGGAUGUGGUGGUAGCAUGAUAAAUUUUUGGUUAUGAAAAGGAUUGCCAAUUUUAUGAAAAAAGUUAAAAACCACCGAACUUCGACUUAUUUACAAUAUUGUUAGCGCUUUCUUGUUUAUGCCUUUAUUUGUUAUUAAAAAUUUCAUAUGUUGCCCAUUGAACUAAUUUCUUACAAAAAAAUCUCCAACAUGUGUAUGCGAUCUUAACGCAAAAAACACUACUCUUACCCUUAACCUACUUAAAUUUUUUUUGUAAAGAAUUAAUAUGGCAAUGACCAAAUAUGAAUACAAAAUACUAAUUAACAUGUAAUUAAUAAUUAAUUGAUUCACUUGAUCCAUUACCAAAGGAUAAUCAAUAAUUCCAUCAGAGUUUGGAAAAUUAAAUAAGAACUCCUCUAAUAGUGGACAAGGAGGUAGAAUUUUGUCUCCUAGUUGCUCAAGUGUGACAUCAGCAAAAACCUUGAUGAACAAGAUACCUUAACCAUUGCAAUCGACCCUAAGCUUUAUGUUAGGCCCUUCCCUAAGCCUCCCAGCUAAAGGGUAGUAAUACAGUAGUGCCCUACUUAAGGCUUCCCUAAUCACCUUAACGGGAUCAUGAUUUUCUUUCAGUGAAGGGUUAUUCUUGUAACACAUUAUGACUAGAACCUAAAACCUCAAUCUUAUAUUGCGUUAUGCAGAUGCUCUAGGGUUCCCCCAAUCUUUCGUCCAAGUUUCCACUCCAGUUGUGAUUCUUUUCUUUUCCAUUAAAAAAAUGUGGUUAGAAAGAAACGUGUAAAUCACACCUCAGAUUCAUGUAUAUACAUUAAUACUGAAUUUCAUUUCAACAUCAGAAAACUGUAUACAAACAGAGAUAUGAGGACAGGUAUUCGGUAAAAACCUUCGAUAGAAAUCAAAGGAAAAAAUGCCAACAUUGUAUCUGCCUCACAUUACAGCUAUCACUGUUCUAAGACAUCAGACGUUUGCUAUAAAAACGAAACAAUACUUGAUUACUCAAAGAUGAGUAAGAAUUCGUACUCAAAAUUUCUCUAAAUUAUUCAUUGUCAAUUUAUAGAACUUCAUGUUUAUAAUUAAAACCGUUCAUAUUAUAAAUCACCCUAUAAGGAUCACAUCUGCAAAAACUCAAUUACAACUAAAGUCGUUUAGUCUUUAAAUUGCUUAAAAACAAAUGAACGGUAUCAUAAAAGUAUUACGAACUGUCUAUGUAUUUUCUACAAUAGAUUGACUAAACGGCCUUACUUUUAAUUUAUUUUUUUUGCACAUAUGAUCUUUACAGUGUGAUUCAUAGUAUGAACAAUUCUGAUUAUAAGCACAAAGCUCUGUGAUUAAAAUACUAAGAAUUUUGAGUAAGAGUUUAUACUAAUAUUUGAGUAGCCAAGUAUUGUUCAUAAAAACGUUGUUAUAUCAUGUUAUCACAGGAGAAUAAUGUGAAACAUUAUUAUUCAUUUUGACACGUCUUCAAAUGAUUACGUUCUUCUUCAUUAUACUAUAGAGACUGAUGUGAUAUGUUGAUUACUCAUUUCUCUAAUGAUAAAUGGUCGUUAUGAUGAAGAAAACCCAGGCUCCAUUAUAAAAUUAACCGAUAACAUAGGGAGCACUUAAUCACUUAUAAGUAAGUACAUACAAAAUCCUUUUUUAUCUGAAUUACAAAACCCUUUUUUAUCUGAUGUAUAAUUCAUACUUUCAAUACGCAUCUUCAAUACGUAUGACUAUGACGAAUUUCAAGCUUAGCCCAAGUGGCAUGGAGCACAUGCAAGUGUUGGACUUCACACAUGGAAUAAUCUGCUCUGAUACUAUGACAAAAGUUGAAGUUCCACUAUAAAACUAAUUGGCAAUAUGAGAAGUAACUCAAUUAUUUAUAAAUACAUGCAAGGUCAUUCCUUUACGCGAUAUACUCUCAACAUUUCACUAAAGCAAAUAUGUACAACCACAAAAUGGACCAAAUAAUUCACUUGACAAAGUAGGACUCACUCAAGACAAUAUUAUGUUUCUUAAAAAUAGGACUCGAGUACUCAAGACAAUAUUAUGUUUGUUAAAAUGGAAAUGGAGCUUCUGAUUACACCCAACUUUUAUCUCUUCUAACCCAACAAACUCUUUUUUAUUCUAUAAGAUUUUAAAAACUUAACAUCUACUCUCCACACGAUAUAUCUGUUAAAAUGGAAAUCAAGCUUCUGAUUACCCCUUUCUAGUCCUUCUCUAUCGUACACGAUAUAUCUGCUCAUCCAACAACAACCCUUCCUAAUCCUUCUUUAUCAUUUUUUUUAGGUUGUUUUAUAGACAUCCCGCAAUGUUAUGAAUCCACCUCACAUCCAAAAAUUUCCUCAAAAAUUCCAGCUUUGUCCCUCAUAGUUCUGAAGCCACCCCACCCCAAAAACAAAAAGAAACACCAAACAUCUCCGUUUGACGAGCACCCAUCCCAAAACCCCAUCAACGUAGUAUCUCCGAUCUCUCUCCUCCUCUCCUUAACACCCUGUGAGUCCCAACACCCAAACUCACCAAGCUCGUUUCCAAAGAAAAUACAAAAGAAUGUAAUAGUCCUUCAUUUCAAUUAAGCAAGAAAAUCCCCAAAUUCUAGGGGUGUAUACUCGCAGAGAAUUGUAGAAACACGCACUUAUAAAAUGAAAAUUAGAAGUGCAGAACUACAUAUUAAAUCAACAAGCACUAAUUGUCUUGGCAAUUGAUACCAUAUAUCAUGACAGAGAAUUCAUAUGAACGAGAAUAUGAACUUUAGAAAAGGUGGUGCCAUGGUGAGUGGAUGUGUGUGAGGUUGUUGCCUGCCGGCAAAUAAUAGGAUGGUUGGAUUUUCUUUUUCUCACCUUAAUUCAAAUAGGGAUAAAAGAGAAAGUUCACUUGACAAAUUUGAAGUGUGAGAUGUCUUCGUAAGAUUGUGGGGUGUUAAUUGAAGGCCCAAACACAGAAAAUACAAAGCAACAUAUGAGCUUCCAAAACAACAGCAAAAGAGAAGCCCAACCAGAUAGUUGAGCCCAAUAUGGAAAAACACACAAGAAAACCCUAAACUCCUGGAUCCUCAGCCGCUACCAAAGUGCUUGCUGCUGACCACGAUCCAGUCCCCUGCAAAUCGCCGGAGAUAAGAACCGGCCAAGCCCCUGAAACAGAAAAAGAAACAAAUUUCAUCGUCCUUGAGCAACCUCCACACACCUUCAAAUCGACUAGGAGAAUGAAGGGAAAGAAAAGAAACAAAUUUCAUUGCUCUCGAACAACCUCCCCACAAUUCUUCUCUAUCUUACACGAUAUAUCUUCUCAUCCCACAACCUUCCCUUCAACAUGGGGCUGCCUAACCCACUUUCCUCCAUCAAUAUUCAGUUCUUCAUCAACCUAUGCGCACUCUUUUGAGAAUUCAACUUAAUUAUAAUAAGGAAUAUGAAGCCAGCAGCUCUUUGCAACUACUUGUGAAUUAUGUCUUGAUUUGCGUUCAUUUAAGUUGGUGGUUAGCCUUCGAAUUGUUCUCCCCCAUCAAUUUUUAGAAGAGAUCAAACUAAACUAGACUCAGGUGUUCAUAUAUUUAUUGGAGCUAAAUAUCGACAAUACAUAAAACUCCAUCACUAUGAAGCCAAAUUGUAUCAAGACCUUGUAACAGCAGCUCAAAAUGUCAGGAGUCGACUUGGAGGAGAAGACAUGGUAUUGGUAGCAAGCAGGUUCGGCACUAGUUAACCGAACCCCCAAUUCCAUGUUCACGUCUAUCAGCUAAUCCUCAACUCUUAUGUUCGGCGCUUAGCUUCCGAACACUGAACUUUUUGUCAAAUUUUGUGUUCGGCAUGUUAAAACAUAUGAUUCAAUCUAGUUGUAUUUUGUCCCAAGAGGAUUCAAAGAAAAGAUUAGGGCAGAACAUUGCAGCUCAAACCUCACUUGUAUACUUAGGGUUUUGGUCACAAUGCCACCUUACAUCUCAUUUAAAUUAGUUAGCUAACAAAAACCUUCAAGACCACAUAGCUUACACCAAAGCAAAUCCAUCUCAGUGUUACACUUGCAGUUUUGGACUGAGUCAACAUAUUGGCCGUUACAAAUUUAGAAAAAAUUAAGCCAUUGUUAUAAACUUUGUAUUUCAGUGUGAUUGUGUAAAUCCUAAAUUAGAUUUGAUUCUAGUUAUUCUACCCUAUUAGGACUUGUAUUCCUUUUAGGAGAAGGAUUCUUCCCUCUCUUAUUAAUAUAAGGCUAAAUAGCCAAAAUGGUCCCUGAGAUUUGCAUAAUCAAUCGAUCGAAAUGGUCUCUGAGGUUGAAAAUCAAUAGAAAUGGUCCCUAAGAUUGUCCAUCAUCCAUGAUUUUGGUCCUUCCAUUAAAAACUCUUUGGGCAAUUUUCAAAACUUCAUAACUCAAUCAUUUCUAAACCAAAUUUGACACAUAAUAUAUCAAAAUGAAGAUAGGAAAGUAUAGAACAAUAUUAUACUUAUUUGGAAGCCCAAUGGUUGCCGGAGAUGGCCGAAAAAUAGCCUGAAAGGUUACUGGUCCGCGGAAAAACUGGAAAACUCGCCGGAAACUAGGUAAACUUUAAACAUUUAUAACUUCUUCAAUACUCAAUGCCAUGAGUGAUUCAAAAACGAAAAUCAUAUUUCUUGACGAGACAAAGAUAAUGGUACCUUUCUCAGCAGUUAACUCGCUGUGGUUUUUAGCCAAAAAAAGACGAUGUUAUGAAGAUUUUCGUACAUGACGUCAGUCGGCCAAGUCAACGGGGAAAUUGCAAAGUUUGUUGGGUUUUUCAAGUCACAAUUCAACUAAAGCCCAAAGCCCAAAAUAGAACACAUCGGAGAUUACUUUAAUCUUAUUUCAAAUGGGUCUGGAGUAAUUUACUUGGGAAGCUUGCUCGCCACAUCAUUAGUUGUCCAAUACAAAUGAGGAAAAGAUUGGAAAAGACCUAAUCAUGCUAGGAUUUUGACUAAUAUGACACGCCCCGACCCUGAUAUUCCCCGAAUACCAGGAUAGACACGUGCUGGCCGACACCCGAGGGUGACGAAAGCCAUUAAUUGAUACAACAGCUAAGAAUAAGAAAUAAAGACGGGUUAUGAAUUUAAAAUACCAUGAAUUACUAAUUUAGGAACGUGUUCAGAGCAUACAACUAAACCUAAUCACUAAAAAGAAUUGAGAUAGAAUUGAAUGAAUAAAGAAGUGAGUCCUGCAUUCGAGAAGAUCCGAAGAUGCUGCUGCGGAAGUGUCUUGACGUCGGGAUUAUGUGCCUUGAUUCUAAGUCCUGAAUGGGGGCGCAAAACAAAGGUGAGUGGACCAAGUUUAUAUAUACAAUAAUAAUAAAACAGGUAUCAACAUACUAACCCCCAAAGUUUAUAUAUAAUGAAAACUACUAGCAUAAUAAGUGAUGGAUUUAAUAAAAAUCCUAGCAUGCCAAAAUAUCUCAAAAGUCACGUCGCGGAAACGCAUCGCGGAAAUCAAAACGGUAAACGCAUCAUAAAAUCGUCUCGUAAACGCGGUGUGCUGCUAGAAAGAUCACUGAAUAAAUAUAACUCCCGGCCCAAUGCCUGCACCUCAGUCUCUGUGCCCGUAGCCAGAGAUAACUCCCUCCCGGCCCAAUGCCUGUCUCCGUGUCCCUCAGCCUUUCGCUAGGGAUUAUUUCUUCCGGCCUACAUGCCAACACCAGAUCCUCGCCCCAGGCGGCAUAGUGUCCACUAGGUAUGCACAAAUAAUUACGUCUCUCUUAAAUAACCACUUAAUAGCAUAGGUUACCGAUCAUCAUCUGCACUAUAAAGAGGGGUUCAAAAACAUGUUCUAGCAUCAUAUCGUCAUCUAUAAGAUAGUCUACCAGUUCAUGGUUUUUAUAGAAAAUAUGAUAUAUAUUAAAAUAUAGCUCAAUAUAAGCUAACAAUUAUUUCCUCACCAAAACAUGAGACGAAAUCAAUAAAUUCAGUAAACAGGAUUGAUAUAAAUCAAUUCACAAAAUUCGUAGGCAUGCUAAUCAUUUAUGCAAUUACUAUAAAAUCAUGUAAUUUUAGAAGGGGUCCACUCACAGUACUUAGUUGCCAAAAGCUGCGCCACUAGCGAAGAUGGAAACGUCACAAUAAUUGUCCCUAAGCACAUAAAGAGUCCAAUAAAUAAAACUAUAUAAUAGCAAUUGAAUUUGGGAAAACAGACAUUGGAAACGGAUUCAGAACGUCGAAUUACCCUAAGAAGAGUCCCGGACGAAAACCCGAAAAGUCAACCCUAAAGUCAACGUUGACCGGGGGUCAACUGUCAAACUAGGUCAAACGAGUUUUAGGCUUGAAUCCGGAUUAGGGUUAGGUUAAAUAGGAUUAGGAUCUAUUGGGUUUUGGGUUUAGAGUCCUAAGAUUUUUGGGUUUAAAAGGGUAUUAGGGUGAAAAGGCUUUAGGGUGAAGAAGAGGGGUUUGGGCUUAACCCAAACCCACACUCACACACACACACACGGGCUGCACAAAGGCAGGCCCUCACAAUACACACACACACAAAGGCCCUAAGGCCUCACAAAGAGCAGGGCUUUAAGCCCUUCGACAGAAAUCGGCCCAAGGCCAUUUUAAAACUAUAACUAAAAGAUAAAAGGGUGCGGGCUGGGUUACUGGGCUAGCCCAAUUGACUAAGGCCCGAGGGGUUCUAAUGGCCUGAAAGGCCUGAUUGCCGAGGAAGAAGAAGGCCGGAGAUUCGGCAGGAAAAUGCACAAUCUUUAAACGGCCAUAACUUUAUCACUACUCAACGAAAUUAAGCGAGACAAAAACGAAAGUUGUAGCCCUUGAAGAGACGAAGAGAAUGGUAUCUCACAAAACGUCUAACUCGACGUGGUUUGGCCGGAAAAUUCCUCGAAAGUCUCGGAGGUCGCCGGAAACUGGGUAAGAUUCAAAUGCGUAUAACUUCUUCAAUACUCAACGAAAUUGAGUGAAACGAAAAGUAAAUUUAUAGUACUCGACGAGACGAAGAGAUUGAUACCUUACACGCCGGCCAACUAGCCGUGGUUUGGCCGGAAAUGGCCUCGAAAGUCUCCGGAGUCGUCGGGGGAGACUUGGGUGUUCUCAGGGUGUCCCGAAGCUUCGUCAAGACGAGGGAGAGAGAGAAGAAGGUUCCAGAGGUGAUGGUGGUAUCGUAGCUAGGUGGUUAUGGUGGUGGGUGCUCACGGUGAUAGAGAGGGAGAGAGAUGAGUGAGUGCAGAGAUAAAACGAAGAAGAAGGAGGAGGUUACGGGGAGAGCAGAGAAGAGAGAGAGACCGAGGGAAAAACAAAAAAAAUUAUAAGGUGGGCCCUACGGGCUCACCAAUUAACACUAAGGUAUUAAAUAUCGGUAAUAUCAGAAAUAUCGGUAGUCCGAAAACACGGAAAUAUCGAUGGAAAUAUCGGGAUAAUAUCGAUAUCGAUAAAAAUUACAUGGAAACCACGGAAAUUGUAAGAAAAAACUUGGAAAUUUUUAUUGAAACUUUGCAGGAUGUUUAUUUAGUCAAUUAUCUAUUAGUUUAUCACAAAAAAUUGGAAGGAAAUGCAUUGCAUGAUGAAUUUAACUUAUUUAAGUUGAUUAUAUAGUGAGCUGGCAAACAUUGUGAGUGUAGAAAAUAUAUAGUAAUUAAUGAGAGAAGUUUAAACACACCAUAAUCAUUUAUAUAUAAUGAAUUAGUACAAUAUUUUACACUUUAUACAUUGCAUGGUAAGAUACAUUAGUGACUCAGUACCACAUAGAGUUCCUAUGAGGUUCAAAAUUAUAUUGACGUAAAAUACUAUGUCAAGAAAGUUGCCUUACAAGUUAGAUGGCUUUAUCUUUAUGUCUCCUUCUACCAAUUUUUCAUAAAGCAAUCCAUCAGUUGGUAUAUUUCUAGUUUAGAAGGGUCACAUCUUCGAAUAAGGCCUUAAUGUAAAACCCCUCCCUUUGGUUUAUAAUUUUAUUUUGUAGGUUUUUAUUUUUAUUUUUUAUUUUUAAAUUAUUGUUUUUGGAUCUUAAUUAGUGAGCCAAGGGGCCCACCCCCUUAUUUUUGUCCCCGAGGCUCUCAUCUCUCAUCUCUCUCAGUCCUCUCUUUCUCUCCACUUUCCCAUGCUCUCCCUCUCUCUGCAACUCUCAUUCCUUCUAGUUCUUCGGUUCUUCACCGAACUCACAUACACACACACCAGCACUCCCUCAUCCCCCUCGUUCUUCUUCUCCCUCUGCUAGUGCAGACAAGGAUGGUAGCACCAUGGAAACCGGUGCAAAAGUUUGGAGAAAACCAAAACCCAGUUUCCGGUGUGGACCGUGGGUUCCAAGGCGAAACUCCGUCGAGCUCCGACCACGGCAUGCCUUGAAAAUGGUAUAGAUCUCUUCCUCUUCCCUUGGGCUUCAGUUUGGUAGUUUAUUUGACAUGUGUUGGUCACGUUUUGAGGUUGACCAGAGCUUGUAAGCUCCGGCGUCCUCUUUCCGUCGAAACCAGGCCAAAAUAUCGCGAUAGUUUCGGAAAUAUCGCGAUAUUUUGACGAAAACCCGUUGGAUACCUAUUAAAAUAUCGUUACCUGAAAAACCGAUAAUAUCGGCGAUAUUUCACUGAUAUUAUUGGCAUUUUGUUCCUUGAUUAAGACCUUAAAACAAUUUUUAAAUAAAAGUGGGGCUGGGGUGUUUCAAAUAUAUGAAAGAGAGAUUGUAGGAAGUCUGGAGGACGUUCCCUUUGGGGGAUUCUCUGCGACAUUUUGAGGAGGGGAAGACUUUAAUCAUCUAUUAUUCUAUAUUUCAAUAUCGUUCAUAAGUUUUUCAUAUUCUUUUCUAGACUUUUCAUUAUGUUUUUAUACUCUAUGAAUAACUAAACCCUUUUCUAGGGCUAGGAUGAUGCCCUAGCAUGAAUGUUUAUGGUUUUCAAUGACUAUUUGAUGAAUAUUUAGAUUCGGUUUAGUUUAUCAAAUUGGAGAUUGAAUUAGAAUCAUGUGGGAACAAUACUUGGACAUGUAAAACGCUAUAUUACAAUUAUCUUGUGCACUUGCAAGUUUACACUAAGUUUUUGGCGCCGUUGCCGAGGACUCUAAUUGAGUCCCCCAACUUGAUAUCUUAUUCCAUAUCUAAUAAGUCGUUUAUUGUAGUUUAUUCAAUUUAUUUUGUUUUGUUCUCUAUUUUUUAGUAAGAGUCAUAACUAUAAGAUAAGUAAAAUGUAAUUUUCGUCACUGUUUUAUUUCAGUUUCUAUAUCACUGUUUUGACACAGUUUUAGACUGACCUAUUCGAGUUUUUACCAGGCACAUUUGAGUUGCAAGAAAUUUGCAAAAUACCAAGCAGUCGUUAAACAAGGAGCAAAGUUUGAUCGAUUAUACAAGGUAGACGUUCAUUGCAACUUGAGUUGAUUCCUAUAGAUCAAGAACUUGAGUACACUUUAAGACACUUGCGAAGAUAGUAAGAUGUUGAACGAUCAAUUAUAGGUGACAAGAACAAUGGUGGAAAUGAUCCACCCCUACAACCAAGGCUCAUGCGUGACUACACAAAACCAAUGGAGUACAAUGCACUGUCGUGCAUAGUAUUGGCCCCCAUUGCGCAGCAAUUCGAGAUUCGCCCACAAAUAAUUCAACUGUUGCCUAUGUUUUAUGGGAAGGAGGAGGAAAAUCCUUACCAUCAUAUCAAGGCGUUCUUCAAGCUAUGCUCCACAUUCACCUUUACCAAUGUUAGUGAGGAACAAAUUCGACUUCGUCUAUUCCCAUUGUCUUUGAGGGAUAAAGCAAGUAGCUGGUUGGAUUCCCUCCUUAAAGCCUCCAUUAACACAUGGAUAGAUUUAUCCAAGAAUUUUCUAUCCAAAUUCUUCCCUGCUUAGAGAACCAAUGCUUUAAUUAAUGAAAUUAUGGGUUUCCGGCAGCAAGAUGGUGAACAAUUUCAUGAGAAUUGGGAGCGAUAUAAGGACUUGUUUCUUCAAUGCCCUCAUCAUGGUUUUAAUACUUGGCCGAAGAUUCAUUAUUUCUACAAAGGUCUAAACCCUUAAUGUAGGAGCUUGGUUGAUUCAACUGUUGGUGAAACUCUUAUGGACAAAGCGCCAAAAGGCUCCAUAAGUGCUUUUGAGGCCAUAUGUGAAAAUUCUGAGCAUUGGGAUUUUCCUACAAUAGACUCGAGAUCCAUAAUUACAUCGUUAGAAAAAAAAAAUGAGGUCUUUAUGAAGUUGAUACAAUGACUGGUUUAGAAGCACAAAUGGUAGCCCUUACGAAGCUUCUCAUUCCACUAGUGAGCAAGAUAAGUACACAACCUUGUACUUUAUGCGCUAGCAUCGCCCAUGAUACUGCAAGUUGUCCAGCAAAUUUUAUUUAAGAAGGGAUGCAAAAGGUCAAUGUAUUUAGUAGAAGGCCUCGAAAUAAUCCGUACUCCAAUACAUAUAACCCUGGGUGGAGAGAACAUCUUAAUUUAUCGUGGAGGGACUCGCAAAAUACCAUGGGACCAUCCAAUUCAUCAAGGUCAUACCAACAUCCCUAUCAUGCUCCAACUGAUUAACAAGAAGAUCCUACUGUGAAGAAGAUGCUAACUCAAUUGUUGAAACAAACAAAACACUACGAUCAAAGUAUAUCAACACUUUAGAAAGGUCAAGUUGAGCUUGAAAAACAAAUGAGGUAGAUUGCUACGUCUGUGAGCAAACUUGAAAGAGAGCAGGGUUGUUUUCCAAGCCAAACAGAAAUGAAUCCAAGAAAUAAUGAGUAGGUGCAGGCCGUUACAACUUUGAGAAGUGGGAGGGAGAUUGACAACAAGGUUAAGAUACGUGGAAAAGUUGAAAAAAAAAGGGCCACAAAUAUGAAAGACCGGCAGCUAGAUCAUGGUAUCUUGAAACAACCAUCAUCGAGCCGAAAAGAACUUUAUUUGGUCCAACACUUAAGGAUACGGUGUAUGAUCCUCCUUUAUCAUUCCCUUAGCAUGCAAAGAAAACUAAAAAGGAUCAGUAUAUGGGGCAUAUAUUGGAACAAUUCAAGAAAGUUCAAAUCAACAUCCUAUUGCUUGAAGCCAUCAAAGAAAUUCCUUCCUAUGCAAAAUUUCUCAAAGAUCUCCGCACAAAUGAAAAAAAAAUAUGGAGAAAAUGAGAAAAAGUAAUGCUUCUAGAGGCUGCUUCAGUUCUUUAACAAAAAUUGCCACAAAAGCUUCAGGACCCAGGAAGCUUUACAAUCCCAUGCAUUAUUGGCAACAAAACAUUUGAAAGGGCUUUGUUCGAUUUAGAGGCAAAUGUUAAUCUUAUGCCCUAUUCUGCAUAUGAGGGUUUAAGCUUGGGGGAGCUGAAACCUAUUUCAAUAUCUUUGCAAUUUGUGGACCGUUCUGUGAAAUACCCAAGAGCAUUAUUGAAGAUGUACUUGUCAAAGUUGAUCAAUUUAUCCUCCCAACUGAUUUUAUUAUUUUGGACAUUGAAGAACAUGAGAUCAAAGAUGAUGAACUUCCUCUCAUCCUAGGCCAACCCUUCAUGGCAAUUGCAGGUACAAAGAUUGAUGUCAAAUCCGAUUUACUAACCAUGACUGUGCAGGAUAUUACUAUUGAGUUUCAGGUGUUCGAAGCUUUAAAAAAAAUUCUUUGGGAGCUUAUGAUUGUUUUAGUAUUGACGUUGUGGAUCAUCUCAUCGUAAAGAUUUUCAUUGAGACAAGCAUUGAUAACCCUCUGGAAGUAUGCAUCACACAACAUGGCAUGGAGUUUGAAAAUGAAGAAAACAUAGUAGUUGUGGCAACACUCAAUGUCGCAGCCAUUUACCCAUUUAGAUGGCAACCAAAGUUUGAAACUUUGCCUCCACAAACCAAAAUUGUUCCAUCCAUUAUUGAGCCUCCAAAGCUAAAAUUGAAGCUUCUUGUUGAUACGUUAAAGUAUGCAUUCUUAGGAGAUUCUGAAACUCUCCCCGUCAUUAUUGCCUCUGGUCUAAGUGCAUGUGAAGAAGAAAAACUACUACGGGUACUAAGAGAACACAAGACAGCCUUGGGAUAGACAAUUGCAGACAUUAAGGGGAUCAGCCCUUUUAUGUGCAUGCAUAGAAUACUACUUAAAGAGGAAUCAAAGCCAUCUAUAGAAGCUCAAAUAUGUCUCAAUCCUCGUAUGAAGGAAGUGGUACGUGCUGUAAUUUUGAAAUUGUUGGAUGUUGGGGUCAUAUAUUUGAUCUCUGAUAAUAAAUAGCUAAGUGCAAUACAUGUAAUACCAAAAGGAUCAUGUAUUAUUGUAGUAAAGAAUGAAGAAAAUAAGAUGAUUCCUCAGAGAAUGGUCACAGGUUUAAGGGUAUGUACUGAUUACAGAAAGCUCAAAGAUGCCAUAAGAAAAUAUCAGUUCCCUUAUCCCUUGAUUGAUCAGAUGCUUGAAAGACUUGUAGAAAAUCAAUAUUACUGUUUUCUUGUUGGUUAUUCUGGUUACAACAAGAUUGCAAUACCUCCAGAAGAUCAAGAGAAGACAACUUUCACAUGCCCCUUUGGAACUUUUGCGUAUAAACGAAUGUCAUUUGGAUUAUGCAAUGCACCAGCAGCUUUUCAAAGAUGCAUGGUGAACAUUUUUUCUAACAUGGUGGAACGAAUUAUUGAGUUAUUUAUGGAUGAUUUUCGGUCUUUGGUUCUUCUUUUGAUGAACGUCUCCAUAAUCUUACAUUAGUGUUGAAACUUUGUCAAGAGACCAAUUUGAUUUUGAAUUGGGAGAAACGUCACUUUCUAGUGAAGCAAGGCAUUAUUUUAGGUCAUGUUAUUCCCUCUAAAGGCAUCCAAGUGGAUAAAGCUAAAAUUGAAUUGAUCUCUAAGUUCCCAAUUCCUACAUCUAUUAAAGGAAUUCGAUCUUUUCUUGGGCAUGCAAGGUUCUGUAGAAGGUUUAUUAAAGACUUUUCAAAAAUCACCAAGUCUUUAUGUGAGUUUUUGGUUAAAGAUGUUGUCUUUGAUUUCAAUGAAGAGUGCUUAAAAUCAUUUGAAAUGUUGAAAAAAGAGCUAACACGAGUUCCCAUAUGUAAGCUCCAAACUAGGAUCUUUCAUCCAAAUUGAUGUGUGAUGCGUCCGACUAUGCAGUUGGUGCUAUUUUAGGAUAACGAGUUAACAAGCUUCCUUAUAUCAUAUAUUAUGCUAGCAAGACUCUGAACGAUGCCCUAAUUGAACUACUCACAACGGAGAAAGAAUUACUUGCAAUAGUCUUUGCUUUGGAGAAAUUUCGAAGCUAUUUGAUUGGCUUUAAUGUGACUAUAUAUUCAGACCAUGCUGCUCUUAAAUAUCUUUUACCAAAAAAAGAUGCCAAGCUCAAACUUAUACAAUGGAUAUUAUUGCUUCAAGAGUUCGAUUUCAACAUUAAGGACAAGAAAGGGUGCGAGAAUGUUGUUGCAGAACACUUGUCUAGAUUAAGCAAUGCCAAAGUAGCAGAUGCAUAGCUUCCAAUCAAUGAUCACUUCCCUGAUGAGCAACUCUUCUCUAUUCAAGAACUCCCAUGGUAUGGUGACAUAAUAAACUACUUGGCAAAGCAGUUUAUGCCCCUGGAAUGGUCAAAACAACAAAGGAAUGGGGUUUCUAUCUACUAUGAAGUAGUACUAUUGGGAUAAUCCCUAUUUAUUCAAGCAUUGCCCAUAUCAGAUCAUACAAAGGUGUGUGUCUCACUCUGAAGUUCAUAGCAUUCUCACUUUUUGUUAUUCUCAUGCUUGUGGAUGCCACUUUAGUGCAAAUAAGACAGCGUUAAAGGUAUUACAAAGUAGAUUCUAUUGGCCUAGUUAUUUAAGGAUGCAUAUGCCUUUGUCAUAGCUUGUGAUAGGUGCCAAAGAAUGGGGAAUAUUUCUUCCAGAACACAAAUGCCGUUAACCAACAUUUUGGAAGUUGAAUUGUUUGAUGUGUGGGGAAUCGAUUUCAUGGGCCGUUUCCCUAUGUCGAAUGGAUAUUUAUACAUCAUUGUGGCGGUAGAUUAUGUCUCUAAAUGGGUGGAAUCAAUGCCGACAAAAGCCAAAGAUCAUAGGCUUAUGUUAAACUUUUAAAAGAGAACAUCUUUACUCGAUUCGGGACACCUAGAGCUAUCAUUAGUGAUGGUGGUUCUCACUUCAUCAACAAGCCGUUUGAAGCUCUCAUGAAGAAGUAUAACAUUACUCAUAAGGUUGCUACUUCGUACCAUCCUCAAACAAGCGGACAAGUUGAAAUUUUGAAUAGAGAAAUAAAGCAUAUUCUCUAGAAGAUGGUGAGUCAAAACCGCAAAGAUUGGGCUAAUAAAUUGAGUGAUGCAUGAUGGGCAUGUCAAACAACGUUUAAAAAUCCCUUGGGCAUGUCUCCUUAUCGACUUGUCUUCGGGAAAACAUGUCAUUUUGCCGGUGGAGCUGGAACAUAAAGCAUUUUGGGCUAUUAAGUUUUUGAAUUUCGACAUUCAAAAAGCUGAGAACUUGAGGAAGCUUCAAUUUAAUGAGCUGGAUGAAUGGAGGAAUGAAGCUUAGGAGAAUGCAAAAAUCUAUAAAGAGAAAACCAAAGCUGCCCAAGACAAAGCCUUAAUCCUGAAAUUUUUCGAGCCAAACCAAAAAGUUUUUUUUGUAUAAUUCAAGGCUUAGAUUAUUUCUUGGGAAGCUUUGAUCAAGAUGGACUAGACUUUAUCUCGUUGUGCAAGCAUAUCCCCAUGGUGUUGUAGCAAUCCACAAUAUGAAUAGUGUUUUGACAUUUAAGGUGAAUGGCCAUCAUUUGAAGCAAAACCUGGAACUUGUCCCACAAAUGAAUAAGGAGUUUGUACCUUAAUAAGCCUAAAUAAAGAUUGCUAUGUCUGGCUGAACACUAAAAACUUAGCGCUUCUUGGGAGGUAACCCAAGUUUUUGAAGAAUAAGGAUAGAGCUUGAUGUGUGCUUGAGAGUGGACUUCAUCAUGACCAGGGAGUUCUAAACUAGUGACCCUAGCCUGAAUCCAACCAUCGCUUACUAAUAUGUUCCAACGCAUGAGGUUAUUCUGGAUUACAGUGAUGUCUUAGAUGAGACAUACUAGCCUUCCAAGAAUCGCGAGAUUUCGGUCUAUUAUGCAGUAUUGGAUGAGGUUUAAAAUCGAGAUGAGAUGAUCGUCGACAAUGUAUUUGCGUACAAAGUCGCUACUGACAUCAUGCUUAGCAAUGACAUUAAACCAUGUUCUGUUGAUGAAUGCCGACGUAGAAUGGAUUGGUCAAAUUGGAAACAAGAAAUCUAGGUCGAACUUGAUUCACUUGUGAAACGUAAGGUGUUUAGGCAUGUAGCUCUUACUCCACCACAUGUGAAGCUUGUGGGCUACAAGUGGGUUUUCGUAAGGAAACGUAAUGAGAAAAAUGAAAUAGUGUAAUACAAAGCAAGCCUCGUAGUGCAAGGUUUCUCUCAACGCCCUGUGAUUGAUUACAAGGAGACAUAUUCCUCCGUAAUAGACGUCAUAACGUUCUGCUACUUUAUCAGUUUGGUGGUUUUCGAAAAACUGAAUAUGUAGCUUAUAGGCGUGGUAACCGCGUACCUCUAUGGGGAUCUAGAUACGAAAAACUACAUGAAAGUUCCAGAAUGACUUUCUCGAUUAGAUUAAGGAGAUCAUUAUACGGAAUGAAACAAUCCGGGCAGAUAUGGUAUAAUUGUCUGAGUGAAUAUUUGACAAGUCAAGGCUAUGUGAACAACGAACUAUGCCUAUGUGUGUUCAUAAAGAAGUCAUAUUCCGGAUUUGCGAUCAUUGCAAUUUAUGUCGAUGACAUGAACCUUAUCAGAACUCCUGCACAACUUGAGGAAAUUGUAGUUCACUUGAAAUAAGAAUUUAAGAUGAAAUAUCUUGGUAAAACUCAUAUUGUCUUAGCUUGGAAAUCGAGCACUGUUCGGAUGGAAUUCUAGUACAUCAAUCGAACUACACCCAAAAGAUGUUGCGACUUUUUAAUGAGGAUAAAGUGAAGCCUUCAAGUACUCAUAUGAUCGUUUAGACUCUAGAUGCUAAACGAGAACCCUUCCAUCCCAUAGAGGAUGAGGAAGAGAUUUUGGAGCCUAAAGUUCCAUACCCAAGUGCAAUUGGUGCUUUAUUGUACUUGGCUCAAUGCACUAGACUCAACAUCUCAUUCGCUAUUAAUCUUUUGGCUAGAUAUAGCAUUGCGCCUACACACAGACAUUGGAAUGGUGUUAAAGACAUUUUCCACUACCUCAAGGGUAUGACGGAUUUGGGCUUGUUCUACACCCAUGAAUCCUCAAGAGGAGCUACCGCCCCCUCGGUCUUCGAGUUCAUUCCCGCCUUGUUGGUUACGCAUAUGCUGGUUAUCUAUAUGUCCCACAUAAGGCAUGUCCUCAAACUGGCUAUGUCUUUAUUGUUUGAGACAUCACAAUAUUUUGGAAGUCUACCAAGCAAACAUUAGUUGUGACUUCUUCGAACCAUGCUGAGAUUCUUGCCUUACAUGAAGCCUCGCAUGAGUGCCUUUGGUUGAGAGCAAUCAUGGAACAUAUUAAAAGCAUUAAUGGUCUUACUACUAUCGUUGACCUUCCUACGACGAUCUUUGAAGACAAUGCAGCAUGUAUCGAGCAGUUAAAGAAGGCAUACAUCAAGGGAGACAACACCAAGCUUAUACGCCAAAGUUCUUUUAUUCUCACUAGCAACAACAACAUCAAAACAUUGAAGUCAAGUAAAUCCAUUCCUAGGACAACUUGGCCGAUCUCUUCACCAAGUCAUUGUCCAAGUCUACUUUUUAGAAUCUCGUCCAAUGAAUUGGUAUACGUAAAUUAUCUGAGUUGAAUUGCUUAUAGUUCUCUUAUUUAGAAGUUAUGUCUAACUUAAGGGGAGUAUCCUGAAGCAUACUCACUUAAUCUUUAUGUACUAUUUUUCCUACUGUUAGAAGCAUUUUUCCCACUGGGUUUUUGCUACCUAACAAGGUUUUAAUGAGGUACCCAUCUUGGGAUGAUCAUACUCCGUUGAGUUCACUACUUUCGUCCCGUAUAACGUUUGUUUUAGACAUUAUGCAUACUUCUCACUUUUCCCCUUAGUCUAUGGGUUUUCACUUGCCUUAGGUUUUACCAUAGUGAGGUUUUAUGAGUUUUACUACUUAUGCAUACUUUCUUUAAAUUUGAGACUUGCAUUCUCCAAUUGUGUCGAUGACUUCAUCAACUAUUCUACCUCAAGUGUUGAAGACCUGAUGCGAUGUUUUGUUUGAGUAUUUACACACUCAAUGAUGAAUGUUGCAGUCCUAUUAGAUUAGGAAUCUGAUUGUGUUAAUUCUAUUGUAUCUAGGGAUAUCUUGGAAUAUUUCCUUUAGUAGAUAUUAUUAGAGUUGUAAUCCUAUUAGGAUAAGGAUUUAACCUAUCUUACUACUAUAUAUAAAGGCACAAUGGGAUGGUACAUGACACACCUCACAAUUAUAUCUCUCUAUCUCCUCUCUCUUGCCGCUAGCCCUCUCCCUCUCUAGUCCUAAAUACAUUUUAGUAAAUUAGGCCUACAACAUUAUUUACUUUUUUUUUUUUGUCAAACGAUAAAUUUGUUGGGAGAGACAAUUAGCCAUGUGUUUCGUGAGUGCUAUUUUGCACGUGCAGUCUAUAAAAUUGCUAUGUGAAGAUAUUUUGUAUUGCAUAACUGAAGCUAUACAGAGGUAUGAAUUUAUACUAGAAUUGUGAUGCUAUUCUAGGUAAACUGAAACUAAUUCUAUGAUAUUACAAUCAUCUCCUACAAUCGCUCCAAGAUGGAUUAUUGUAUCCUACAAUCAUUCAAAAUCAUAUCAAAUAGUUGACUAUUUUAUUUCCUUUAACACUCCCCCUCAAGUUGGAGUGUGGAUGUCAAUGACACCCAACUUGCUAAGAAGCAAGUGGAAGGCAGAUGCUCUUAGUGGCUUCGUAAAUAUGUCAGCUAUCUGACUCCCAGUUUGCACAUGAGUGGUUUUGACUUCUCCCAUUUGAAUCUUUUCAUGGACCGUAUGGCAAUCCAAUUCUAUACGUUCAGUCUAUUCAUGAUACAAGGGAUUUGUUGCAAUAUGUAGGGCAGCUUGAUUGUAGCAAAACAAUCUUGCUGGCUCAGGGUGAUGUACACGCAAAUCUUUCAAUAAGUACCUUAGCCAAGUAAGCUCACAAGUGGUUGCAGCCAUGAAGGGAUAUUCGGCUUCUGGAAAAGAUCGUGUAAUCGUGACUUGCUUUUUACUUUUCCAUGAUACAAGUGACUUACCAAGAAAAAUGCAAAAGCCUAUCACUGAUCGGCGUGUGAUCAGACAUCUAUCCCAAUCCGCAUCACAAUAGCCAAUCAAAUUGAGUUGGUUUUCUGAGGAAAACAAUAGACCUCGUCCUGGUGCUUUCUUCAACUAUUAAAGAAGACGGUGUGCUGCCUUAAGAUGAUAAAGCUUGGGUUUUUGCAUAAACUGGUUGAGAGUGUUCACUGUAUACGUAAUAUUUGGCCUUGGAAUUGUAAGAUAGAUCAAUUUGCCAAUCAAACGUCGAUAUUGAGUUGGGUCCUUGAGAGCAUCACUUCCUGUUGUUAUCAAUACCAAAUCAAGUUCCAUAGGUACUUUGGCAGGUUUUACUUCGAGCAAACCGGCUUCCUCCAAUAUAUCUAGGGUAUAUUUACGUUGACAAAUGGAAAUCCCAGCUUUGGAACGUGCAACUUAUACACGAAGAAAGUAUUCUAAUGGUUUGAGAUCUUUAAUUUGGAAACAACCACUGAGAAACUUCUUGAGGUUACUAAUGGCUUCCUCAUCAUUCCCUGUAAUGAUCAUGUCAUCAACGUAAAGCAACACCAUAGUAACAGAGUUUUCACAAACCUGAGUAAACAACAAGUAAUCCGCAUUUUGACUAUUGGAAGCCAAUUUCUUGAAUGGCAGAUGAGAAUCGUUGGAACUAGCUACAAGAGGCUUGUUUAAGUCUGUAUAAGGACUUGUGGAGUCGACAAACCAUGGCUCCCCCUGUUGACGAUAACUAUAAGUCGGUAACAUAUAUACUUCCUCAUGUAAUGUACCAUGAAGAAAUCCUUUUAGCACAUCCAUUUGGUGCAAAGGCCAAUUUCAAACAGCGGUAACAUUCAAGAGACAACAAACAGUCAUGAGUUUAGCAACCAGAGUGAACGUUUCUUUGUAAUUGAUGCCCUCACGUUGAGUGAACCUUUUUGUGAUAAGGCGAGCUUUGUACCGUUUAAUGGUAUCGUUGGAAUGGUACUUUAUCUUGAAGACCCAUUUAGAGCUAAUGGGUCGUUGGCUAGGAGGCAGAGGAACCAUAGUCAUGGUUUGGUUGUCUUCAGGAGCUUGAAUCUCAGAAUUCAUAAUUGCAAUCCAUUUGGGGUCAUGACAGGUCUGCUUAUAAGAAACUGAUUCAACCAGGUGAGAUAUGUUGUGUACAAAGGAUUGUUGAGCAGGAGAUAAACGAGAGUAGGAGACGUACCGUUGAAGCGGAUAUCGCGUACCGGACAUUGAGGAAGGGACAACGCUGGGCAUAAGAAAAGCAACAUAGUGUGUCUGAUAGUCAAUGAAACGAACAGGUGGAUGUUUAAUUAUGUCGGAGCAACGAAGUAGAGGAAGAGCAGGCUGGGGUGGAGGAGCAGGUUCUAGUGGUGAGGACGAGGUGUCUGGUGCGGCGGGUGGUGCGGGAUUUUCUGUGGUGUUUGUGUGAGAGUUGGAAUUUGAGGGGGUCUGUGGAUGGGAAUAUGGGAAGAUGACGAGGUGUCUGUGGUAGAGGUUGAAUUGGUGGGGUUAGUAGGUGGGCUUAGAUUUUAUGGUGUAGGUGUUUAGGCUGAGACCAAAAUGAAAUUUAUGUCAUCAUGAGGAAUGGGUAAGACGGGGAAAUCUAGUUGAUUUUCUAGUGGCGAGGUAGCAAGAGGAAAAAUGUGCUCGUGAAAAACAACGUCACGAGAUGUAAAGAUUUGCUUGCUAUCAAGGUCAUAGACUCGAUAGCCCUUUUGGCCAAGGGGAUACCCAAAAAAAAAAAAAAACAUCGACGUGCACGUGCGUCAAAAUUAUGUGAGGGAGUAAGAUAAGUGGCAUAACAUAAACACCCAAAAACCCAGAGAUGGGAAUAUUCAUGUGAUGUGCCGUGCAAGAGUUCAUAGGGAGAUUUAUGUGAAAAUAAAGGUGUAGGAAGGCGAUUUAUGAGAUAACAAGCACUUUGGAUACUUUCCCCCCAAAACUUUAAAGGUAAAUUGGCUUGAAAACAUAAUGCAUGACCAACAUUCAAAAGAUGCCGAUGUUUGCGCUCAACCACCCCCAUUUUUUUUAGGAGUGUGAGCACAAGUAUGUUGGAAAAUGGUGCCAUGCAUGUCUAAAAACGUCCGCAUCAACACAAAUUCACCCCCAUUGUCAGCACGUAGAGCUUUAAUUUCACAAUUAAAUUGUGUUUUGACCCAAGAAAAAAAUGAUUUCAACAAGGCUUGUGUAUCAUAUUUAAAAUGCAUAAGAUAAACCCAUGUGAAGUGAGUAAAUUCAUCUACAAUAGUAAGGAAAUAACGUGCUCUGGUGUGUGUAUGGAUUUUGUGUGCUUCCCAAAUAUUACAAUGGAUCAAAUCAAAAGGUGCAACCGAUUUUAUUAAACUUGAAACAAAAGAUAAGCGAGUUUGCUUUGCUAAAGGACAAACAUCAUAAACAUGCUUAGAAUCAAAUAUGAUUUUCUGGGAUGGUCUGGGAUAAAGAGUGAAGAGGGGCUGAUGAUGGGUGUCCAAGACAUUGGUGCCAAAGUCCCGAGGUGCGGUUAACAUGAUUAGCUAGGUAAGGGUUUUGGCUUGGUGUGAGGUAGUAAAGUCCAUUAAAAUGCUUGCCCAGGCCAAUCGUCCUCUUCGUAUCCAUGUCCUGCACAACACAAAAAUCCGGAUAAAAUAUCAUGAUACAUCUCAACGCCCGAGUUAAUUUACUCACAGACAACAAGUUCACACAAAAUUUUGGCACAUGUAAAACUCCAUCAAGAGAUAUCUCUGGUGACAAUUUAAUAGACCCAAUGCUUUCAAUUGCAGCUUGUCCUUCAUUUGGUAAACCAACAAAAUCAUGUUGUGUUUUAGUUUUAUUAUAGCUGGGUGAUAGAUGAGAAAUGUGAUCUGUUGCCCCACUAUCCACAAUCCAAUAUAUUGGUGAAUGUGGAUCAUGUUGUGCAGUAUUGCAGGUGGGUGUGUAUAUACCUGUUGCAUGUGUGAGUGGUUGAUCUUUACCGUUCUUAUUGCGAAGUAGAGCCAUGAGUUGAUUGUACUCCUCGGUUAUGAACAUUGGGUUGUUGGAGGUUGAUGCCUUGGUUGUGUCAACGUUGGUGGCUAGUAACUGAAGCCCUUCAACAUUGUUUGAUGUUGGAUUUGUACGUUUAUUCUUGGGCUGCACAUUCUUCCCAUGCCAUUUGUGACCUUCUGAAAAUCCAAUAAGGAAAAAGCAACGUUCUACUAGAUGUCCUCCGUCACAGUAGCUGCAUUUGAAUGUCUUGCUUGAAUUGGAGCUGUUAACACCAGAGCCUCCUUUUGGCGUUGUCGAACGACUUGUUUGCAUUGCAUGGGCAGCAUGUUCACGACGAUUUGCCACAUCUAUUUGGCAUUCGUGUUGUAGAACCAACCCAUGGACUCUUUGUGUAUCUAGGAGUGGACUUAUCAUCAAGAUGGAGCCUCGUAUGGUUGAGUAACUCUCAUUCAACCCCAUUAAAAAUUGCAUGACCUUUUCUUUUUCCUCCAUUUCUGCAUGUAUCUUGGAUCCCUCACAUUCACAAGCAAUCAGCUCAUGGUAUGAUGCCAAUUCAUCCCAAAGAGCCUUCAACUUUGUGUAAUAAUAUGAAACAGAUAGUUGUCCUUGUCGAUGUUCGACAAUUUCUUGUCGAAUUUGAUAGAUCUUUGAAUCGUUUCCUUGCGAGAAUCGAUCCUCAAGAUCCUUCCAUGCUGCUGAUGCGGAUUUGCAGUAGAGUAUACUGCAAGCGAUGUUGCCUUGCACGGACUGCCAAAUCCAUGACAAGACCAUGCCAUUGCAUCUAUGCCAAAUUGAAUACUUGGCAUCAAUGAUUGCAGGGCUUUUGAUUGAUCCAUCAAUAAACCCAAGUUUGUUCUUGGCGCUGAGAGCGAUGCACAUAGAGCAGCUCCACUGUCCAUAGUUGUGUCCGUCAAGAAGCUGUGAGACUAAAACAAGACUUGGUGAGUCUAAAUGGUGUAAGAUGAGAGGAUCAGAUGCGUGUGGCAUCACCUCUGUUGCUUUUUCAUUGCUCAUGUUGGCUGUGUUUAAUGGAAAGAAUUUAGGUUGCGUUUGUGGCGAAAGUGGAAUGGGCUUCUAGAGUCACCAAGAUCGAUGCUUUGAUGCCAUAUAAAAUUGUUUUGUGAAUAUAUUUUGUAUUGCAUAACUGAAGCUGUAUAGAGGUAUGAAUUUAUACAAGAAUUGUGAUGCUAUUCUAGGUAAACUGAAACCAAUUCUAUGCUAUUACAAUCAUCUCCUACAAUCGCUCCAAGAUGGAUUAUUGUAUCCUACAAUCAUUCCAAAUCAUAUCUGAUAGUUGACUAUUUCAUUUCCUUUAACACAGUCUGGUUCGCUGCUCCUUUGGGGCUCGGAGCGGCGAUGCAAUCUCAUGAUUCUCUUAAGGAGUAGCUGCUUACUUCGGUGGAAGAAAAGAAAGCGGACAUGGAUGCGGUGUUUAUGCUUUUGUGGGCAUUAUGGACGGAGAGGAACAAGCUAAUUUGGGAGGGUAAGUCGGUUUCCCCCUUGGGGUUGUUCAACAUGCGUUCAUUUGGCUGCAAGACUAUCACUCUGCCAAUCUUCAACCAAGUCAGUCCUAGCGGUCUAAGCAACUGCGUGGAUGACUCCAACUGAUGGUUGGUUUAAACUGAAUGUUGACGGAGCUGUCAAGGUGGGGGAGGGUAUCGGUGGGGCUGGGGGGCGAUUUGUGAAGGUAACGGUUGUUUCAGUACUGCUGGUUCAAGGCAGUUUCUCAGUCAAGCAGGCGGAACUCCUUGCACUCAGAGAAGGUCUGCAUCUUGCGCAGAGAGUGGGGUGUAGGUUUCUGCAGGUGGAAAGUGAUUCGAUGGAAGUCGUCUUAGCCUGUAAUGGUACGUCUGUGGAUUAUUCUAGUCUCAGAUACAUUGUUUCUUAUAUUAAAGAGUUCGCCUCUGAGUUUGAUAGGUACACUUUUUUGUACGUGCCUCGUACUUGUAAUGAUGCGGCACAUCGCCUAGCCAAGUUAAGUAUAGUAAUUCAGUUGUAUGGUUUAAGGAACCCCCAGAUGUUAUUAGGGAGGACCUCAGUCAUGAUUUGUACUCGCGUUGAGUUCUGAAAUAAAGCUAUCGUAUUCAUUUCAAAAAAAAAAAAAAUGUUAGAUUAAGCAGCCAAUGAGAUUCGAUCCCACACCAUGAUGCAAAAACAACACUACUCUCUAUCACUUAGUAAAGAGCUACUUGCAUUAAUUAUAUACUUUUAAAUCAUUAAUAGUAUAAAUUAUAUGUUUAGAGUAUCUCUAAAUAAAAUGUCAAAAUGUUCAUAUAUGUUAUAACAGUAAUAAAAGACUACACUAAUAUUCUCCAACCGAAAUACUAAUUCCUAUGUAACGCUGACAUGUAUUGACAGCAAAGAGGUUGCUGUCAAAUUUCACAGCAGCUUCAAAUAUUUUUUUAUUAAUUUUUUAUGGGAAACGCUGAAACUGAAGGCAAACGAAGAAGCCAGAAAGACCGAAGCUUGAAUUUUGGAAAACCAGAGAGAGAACAGAGAGAAGAAAAGCAGAAAGCCAAACACAGAAGCCAGAUGUAAGAAAGACUCCUCCUUCUUCAGCUUCUCUCCGCUGUACACCGCACUGCUCUCGGAGGUUGCGUUUGAUUGUAUCAGUGUCGGCUUCGAAUUGGGUGUGAGGGGCUUGCGGGAGGGAAGCCUUUCUUGGUGAGGUUGCAUUUGAUAAAUAUAAUUUAGACUUCAAUUUAUUUUCAUUAAUUAUCUCACUAAUUGACAAUUUCAACUUUUGCAACGAGCGUAAGCGCUUUAUGAUCACGGUGGCGCCCCCUAACCAAUUUUAAUAAGGAGUGAAAGCGCAUUGCCCUCAAGCUUACUCAUAUCCUCCACCCGAUUGGACACUUCGGUCUUGAGAGGCCCGUCUUUAACUGUAUCAAACCUUUCUUACAAGUUAGUGCAUCAGUAUCCGCGGCGCUCAACUGGAGAUUCGCAUCCUUAAUCUUUUAAUGAAAGGACAGGGUGCCGAGGGUCCCGAGUUGGUCCAAAAAUGCGAGUGCAUUGCGGAAAGAGUCAACGGCAUCCUUGUACAACAUGACGCAUGAAUCAAGGGCCCUAGCAGUGCGCACGUCGAAUUGAGGGGGGAAGCUGAAGAUGAAGUCAAGAUCGCCCUGGGUAUGGGUUAGACAGAUGUUGAUGGUACCCUUGGUCCGCUGUACCUUUUCAGUGAAUGGGGAUUCGAGGGCGGGGAGUAGGCGGGAGAGGAAAAAGAGGAAGAGAGGGAGAACAGAAUCUGGGUCGUCAUUCGUUGGGUGGUGUUCAUGAUUGCCGGGGAUCGAAGUGUGGUUGUACAUGUACCGGAGUUGUGGUGAUGGUGGUCGUGUGGGAGGGGGUUUAUAUAGUAGGAAAGAACUUCAUUAGGGGUUUUUUUUGGGACAAGCAUUAGGGUAUUUUUUUUUUCUUCUUUUUCUAUACACCGAAUCUGGACUAGCCAAUUAAAGUUGUUUCUAUAUAUGGUUGAUUUAGAAUGAGUUCCGUUUAUUUAAUUCUAGUUUAUUACAAAGUUUUUGGCUUAUUUUGGUAUAUAUGUAGUAUUAAUUAAUUAAUCGUUUUCAUGUAUGGUUCACUCUAUAUAUGUGAGUUAACCUCCUCUCCCUCAAUUUUUUAUUGAAUGAAGUUGAGUUUAUGUUGAUGAAAUAGUAUAGCUAGCCUUUGACUUUAGAAGAAGAUGUUCUCUUACUUAAGACCAAUUUAAACUUUAAACCCGAUAAAUCCACAUGCAUGUAUAUACUAUAUAUGGCAUUGCCUUCUAUCCAGUGUCAUGUACUAUAUGCUAUAUUCUUGUCGAUUUCGCCCAUCUUCCGACAAUCUUGACUUCGCCACUAAAUGAAAAAUGAAUAUUCAAUGCCACUUUAGCUAUAGAAAUUGUAAUCUAACCACCCGUGGUUGUGUCCAUCAUAAUAUUUCCAACCCAAUAUGGCUUUAAUCACUUAAAUGCGGCCACCAGAUAGGGCUUUAGAUAAGAUCAACUAACAGAUGCAUUUGACUUCUAGUAUACAGCAGCAUAAUAAUAUUAUAUGAGAAUGUGGAUUUUGGUACGGGUCAAAAUUGUUUCACCCAGAGAGCUCAAGGGCUGUAAGCCUGUAACCUUUUUUUUUUUUUUUUUCUGACCAAUCGAUAUUAUCUACAUUAAGAGAGUGAAUGAUUGAGUUAAACCUCACAAUGAGCUAGCAAUAAUUUGGUUUUAAUUCGCCUUUGGUGAAAAUCGAACCUAAAACCUCGCACUUACAAGUGAUAAGAAAUACUAUUAAACCGUAGUACUAGGUGGCAGGGCUAUAACCAAUUUAAAAAGAAGCAUAAAUAAUCCACUUUAACUAGAUUGUAAUAUUAACUCGCAAUGUUUUUCAACCCAAAUUUUUGCUUUGUGUUUUUGGGCCCCUUUAGUGUCCAAGCCCAAGUGUGUAAAGGUAGAGGUCUCAUGACUGAUACGUUGUGGAUCGAUCCCUUUUGGGUGCAGAGUUCGGUAGGUCAGAACACAGCUUGAGGUCUGAAACUCUUUUGGGUUACAUUAUGGGCCUUACAACUAGCCCAUUUAUUCUUUGUAUUCUUGUGCACCGAAUGCCUAUUAUGGUGUGGCAAUAUUGUUCAUUAUUUUAAUAAGGCCUAUUUAUUCUUUGAAUUCUUGUGGACCUCUUAGAAAGCCCAUUCUACUUGGGUCAGAUUCUUCAGUUUUAAUUGGGCCCAUUUAUUAUUUGGAUUCUUGUGAACUUUUUAGGCCAUCUCCGUGGAGAUGGUCAUACCUUUUAGCUCCUUUUGUUUUUGGGAACUUUAACGAAAAGCAUCCGGUACUAUUCACUUUAACGAAAAACCACAUUUUUACACUAAAAAGUCAAUCCUGAUACUAUUCACUUUACCCUUUAUUUUGUCCUUAUCAUUAAAACUCAAAGUUUUCAAGCCCUUUUCAUUAGUUUUCCUUUUUUUAUUUUUUUGACAAAACCCAACUCCAAUAAAGGAUUGGGCCAAAACCAAGCGGAUCCCACCAAGCCAAAUUAGAGCAUUGUUUGAGCUGGGCAUGUUGAGCUCAAAAAAUGCUGGGUUAAAAAAAAAAUAUUUAAUUCUAAUUUUUUUUCCUAUAAAUAUUUAAGACAUUUCUACACAAUUUUUUCACGUCAUUUUUACUCUUUCAUACUAUCUUACCUUAUUUUAAUCCAGUUCUUCAAAUUCUAUUCACCUCAAACACUCUUUUUAUACGCACCCCUCUCUUAUCUCUUCCAUUACUCCAAAUUUAAAUUUGGAUCAUUUUGGUUUUAGUCCCUAAUCAACGUAGUUGUUAGAAUGAAACCUUAUUUGUUUAAAUAGUUUGAUCAAGGUCCCUAGCAUCAUUUAAGGGAUUUAACUCAUGCAUUUAUGCAUUCAAUAUCCCACAAAUUAUGAAAUUUAAACAAAUCCAAAUAAUAUUGUGACAAAUAUAACAAUUACUUAAAAAUCAAUAAUAGAGUAAUUUGUUCUUCACAUAGUUCUAGCAAAAAAACAAAAAAUGUACCCACGUAAUUAUUAAUAUAGUGCAAGAAAUAACUAUUGAUAUAUUUUAAAACAUAAAAUAAACACAUAUAAUUAGCAUCAGUACGUUCAUAAAAAAAUAUUGGUACAAAUUAAAUUUAAAAUAUGGGUACAUAUUAAAAUUCCAAACCAUGGGUACAAAUUAAAUUUAAAAUGUGGGUACAUAUUAAAAGUCAAAAUUAUGGGUACAAAUUAAAACUAAAAACAAUAUUGGUAUAAAUUAAAAAAAAGGAUACAAAUUAUAAAUAGAAAUAUAUGAAAAAAUAUACUAAAAAGAUUAUAUUUGAAAUUGAUUAAUAUGACAUAUAAUGACUUGUAAAUAAUUUAAUAUUCAAAUAAUGACAUAAAGAAAAGUCAAGAGACCUUAAUAAAAAAUGAAAAAGGAAUAAGGUUUUAAUUAUGGGAACUUUAAUGAAAAGCACCUGGUACUGUUCACUUUAACGAAAAACCACAUUUUUACACUAAAAAGUCAAUCAUAGUACUAUUCAUUUAACCCUUUAUUUUGUCCUUAUCAUUAAAACUCAAAGUUUUCAAGCCCUUUUCAUUAGUUUUCCUUUUAAUUAAUGAGAAGGAGAAAUGAGGGAUGAGAACUUAAGUUAUCCUUUAAAUUUUUCAAUAUUUUUUCAAUGGCACUCAAAAUACAUGGGGAAGAUGACAUCAUUAGCCUUUUUUUUAUCUAGAGUUUAAGUUACAAAAAUACCCUUUAUAUUUGGAACCGUUGAUGGAUGUGAUGAUGGCUGGAGGGGCAUCCCUGCUGAUGAGGGAGUACCAAGGCUGGACGUGCGCAUUAAGCCUGAUGGGGAUAAAGGCUGGACAUUUGGUAGGGGAGCUUGCAAGCAAGGAAACUGCAUUAAGAGAACACAUUAACAAAGCUUCAAAUUAUUUGUGCAUCAAUUGGUGAGAUAUCAAGAAAGUUUAGGAUAAAUCUAAAGUCAGACGAUCUCCGAGGCUCAUUCAUGAGAAUCACGCUAUUGUUUCGUACUUCGUCGGUACUGAGUACUACGUUGGAUAUUGUCCUUUGCCGAUAAUGACUAAUUAGAGCCUGGGUGUGAUUUUGAUGCAUAAUAAGGUAAUUUGGGCUCUAACUUUUUAGGGCUUUUGAUUGGGUUGAAAUUAUUUGGUUGUUGAUGCCUGUUCUAUUAAUGUUUAGCUUUUCUUGGUUCAAAAAUUGAAACUUUGACAAAUUCUUAUGGGAAAUCGGUGGGGAUUGGUCGGCAUUUAGGGUUUUUUUUUAUUUUUUUUUAUUUUUUAUUUUUUAUUUUUUAAGGAUAAAAGGAAUAAAAGGUAACUUAUUUCUAUGAGGAAUCCGAUUUUAGGAAUCCGAAUGGGAGAUCGAUUUUGCCGUUGAAUUUGUAACUUAUAAAGUUGAUGAUAAUUUUUUUAUUUUUUAUUUAAAAAAACAGAUCUGGCCCUUAGAUGCCAACUUUUGAAUUGUCUUAUUAUGAAAAUUUGAUAAAUGAAUGUCCAUUGCAUUCUGGUGGUGCUAAAGGCUAAUUAUAAUUAGUUGCAUUGAUGGUUUACAUUUGGGAGCUAAAGCUGAGACAAUGAUUAAUUUUUAGUGUGCUAGAAGGCAACUCGGGCAUUAGUUAAUUACCAUAAAUUCAUGAAAUAAAAUUUGGUUCUACUAAAAAGUUUACAAAACUGAUUUUACGUAUAUUUUAAACUGAUUUUGUAAAAAUGGUCGAAGACGGGUUAAAUUGAUUUUGCAAAAAUGGUUGAUUACGGUUUGAAUUGAUUUUGCAAAAAUGGUUGAAGGCUGGUUGAACUGAUUCUAUAAAAAUGGUUGAGGACGAAUUGAACUGAUUCUGCAAAAAUGGUCAAAAGCGGGUUGAAAUAAUUCUGCAAAAAUGACCGAGGAUAGGUUUAACUGAUUAUCCAAAAAUGGUCGAUUACGGAUUUAACUAAUUAUGCAAAAAUGGUCGAUAACGUGUUAAACUGAUUCUAGUAAUAAAGGAUACAAACUGAUUCUGCAUAUAGUUUCAAACCUGAUAUUGCAGAAAUAGUCAAUGAUGGGUUGAGCUUAUGACAUAUAUUAAUUUUGUUGAAAUUGUAAGGGUUGUGUUCUAUUAACAAUCCUAAAGCCUUAGGGGUAUGACUUGUAUUUUAAAACAUUGUUUUCAUAUUUUUUGGUUGGACUUUAGUUGUUUUUAUAUUUUUAUCUCUUAUUGACAUGUUUAAAAACUAAUGAGUUAUUUGAAAUAUAGUAAAAGUUUUUGUCUCUAUAUAUAAAGCUCCAUAUAUAAAUAUAGUAUGACACUGUUUAUUUAAAAAUAAUUUCUUGCAAGAGUAUAACUUUGAACGGGACUAAACAUAGCUCAUUCGAUUGGAGAUGACUUUAGAUAACCAUUUUGGUGGGUAGAAUAUGCCGGGUUGCUUAAAAGAGGCCUUAUGUAUCUGUUGACCCAAUUGAAUAAUAAUACCGUACUAAUACAUAUCAAAUCCAAUUGUCAAACUUAUUCAAAUUGCUCUUUCAAAAAAAAAAAAAUUCAAAUUGCUUCAGUGUUGCUUAGUUUCAGCUAGGGUAGUGAUAGUCUGCAAUCAAAAUAUUUUCUAUUUACAAUUCAAUUGCAUAUGUAUACAGUUUCUGGACUACAAAACUAAUUUUGGUAACUCUAAACCACUGUUGAAAGGGUACUCCUAUUCUUGAAAUCCAUGAAUCUCCACUUAUGAAGUUCCUAACAAUAAAUUUUUUGGCAUCCGGUGUACUCCUUAUUACGUGAUAACCAAGUAACUUGACCCUCCCGCAAGUAUCGGCACAACCUCCAAAGUUCAUGUACUCCCCAUAGUAAAGUGUGGACAGGCCAACACUUCCAUUACACAACAUCCGACCGGUAGGAUCCACCAAUCCGUUCAAAGUACUCUUCAUGAUCACCGUCCUUGGGUACACCCACAACGACCAGCCCAAAUAUGUUCGGAAAGAGUGUUGCACAUGUCUUAAAUCUUCAGCGGCCGUGACAUGGCAAUUGUGAAUAACAAUGCCAGUGGACUGAUCAGACUGCUCCCUAGAUUGCAAACCUUCACCACAUUCACUUGAUUUUUCAUAGGUCUUCCCACGUAUAUGUUGCAGUUUUGGAGCACAACUGCAGCGUUGCCGAAAAUAAUAUAUCUCAGAGUCACGAUAGAACUGUGACUGGCGUUUCGCGUAGAAUGUAUCUUGGUAGCCGUUGAAGCUACAACGGUAAAACACCAAUUGGUUGGUGCCAUAGCGCAUUGCGAUGGCUUGAUGUUUCUCGGGUCCGGUCGUGUUUUCAAAUGUCAUGUCUUGAGCCAUAAAGCCGUACCCUCUAACCCUUAUGUUUUAAGUGAAUGAAGUAGUUAUCAUUUUACAAGUGAUUAGACAUACUAUGAGAAAACAACUUGUAUGAGAUUGCAGAUUAUAAAAUGUCAUGUCUUGAAGUUUAGGGUUUCGGUGAACAAAAACUUGCAUCCCCACUAACCUAUAGAAAAUAGAGUAACUUGAUCAAGAGUACGAAGCAAUAUUGCUAAAAAUAAGCCUACCAAAAUUAUGCACCAUUUGAACAGGUAUCUGCCAAAACUGUAUAAAGUUUCAGCAGAUAGCUACCGAAGGAGUUCAUAUGCGUCAUCUGCGUCGGCAAACAGUUCAUCGCCCCCUCUUAGGUUCGCGAGCCUUCUGCCUCCUCUGGCUUUAUCCAGUACUGUUCCUGGUCCAAGUUAAGAUCACCUCCUUUCUUAUGCACACAACCUGUUUGAUGAAUUGCCUUAAUUGAUACUCGAUUGAGUGGUAAAAUCGUCGGUCUAUGGUAUUGGGGAUUGUAAAAUUGUCUUUUGGGGUUUUUCUCGAAUAAUUAAGAUUAGGGGUUUCAUUGAAAUUCAAGAUAGAGUGACUUUCUUUGGUGGUUUACUUUUGUCAUUGAAAGAGAAAAAUUCGACCACCACAUUCUCUAUGGUGAAUUGAGUCAAUCUGAGUGGGGACAGGUUGUGUGAGGUUGAAAUCUGGGUUCUUUAGAAAAACUAGACAGUUGUUGGAUAUGCCACAAGGAAACCACGAUAUCUAAUGCUCCUAUAGAUUUGUUGUCAUACGCGUUGAUAGACCCAUAAACUUUGUUCUUUCUUCUCAAUUAAAUCAUGCAUAUUGUAUGACCAGCAUGUCUUAUUGAUUAUUUAGUAGAGUAAAACGAAUUGGUGUCGAAAUUUAUUAUUUCUAGUCUUUUCACAUGUUGAUUGUUGAGUUCGCUUGAAGAUAAUUGGAAGAAAAGGGUAGCUUUGGGGGUCAAAGUCAGAUUGUUAGUUCAAGGUAUUCACUCCUUUCUUUUAACUUUUCAGGGGCAAAUGGAUAUGAACACUAGAUAAAGUAAUUCGAAUUUCAUAAAUGUGCUGUCAUUGGAUCACUAGGGUUGCAAGUUGUGCACAAAUUCUGUGGUUCUGUCAUAUAUUUGCUAAAUACAUUAGUUGCUAAAUAUAUCUCUGUAGCUGCUGUGUGAUCUGUGUUCAAUUUGUGCAGCUGCUGUUUUUUUUUUUCUCUGCGAGGAGAGGUCGCACUUGGUGCGAUGGCAAGUGUCUUCGCCCAUGAGCGGUAGGUUUCGGGUUCGAGACUUGGGAGCAGCCUCUCCAUAAAUGGGGGUAAGGCUAGCCGACAUUCACUUCUCUCAGACCCUGCGUAAAGCGGGAGCCUUGAGCACUGGGUACGACCUUUUUUUGCUGUUUUUUUUUUUUUCAGGAACUCAAACAUCCUUGUUGACCGAAACUUGGAUAAAUAACCAGUUAGUCUCGAAGCAGUGCUGUCUAUCUAAACUGAAGGUGCUCCUCAGUCGGUUGAUUCUAUGGCUCCAGUGCUGUCUAUCCAAACUGAAGAUGUCGUUGGUUGCCUUCACAGUGUUGUCUAUCUAAACUAAAGAUGUCUUGGCGAGAAGAAAGGGGGAGAGGAAAAAAUCUCAGGAUUGUUGAGAAGCUUUGUGCAGGGCAAUUUGUGUCUUGAUUUGAAGAGAGCUUUCUAUGAUGUAGAGCAUCUUGUAUUUAUAGCAUUCAUAUUUUCUGCUUGAGACGGCCUAAUAAUUUCGUAGAGUCCAACUAAAAAUCAAACUCCCUCCACGCACUAACAUACAACAUCACCACCAUAUUUUGCUCUUGAUAAACCAAUCCUUUGCUAAUAAUUAUCACAACCUGAAUUAGUGUUAGUACUGGUUUGGUACUGAGGUGCUUUUAUAAAAAGUGGGUAUAAAAAAACAGCUAAGCUUAAAAAGUGUUUGGUAAACACUUAAAAACAACUUAUUUUCUCAGUUUUGGGUGAAAAAAAAACUGAAAACGUGAAGAAGCAAAAAUGAGCUUAUUCUCACAACACAACAGAAACAGUUUUUUUUUUUCAAAGCACAGCAAUACCAAAAAGGACAUGCUUAGGGUUUUAUAUUUUUUUUUAUAAAUGUGUUUAUACUUUAAUGGUUAGGGUUUUAUUCAUUAAUGUCAAUGUAGUUCGAACCUAAGGAUCCAUCACGUCCCCUAAAAGGACAUGCUUGAAAUGCAAACCAUCGAACACACUCAAUAAUAAUUUUGUCAACAUAUUGAGAUGAGUUCAUCAAUUCCUCUACACGCAAAACACAAUUAUUAUGUAACAAAGAUGGACCUCCAAUAUGAGAAAGAAAUAUACAAUUAUUUUUGUCGUUAAUUCUUUUCCAAUUGUUAAAACCAUCAAUGGCUAGUGUUGGACGACAUGCUGGACCAAUCCUAAAAAGAAGCAUGUGAAGCAAUACACUCUAUAUGUGGAAGGAGAAUAUUCUAACUAUGGAAAUUAUGAAACCAAGAAUACUGAAAUCGACAAUAUUGUGACCCAAAGUGAGAGCUAGGAUACUAAAAAAAUUUUGGUCGGUAAGGCCCAACUUUGAUAUAAGCAUGUCGAACCUCACCUACUGAUUAACAGGAUACUCAUGUAUUUGAAUCUAUUUCCCGGGUCUCGUUCCAAAGAAGCAUCAUCAAAAACUUUUUUCUACAUGUUCAAUUAUAAUACAUGUCUGGUGAGGGUCAUGAAGCUGCUCAAUUGACACUCAUUACAACAAAACUGGUCUUUUGCGGCGCACAAAGGGUGCCGUAAACGGUUAUUCACGGCUUGAGCCCCCAAGCAGUAAAAGCCCCUGUCGUAAAAGAUGUUUUGUCAAAUACGACAUUCUCUAGUAGCCAUGAAUAAUUUACGCAAAACACGCCGUAAAUGCUCUUUAAGGCGUGCAAGUAGUUAUUAGAUACAAUGUUAAUGAAGUGUCGUAAAUGCUCUUUAAGGCAUGCCUUGCGUGCCUUAAUUGGUAUUAGAUACGACAUUAAUGAAGUAUCGUAAUACUGCGAAAACAAUUACGGCAUACCUGUUUGCCGUAAUUUAUAUUUGAUACGGUGUUUGUUGAGUGUCGUAAUACUGUGAAAGCAAUUACGGCAUACAUUGUACAUCGUAAACGAAGAUUAGCAUCAACAAUUACUGUUGAUUUUGCAUACAGUAAUUUACAUUUAUUUUAAUUUUAUAUAUAUAAAAGAAUCGAUAAAAUUACAUAUUUACUAUAAUACAAUAAUUUCAUAAAUAAUCAUAUUGUCAAAAUGUAUUACAAGUUGAACAUAGCUAAGGUCAAUAUCAAACUACACAUGAAAUACCAAAUAUGUCACAUCCCGGCUCGGGCCCCCACCACAUCCCUGGCUCCACUCCAUCGUAGCACGAUAUUGUUUACUUUGGGCCCUGACCACGUCCUCAUGGUUUUGUUUCUAGGAACUCACACGAGAACUUCCCAGUGGGUCACCCAUCAUAGGAUUUCUCUCGUGUAAACUCGCUUAACUUCGAAGUUCCGACGAAACCUGAAGCCAGUGAGCUCUCAAAAGGCCUCGUGCUAGGUAGAGAUGAGAAUAUACAUAUAAGGCUUACAAGAUUCACUCUCCUAGGCGAUGUGGGAUGUUACAAUCCACCCCCCUUAGGGGCUGGACGUCCUCGUCGGCACACUUCCGUCCAGGAGCUUAUACCAAAUUGUCACAUCCCGGCCUAGGCCCCCAUCACAUCUCGGGCUCGACUCCACUAUAGCAUUAUAUUGUCCGCUUUAGGCCCCGACCAUGCCCUCACGAUUUUGUUUCUGGGAACUCACACGAGAACUUCUCAAUGGAUCACCCAUCAUGGGAUUGCUCUCGCGCGAACUUGCUUAACUUCGAAGUUCCGACAAAACUCGAAGCUAGUAAGCUCCCAAAAGGCCUCGUGCUAGGUGGAGAUGAGAAUAUACAUAUAGGGCUUACAUGAUCCACUCCCCUGGGCGAUAUGAGAUGUUACAAAAUAGGCCUCUAAUAAAAAAGAAAUUUGUCACUUGAAAGACUUCACUUUUUCUUGAACACCUCCAAACAAAGUCCUUUGAGAGUGAAAUACUGCUCAUAAUGCUUGAACCACACUAAUUAAUAUCUUUAUCUGCAUGACAUAAGCACAUGGAGCAAAAGAAAAUCUAUUGUACUGCUAUGUAGAAAUACACAUUUAAUCUCAGGUAAGAAAAGUGAUACUGAAAGAAAACCUAAUCAUUGUCAUACAAACCUAAAUCCCAAAAUGCCUUCACAGUUUUAUUGUUUUACACUCAUACAUGUAUCAAAUGACUAAAAUAUACACAAAUUAUGCCUUUACAGUUUUACUAUUUCCUAUAACCUGCAUAAAAAUCAUAUACUUGCGAGUAGAUAAAUUAAUUAGUCUCUAACAUUUCACGCAUGAAGAAUUGAUACGGCAAGUAGAAGAUUAGAUAUUCGAUCAGUGGAUAUGGUUAUCAAUUAUGAUAUCCCCAAAACUCUAAGGUAAGACUCACUGUUUUUGACCUAGUGGCUUGCUGUUAUCAAUUUACAUCAAAGUUAGCCAUUUAUCUAGUUUUUGGGUCUUAAUAUAUUACAAAUUCAACAUCAGCAGAAGCACCAACAAAUUUCAAUUUUUUUUACUUCUUUUUGUUCCAUUUUCUUCAAUCCAAUCAACUUUCUUGAGAAUUAAAACAAAAUGAGAGAAAAAGAGAGUUCCCAAACUAUCUUAACUUCGUCUUUGGAAAGUAGGCCCUGAGAACGGAUAAAGUGCCCAACCAAGAUACUCUAGCUAGUCAAAGGAGAUGGAUUCGGUUCGUAAGUUAAGAGCUAGUCAAAACAAAAUGUUAACUUAGAAAUUGAUAAAGACUUUAAUAAUAAAAUUAAGGGUAAACGACUAUUUACUACCCUCAUGGUUCGUGGUUUUCAACAUUUAGUACAUCAAGUUUUUUUGGUCUCAGAUUCAUACCUAAAGUGUAAAUUUUGGAACAUUCUCAUACAUCCGUUAGUCAAACUGUUAAAUCUGCCGUUAAUUAUGACGUGGCGCCCAUGUGGACAAUGACUGGGCGCCACGUGUCAUCCACAUUUUUUUCUUUCUUCCUCCUUCUUCUUCUUCCUUUCUCAUUCUUCCUCCCCCUUCUUCCCCUUCUUCCUUCUUCUUCCUUCUCCUUCCUCCUUCUUCCUUCCUCUUCUUCUUCUUCUUCCUCCGAAUCUACCCAGAUUUAGUUUUUUUUUUCUUUUUUUUUCUUCUUUCUUCUUCUUCCUCCGAAUCUGGGGAAGUUUUUCUUUUUCCUUUUUUUUUUUUCUUCUUCCUCCUUCUUCCUUCCUCUUCUUCUUCUUCUUCUUCCUCCAAAUCUACCCAGAUUCAGUUUUUUUUUUUUUUCUUCUUUCUUCUUCUUCCUCCUUCUUCCCCUUCUUCUCCUUCUUCCUUCCCUUUCUUUUCCUUCUCCUUCUUCUUCCCCAGAUUCGGAGGAAUAAGAAAAAGAAGAAGGAAGAAGGGGAAGGAAGAAAGAGGAAGGAAGAAGGAGAAGGAAGAAGAAGGAAGAAGGAGGAAGGAAGAAGGAGAAGAAGGAGGAAGAAAAAAAAAAGUUACAGUCAAAGGAAGAAGAAGAAGGAGGAAGAAAAAACAAGUUGCAGUUGGAGGAAGAAGGAAAAAAAAAACUGAAUUUGGGCAUAUUCGGAGGAAGAAGAAGAAGAAGAAGAGGAAGGAAGAAGGAGGAAGGAGAACGAAGAAGGAGGAAGAAGAAGGAAAAAAAAAACUUCCCCAGAUUCGAAGGAAAAAGAAGAAGAAGGAAGAAGAAGGAAGAAGGGGAAGGAAAAAGGAGGAAGGAAGAAGAAAAAGGAAGGAAAAAAAAGUUGCAGUUGGAGGAAGAAGAAGAAGAAGAAGAAGAAGAAGAAGGAAGAAGACAGAAGGGAAAAAAAAAAUGUGGAUGACACGUGACGCCCAGUCAUUGUCCACAUGAGUGUCACGUCACAAUUAACGGCAGAUUUAACAGUUUGACUAACGGAUGUAUGAGACUGUCCCAAAAUUUACACUUUAGGUAUGAAUUUGAGACGAAAAAAAUUUGAUAUACUAAAUGUUGAAAACCAUGAAACAUGAGGGUAGUAAACAGUCUUUUACCCUAAAAUUAAGUAUAAACUUUUCCACUCAUUACUGCUGCAUUUGCAACCUCUUCGUUUAAAAAUUCACCAAAGAUUUGAAUGCUACCUGAAAAAUAGUAAAAAGAAAUAGAAUAAAUAAGUGAAUAUAAAUCAUACCAAAGGAACUCAAUCAAAUUAUCAUUUUUAUCCAAUAGUACAAACUAAACAAAGUACUACACUACUACUACAACAAACCCACAGAGUACUAGGCUAUGCCCCAGUGUUAUUCUACUACUACUACUACUACAACUACAACAUACUCACAGAUUAUUUGGAUUUUCAAAACAGAUUAUUUGGAUUGCAGUAUCAAUGUAAGUCUGUAACAUCUCAAUCUUCUUUGCAAAAGUAGAACCUUGUUGAGUACCCGAUGUGAUCUUGAGGUCCGGGACAUGCAUACAAAGAAGGCCAAGUCACUCUGCAAUCCUAAUCAAAUCAUACAAACAGAGAGCAAAAUUAACAAAUCCCCAACACCAUAAUUAAAACUCUUUUAGAGGAAACUGAAUUGGAAUAGUCUAGAUUAAUAUUAGUCUAAAUUUUUAAAAAUACUUGGUGCCUCAGAUUUGAUAAUUCAUUGGGCGUCAUUACUUACAGCUCUAGAUUUGGGAAGGAAUCCAUUCCAGCAUACCUAUCAAAAACUGUUUCACUCAAUAAAAAAUAUUAGGUAACCCAAAUGUUGUUCAAAUGCAUAUAUAAGUUUAUAACUUACAAAAAAAACAUUAUAACAAGAAAAAAAAAAGUGCUAAUACAUUUCCUACAAUACACUUAAAGGUGGGAUAUUAACACUUAUUUAAGUUAUUAAAUCACUUAACCUGUAUAUAUUUGUCACUGCACUUGGAAAUAUAGGUGGUGAUCUAACAAAUAGCAUGAUCGACCUGCAAUGGACAUAAAUGGAUUCACAAAAGUUAUUUGUUGCCCAGGCUAUUUGGAUCCGUGGGACCAUUUUUUCCAUAUUAGUGGACCUAAUCGUACACGAAGAGACCAUUCCUAAACCCAACCCAAAAUACUAAAUUCCUCACAUGAGCUAAUAAAAGUGUUGUGAUGCUGCAUAUGACUGAUACUGCAUAUGGAGUCUACUACCAAGGUGACCCCUAGGGUAAAUCUCUAGGGUAAGGCUCAUUGUAAUGUUUAGAGUAAAGGGUAUGUAAAUCACCUUUCCCGUAAUUUAAGGGAGGAGACUGAUUGGGGUAAUGUCUUAGGUAGGCAACAUGCCUUCUUCUUUCUUGUCAGCUGCCUGCUGCAGCCAUCCUUCCCAUCUCUUUUCCCUCUCUCUUCUCAUAUAUACGCGGACUCACUCUUGUACAAACAUACAUGAAAUAUACAUUGAAACUUUAAACUAGAAAAUCUAUAAAAAGGGUUAGAAGUCAAGCAACCAAGUACCAACCUGUAAUUGAAAAUUAAUAUAAAAAAAUGAAUUAACCAAACAUUCUGAAAGAUCCAAAUGUAGAAGCCCAAAAACACAAAAAAGACAAAAAAAUAUUGAAUUGUAUUACACACUAUGGAUUAGAUAGUGAUCCCAAAAACCAAAGGUAACCAAUAAGCACAAGUUCCAUCAUUAGUAAAAACCGAUCGAUUCAUUGAUUUUCAUAUGAGUGAUACAAGUAUUGGUAUACAUAAGCAACAUGAGGAGAUAAGUCUCCAGGAUGUGUAAGAUUACAAUGCAGAGCAACUAAAAGAUGACACUACAAUUGAGAGCAUUAAUAUGUUUCUAAUUUUUAAAACUACUCAAGUACAAAGCACUCACUGCUCUGGAUUCAAAGAGAACCUCACACAAUAAAAUCGCUUCUCCAUAAAACAUAAAUGAUAGCUCUUGGAAUUGACUGCAGAGUAUAAAGUGGUAGCUUAAACAAUUAUGUAUGGUUCAAUUUCAAAGCAUCUACGAAGCCUAAAAUUACUAAACCUUCUUUUCUUAUUAACUUGUAUAAGCAACGAGCCAGAAAGAUUUUACCUUUAAACAUCAAGAAAAACAUAAGCAUCCCAGAAAAAUAAUUUCAUCCUACAAAUUCACAACAAAAAGAAAAAUACUGAAAAAUAAAAAGCAAAUAGAAAACUGAUUAAAAAAAUCCUCCAUAUGUAAUAAUAAAUCAAUUUAAAGAAUCCCCAAUCACAGAAUAAUAAAGCCAGGCACAAAUACAUAUAGAUUUAGAAAAAUCAAACUCAAAUUGGAGACUGCGGAGUGCGAAUGUGCAGGUGGAGGGGCUGUUGGAGAAAAGUACCUGUAAAUUCAAAACCAAAUUUAAAUUAAAAUAAAAUAAAAUUUUGAAAAAAAAGAAGCUUAAACCUUAGAACAUUGGGAGAAAAACGACGGUCUCGUGUGUCUGGCGGUAUGAAUCUCCUAGGUUCUUGAAUUUUCGGUGGUGGACAGUAAGUGACGUGGAGAUGAGGCCAUGGACCGUGACAAAGCGAUGGAGAGAGGAAUUUGUUAUUUGGGUAAAUAAAUCUGGGUAUCCUAUUGGGUCAUGAUGGUGUGAAAGAAACGAGCAAUCUGAAAGGCAGAGAGAAAGAAAAGGGAAAGUGAAGUGGAAUGGUCUAGAAUUUCACUUGUUUGAUAUUUCAUUUCGGCGCUAUAAUUUCCCGCGCAUUUUUUGUUAGGUGCAGAGUGGGAAAGUUUAGGCACGAAGCUAGAAACUAUUAUUUACGACAUAUCAUUCGUGCCAUAAAAGGUAGGGACCCAAAUAUAUAAAAAUUUCACUUUACGACCUAACGUAAUGCCUUUAAAGAGAAGGAAAGUGUGUCGUAUAAAUUGUCAAAUACGACACACAACGAUUACGCUGUAAAUAUUUUUAUUUAACGACUUGCACAAAAGUGAUGCCAUGAAUGCUAGAUUAUGUGCAAGUAUUACGACAUGAACUUUAAUAAAUCAUUUAAGGUAUGACAGUACUGUACGCCGUAUAUUUCAAGUCGUAAAAGACCCAAAUUGUUCUAGUGACUGGUGCAUUAUCAUUAAAUGCAGAAAGUGUAUCACACUCUAAUUUACCAUCAUUAUCUCUUUUUCUAAAGAAUGAAUCAAUAUUUCUUAACCUCUUCAUUGGACAGACGGUUGGACCUAACAAAUUGGACAACAAUAAUGCAAUUGUAUAUGACAAAUUAUCUAUCUAACAAAUCUAUCAGAAAAAUAAUAUUAUAAUUAAAAAUUAAAAUUUCAAGCACGAAUUCUUAAAAUUUAAACAAUAAACAAAUAAACAUGAUCAAGAAUUAAGAAUAAAGUGGUAAAAAAACUUACUAGUUGAUGAGAAAACUAGUUGGCUUUCACACUUGCAUUCUCCGACACUACUACAAAACUACCCAAUAAUGUCAUUUUAAAACGACAAGAAAAACCCAUUUAUGUCGGAUAUUAGCAAAAAUCCGAUAGAAAUUCAUGUAAUGGUGGAUAAAAGAACCGACAACAUUGCUUGCAUCACGAAAGGGCUUUUGUUGUCGGCUAGUUCCCUUAAACCGCCAAGAAAAUGCAAAGUGCUUUAAAAUAAAAAAUGGACAGUAGUGUCGGAUAAAAAAACUAUAGCAUCAGAUACAAGCGACAUUGAAACUCCCGUUGGAUACAGGUGACAUUAAAUACUGAGAUAGACUGUCGAAUAAAGCAUGGUUUGUGUCACCCCUAACCGACAACACUAAUCAUUAAUAAAAAUAUAUAUAAAAAAACAUAUUUCAAUUUUGAAUAAAUAAAAUAAACAAAUAUUCUGUCGCUCAUAACAGACACCAUUAAAUAAAAUAAAAAUUAUUUUGCAUAAGAUAAAUCAAUUUUUUGUGGCCCCUAACCGACAGAAACACAAUUAAUAAAUUACAAAAAAAGUAUACACCAUAUGCAUAUAAAUUAAUAAUUAAUUAAUUAAUAACUAAAAUAAUAUUAAUAAUCAUAGCAAACACUAAUAAUUAUCAGCCAUAACAAAUUAACACUAAAUCCACCAUUACACAAUAUACAUAAUUAUCCACCAUAACAAAUUAACUCUAAAUCCACCAUUGCACAAUAUACAAAAUUAUCCGCCAUAAUAUAUAUUCAUAUAUAAAAGUUCGUUAAUUAUGUUUAUAAUCUUUUACUAAUUAUACAAUUUGUAAGAAAAAGAAAAAAAAUAUACCUACAUUCAACUUCCUUUUCAUCUUCCUUAAUCAAGCACCAAUCCUUCCUCUAAGGAAUAUUUUGAGGAUCAUUGGCCUCAAAAGCAAUAAACUUCGAAAAAUGGCCACUAUUCGAAUUUAUGCAUUUUCCGGUGGAAUCAAAUAAACAUUUUUGUUUUCCUAUCCAUUUUGGGAUUCCACAGCUCCGAGUUCUUUGUUGAGGCAUUGCUCCUUGUCAAUAAAAAAAAAAAAAAAACAUUUGUGAUUCAUAUUUAGAAAAACAAAACCUACAUAAAGGCUCUAAACAAAGACCAAUUUUCAAUUUAUGCAUAAUAUUUCAUAAUGUAUCUCAAGUCAAGAUUCAAACUACAAACUCAAUUUAAUAACAUAAUUAAAAUUUAAAACACAAACUAAACGUAAUACAAAAAAUUUAAAAUGUACUGGUUUCGAAAUGUUGCUCCUCGAAUUGUGCAUCCAUGGUGAUUGAAACAAGAAGGAGAAUGGGAGAAGAGAGGAAGAAGGAAAGAAGAAUGAGAGGAGAAGGAAAGGGGGAAGGAAUGCAACAUGAAAGAGAAGAAAUUGGGGAAAGGAGAAGCCAGUGACACAAGGAAGAGGGAAAAAGGUUUUAUUAUGUAGAAUUACUAGUAUUGUCGGUUAAAAUCGACAACAAUCUUUUUUGUGUAAAGAAUACAAAAAAAUUAUCCGAUACACUUUCCUCUUGCUGUCGGAUAAAACCAACAUCACUCUUUCCCAUGUAAAGAAUGGCGAGAAAUAUCCCGCCCAAAAUUCCCUCCCAAAAUUUUGUCACAAUUUAAAAAAUAAAAUAAUAAUUGUUUGGUUUAAUAUAAUACAUAUUUAAAUAGAAUACGUUUUUAAAAAAUAAAUAAAUAAUUAUUUGGUUUAAUAGAUAAUAGAUAAUAACCCAUGUAAAAUAUACUUUAAAGAAACAAAAAGAUAAUUGUACAAUGAAAAUGUCAUCACACAAACUAAAUAUUGUCUAAUCAAUACUUCAAAAACAUAUAUAUAAAUUUAGCACAAAUUACUUUUCCCACUUCAAAAUGUGGGCACAAAUUUAACAGAGAUAUGAAUUCUACGAAACUAGUUUCAACGAUCUGACAGUCAAAACUUGUUUGUCUAUACUACAAGAUCGCAUACAUCAAAAUCGCAAAAAAAAAAUAAAUUCAGAGAUUAGGUAGCGGAACAAAAAAUUUUGACAAUUAUAAAUGAAAAAUCACGAUUUAACAGUUAUUUUAGCUCAGAUUUUGAUGAUUUUUUACAGCUACACUCCACAACCCUAUAAGAAUGCAAUGAAUGAAUUCGAUCUUCAAUUUAAAAUAUUUACACUAGUGGAUACCACAAAAUCUUAGUUUAUACUUAAUGGAAGUAUAACAUUAACUCUAAGUGCUUGUUUAAUCUACUGUUUUUACACGAUACACAUUCUAUGAAACCUAUUUCAACGAUCCAACCGUCAAACUUAUUUGUAAACACUCUGAGAUCACAUACGUAAUAAAUCCCAACAAACAAACAUUCAGAGAUUAAGAAACCAGAUAAAAAUUGACGGUUAUAAAAAAAAAAUCACAUUUUAACAAUUAUUUUAGCUCUGAUUUUAAUGAUUUUUUACAGCUACCCUCCUCGACCCUGUAAGAAUACAAUGAAUGAAAUCGAUCUUCAAUUUAAAAUAUUGCACUAGUGGAUACCACAAAAUAUUAUGUUGUACUUAUUAGAAGUAUAAAAUAAACUUUUAAGUAUUUGUUAAAUCUAUCAAUUUGAUGGGAUAUGCAUUCUACGAAACUAGUUUCAGGGAUCCAACUGUCAAACAUGUUUGUAUAUACUCCUAGAUAGCAUACGUAAAAAAAUUUCAAAAAAAACAAAAAAGAGACAUUCAGAGAUUAGGUAACGAAACAUAAGUUUUCGACGGUUAUAAGCGAAAAAUCAUAAUUUAACGGUUAUUUUAGCUCCAAUUGAUGAUUUUUUACAGUUAUACUCCUCAACCUAUAAGAAUGUAAUGAAUGAAUUUUAUCUUCAAUUUGAAAGAUUUACACUAGUGGAUAGCACAAAUUUUUAUUUUAUACUUAAUGUUUAUGUAAUCUACCCUUUUGACGCGACACACACUCUAUGAAUCUUUUUUCAACGAUCCAACUAUCAAACUUAUUUGUACACACUCUAAGAUCGAAUACAUAAAUAAUCGCAAAAAACAAACAUUCAAAUAUUAGGUAACGGAACAAAAAAUUUCGACAGUUAUAAACAAAAAAUCACAAUUUAAUGAUUAUUUUAGCUCUGAUUUUGAUGAUUUUUUACAGCUACACUUCUCGACUUUGUAAGAAUACAAUGAAUGAAUUCAAUCUUCAAUUUAAAAUAUUGCACUAGAGAUACCACAAAAUUUUAUGUUGUACUUAUUGGAAGUAUAAAAUAAACUCUUUUAGUAUUUGUUAAAUCUAUCAAUUUGAUGGGAUAUGCAUUCUAUGAAACUAAUUUCAAUGAUCCAACUGUCAAACAUGUUUGUAUAUAGUCCGAGAUUGCAUACGUAAAAAUCGCAAAAAACAAAUAUUAAGAGAUUAGGUAACGGAACAAAAAAUUUCAACGGUUAUAAACGAAAAAUCACAAUUUAACGAUUAUUUUAACUCUGAUUUUAUGACUUUUAACAGCUACACUCCUCGACCCCUGUAAAAAGACAAUGAAUGAAUUCGAUCUUCAAUUUAAAAUAUUGCACUAGUGAAUACCAUAGAAUCUUAUGUUGUACUUAUUGGAAGUAUAUAGUUGCUCUUAAGUAUUUGUUAAAUCUAUCAAUUUGAUGAGAAAUGCAUUCUAUGAAACUAGUUUCAGCAAACCAAUUGUCAAACAUGUUUGUAUAUACUCCUAGAUAGCAUGCGUAAAAAUUUGCAAUAAAACAAAAAGAAAGACAUUCAAAGAUUAGGUAAUAGAACAAAAGUUUUCGACGGUUAUAAACAAAAAAUCACAAUUUAACAGUUAUUUUAACUCUGAUUUUGAUGAUUUUUUACAGCUACACUCCUCGACCCUAUAAGAAUAUAAUAAAUGAAUUCGAUCUUCAAUUUGAAAUAUUUACACUAGUGGAUAGCACAAAAUUUUAUUUUAUACUUAAUGGAAGUAUAACAUUAACUUUAAGUGUUUGCUUAAUCUACCCUUUUGACGUGACACGCACUCUAUGAAACUUUUUUCAACGAUCUAACCGUCAAACUUGUUUGUACACACUCUGAGAUCGAAUACCUAAAAAGUCACAAAAAACAAACAUUCAGAUAUUAGGUAACAGAACAGAAAAAAAUUGACGGUUAUAAACAAAAAGUUACAAUUUAACAGUUAUUUUAGCUCCGAUUUUGAUGAUUUUUUUUACAGCUACACUCCUCGAACUUGUAAGAAUAUAAUGAAUGAAUUUGUUCUUCAAUUUAAAAUAUUGCACUAGUGAUACCACAAAAUCUUAUGUUAUACUUAUUGUAAGUAUAAAAUAAACUCUGAAGUAUUUGUUAAAUCUAUCAAUUUGAUGGUAUAUGCAUUCUAUGAAACUAAUUUUAACGAUCCAAUAGUCAAACAUGUUUGCAUAUAGUCCGAGAUUGCAUACAUAAAAAAUCGCAAAAAACAAACAUUCAGAGAUUAGAUAACGGAACAAAAAAUUUCAACGGUUAUAAACAAAAUAUCACAAUUUAACGGUUAUUUUAACUCUGAUUUUGGAGAUUUUUAACAGCUACACUCCUCAACCCUGUAAAAAUACAAUGAAUGAAUUCGAUCUUCAAUUUAAAAUAUUGCACUAGUGAAUACCACAGAAUCUUACGUUGUACUUAUUGGAAGUAUAUAAUAGCUCUUAAGUAUUUGUUAAAUCUAUCAAUUUGAUGGGAUAUGCAUUCUACGAAAUUAGUUUCAACGAUCCAACCAUCAAACAUGUCUAUAUAUACUCCAAGAUAGCAUGCGUAAAAAAUCGCAAAAAAAAAAAAAAAAAACAAUUCAGAGAUUAGGUAAAUGGGACCCAAAAUUUUGACAGUUAUAUAAAAAGAUCACGAUUUAACGGUAAAUUUAGCUCCAAUUUUGAUGAUUUUUUAUGGAUACACUCCUCGACUCUAUAAGAAUACAAUGAACAAAGUCGAUCUUCAAUUUAAAAUAUUUACACUAGUGGCUACUUAAUCAAUUAAAAUUACGUAGUUUUUUUAGGGCUUCUAGUUCCUCAUAAAUACAUAUCACAUCUUACAACAGCUAACCACCCUAAAAAAUAGAGAAAUUACUGUCGACGACCACUUGUUGCCCUGGGGAAUAAACAAUUACUUCUGACCAUUUAAACAUGCUCUUGAAAAAAAAUAUAACUAUAGUAAAAAGAAAUUAAAAAAACAAAAGGUUAUCAAAAUUAUGCUUAUCUAAUCGUGAUUAUUCAUUAAAUUAAGUUUUGUACAUCUUCUUACCAAUUAUAGCGAAAAAAUAUAUUAAUUUAACAUAAAUAAAUAUUUAUUAGACAAAAAAAACAUAAAUAAAUAUUUAUUCGACCAAAAAAAAAACAUAAAUAAAUAUUUAUGUUAUAUUAAAUAUUAACUAGUUUACGAAUAUAUUUAAUUGACCAUCUUCCCAGUCUUGUGCAUAGGACAUCUCGGUCUUGGGUUCGAAGGGGGUGUGCUUCUGCCGUUGCCUUUGAAUGUAAUUAACAAAACAUAAAUAUUUGAAAAUUUGAAAAUAAUAUAAUAUAAUCCGAUAGAAUUAGCAUAAAAAAUUUAAAAAUAUUUGUGUCGAAUAUAACCGUCAAAGUUAGUAUAAAAAUUUUGAAAAUGUUUGUCGGAUAUAUCCGCCAGAGUUAGUAUAAAAAUUUGAAAAUAAUAUAAUAUUGUCAGACAGAUUACUUACUCAUGUCGGCUAAGUAACAUCCCACAUCGCCCAAGGGAGUGAUCCUUAAAUGUAUAUUCUCAUCUCUACCAAGCACGAGGCCUUUUGGGAGCUCACUGGCUUCGGGUUCCGUCAGAACUCCAAAGUUAAGCGAGAAGGUGACCAGAGCACUCCCAUGAUGGGUGACCCACUGAGAAGUUGCUCGUGAGUUCCCAAAAACAAAACCGCGAGGGAAUGGUAAGCCCAAAGCGGACAAUAUCGUGCUACGGUGGUGGACCCGGGCCGGGAUGUGACAGGCUAUAUCCUCCAGAUUUGGUUAAAAUUAUUUAAAAAAGAAAUCUGGUGGAGUUAAGGGCCCGCUUCAUUAUUCUUGUCAGAAAGUAGUGAAGUAAUGUCGGAUAUAUCUGACACUCAUGUCUUAUGUCGGAUGUAAUGACCUGUUCCUAAAAAUUAUGAUUUUUAUAAUUUUAAUACGUGGGAUUACGAAAAUGCCCUUCGAGGCAAAUACGUUGACUUAUGUUGACCACCUUGUUGUGUCAUGUAAGGUUCAUUUUCUUAGCGUAUUCAAGUACUACUUGUCGAUAUGAGCUCGUGGGCGCAAACAAAAUGUAAUUUGGAGUUGUAAUGAAGAUUCUACGAACUUUUAAAAGUCAAGGGCAUUUUAGUAAUUUUCCAUUUGAAACACAUGUUGUAUCUGGAGUAGUGUGCCAUGUGGGACCCACAGAUUGGUCCCUAAUCUUCUGGAACUCUCCUUCGCUUCUUUCUCUCCCGUGACUCUCUUCUCUCUCAUAGCUCUCAUUCUCUCACUCUCUUUCGGCUCCAUUUCUUCCCGUGGAAACCAAACCAACACCAGUCAUUUUUCCAGCGAAUUAGACCCUGAAAUCAUAAUCAUGUCCCUAGCACCCUUGGAAUUGUGAAUCCAUUUAAAGGUUUGUAGAAUCUUCGUUACAACUCCAAAUUACAUUUCAUUUGUGCUCACGGGCUAAUGUCGACCAGUACUACCCCGAAUACGCCAAGAAAAUGAACCUUACAUAACACGACAAGGUGGUCAACAUAAGUCAACGUAUUUGCCUCGAAGGGCAUUCUCGUAAUCCUCUUUAGGGACGGGUCAUUACAUCGGAUAUAAGCGCAACAGUACUUUGUUAUCCGACACUAGUUAAACAUGCUGUCGGAAAUAUUUUAUUCGACAUUAAUCGUAUAAAACUGCCACCACUCUCCGACACAUUAAGCCAAUUUUGUAAUAGUGCGGAGACAUAGCCUUCUAGAAAAAUUGGCUAAUGUGCCUUCAAAGCUAAAAUGUACAACGACAAACGAGUUAGGAAACGUGUAAGUAGAUGUUAAAAUGAAUAAAACAAUAAAACUAAUAAUUAUGAGACUAAGUCAAUCCCUUCUCAUUUAGUGUAAAUAAUAUUGCUUGUUAAGAAGAACAAAAAACCUAAUAAUUACUUACUCCUAGAAAGCCUAAAACCGUAUGAUUUGAAUUGUAUUAAAAUUUUUAAAGUUAAUAAUUCCUCUCUAGAAUCUAGGAACCGUAAGAGUUUUGAAUUAAUUAAAAUAAUGUUAAUAAUUAUGUUUUUAUUCAUUAACAGACUUGUGCGUUAAUAUAUUGGAUGGAUUAUUACAACUAAAAAUAAAUAAAUAAAUAGUCCAAAUGACUAGUAUUUUUAAGCUCAAAUAACUCUUCCUACGUUAAAGCCCGCCUCAGCAUUGUUAGUGACUCCGCCGUUGGGUAGGUCGCAACUUGCAGUGGUUUUGGACUUUGUUUAAUAGGUAGAAGUCUAAAACUCCGAUAUUUGCCUUACAUACAGAGGUGGAGGACAAUUCAACAUCCGACAGCUAGCCAGCCAGCCAGCCAGCCAGCCAGCAAGCCAGCAAGCCAGCGGAUAAUUGGUGCGUAUAUAACUUAUAAGUGAUUGAUUAAAAAUAUUGUGAUUGUUCUAGAAAGUAAUUCUAUAUAAUGCCCCCACCCUCACGACGACAAAUAGAAUUUCUUUUCUACGUCUUAAUUAUUAUUAAAUUUUUUAAUGCAUGCAACCGGCCCAGAUCUUCUACAACAAACUUCUUUAUUGGUUGCCUACUUAUUCCCUUAUAUUUUUUGAACAAAUAAUAUUAUCUAUACUAAUAAAGAGAAUAGAGAUUUAGCUUUACAAUAAACUAAUCAUAAUAAGAUUCCUCACUUACAAGUGAACAAGAAUAUCACUAUACUGUAGUACUAAGUAGCCCAUGAUAUAUGUAAUAUAUAUAAUUUUGCUACACUGAAUUAUUAAUUUAAAUAAUUUUGCUACAUUGGUCGCUUAGUACUAUAGUCUAGUGAUAUUUUUCUUCACUUGUAAGUGAGAGUUUUAGGUUCGACUCUUGCCAAAGGCGAAUUUGAACCAAAUUAUUGCUAGCCUAUUGUGAGACUAAACCCACGCCUCCUUAGUUUAGAUAAUAUCAUUUGUUCAAAAAAAAAAAUUUACUACACUGAAUUAUUUGUUUAAAUAGAUUUGUUGAUUGAAUAAUAUAGUUCUACAACUGAUUUUAGGACACACGUAAUGUAUUUUUUCAAUAAUAUAGUUUUGCUAGAUUGAAUAAUUAAUUAAGGAUAAUGCUUGUGUAGAGACUUGCUUGUUCCCACUUACGAUUAACAAACUUACACCAUCCAAAUAUUAUAAAUGGAAAGUUCAAUUUCUUUAUCAUCAUGUAAUGAUCAUAUGUAUGCAAAUUAAAGAUCUUCUAGUCAUUCAUAUGCAUAAAAUAAAUGGACGGUUCAUCAUGAGGAUGCUACUUGUUACCAAAAUCAUUGAUUGAUUUAACAUGUAUGGAUGACUAAACUGCUAAACUUUAUAGACCCAUGCAAGUUUACCCAAUAUCCUUAAUAUUUCCCCAACUUAACCACCUAUUACAAUGUCUUGGGUUUUAUCACAAAAGACUUUGGUAAUAUUAGGGGCUGAAAAUUCCAUAUGUUAAUAGUAUCGUUUUUUUUUUUUUUUUUUUGGGUUCCUCAUAUGACCGAUGUAGGUUCCUAUUCUCCAAUAAGCCUCCCUCACGAAUGGCCAUACAACAUUGGGCCACAAGGGAAACCAAUUCCCACAUAGGAAAUUGGUCAAGUCAUUAAACCGGAACUAAAGCUAAUGUUUUCGAGGGCUUGGUCAGUUUAUAUUCAGUCUCUGGAGCCAACGCCAAUCUUUUCGAAGGCCUAGUCAUUUAGUUGCCUUAACUGGAGCUAGCACAUCUUUUCUUCAAAAACCAUGUUCGGGCCCAAUAACUCGGCCCCAAAACGUGUCGAGAAAAUAGCCUACACUGAUACCAUCUUAAAUUUGGGUUUAAUUCUUCAAUUGUAUUCUUUUGACAAAGGAAGGCAAAUAUAUAUAAUACAAAUUUGACUUACAAGGCAAGUAAUAAAACCUAUACUAAUUACAAGGAAUCAAACGGGUGAAAAUCCCGCUAAUUACUACAUAUAGUCAAUUCACGCCAACAUAAAUUAUCUCCAAAUUAAAUAAUUUUUUACAUGUAUGAUCUUUAGAUGAUGAUAAAGAGAAUAUGAACAGUUCCCUUUAUAUGAUAUUUGGACGAUAAAAGUUUGUUAAUCGUAUGUAAGGGCACAAAGAAGUCCUCCCAUGAACAGACACAAACAUUUAUCCAUUAAGUUAAAAUAGUUUUGCUAUGCCAUUGACUACUAUAAUCUGGUUGUAUUCCUCUUUUCUUGGAAGUAAGAGGUUUUAGGUCCGAAUCUCGUGGAUGACGAAUUCGAUACCAAAAUAGAUUGCCCAUUGUAUAGCUUAGCCAAACUCCCAUUCCCCUUAGUGUAAAAAUAUCAAUGUACUAAAAAAAAAAAAAAAGUUUUUCUAUGCGUAAAAUUUCUGUUGACAGUUCUGAAUUGAAUUGGAGACCUAAAACCGUAUGUUUUUGAAUUGAAUAAAACAAUGAAAAUAUUAAAAGUUAGUGGUUACUCUCUAGAAUCUAGGAACUGUAUAGGUUUUGAAUUAAUUAAAAUAAUUUUAAUAAUUAUAUUUUAUUCACUAACACUUCUCUGUACAUAUUGGGUGGGCUACAAUUAAAAAUAAAAAAAUUGCCCAAAUAACUAGUAUUUUAAAGUUUAAAAAACUAAGACUCUCCCUAUGCUAAAGCCACUUCAGCCUGUUGGUAGCUCCGCCGUUGAUUCGAAGCUACAUGAUACUAUCCUUCUUUGACUAGAGACAAGUUACGUAAUCGAAGACUGCAAUCCGACUCUUAUAAAUACCAUGCAUAACUCCUCACUCUUUAAUCACAUUGCACAACGAUAAGGGGAGACAGUGAGACACUGAUUUUAUCCAGGAGUUGGUUUUGAUUAAUAUUCUCACUUAGUUAACCCAAUAGCCUGUAAUUAAUGGGGUCGUCACCAAUCUCCCUACUGUUUCAGGUAAAAAGAUUGGAGCCAGAACUUGUAACACCGGCAAGUCCAACACCUUGUGAGCAAAAGAUACUCUCAGAAAUAGAUAACCAAGAAGCCCUUAGGUGUCAAACUCCAUUUAUAUGGUCUUACACCAGCAACCCUUCUUCGAAAGAAAUCGACCCCGUUCAGGUAAUUCGGGAUGCCCUAAGUAGAUCAUUAGUGUAUUACUACCCUUUAGCUGGUAGGGUUAGGGAAGGGCCUAACAAAAAGCUUAUGGUAGACUGCAAUGGAGAAGGUGUCUUGUUCAUAGAGGCCGAGGCUGAUGUCACACUCGAGCAGCUCGGAGACACCCUUCAACCCCCUUGUCCACUCUUGGAGGACUUCCUGUAUGAUGUUCCAGGCACAAAUGACAUUGUUGGCACGCCUUUGCUGUUAGUUCAGGUGACUACGUCGACUUCAUUAGUUCAUUCAUGCAUGUAAUCAAUUAAUGUGUACGUUUGGAUUUAAUUUAAUUAACUACUCCCUCUAGAUACCUUAAAUAGAAGAGCAUGUGCAAGCAUAUAUAUAUAUAAGGGUGUGUGUGCUAUCCACACAUCUCAUUUUACUUAUCACACACCUUUUGAUAAUUUUUGUCCGUUGAUAUUCGUCAAUUCAUCUGAUCUGACGGUUGAAAAUUAAAAAGGUGUGUGUGAAGUAAAAUGAGGUGUAUGGAUAUUACACCCUUAUAUAUAUAUAUAUAUAUAUAUAGAGAGAGAGAGAGAGAGAGAGAGAGAGAGAGACUCUGUAAUGCAUGUACUGAUAAGAUUAGUUAGUUAGGGUAUACAUAAUAGCUCUGCAAAAUAAAAUAAUUUUGAAUUAAGACACUAAUCUUAGCAAUCUAUUCCACUACUCCUAAAUGUAAUUAUAUUGUUAAAGAUAUUAAUAAAUUUGGAUAGGCUAAAACCAGAUCUAACAUGAGAAUUAAAAUAAUUAUGAUAGGAAACAAAGAAAAAAAAAACUCCAAAACAGUUGGAAAUUGGCCGAUUUCUUUAUUUAUGUUAUGUAUUAUUUUGUCAUUUAGUGCUUAAAGAACUUUACCUUAAAAAAAGUGCUUAUAGAACUUUGGCUCUCUUUAGGAUUAAUUUUUGGUUUUAAAGUAAUUGUUUAUUCAAUAUUAUGGUGUCAUCUUUUUAUUUUUAUUUUUAUUUUUAUGGUGUCAUCUUUUGGUAUUAAAGUAAUUGUUUAUUCAAUACUGGCAUAUGGGCACACACAAAGUGUGUGGGAAUAUUUUUUUUUUUUUUUUUGAAAUAGAAGGAAAGAGGAAGAGAGUGAUAGAAAAUGUGGGAGUGGGAAGGGUUUUUUUUUUUUUUUUUAAUUAGAGAUAUGUUAUGAUUACAUGUUGGUGAGGUUUUGAAAAAAAAAUGGUUGUGUGAAAUUAUACUUCUGCCCCAUAUUUCUUAUUCAUGUUCUAUUUUAAUUAAAGGGUUAAACUGGUAAUUUCAUAGGAUUUUGGUUGACAAUGGGUGUUUUAUUAAUUAGUAGAGAUUAUGGUGUCAUCUUUUUAUCUUAUUUUUAUGGUGUCAUUUUAUGGUGUAUUCGAAUUAUAUAAGUAAAUUUAUUUUUUAUUAGUUACUAGGUACCCUAUAAUUAGUUCUAAGGGGACCUUUAAGAGAAGGGAUAUCCAGUUUUUUUUAUUUUUUUUAUUUUUUAUAUUAUAUUAUAUAUAUAUAUAUAUAUAUAUAUAUAUAUAUAUAUAUUUUUAAUGGGGAUUAGUUGUGGGAUUCACACUACAUUAGACUUCAACGAACCGAACCGUCUAUUUUUCAAGUUGCACAUCAUAAAUUAUUCUUGCAAUACAUUAGCCAAAUUGGAAAUAUUUGAGAAAUAUAAUUAAGUUCAAAUAAAUUGACGAACACUUUGUUUUAAAUAAAAUAAUCGUGAUAAUUAAAUAGGCAAAUAGUUUUGGAUUGAGUUGAAUUUUUGUAAGGAUGAUCUAUCAAUCGAGACUUACAAAAUAAACGAUUUGAAUUGUUGAAGUUCAAUGUGGAGUGGGUCCCACAAUUAAUCUCCAUUUUUUGAAAAAAUGAGGAUCAUUUCCCUAAAGGGUCUGUAAGUCUAAUAUAUGUGUUAUUUUGUAAGAAUAUAUAUCAUAAAUCAAUUAUACAAUGCGAAGGGAUCGAUUUCAGUUCCACGCCAUAAUUUUUCUGUGUAAUUGAUAAAAAAUUGUCUGUAAUCAAUUUAGGUGACCCGUCUGAAAUGUGGAGGUUUCAUAUUUGCAAUGCGCUUGAACCACACGAUGUUUGAUGCACUUGGGCUUGCUCAGUUCUUGAACGCAGUUGGGGAGAUUGCACGAGGUGCACAUGCACCAUCAAUCCCACCUAUUUGGGAACGAGAACUCUUGAAUGCCCGAGAGCCGCCACAGGUUACGUAUAUGCAUCACGAGUACGGGGACGAGAAUGAAUCUCAGGCAGGCUCCGUCAUUGCGUCCGUGGAUCAGCCAGACCUCAUCCAGCGGUGUUUCUAUUUCAGUCCUAAGGGGAUAAGGUCUGCUAGGAAACAUCUUCCACCAAACCUUAGCAACACUUGCUCCACAUUUGAGUUGAUAACAGGGUGCUUAUGGAAAUGCCGAACAAUUGCACUUGCAAUGAAUCCGAACGAGGCUGUUCGAGUUUCGCUAGUCGUCAAUGCACGUGGAAAGCGCAACAAUCUCAAUGUUCCUUUGGGAUUCUAUGGCAAUGCAAUUGGAUUCCCGAGUGUGAUUUCAACAGCCGAACUCUUGUGUAACAGUCCACUGGAAUACGCGGUGCAGCUGGUGAGGGAGGCAAAAAAUAAGAUGAAUGAAGACUACAUAAAAUCAGUGGCAGAUCUUUUGGCAUUGAGAGGAUGGCCUCCACUUACAUUGGCAGGGAAUAACUUCAUACUUUCGGAUAACACGCGCACCGGUGUGGGAGAGGUAGAUUUCGGAUGGGGAAAGCCAAUAAUUGCCGGACCUGCCAAGUCCGUCAAUUUGAUCAGCUUUUAUGUUCGGGACAGUAAUCAAGAAAAAGAUUAUGGAAUUCUGGUACCAAUGUGCUUACCUUUCUGGUGUAUGGAGAAGAUUGAGCAGGAGCUAAAAAGGAUAACUAUGGAGCCUGUGGAGGUUAUAUCGAAACAAGAUUCAAACACUUGCCUUGCUUAAUUACGUGUUGCUGGAUUUUUACAUAUUUGGGUUAUGCUAAUUUCUCUUAGUUUUUUUUUUUUUUUCUUUUAAUUUUAUUUUCUACAAUAUACACAAAUAGAAAUCAAUAAGGAGAUAGGGAGCCAAGGCUUCUCUUGGUAGGUAGGGGGUUGCUGCAGGGCCGGCCCUUAGAAAAUGGGGGUCAUAGGCGAGCCUUCGAGUGGGGGCCCUAAAGUUCUUUGACACCCAACUCAUUGUACAUUUAUAUGUAUAAGAAAAUGUUUCGCUAAAUACAUGAAAAAGUUCAUUUCUACAUAAAAAAUCAUUAGAAUUCAUAUCCAAAGAAGAAAGAUAUGCAAAAAUUACUUAAAUAUUACUCGUCUCGCGUUUUUAGAUGCAAAUGUAUUAAUUAAGUUUACAUAACUAAAAUUCAAUAUUCUGUAAACAACAAAUUGACAAAGAAACAAACUAAAAUUCAAAUUUUACCUACUACCCAACACAAAAGUUUGAUACAAAUGACACAACACAAAACGAGGUGCAUGAAAAAUACAGUAAAAUUUAAUAUCGAAACUUCGAAUUAUCUUGAACCAAAACUAGUUAGGAAGCAAAAGUAAACAACCUUGUUAAGUGCACCCAUAAUCCCUUUAUCUUCUCGAAGGGAUUUAACCACUUUAUUAAGUGCAUCCACAAGUUUGAAUACUUUGAUUUCGCAUAAACAAUAUGCAUUAAAAUAAACAAAUCAUAAACCCUAGAAUCGAAAAUCCUAAUUAUAUUUACAAACGCAACACUCACAAAUUAAAUUAUAGAAAAAGAAGCAGGAGAGAAGAGAAGCAUUGAUCGGGUACCUGACCUCUGUAAGUGGAGUGGGAAAGAACCGGUUCGCAGGCGCAGACUUGCUACCAAUAUGCUGUGCGUUAAAUUCCAAAAAAAAGAAGAAGUUGAAUUGGUGCUGAAGUUUCACCCCACCCAAGACACUUUGUACGCCAAGUUUCAAGACAAUUAUGUGAUUUUAUAUUUAAAUAUUUUAUUAAAUUCAAACUCUAAAAAUAUAUUUAUAUAUGUUAUAUAUAUACACACUUAUUUAAAAAGAAAUAUUUUUGGGGCCCCCCCACCCAAAACGCUGCACGGCAAGUUCCAAAAAAAUAUUUAUAAUUUCAUAUUUAGAUAUUUUACUCAAACUACAAAAUUAUAUAUAUAAAUAUAUAUAGAAAAUUAUGAUUGGCACUCUAAAAUUCUCAUUCUACAUUCCAAACUUUCUAUAUUUAGAAAGAAAAAUACACUUGUGAAGAGUAUAUGAUGAGAUUUUUAGAGUGCCAAUAAUACUUCCCUAUAUAUAUAAAAAAAAUUAGGGGGUCCCCUCCGAAGUGGGGACCCUAGGCGGUCGCCUACUCGGGCUACCCUCAGGGCCGACCCUGGGUUGCUGUAAACAAAGAUUGAAUAAUAAUAUAAUUGAACCAUAUAUUUUCACAAAGGAAAAUAUAAAUAAGAAAAGAGGGAAGAAAAAAAACUCUACAACCCACUCAGAGUCUAGAACUCUCCCAAAACUCACGUUCUCCACUCAAAGUGACGGCCUCCUUUGAACCUCUCCACUCUGCAAAGUAACUUUCACCCAAACCACGGCAAGGAGAAGGGGUACACGGCAAGAGGAGGAACAAAGGGAGGAGGAAAAACAAAAAGCAAAAAAGCAAGAGAAAAGCAGAGGGGAAUGCCUAUAAAUGGCACUAAGCCAAAGCAAAUUUUUUUUUUUGGGAGGGGGGGAGGGGGGGUAGGAAAGGAAAACAAGCCAGACAAAACCACGGCAAGAGGAGGAACAAAAGGACUUGGAUUCUCUGCCCUCCCAAUUCGGUGCCCUCUCUGUGCCCUCCUGUUUGUGUGGUCACGGUUAAGCCACGUCAAUAUUUUAUAUUACUAUUUUUUUUUGUCUUAUUAUUUUUAUAAAAAACAAUAUAAAAUGUUAGCAUGGAUUAACCGUAAUCACACAAAACAGAAGGGUACGGAGAGGACAUCAAAAUGGGAGGGCAGAGAAUCCAAGUCUGGAACAAAAGGAGGAGAAAAAGCAAAAAGCAUAAAAAGCAAGAGAAAAACAGAGGGGAAAAGCACGGCAAAGGAGAAGCAACAAACAUUAAAAAGUGUUAAGUUUAUUCCUUUUUUAAUCUCGUUGUCUGUCUCUUUUUCCUUGUUUUUGCAGAGAAAGAAGCAAAGAAAUGGACUGAGAAUCCUCUCUCCAGAUUAUUGAUGAGUAAAUUUUAUAUUAUAUAUUUACCCUAAUCUUAGUAUAUUUUGGUUAAUAUAUUGGAAGAAUUUGAUACUUUGAAUUGUAUUUUUAAUAUAGGACUUUCGACUUCCUCUGGAACAAAACAGGACCAAAUGGACGAAUUUUGGAGUAAUUCCAGUUGGAGGACGUUCGUGAGUCACUUAGCUUGAUCGUAUCAAAAUUUUGGAUUUUUCCACCAAACGGUUAUUUUCUGGCGAUAAAAUAAAGAAGCAGUGCGUAGUGCUGGAAAAUGACGUUUUUUGGCUUAAAUUGCGUUUUUGGAGCCCAAGAUGACCUCGGAUGGGUUCGUGGCCUUCUGGAGAAGUGUUCAGAAUAUUCUAAGCAUUAAAUCCAGCUAUAUUGGGCCAGUUUUGGAGUAGCUUAUGGGUCCAAAACGUGGCUGUUCAGAUUUUGGACGAAUUUUACCAUUUUAAUUUAGGGUUAUGUUUUUUUUUAUGGGGGAUUAGGGUUUGUGUGGUGGCUUAGAAAAUAUAUUGCUUGGCCGUCUACAGUUUUUGGACGAUGCUUUCUUUUAUGCAAUUUUGGAGACAGAGAGAAUUGUUAGGGUUUUGGAGACUUUUUACUUGAAGGUGCUUUCAAUCCUUUUCUUGAAUAUAUUUUUUAUGAUUUCAAUUAUGAAUAUGUGGAACUAAUUUCUUUUGCUAGGGCGAAGCCUUAGAGCAACUCCAGUGUAGGAGCCCUCCCCCCAGGCAAUUCACUAUUGAAUCCACCUAGUGAACAGUAAUUGCCCUUAAUAAAUAGUGCAUUCCCCUGGCAAUUGCCUUUUGCAUCUCCACCCCUGCACUGAAUAGCCCUGGCAAUUGGCAAUAAAAUAUUAGUAUUUUUUUAUUUAUAAAAUAAUACAUAAUAAUUUUAUUUGUAAUUUCGGAUAAGAUUUUUAAUCGUUCUCGUUGCGCCACGUGUCAUUAUCCGAAAAGCCAAUAGCAAUAAAAUUUUUGUAUUUUUGUAUUUAUAAAAUAAUUCAAAAUAAUUAUAUUUGUUAUUUCGGAUAAGAUUUUUAAUCGUUCUCGUUGCGCCACGUGUCAUUAUCCGCAAAGAAAAUUAUUGGUGAUGGAUUUCCGAUAAGAUUUUUAAUCGUUGUGUCAAGGCACGUGUCAUUAUCUGAAAAGACAAUUAUUGGUGAUGGAUUUCUGAUAAGAUUUUUAACCAAUCACGUCGUGCCACGUGUCACAAUCCGAUUACAAUCUUUGAGGAUAGAUUUCCACCAGAUUUUUAACGAAUGACGGCAUGCCACGUGGCAUUAUCUACAACCUAAUCCCUUCUGAAUCCUCCAUAUAAUCCCCCAUCCAUCCUCAUAAAUCUCACACCAAUUUUCUCAAGAUCUCUAUCAUUAUUCAUAGUUUCUGCUUCCUUCUUCGCCAAAAUCCCUAUCAUUAUUCAUAGUUUUUUCUUCCUUCUUCACCAAAAUCCCUAUCAUUAUUCAUAGUUUCUGCUUCCUUCUUACAAUGUCUUCUUCUUCUUCUUCAAAGAUGAUGUGGGAAAUCGAGCAAGAAGAGGAAGAAUUGUUUAACCAAUCACAAGGAAUGUUCAAUGUUGGGGAUUGGGCCCAAAAUGAGAUGGAAGAGGAUGACGAGCGUAGACGGAGAGAUGACGAAUCAAGAAUGGCAGGAGCCUCACAAUCCCGUCGAGUCGUCCAAGCUGUGGCUCAUAUCUGCAGGCCCAACCGUGCUGUAAACAGUGAUAGAAACAGGCAACGACGAGGUCAGGAGCUCUUGGACGAUUAUUUUGUCCGUAACAGUGCAUUCCCUGAUACAUACUUCCGACGUCGUUUUAGAAUGGAACGACAUUUGUUCAACAAAAUCAUGGGCGCUGUUUGCAACCAUGAUUCUUACUUUGUGCAAAAGCCGGAUGCUUUUGGUGCUAUGGGUCUCCUGCCUCAGCAAAAAAUUACUGCUGCCUUGCGGAUGCUUGCAUAUGGAGCAGCUGCAGACCAAGUGGACGAGAUAACGAGGAUGGGACAAUCAACCAUUUUUGAGUCCCUCAUGAGGUUUUGUUCGGCAAUCGAAUCUAUCUACACCGCAGAGUACCUCCAGAUACCUACUCAUAUGGACUUGCAAAGGCUUCUGAAGAAAGGCGAGAUGCGAGGUUUUCCAGGGAUGAUUGGAAGCAUUGAUUGUAUGCACUGGACUUGGAAAAACUGUCCAAGUGCAUGGCAAGGCGCUUAUGGGGACAGAAAAGGAUCAAAAAGUAUCAUUUUAGAGGCGGUGGCAUCUUUUGAUACAUGGAUUUGGCACGCCUUUUUCGGGGUUCCGGGAGCUCAAAAUGACCUCAACGUCCUUGCCCAAUCCCCAGUGUUCAACGAUGUCCUGCAAGGAAAGGCACCAAAAGUCACGUAUGAGGUCAAUGGACGUAUGUACGACGGGCCAUACUACCUAGCUGAUGGCAUUUACCCAAGGUGGUCAACAUUUGUCAAAACAGUGCCACGUCCGCGCAGUGCAAAGGAAAAACACUUUGCAAGAUGUCAAGAAGGGUGCAGGAAGGAUGUGGAGCGUUGUUUCGGUAUCCUCCAAGCUCGCUGGGCGAUCAUCAGGGGUGCUGCCAGAUUGUUUGAUGUAGAGUCGCUUCGAUCCAUCAUGAUGACGUGCAUCAUUCUUCACAACAUGAUUGUGGAAGAUGAGUACGAUUAUGAAGCCGUUGAUGAAUAUGAGCCAGACACGAUGAACAAUUCAAGAACACGUAUAUAUUGUGCUCAUGACGCCACCGAUGAGCCCGUGCAACAUGAGCCAUUAGAAAGGGAUGGACGUUACAAUGAAAGGAUCAUCCAACGAUAUACUUCACUUCAAAGGUCAAAUAUGCACAAUGCCCGCCAACUUGACUUGAUAGAGCACCAGUGGGAAUUGAGGGGUGCUGACGAUACUUAAGUUCAUUAGUGUUUGUUUUUAUUUGGUGUGUUUAUUUUAUUUUAUGUGGUGUGUUUUUUUAGUUCAUUUAGUGAGUUGAAAUGUAAUUUUAUUUUAUUUGGUGUUUGUUUUUAUUUGGUGUGUUUUUUUGGUGUGUUGAUGUUAUUUUAUUUGGUGUGUUUAAAUGUGUUUUGAAUAAAGUACUAAGUUCAAUAAAUUGGAAACAACAUAAAGUACUCUAUUCAAUGAAUAAGAAAUUACAACCCGAAUAAGAAAUUACAACCCGAAUUGAUUGGAAAAUUAUGGGUUCGUGAAUGGAUGAUAACCAUCACCUAACCAAUUUGUGGUGCUAGGAUGAUCUUCUCUUGUCAUGCUAGGAUAAUCUUCUCUUGUGGUGCUAGGACCAUCUCCUCUUGCUCUCGCUUCUCUUGCACGCAUCCUUCGCACCACAUCCGCUUUCUCUGACUUCCAAAAAUAUUUAGAGUCUGGAGACUUCCCUUCUAAAGGCUCCUUCAUAAUGUCACGAUCUCGUUCAGCCAUUCUUUCUUCUCUUCUAUGUUCCCUUUCUUGCCGAAGUAGUUCUCUUUCUCUCUCAUCAGCUUCAAAUUUUCUCUCAAAAGCUGCAGCUUUUGCAUCCUCUCUAGCCUUAUCAGCCUCAAAUUUAGCCAUUUCCCGGGCCAAAUUCAAUUCACCUUGGCGGGCAAGAUCUUCCAUAUACUUUGCAUAAUCAUUCUUGGAAGCAUUACCUUUUCUCUUUGAAGCCUUCUUACCUUGAGGCCUAAUUGGAUAACGGGUCGACCCCGACGCUUGUUCAACGGGGGACGUUUCAGGCACUUCUUCAUCAUCUUCAUCAUGAUCAUGCGAGGCAUGCUCAGGUGUAGAGUGUAGAGGGGUGCUGUUCAUGAAAACUUCUGGACCGACAUGCACAACUCUAAAUUUAGGACAAUCUUUGACAAUAUUCCAACAUUCAAACCGGGUGAAUGUUUUGUUUUUGCUUUUGGUUUUGGCACCAUACCAAGCUUGUGCUUGAAGUUCCUACACAAACAAAUAAUUAUAAUGAAAGUAGCUAACAAAUAAUUAUAAUGAAAGUAGGUAACAAAUAAAUAAUACAACCAAAUAAUUAUAAUGAAAGUAGGUAACAAAUAAAUAAUACAAACAAAUAAUUAUAAUGAAAGUAGCUAACAAAUAAUUAUAAUGAAAGUAGGUAACAAAUAAUACAAACAAAUAAAUAUAAUGAAAGUAGCUAACAAAUAAUUAUAAUGAAAGAAGAUAACAAAUAAAUAAUACAAACAAAUAAAUAUAAUGAAAGUAGCUAACAAAUAAAUAAUAUAUUGUUACCUGAUCCGUUAAAUUUUCCCCACUUCGAAGAUUACCACUAGCUUGUGCCAAGGCGUCUCUCCACGUACUAAACGAUUGACUAAGUAAUUUCCAACGACUGGACAUCGAUUCUUUAGUUCUUUGCCCACCCAUUUUCUCAAGAUAAUUGGUAUGAAUAAGACUCCACAUUUCUCGCAACUGCAUCUCAUUACCCGUAAUCGAAUCAUGAGUAACUUGAACCCAACUAGUACACAACGCAACAUCUUCAAGAAGCGUCCAAUUCGUACCUGGUUGAGUAGUCAUUUUGUUGGAAAAAAUUGGAUUGAAACUUUGAAAGAAAGAUAGGAAUGUGGUUGAAAGUAGUUGAGAAAAUAUGAAAUUGUGGUGUAGGGUAGAAGAUAAUGAGAAGGUAUUUAUAGGUGAAGUGAAAUCAAAUUUUUUUAUAAUUUUUCAUAAUUUUUUUUCGGAUUUUUAAGAAUUUUUUUACAUUUUUUUUAAAUUUUUAUUCACCUAAUUAAUCUUUGCCGUUGGAUUUAAAAAAAUUUAAAUUCCAACACUCCAGAUUGUGCCACGUGUCACAACGGUAACAUUUUAGAUUUUUAAACAGUUUUUUCUUUUUUUUAUAUAUAAUUUACAAAGCCUAAUAACGUGAACCGUUGAUUUUAGAUCAAACGGAUGAAAUUAAAUGAGAUUUUUAAAUGUUUUUUACCGUUGGAAAUCCAACGGUCCAUAAAAUAUGACCGUUUCAAUCGAACAGACAUGGGGAAGCCACGUGGCUUCCCCAACGGUUACUUUUCAAAACUGAAAUCGCGGGCCCAGCCCUGUUUUUUUGUCGGACGACUCGCGCCCACGCGCGCGUGAAACGCACGCGCCUGACGCAACCCUCGGGCUCUCGGGCUGGCAAUCCUCGACGGGCCUGCUCCUCGGGCCUCGCCUGUUGCUCGGGCUUCCAUACGCUGGAGCUCAUCCCCCCAGCAAUUUGCUACUGUUUGAUCCACAGCCCCCGAGCAACCUCCCCCGCUGGAGGUGCUCUUAAGCCUUAGCAUGAAUAUGUGAUUCUUAUUUAAUUGCUUAUGAUUGAUUGCAUGCGUACUUUGAAUUGUUAAUCACCGGGAUAAAAACUAUCUAAUUGUCUUAAUGCCUGAUCACUAUUAGGAUUUUUAGAAAAGUAAUUUGAUGCAAUUUUGGUCGGAAGGUUUCCUGAAAUUGACGCUGGCUUCUUGUGAUUAAUAAUUGUAAUUUCACUUAUGAUGAAUAUUACAUCUUAAGGAUUGCAUGGUUUUUCAAAGGAUUUUCAUAAAGCAUAAUGAGUCUUUCAUAUUCAUAUUUGAUCCGAACGUCCGGACAGGUUGCAUGUUAGAUAUACGUUAUAUGUUGGAGGUUCCAAGUAGAAUAUGAAUUAGGAAAAUCUAACCUUCAAAGUGGCAUGUGUAGAUCAUAAGUAAUUGGUAAAAAUUCAUAGGAUUGCUAGGUGAUGGUGGAACCCUAGUGCUUUCUUAAUUUUAUUCUCCCAAAACUGUUUUCUUUUCUCUCUAGCUCUAAUAUUGCAGAUUGUUUAUUUUAAUUCAUUAAUUUCGUUUUUAUUUUAAUUAGGUUUUAAAAUCAAUCACCUAAACUUCUACUUUACAAUAAUUAAAUGGAAUCUUAUUAGUUUCAAAUUAUUUAAUAGUCCCUGUGGAGACGACCUUGCGAGAUCCGUUUAUACUACAAUAACAUUGUAAUUCUUGCAAGUAAAAUAGGAAAUUUAAGCCCGUUCACAUGAGUAGUAAAAAUCCUAUCAAUUAUCUUUGUGAAGAUUUUAGAAAUCCUCAAAUUGUGUUUGUUCAUUAUAUAUUGUACGGUCAGAAUAUGAAUGGUACCUGACGAAAAUUGGUCUCAUGAUAUAUGAUGAACAUACAUGGUUUGAGGAUUCCCAGGUUCUCACAAAGAGGAUCCUCAUUCAAAGAAAUGAGAGAUUUUUUAGUGGAAUCGGAAUACGAGAUGGUACAACACGUGUCAUUAUAUAAGGUCAUCUCCAACCGAUACGGUCAAAGGACCAUAGGCCAAAAUAUAGUCGGUUUUGGACACAAAAAUCGUCUCAAACCGAACGCUAGGCCAAAAGGCUUGCGGUCCCCACUAGGCCAUAUAACAGCCACAAGGCUAGCUAGUCAAAAAGACCCAGCCAGCCAACCCAAUUGUAGCAGUCCAAAUCCAUACAACAGUAACCAUGACGACAGCAUGACGCAAGCUAGCAAAUGUUAGCUGACAUCAUGUUACCGUUGAAAUUUGAACUUUUUUAGACAAAUUUUUUUUUUCCUAUACCAUUUCUCACAUCAUUUUCACCAUUUCACCAUUUCACCAUUUCACCAUUCCAUAACCAAUUAUAUCUCGACACGUAACUAAAAAAAUUAAUUCAAUUCCAUAACCAUUUCUAUACCAUUUCUCACAUUCGAAAACCUUAUUUUAAUAUCAUAGUUUAAUUCAAUUAACCAUAUUAAUUCAAUUAAAAUAAUAAAUUAUUGAAGGGGCUAAAAAUAGCCCUUUUCGAUUGGGGUUUUUGUCAAACGGGCUAUGUUUUGGCCUAUGGCCCUUUGGCUCCCUCGGUUGGAGAUGAUAUAUAAAUAUGGUAUGGUACUGUUCAUUAAAAAUUAAUUUCUUGCAAAGCUAUAGGACUAAAUAUGGCCAUUUGACCCCCUUUUGGUUGAAGACGACCUAAAUGGUGGGAUAGGGGUGUUAAAAAGUUAAAAACUUGAAAAAUAAUUUUUUUCACAACUUAUAUGAAAACUCUCUCCCAUGAAACACUUUGCUUCUUCAAUCUUUCUCCCUUUCCCGAAGCAAAAUGGAGGUGAGACUUCGAAAAGCCCACCAACUCACCGUGGCAGCAACAUCAAACAGUCAAAAGAAGUUCUGAGAAAAAACAAAACUGAUGGCAACUACAGAGACCAAUUCCAAAACCAACACAUAGCAAAAUGGUGGAAUUCCCCGCACUCAACUAUAGCAACGAGAACACUUGAAGGAAAAAAUGGAGGGAGUGUUGGGAAUUUGUACUACUAAUAUAAAGAAUUCGAUAUAGGACAUACCUUUCGGAAUUAACGAAUUAUGGAUCCCCACCUCAUUCCUACGAACCAUUGCAUGAACCACAAAGGAGAGAGUCAUCGUAGGGAGGAUUCAGUUGCAUCUAGCUCUGUUAUAUUGCCUACGUACCUUGUGCCAAUGCACAUGGAUCAAACUGCCGUAGUUUUUAGUAGCCUCCUAAUCCUAGGGUCAAGGUGAUACCCUAAAGGCUAAACUAAGAGAGAAAAAAGUUACUGGGAGUGGAGAGCAAUAUCUCUCCUCUCUAUAGAUAAGAGAAUUUUCUUUGUUGGUGUGUUUUCUCCUUUCCUAAAGCCCUCAUUAUAUAGUGGCUAGGAGGGAAGAGACAAAGGGAAAUGGUCAAUGUGGGACAAAUACCACAUAUCAAUAACACACCCAAAAUUGGGUGUAUAAAUCCUACAUCUCCCACUCACCCACAUAGGGUGUUAGUAUUAUCUGAAUUGGUUCAUCUAAUUCUCAUCCAUUAUAGUUUUCCUCCUCAUACAGGAUAUGGGAUGUGCGACCUUGCGAAAAUAUACGUACACAUCCAGGAGCACUGUCAUUAAGCUAUCACCAAACUUAACAAGAGUUCAUCGCUUUAUACCCCAGACAAUUCGAAAUUGUCACGCCCUGAUCCCAACAUAAAUAGAGAAUCAACACGUGACAAGGAAAAUAACGUCCGUUGAAUAUGGUAUAAGUUACGGAAUAAAAAUACUUUAACUGAUAAACCAAAAUAAUAUGAAGGUGGCUAAGUUCUCCACAAAAUAUUUACAAAUAUGAACAACCCAAAAAGAAGCAUAAUCUUUGCUUUACUAAGAACAAGAUUGAGGUGCUCAAAAGAAAGUCCCAAAAAAUAAAGUACAAGAUAAGAUAUAGGGGUAACCUAGCACUCAAAAUCUCUGAUAACUGUACCGCUACCCCACUUACGAACCUCUCGAAGCUACUCAGACUUGUUAUCUGUAAGAUCAGUGCCUACACCAUCGAAAUGGUGCACCGGGCAAACAACAACCCGGAUAAGCUACGAAGCUUGUGUGAGCGAUAAAUAAUACAAGUAUAUGAUACUAAUAAUAAAACUAACCAUUAUUCACAAUUAUAAACCUUGAAUAUAAAUCAUUUAUAAGAAAUCGUUACCAAACCUUGCAACCUCCGAAGGGGUCACACAUACAUCCAACGAGUUUUCUAAAUCAAAACUACGAGUUCUCAAAGCCACAUUCACAGAUAUAUUCAAAACUAGAUUUAGAGAGACGUCGUUCGGCCGAAGCCUACGUAAAUAACCAAUUAGGAAGUGGCCCCCCAAAACGGAUCAACCAAGCAAAGCCACCCCUAAGAAAGUAACCAAGUAGGUAAUGACCCCCCAAUGCGGAUUACAGAGCAGAGUCACCCCUAAGAAAAUAACCAAAUAGGUAGUGAACCCCCAAUGCAUAGGUAGUGAACCCCCAAUGCGGAUUAACCAAGCAGAGUCACUCCUAUAACUAUUGGAAGGUGAUCACCCAAUGCGGAUUAACCAAUCAUGAUCACCUUUAAAUGUGUAUGGCCAUACCUAGGCUAUAAGGAUCACCCAACGCGGAUUAACCAAGCGCGAUCCACAAAUAGUAUGGUCCCCUAACGCGGAUAAACCAAGCAGGACCAUCCAGGACCAUUGCUAUGUGGUGCAGACUUAAUGUCACCUAACCUCAUGACACUAGGGUAAUGGUCCUUCACAAUCCAUCAUUUUUAUCAUCCAUCACAUAUAUAUCCCAAAACACAAUCCAUCAUUUUUAUCAACCAUCACAUAUAUAUCCCACAAUCCAUCAUUUUUAUCAACCAUCACAUAUAUAUCCCAAAACACAAUCCAUCACAGUUCAAAUAUCCAAGUCACUUAAUGUUUCAUAAGUAGAUCGACGACAACUUACUAGCAACAAUUAUUUAGUAUCAAAACUAUUUUAAGAAUCCAUAGUAUAACCACAAAGUUUAUUAGCACAGAAGAUUUCAAAGCAAUAACCAUAAUACAUAGAUUAGAAUCACUCACCUGAGAUCCACACUAACGCACUCAAACACAAGAGUCAAGGCAUCACGUUCUAUCACCGCCUAACAAGGUACAAACCACAUUUAGAUUUCCUUUGAUAAUUCACAUACUUAAAACUCUUAUAUAUUUCCCACAACAACAUUUAAUAAGGAACUGAACUGUCAUCCUAAGGUAGGGUCCUUGAUCUUACGUCACUUAUUCCGUAAUAUCCAAUCACUAGAUUUUCACUUGUAAGUCCCUAAGGUCCAUAAACAUUAUCUACCAUAGCAUACUAAAAGUGGUGUCAAUUCAAUGAUAAGAUCAUCAAUCGCUAGAAUAAUCAAGUGGCGGAGCUUAUCGAUAAAAUACUCAACCAACAACAUUUUUAUAAAUUGAAUGUUACACACCAGAAAAUUUGAAUUUCUCCAAAAAUUCUCAAAUUUUACAGGAAUAAAGAUUUCAACAAGUAGAGUGAACUUUAUACUUGUGGCCGAGUCCAAUUUGGCCAGGAAGGCCCUUAAAUUGGCUUGCACCCAACGAAACCCUAAGGUGGGUGUCCUUAAAUUCGGCUUCCUUGGUGUUCCAACGCUCCAACCACCAGUUGGGUCUUGUUCUUGGGUCCAAGGGAAGUUGAUUAAGGGUGAUAGUGAAUGGUGAUACUCUCCGGAAUGACAAUUUAUCGUCGAGAACCCCCGGUUCUCCUAUGGAGUUCUACAUAAAAUAUACCUUAAAACCCCUUGAUUUUUGGUAGAGAGGGAAGGAGGAAGGUAGUUGAUCAAGUUGCAGGUGAAGGAGGUAGGAAAAUCAAUUGGGAAAUGGAAGAAAUGGCCUGAAAUUGGCCGGUUUGAAAUUUGGCCGUGGACCUCACGUUUUCACGAAUUAGGGGGAAAGAAAGUGCCGUGCCUUUCUUUCCAAAUGGGUCUUUAAUACCCCUUUUUAAAAAAUCUAACAGGUUCCUCAUUUUUUUUUUCUACUAACUUAACCUUUAAUCCAUGCUUCUCACAAUCUAUAGUUCACAACUUCAAACGUCCGUAACUAUACCGUUAUAAUUCGGACUUGCAAACAGCUUUCACCUAUGCGUUCGUGGGUUCGAGAUCUAUUUAAAAACAAUAGUUGUAACCUCGAAAUAUCAACGAAAGAUAAAGAUUGAUUAUGAACUUUCCAACUCGAUAACUAAUCAAUUACUAAACUUAAAAUUAACUAAUAAAGUUAAAAUAAGCGCGAAAUACGAGUUUUAAAAUAAUUGGUGAAAUUCCGGGGAUGGAAUUUCACAGUCAUACACCAAACUUGACAUUCUUUAUCACUCAUUAUGAUAUAAAAAGAAAUGUCAUGUUCGACAAGUAUCAUGUAUCCAUGUCUUACGUUUGACAACUAAUAUCAAAUAGACGAUGGCCAGAUAAUGAAUCACAUGACAUAGUGUAAUCUUUAAACUAUCUUCCCUAAGCUGUCAUGUCAGUCUAAUUUGGAUUAAUUGCUUGCCUAGACACGCCUCAUGGGACAAUUACUAACUUAACCUCUUAGAUAAACGUGCUAAAGUAACGAUCAUCAAACCUCCUUUUUUGACAUAGACUUAAUUUCAAAUGGUAUAAGGGUAGGAUAGACUUAAUUUCAAAGGGUAUAAGGGUAGGAUCUCAUAGAUCUAGUGGCUCACACAGUGACUUGAAGCAAGGAUCAAUUCGUCACUCCCACUAUCGACCGCAACCAGCACAUACAGUACGAAAUGUAUGCUAUAGUGUAUUCUCAAUUUAAUGAAUGUUUCACAUGUCAAUUGGACAUACACCUUGCAGAUUUUAGUCUAAGUGCUACACAAACGCCUAACUUGAGCAUCUAGCCUAGUCACCCCUCUCGACGCCUACCUAGGUACUCACAUCCGACUUGACAAGCUUUAACAUGGAUUUCAAAUGGAAAAAUAUCCAUGUUUGACCUUUGCUAUGUCUCAUCUUAGACACUUCUAAGGUGACAUAUACGUAUAUCUAGUGUAUGUUUUGUAUGUGAAAUCAUACACAUGUCUGGUCUCGCACUCAAAUGCGUUUAGACAUAUAUGUCUCAUCCUACUCGCUACCUCAGCGCCAGUGCAAAUCGUUUCAUGUGAGUGAAACUAAUUAUAGCUUGGUGACACUAAAAAAAGUGCAUCAUAACGUUCUCUUAAAAAACAUUAAUUCUAAUGAGUCUCUUGUAGCUUUUAUACCUAGGAGUGUGACAUAUCACCACUAUCGCUAAGGCUACAUCUUUGAGACUCCUCACUUUGUGCAAUUGCAAGUAAUCAUGAACAAAUUUGGGUUCCCUCCAACUUAGGGACUUCUUUUGCAUAGAUUAGAGCAGACUCACAUAAAAUCUCUCUUGUUAAUGCAAAAUACCUCCAAAAUAAUUCCAUAAGGAGCACCUAUGUUUUUCAAAAGUAGGUGGGUUCUUUCAAUUCCAUAUAAGGUAAAUGCAAGUAUAUUUUCAUCGCUCUAUUGAGAAAUUAUUUCAACCAUGAGUAAACUUGGAAUUACUUGUACCUUGAACAAUCAUUUCUUCCACGAAGGAUCUUAUGUCAACCCUAUGAUGAUAUAAGAACCAAAAUGAUGUUUUAUGGACAUCAAAAAUCCUUUUACUGUUCUAAGUUUAGCAAUGACUUAUGAUUACUUCAAAAUGGCUAGGCUUGGACAAUCAUCCACUUCUCUGAUAGACUACCCAGCAACACUUUGUGAAUAGCGAACAUACACCAUUUUAUCACGAGGACUGAUGAGUUUAUAUAUAAACACCUUCAAAAAUGGUAUUCAUAUUAUUUUUUAUCCAUGCACGUGUGUCAUACAUGCUGCUACUUAAUUAGCGCGUAGACAAAAAGAGUCAUACAUGGCAUCCCAUGAUUGAGGCACAUAUUAGCUCUUUUACUAUCUAGAUAUAGACACGUGGGUCAUACACUCUUAUCGUCUAGAUGAACAUUUUAAGACAAUGGUUAACACUAUUCCUCAUUUCAUAUUCUAGGAAGUUUUGGUUUAGAAUCACACGGCACUCUAUCUCUUCUAAGAUGUUUUGAGUUUCAAUAUAGCCUAGAUGGAAACCGUAGAGCUUCUAUACGUUAAUCUUUAGCAAAUCAAGUAAUAAGCAUCUAAGAGUAUCACUGAAACUUCUCUAACAUGUCAAAAAUACUUUGUGUCUCACACCACAAUUAUGGAGACAAUCUAUUUUUCAAUAAAGACAUCAAUUGUCAGCACUCAUGAAAAGACAAGAAUACCUUGGGCUCUAAGUCUUAAAGUACAACAACAACGGCUAGAAGGACUUCCAAAUGUCAACACAAAUAAGGACACUUGUCUAGAAGUCAAUAGUGUGUGAACCCAAUUCUUGUUUCAGAUUGAGAAUUUUUCGCUUAGGCUAGGUCAUGGAAAAAAAAUGAGUCACAUUUGACCCCACCUUGGGAAGACAUCUCAUACUUUCCAUCUCCUAUUGAAAAAUCAUUUCUUUUAUAAAAAGAAAAACUUUCAAUUUCGCUUGUUAAUGAAAGAUUUUUCUGUGAGGACCAUCUCUUUUAGUCAUUUAACAAAGCGGAGUAACAUUCCUCACCAUCUAGGGAGAAUUUCUUUAAGACCUAAUAGCCUUUUCGCGAUGUGUUAGGAUCCUAAGUUCAACGAUCCAGAAAUGUUAACCACUUUACUUGUUCAACAACUAAGUGGGAUUAUGAACCUUCUAAGACCACUCUUAUUUUUAAUAAGUUUCAAUUCACAUUUUUUAUGACUUUUAUCACAAGUCACUCAAUUUAUUGACUAUAUCAUAUUCACAACCUAUAUUGUUUUGUGAAAACUUUGUUCCUCUCACAUAACUGCAAUGGUAUGAUUCCAUUAGUUGUACUCCCACUGUUGUUUAGUACAUUUUCUUCGGUUGUACUUCCCUAAGGUGGAAGAUUCUUUGUAGUUUAAUGGUACACUUCCUUUAGUUACACUCCCACUAAACUUACAACUUUUUGUACUUAACCUAGCAUUCUAGCUUAGAGAUUGCUUCCAGACUAGUGGUACCCUUCCAUUAUUAGUACUCCCACUAGGCCCAGCCAAGGAAGAGAAUGCCGAUAAUAUCGGCGAAAUAUCGUCGAUAUUAUCGGUUUUUCACGGUAACGAUAUUUUAAUAGGUAUCCAAUUGGGUUUCGUCUAAAUAUUGCGAUAUUAUCGAUAAUAUCGCGAUAUUUCCGAAACUAUCGCGAUAUUUUUGAUAAUAUCGCGAGAUCAAAACCCAAAAAUAUUUAAAAAAAUGCUGAGAAGUCUCAACAGAUAACUACACUUGAUCUUAGCCAAAAGGGCCGAGCAAGGCAUGCUUUUCACAGCUUGGGAAUGUGGCUUUUAUAGGCCUAUUUGCUUGCUCACUUCCCUUGCGUGGGCGAUGUGGGAUUACAGAACCAAGCUUGGGAAUGUGGCUUUUAUAGGCAUGUUUCCUUACUCACUGCCCUUGCGUGGGCGAUGUGAGAUUACAGAAACGAGAUUACAGAAACCAAGCUUGGGAAUGUGGCUUUUAUAGGCCUGUUUCCUUGCUCACUGCCCUUGCGUGGGCGAUGUGGGAUUACAGAAACCAAAACGUUUUGAUGCGACUUGCGAGGGCUAGUACAUGUGAACUUGUGACUCCAACUAGGUAAGACUUAAGAGCCAUAUCUAAUUUGGGGCCUUCUAUCCUAUAUUUGUGGACAACGAUCAAAUGCUAAAGAUUAAACAAACAUAAUAUGUUCUACUGCUUAGAAAAAAAAGCUACAAACCCUUUGCUUAUCAACAAAAAAAGACAAGUCCUUGCACUAGAUAUACUUUCAAAUUACGUUGAGUAGCAACUUGAUAUAUGUAUUCAGACGAAUUAUAAAACAAUUGACACACUCCUAGCUUCCAAAAUUCAAUUCUUUUACUUUAUAUAAACUUGAAAAAACAUAAUCGGCAUCCAAAUUAAAGUUUAGUCUUAUUCAACGUAUUGAUUUUCAAUCGUUAAUUGAUAUACUAUAAUUUGGAACUUCAACGCCUAGACGCAUGCUUAUGUGUAAGAAAUUUAAAGUGUCAAAUUCGGCACAUUAUUCUUCAUCAUUUUAUUCACUUCAUUUUUUUUUUUAAUAUCCUAAAUAAAACCUCCCAAUAUUGUACUAAUUAAUUAUAUAUAAAUGAUUAUAGUGUGUUUAAACUUCUUUCAUUAAUUACUACAUUUUUUCUACACUCACAAUGUUUGCCAGCUCGCUAUAUAAUCAACUUAAAUCAGUUAAAUCCAUCAUGCAAUGCAUUUCCUUCCAAUUUUUUGUGAUAAACUAAUAGAUAAUUGACUAAAUAAACAUCCUGCAAAGUUUCAUUAAAAAUUUCCAAGUUUUUCUUACAAUUUCCGUGGUUUCCAUGUAAUUUUUAUCGAUAUCGAUAUUAUCCCGAUAUUUCCAUCAAUAUUUCCGUAUUUUCGGACUACCGAUAUUUCUGAUAUUACCGAUAUUUUCUUCCUUGGGCCCAGCAACCUAUUUCUUGGAAAAUCUUUACAGUCUAGUGGUACACUUCUAUUAGUUGUACUCCCACUAAACUUACAAUCUUUUAGCGACACUAGGUAAGGAUAUUUAAUGUUUCCCACAUUUGCUUAAAGAUUGGAAGAUCUUUCCAAUGUGAAGAACAAGUUUAUAGUCAAUUCUAUUGCAAUUUAAAUGUCACAAGAAAUUAGUCAACCCUUACGUUUAUAUCCUAGACAACCCUCUCACCAUAUGUGAGAACUGGUGAAGCGAAUUGAAAAUUCAAAGUCGUUACUUCACUCAUUCAAUUGUUUUAGGGUUUUACGGACUAAUUGUUGGCAGCAAUUAAACUUUCAAAAAAAACGUCUCCCACUAGGUUGGAAGAGUUCAAUUGCACCUACACCACCUUAAAUGGUGUGUGACAUUACCCAAAAUUUUCGAAAAUUCAUUUCCAAGUGAUUGGAAUCCUACUCACAAUUUCAUAGUUUCCCAAGAAGAUUAUAAUAGACUCUAUUCUUUUGACGUACAUAUAAAGCUGUUGUUAAACCAAGGCUUUACGACAAUGUACAAUUAAAGAAUAAUUGCCCUUGAGUAGUAGUAAAAAAUAAUAAGUUCCUUUUUUUUUCUUUUUUUCUUUUUUCUUUUCUUUUUUUUUUUUCCGGAAAAACAUGGGAAGCAUCAACUUAAUGCUCUCAAAUAAAAUUGCAAAAGUAGUCAAUUAGCUAACCAAUUUGAGCUAGAUUUGAAUAGCACUCCCAUGAGACUUUUUCAAAACUUAUUAAAAUGUCAAAGUACUGUUGAUCACUUAGCGAGUGGGUCAAAUAAUGACUUAUCUCUAACCAUUUUGAUCAACUAACUUUUAGCAUUCCAUAUUUAAAGAAAAACACAUUUAAUGCAAGUUGAGGAAUAUUGUCGUCUUAAAAUUAUAACGUAUUUUUAACUUCUCAAAUAUUGGUGCAUUGAAAAGGACAUAUAUUCCAAAAACAUUACUCAAUUAUGAAAUGUUGAAGAAAUGUUCUAACCCAAACUAAGGAAUGCGAACUCAUUCACAAUCUCCUUACAUUUCCCAGCGGAUCAAUCGUUUAGUACAUCAAGGAAUGAAAUUAGAUAGCCAAGUUAUCUUAUCUUCAUUUAAGUUCUCACCAGAUAUGCCAAAAUUGCUUCGAGUACAACUAGAAAAGAAGUUCGAGCCAAAUUUUUACUGUGUAUACUUCUUUAAGUAGAGAGUUAAAAUUGAAGAUCAUAGUAAUACUCACUCAACCAAUAUGUGACACACCCCGACUCGGGAUGUCCACUAGGACUCCAAAUCGAGCUGUGUUAGCCGACACCUGACUUUAAACCCAAGAGUGCCUAAAAACUAGAGUGCGCUGGUGAGUGGGAAUGAACCCACUUCACACAUGACUUUAGAGCAUAAGUAAGUGCAGUAAAGUGGAUUAAGAAUCAUACCCUAGCAAGAAAUCUCCAAUACUAAGAUUUGCCACGAAUCCUUGACGAUAAGAAAGCUCAGCUAAUAAAAUUUGGAGGGUGAAAAUAAAACAAGGGUGAGUGGCCCUAGAAAUAAAAAUUUUAAGCCUUCUAAAACGUUAUAACCCCUCGGUGCAUCACCUGUAUAGUUUCUAGAAAAUCAUAUUACGUAUCAAUGUGAAAACAAAAUUAUAUUAGCAGUAAUUCCAUAAUUAUACCACGAUCCUGCAACUCAUCAGUAAUACAAAUAAUCAUGUGCUCAGUAAUCUAUAUUAGCACGCAAGUCGGAGUCACCUAAUGUGACCUGUACAACUGCACCCAUAUCUCAUCAAUCAACGCUAGCACGUAAGUCGGAGUCACCUAUACGACUUAUCCAUAUCUCAUCAAUCAAUGCUAGCACAUAUCGGAGUCACCUAUAGUGACCUGUACGACUUAUCCAUAUCUUAUCAAUCAAUGCUAGCACAUAAGUCGGAGUCACCUAUAGUGACUUGUACGAUUGAAUCCAUAGCUCAUCACAUAUCCUUGCACACAAGUCAGAAACACCUAUAGUGGUCUGUACAACAGGACUGAGUGUAAAUAAGUACGCUAAAGUGCUACGAUCAUAUGAAGACUGUGCAAAUAAUCGUGGGUCACCUACGAGUCAGAACCACCUAUAGUGGUCUGUACGACAGGCAUGUGCACCUACCUUGGAUCCAAGGUGAGUGUAAGGUGCGGGAGGUGAACAUCACAUGAAGGACUGUCCCUGGCUACGAGCGGGAACACUAACACCGGGGUGCAGGUUUAUGAGCUCUAAAGGCAUAUAAUAUGGCAUGUACGAAUCAUAGGCAACAUGUACGACAAUGUCGAAGUUGCCUAUUAUUGUAACCUAUACGAUAAGGUCGGAGUUGCCUAUUAUUGCAACAUGUACGACAAUGUUGGAAUUGCCUAAAACAUAAAUGUAAUCAUGUCAUAACUCAAUCAUUUCAACUAAUACUAUAAACUCACCUGAACUUACACGUAUGUGCUGCGUUCACCUUCGCGCUUCGAAGCAUUUACAAUAAUUAUGUGCAGGUAAUAUACAUAUGGAUAUGCCAUGAUGUAAUCUAAAAUUCAACCAUAUCAUAGCAUUUACAAUUAUAUACAUAUACAUAUAUAUAUAUAUAUAUAUAUAUAUAUAAUAUGGCAUAAAAUGCAUAAGUUGUAACGCCCUACUCCCCAACUAUUUAUUUUCGGAAAUAAUUAUUGGUGACAAGCUCAACUAAACACUAAUUUAACUAACUAUCAAUACUUACGAUUCUUUACUUCAAUUUCUCGAUUCUUCACACAAUGAUUUAUGACCAACAUUAUAUCACUAAAUCAUAAGGUUAAAUUUCACAUUUUCCACCAAUGUCCCUCACAUUGCACAAUUUCCCAAACAAGGCUAUUGUCUCAAUUAUUUAGUCUCAUUUAUAGUAUGGUUGCAUCUAACGUCUCGUUAGACUGCCUAUGUACCCUAAACAGGGAUCAAGUCAUUCGUAGUUCGCAUCAGUACUUCUAAGCAUUCAUAGUAAUUAUAUGCAAUAAUCAAUUUAUAACCGUUUAUGGAACUAUCAAUCAUAUAUAUAUAUAUAUAUAUAUAGACACACACACACACACAUGUAUAUAUAUACGAUAGAAAGGAAAAGACCCACUCACCUGAGGUCCGUGCUAAGACUCUCUAUCACGCAUAUCGAGACAUCACGAACCAUCGUUGCCUAGAACAAUUAUCAAAUCACAUCUUAGAGUUCUUAUCGAUAGAAUACAUAAUUUACAUAAAACACAUCCCUACGUAAUUCAAUUCGGAAGAUCUGCAUCACAGAUUUCAGAUCCGUUACUUCCAAGGAUUCACAUUAUGUUUCUAGAACAACGUCCUAAGGUUUCAUCAUGAUCCAAUGGUUGGAUCUCCACCAAUUGCCAAAAUCAAGUGGCGGUCAACAUUUUAUUUUAUGAACUUACAAAUCUAAUUUGGGAAGAUCCGUAUGUCAGAUUCUCGAUCCGUAAGUUUCUAUGGUCCUCAAAUAUUACGUACUAUAACAUAUUAAAGUUUGGUGACGAUCCAACGGUCGGAUCGUCGAUUCAUAUCUUUACCAAGUAACGUAGGUCCAAACGAUCAACCACAAUAUACAAUUGUCAAAACUAAAUUCAAGACAUCUAAUUUAGCCUAAGGAUAACAUCGACAAUUCCCUGGCUACGCGUCACCGCGGGUGGCAGUCGGUCACCCCGACUCGCCGAAAAAUCCAACUAUAUAAAAAAAUUACCAAAAUUUACAGAAAUGAAGAUCUCAAUAAGUAGAGUAACUUUCAUACCUAUGACCAAGGCCAAAUAGGCCGGGAAGAGCUUCAAUUUCAUUAAAACCCGUUGGAACCCCAUACUUAGGUGUGCUCGAUUCGACCUUUAAACCUGCUCUGAUGCCUCCACCAAUGCCUGGGCUUUGUUCCUGGGUUCUAGGGGGUGCUCUAGUGGUGGUAAUUGGCUGAGUUAGCUUCAUGUUUUAUGGAUUGCCCUCGUACACCUACACACACCACCGGUGCAUUUUCCUAAAAUUACCACCAAAUUCCUUCUAAUUUUGGAUAGAAAUGGAAGAGGGAAGGCUAGGAAGUUGUUUCUAGGUGGUGGUUUGCUUUGAUUUGCCAGAAAAAAUGACUGAAUUUGGUCGUGGUGCUUGUCGGGUCGAGCGGGUCAAGGGGAAACCCAAUUUUCCCCUUCAUUUUCUUCUCCCUCCUUUACCUCCUUUCCCCCUUCUCUGGUUGGUCACCUUCUCCUCUCUCCUUUCCCCAUUCUUCCACCCUAUCUCUUCUUUCUGAUUGGGCAGUAGCCCUUCUUUUUUCUCUUCUCCCGUUCCCCUCCUCUUCUUUCUCUUCUUCCUCAUCUUUAAAAAUAACUAAAUGAUAAAUAAAAAAAAUAAACAUUAUAAAAUAUAUAUAUAUAUAUAUAAAUAGUGACUAAAACAAAAUAUUUCUCGAGUUUACAGUUCUGUAAAACUUUAACCGUAUCCCCAAAUCCUCUUCUGCUUGCGCCUACGAAUCCGUAAUGUCGAGUACUUUAGGAAAACACUAAAGGAUUAAUUCAUACUCAUCACUAUACGCUGAUCAACGAAAGUCAAUACCCUCGCCUCUAAGGGCAUUUUUGUAAAUUCACGCUUUUAAAAUUAAUAGAACCAACUAUGCUUGAGCAAUUUUAUCCCUUCUCUCUCGACUUCUUCAAUUGGACUACUUUUAGCAUGCCACCUAGGGCACUCCCUUAACUUUCGGGCUAAUUCUUGAUGAGAAUUCUCAUCAAGAUCUCGGUUCUCUUAAGGGUCAAAGUCGUAUCCAAUUCCUAGGAGCAUUAGAGACGUUUGAUUAUAGCCAACAUUUCACCCUGUGGUGGAGCCUUUUGUUCUAAUUACAUGAGAAGCGCUUAUCUACUUAAGCAUUAAAAAAAAUAUCUUUUGCAACUCUCGAUAAUUUAAGCCAUAUCACUAUGCACAAAAGUAAUAUAUAAACAUUGAUAUAUAUUAACUGCACAUUUUUCUUAUUUAUUUCACAAGUCUUCAUUAAGAAAUAUGAACCUAUCCUAUAAAUUAAGAUCGAAUAAUAUGCUAAGUCGCUCGUAAUUACCACUCAAUAUUAUAGGUUGAGUUCACAAUUUUAAUUAUAUUGGAAACAAAUAUUUAUUUUUGAAAAGAAUUUGUCCAAACAUUUUUCCAAACACAUUUCCAUUUCAUUUUCAUGCUACAUCCAAUUGAGCACAAGAAAAAAAAAAUUACGGGCAAAAGCUUAAACAAUCAUAUAGUACUCAUGCAUAUAAUAGGCCUUUCAUUGGGAUUAAAUUUGAGUUUUAGACAAUGGGCUCGACAGUUAGGCCUCCGUAAGUGUGGCUAGGUAAAAUCCCGGAGGGGUGGUAGCGCUAAGCUUUUAAAACUCGACCCUCUUGGACACCCAAAGUGUCUCCUUAAAGAAUUUUCCUAGACACAACAUCAAGUAAGAGGUGACUAUUAAUGAAUCCCAGUCCAUGUUUGAUGAACAUCCUAAAUAUGGAUCAUUUUCCCAAAUGACAUGCUCAUAAUAAGCCCAACAACAAUAUUCAAUUAUUCGUAAUUAAAUAAUGAAAAAUAAACAAUCAUAUAUAAAUUAAUUAGAAGAUAAUCACUCAGAUAAUCAAUUUUAAAAAAAAUUAAUAAGGAGAUAAUCAAUCCAUAUUAAUUCAAGAGAUAAUAGGAUAAUUCUAAUUCUGGUUUGAUAACUAGGGUAAUAUGAAAAUCAAAUCACCUAAUUAGAUUUAAUCUCAUGAAAUAAUAUUCUACAAAAGAACUCCAUUUAAAUGCUCAAGUCUCAAAAGGAGAAAUUAAAAUGAUAUAAUAUCCUGUGUGAAUCUCAAAAUAUUAGAGAUUAUCUUCCUCCGAGACCGUAUCUCACUAGAUAUGCAUCUGUUCAAUGUGUAUCUUAUACCACUGGAAAGCCCAUAUUACGAGCUACAACUUCUAUUGCAGGAAUAAAUUCCAAUAACUGACUCUAAUAGAAUGAAAAAGAGCUCCCAAAUCUGAACAUAAAAUCACGUUUUUUUUUCCUUCAUUUUUUUAGCAGAAAUCCCAUAUUUCACAGAUUCGCUAAGGCAUGUUUGCGAAACCAUAUGUUCUUCAAUACUCGUCCAAAUCAGGGCCGGUCCUGAGAAAAUGGGGGCUCUAGGCGAGCCUUUGAGUGGGGACCCUAAAAUUCUUUGACAUCCAACUCAUUGUACAUUUAUAUGUAUAAGAAAAUGUUUCGCUAAAUACAUGAAAAAGUUCAUUUCUACAUAAAAAAUCAUUAGAAUUCAUAUCCAAAGAAGAAAGAUAUGUAAAAAUUACUUAAAUAUUACUCGUCUCGCGUUUUUAGAUGCAAAUGUAUAAAUUAAGUUUACAUAACUAAAAUUCAAUAUUCUGUAAACAACAAAUUGACAAAGAAACAAACUAAAAUUCAAAUUUUACCUACUACCCAACACAAAAGUUUGAUACAAAUGACACAACACAAAACAAGGCGCAUAAAAAAUACAGUAAAAUUUAAUAUCGAAACUUCGAAUUAUCUUGAACCAAAACUAGUUAGGAAGCAAAAGUAAACAACCUUGUUAAGUGCACCCAUAAUCCAUUUAUCUUCUCGAAGGGAUUUAACCACUUUAUUAAGUGCAUCCACAAGUUUGAAUACUUUGAUUUCGCAUAAACAAUAUGCAUUAAAAUAAACAAAUCAUAAACCCUAGAAUCGAAAAUCCUAAUUAUAUUUACAUACACAGCACUCACAAAUUAAAUUAUAGAAAAAGAAGCAGGAGAGAAGAGAAGCAUUGAUCGGGUACCUGACCUUUGUAAGUGGAGUGGGAAAGAACCGAUUCGUAGGCGUAGACUUGCUACCAAUAUGCUGUGCGUUAAAUUCCAAAAAAAAAAAGUUGAAUUGGUGCUGAAGUUUCACCCCACCCAAGACACUUUGUACGCCAAGUUUCAAGACAAUUAUGUGAUUUUAUAUUUAAAUAUUUUAUUAAAUUCAAACUCUAAAAAUAUAUUUAUAUAUGUUAUAUAUAUACACACAUAUUUAAAAAGAAAUAUUUUUGGGGCCUCCCCACCCAAAACGCUGCACGACAAGUUCCAAAAAAAUAUUUAUAAUUUCAUAUUUAGAUAUUUUACUCAAACUACAAAAUUAUAUAUAUAUAUAUAUAUAGAGAAAAUUAUGAUUGGCACUCUAAAAUUUACAUUCUACAUUCUAAAUUUUCUAUAUUUAGAAAGAAAAAUACACUUGUGAAGAGUGUAUGAUGAGAUUUUUAGAGUACCAAUAACACUUCCCUAUAUAUAUAAAAAAAAAUUUGGGGGCCCCCCCCCGAAAUGGGGGCCCUAGGCGAUCGACUACUCGGGCUACCCUCAGGGCCGACCCUAGUCCGAAUGACGUGUAUUUUAUAUGUUUUUGAAGCUUAUGUGGCCAACUACAAACCCCAAUAAAAAAUUACAGAAAAAUCAGCUACAUGCACCCUAAAUUCAGCCCACUAAACGGCUGAAAAAAACUGAAAUUUUCAAGAAAUCACAAAACUAGGAUAACAUAUUUCUCAAAAGAAAUCCUCAAAAAACGCAACGAAUCAAAAUGUGAUUUUUUUUCGGGUUUAUGCAAUGCAACCAUGGUGGAUAUAGUGGUUCUCGUAAUUUACAUCGAAUUGUAAGGCAAGGAACGAGCCCUAUGGCUCUAACACCACUAUUGGGAAUUUGUACUAAUAAAACAAAGAAUUCGAUAUAGGACAUACCUUGCGGAAUUAACGAAUUCUGGAUCGCCGUCUCGUUUCUACAAACCAUUGCAUGAACCACAAAGGAGAGCCCCAUCCUAGGGAGGAUUCAGUUGCCUCUAGCCCCGUGAGAUUGCCUACAUACCUUGUGCCAAUGCACAUGGAUCAAACCACCAUAGUUCUUAGUAGCCUCAUAAUCCUAGGAUCAAUGUGAUACCCUAGAGGCUAAACUAAGAUAGAAAAAGGUUACUGAGAGUGGAGAGCAUUAUCUCUCAUCUUUAGAGCUAAGAGAAUUGUCUUUGUUGGUGUGCUUUCUCCCAAAGCCCUCAUUAUAUAGUGGCUAGGAGGGAAGAGAGAAAGGGAAAUGGUCAAUGUGGGAUAAAUACCAAUACGCACCCUAAAUUGGGUGUAUAAAUCCUACAGGGGGACUUUGUCAAAAUACACUGACUCUCCAGUUCCAGGCCACAGGCAAUCAAAACAACCUACGUACCCCUUUAAAUAGGGGGCACGGUUUUGAAGCCAAGCCCAGCUUCUCCUCUCUCAGCUGCCAAACUCUCAGGCCAAAGCCAUAGCCAAUCAAAGCAACGCAAUUAGCCGCCACCUUCAAUUCUCUUUAUUUCUCUUUUUCCCUGGGAAGAAAUCGAAGGAAAAAGAGAAUCGGGAAAUACCCAUCCCACCGACGGCAGCAAGAGACAAAAUUAACAUGUCCUCUUCUGUCUUGACCAGUCAUUGGCUAGUAUAUCGUCGUAAUUUUUAGGGUAAUUAGCAAGAAUAAUCCAUUUUUGACAUUUGGUUGUAGAAAGAUCAGGUAUUGUUAUAUCAUCAUUGCAUCGUCGAUAACUAAUCAAUGUGUCACCAUUGUUAAAAAAUGAUCAUUUUGCAACCAAGUAUCAAAACGUGAUUAUUCCUGCUAAUUGCCCUAAUUUCUAUUUACCAAAUGAAAGAAUAGUACUGAUAGUCGAACUCGAGUAUUGCAAGUGUACAAACAAAGGUCAAUGGUAGUAUCUUACAGAAUAGGGCAUCAUAAUCUGCUACAUUGAGACAUUAUUUUUGAGAGAUGAAAUCUACUCUUAAAGAUAGUGUCUAAAUUGCCUCAACUUACAUUGUUGUUCGAAUGAAACAUCGACAAAGAGCGAUUUUUACACCCUAAAAGAUAAGUAUUUAAUAUAUUGUUGAUUUCAUUUAAUCAAUGGUGGCAAUCAAAAUUAUCAUUAAUUUGUAUUGAUCUUAUGUGCAUUGUUGUAGAAGAAGUAGCAUCAACGUCGCUAAAUUUUUCAACAACAAACACCACUUGUAAAAGCAUCCCUUUCUGAAUGAAAAUACGAAAGCUCAAUAGGAGGACUAGUUAAACACUUCGUAACGCGACCAAUGCUUCUACAUGAAAAGGACUAGCAGUACCCUUUGAAGAGUUGUGAUGAGUCGAUAUUAUACUAUAUAUUUUACCCUAUUCUUAGUUAUAGUUUAUUGGUUAUUUUGGUAGAAUUUUGGUACUUUGGAUUAUAUUUUUAAUGUAGGAUUCCUCUAGAGCAAAAAGUGAUCAAACAAAUGAAUUUUGGAGUGAUUCUAAUUGAAGGAUAUUCGUGAGUCUUUCAAGAUGAUUGUAUCAAAAUUUCAGAUUUUUCUACCAAGUCAUUUGACCGUCGCAAUGAAAAGAAGGCCCAGUGAGUAGCUUUCCCAAAUUAACGUUUUUGGACGUUUUGGGUAUUUUAGAGGUCAAAAUGACAUAUUUUGAGGAAGAUUCCUUCUGAGGAUUUGUAGGGGACGUCUCCAUCUUUUUUUUCUUUUUCUUUUUUUUGUCGAAAUUCAAGUAUUAUUAAAGAUGAAUUGAAACGUUUACAUCAGAAGCUAGAGUGUUAAACAACCACUCUGGCUCAAAAUGAUCCCACAUAUGAAACCCCCCCCCACACACGUGACAUAAGAAGCCACUUGAUGCGCAACCCCAUUACAGGCACGAGGAGUAAACAUAAACUCUACUAAACAUAAUUGUUGUUGAAUAUGGUUCAUAUCCCAAGGGAUACCUUCCAAAUCUGCCUUUGGAGCCAAGACCCCAUUAAUCAUAUCCACCAAGACCUUCGAAUCCGUCUCGAAUUGAACAAACUCGAACCCAAAUUCCACACAAGCCAUCAAUGCCAAUCGCAAUGCUUUCGCUUCCGCCAUCAAACUAGAACCACAUCUUAUAUCUCCCAAACCACCAGCGGCUCUAAAGAUCCCAGCAAAGUCCCUCGCUACCCAUCCACAACCCCCCACACUCGUUUGCUUACACCAAACUCCAUCACAGUUCACCUUAAUAGUACGAAACUGGGGCUUCACCCACCGCACCUGCACCUCCCCUCAAGGCUUCGCCUAGGACCAUGUUGCCCCACAAUCUACCCACCACUAUCCUCAAGCUCCCGCACCUGUUGGCUCAAAAGCUUCAGCGCUCCACUCGGUUGGUUGGUCAAAAGACUGAUUUUCUGAGAAGUUUGAAUUUUAAUUCAAAUAGGAAACCUUUUAUUUUCUAUUUUAUUAUUUUAUUAUGCUUCCUAGUUUUAUUCUAAGACUUUUUAGGGUUUUAUUUUUGUAGUAGUAUAAAUAAAGAUAUUUAGCCAUUAGGGUUGAAGAGGUGGGAGAAGAAAGCAUAAAAUUUAGGCACGCACUACUUAGAGAGCUUUUGACAAUUCAAGUUUGUAUUCAAAGUGUUUUUUAUUCAUGUUUUUAAUAAUAUUUUGUUUUAUGGUUGUUAGUAACUAGUUUCAUUUGUUAGGGCGAGGUCACGAGUCUUAGCAAGAAUAUGUAGUUUCUUUUCAAUUUACUUAUGAUAUUAUGCAUGCAGGUUUUGAAUUAUUAAUCACCGGUUUAAACUAUCUAAUUGUCUUGAUGAUUAGCCACCAUUAGGGUAUUUAGAAAAGUAAAUUGAUGCAAUUUUGGAGGAGGGUUGUCCCUAAAAUUGGCGUUGGCUUCUUGUGAUUAAUAUGUGUAACUUCUUAGGAUCGACGACACGUCUUAAGGGUUAUAUGGUUUUUCAAAGGGAUUUCACAAAACUUAAUGAGUCUUCCAUGUUCACAUUUGAUAUGGACGCCACAGGCGGGUUGCAUGUUAGAUAUACGUUCUAUGUUGGAGGUUCCAAGUAGGACCUACUUUAGGAAAACCUAACCUUCAAAAUAUGCAUGGGUAAUUCAUAAGUAAUUGGAAGAACUACGUAUGAUUGUUAAGGUGACGGCGGAACCCUAGUGCUCAAAUUUAUUUUCAAAACUAUUUUCUUUUGUUUUAUUUACUUUGCCAAUUUAUUUAAUUGUGUUUAAUUAAAUUCGUUUUUAAUAUUUUAGGCAAUAAAAUCAACCUCUUCCAAACUUUGUUUUCAAAUAAUUAAUUAAGAUUUGAUUUUAACAUAAAUUAUUCAUUCAAUCCCUCUGGAGAACGACCUUGCUUGAGCUGCUAUACUACAAUAACCUUGUACUAUUUUUAUGUGUUUUUAUCCAUACUUUUACAGGUGGUAAAAUCCCCAUCAAGAAAUUGGCGUCGUUGCCGGAGAUUGUUUUAAUAAUGUGUGCUUACCACAUUCUUAGUUAAUUAUUGUUGUGUGUGUGUGUGUGUGUGUGUGUGUGUGUAGGCUUUUUAUAUUAGCACCUCACAAAAUGUUGAAUACACUCCACGUUAAAAUUUAAUGUUAAAUGUUUUAUUAAACCUACUAUGCAAUGGCAAUUUUGACCUUAUAAGGUAAAAAAAAAUAAAAAAUUUUCUAUACACACCCUAAAUCAUUUUUAACAUAUUAUUUAUCUUCUUCAAUUAUCAAAAUCCCUCUGACCCUCCAUUGUUGGACAAAACCCUAACUAAUGAAACUACAAACAUGUUGAUUGAGAAAAAUUAUUUUUGAUAAAUGAAACACGAAAUCGAUUUUUUAAAAGCUUCAAAUGAGGUAAGACUUCAUAUUUUUUAUUGUUUAGUGAUUUUGACGAUAUCGAUAAUUAUUUAAUCUUACUUUUCCUGUGUUAUUCAAGUUUCUAUGUUCAUAUUCAUCUUUUAGGGAUCAUAGAGAUUACAUGAAGAAUUAAACAUCUAAAAUUACCACAAAAUAUUAAAAAUAGAUGACAUGAGUUUUAAUGGUGGAAUUGAAAACAACCCACAUAUGCUUUAAAUCCCAAGCGGCACCUGUUGUCAAAAUUCCAGUCGGCCUUUUUUUGUCCAAAUUAAAAGCUUUAUAAGAUUUGAGAAAUGUGGGGUGUAUAGAAAAUAUCGGGUGCAUGUAGAAAAUGUAAGGUGUAUACUGAGAAUGUAAGGUGUGAGGGUAUUAUGGGGAAGUAUGUGGGGUGUAUUAAGAUAAUUAUUCAUUAAAAAAGCAAAUGUGGAUGUGUAUUAAGUAUAUGAGAUUUAUUCAACAAUUUGUGGGAUGUUAAUAUAAUAAGCCUUAAUAUAUAUAUAUAUAUAUAUAUAUAUAUAUAUAUCUAUAUAUUUAAUUGCUAAUUUUAUUUUAUAAGUUACAAUUUGUUAAUUUUGAGAAGAGUGCAACAAUGGCGUGGGAAUUGCCAUCACCAGCAGGCCCACAACCUUUAUGGGAUUCUUUAGCAACAACAAAUUGGUUUGGAUUCCCACAAGAAAACACCUUGUUACAAUCUGUCGAUUUUGGGAGCAAUUCAACGACGGGCUGGGAACUACCACUACCAGGAGGACCACCUUUAUGGGUUUCUUUCGCAAAACAAGGUUUCUAUGGAUUUAAACCUACAAUUUGUGCUCUUUGCUGUCCAAAUACCCAUGAAAUUUUGCAAUGCCCUGAAAGGAAAUAUUUUCCUAACUAUGUGAAGGAGCAUAUUAAUACGAGGAAAGACUCACAAAGGCGUUGGGACAAUCCCACUUUUGAUUACUACGCUCUAGAUUUGAAAAAGCAUUCCAGUUUUAGAUGGGCAGGUACUCAACAGCCUUUUGAGCAGCCUAAUGUGCCACAAGAUUUUGGAGGAAUGGUGUGUAAUUCAAACACCCCAAUGUGUAGUGAGUUAUGACUAUAUGCAGAAAGACGCCAGAAUUGAAGAAUCACAAGGUGAUGACUCUAACCCAAUGGAGGAAAUUACUGAUCCUAAAAUAUCCCCAGAACCCAUUCCUACCUAGAUCUAUACGCCACACAUACAAUAUCUCGAGGCUACCAAGCAACCAACAAAGCUGCAUGAAGGCAUUGAAAUUGACAUGUUCAAAGGGGUUAUUCAUACAAAUUCAAAAUAUGAUCCAACAUAUGAACAACACUUCACAAAUCUACCAGAUUUCGAUACAGGGCAAAUAGCUAAAGAUAAAAUAAUUUUUGCUGUUGUAACAGACAAUGCACAUGCACAACCAAUUAAACUCGAAGAAAUUCAAGAUGAGUCCUACGAACAUCAUAAGUUUUACAUGGGCACGAAGAACAAGCAUAAUGGCAGCCAAAUUCUCCAUCACGAAAUUCAGCCAAUGUAAAAAUUGUGGGUAUUAAAUAUAAGAUUGAAGUCAGCUAAAGGGAAACACAAGCAUUGAUGGAGGAGACCCUGUUUGAUCACAAAGAUUCAUUCACAUAGAAGGGCAAACAUUAAGGACUCAACCACAACAGUUAAACACUCGGUCAAUAAACAUCAAGUCACUGAUUACCUAAUAUUGCCCUAUGAUGCUAUUAAAGAUUGGUUAACUCUACAAGAACAAGUGAUGCAAUUGUUAAUUCUUGUUAUUUUUCUUAUGAACAACACUUCACAAAUCUACCAGAUUUCGAUACAGGGCAAAUAGCUAAAGAUAAAAUAAUUUUUGCUGUUGUAACAGACAAUGCACAUGCACAGCCAAUUAAACUCGAAGAAAUUCAAGAUGAGUCCUACGAACAUCAUAAGUUCUACAUGGGCACGAAGAACAAGCAUAAUGGCAGCCAAAUUCUCCAUCACGAAAUUCAGCCAAUGUAAAAAUUGUGGGUAUUAAAUAUAAGAUUGAAGUCAGCUAAAGGGAAACACAAGCAUUAAUUAGGUUUUUUAUUUGUGAUUGCAGACUGCAUUUGGAACUAAUUCGGGCUAAUCUCAACUACUCGUGGAUUCAUACAUUCAUCCAUUCAUCUCACUAAUAUGCAUUCAACCAUCCAUUCAUCGCAACUUUGCAUUCAAUAUCAGCAUUAAAGUGCAGAAAUUUAAAAGGAAAUCCAACUGGAGUUUGAGUUUCAGAAACGUUACAGUGGGUUUGCAAAUAAGACUCUGUACCUACUUGGACCCACUCUUCUCAUUCGCUCUCAAAUUUUGUAAAACAAAUAUAUACUACAAUACAAGUUUGGGGGUGAGAUCCAAGUAGCACGAAGGACGUGGUACUCUAACAGAGACCAGAUUUAGUAUCAGGCACAUAAAUUUCUCAGACAUUCAUCAAAUGGUACAUGGAAGCACAUGGGAAAGCAAUACAUAAGCAUAUAGAAAUUCACUGAUCUAACACAUGCAGCAACAGAUAAAAAAAGAGGGAGUCGAAAAUUAUACCUUUGGCUUUGGAUCGAGCAUUUCUUGUUUUGUUUUCCAGUGCAUCGCCGGAUCUGAGAUUUUGUAGCAAUUCUGCAGUCUCUUCCAUGGUACUGACGUUAGCUCAAAGUUCCUUGCACAGAGAAAGACCAAAUGCAUGUAUUAGUUUUGGUUUAUUUUCUUGAAAUGCACAAAUCAAAACUGAAACAAAGAAGUUUGGGGGAGAGUUCUUUCUUUAUACCUUUAAGCUCUUGGAUAGGACGGAAAUGAGGCCCCUGCUUUUCCGUUUGCAGGCAUGAUGCACUCCAUGAUCCUCUUUGCUGUGUUGAUGAUGGUAGAGAAAUGAAGUUCAGAUGGGCUAAGGUUUGAGAGCAAGAUGGAGAGAGCCCUCAUGGCUCUGGGCUCGAGGCUAGAGAGAAGCAGCUCUAAGUUUUAGAAAUGGGAAAUUAAAUUAAAUUAAAUUUAUAUAUACUAAAACCAAAACUCGGGUGGUACUGUUUUAUAACAGUAAAAUGACGAAAAUGCCUUUCAAAAAAAUUAUUUCUCAGUGUUUUCUAUCAGCUUCUCUACAAUAAAAAGACGGUUGUGCCCUUUGUGUCCACGCGUCUGCCAUCGCCUGUUCUCUUCGUGCGUUGGGUGGCGUUACUCACCGUUUCCCUUUUAGGCUAGCCACGUGUCAUUCAUCGUCGAAGGCUCUGCUUCCAAUUCUUCUCGACAUUUCCUUCCGUUUCCACUUCUCUCUCUCUCACUCUGCGGUCUUCUAUCCUCUCAUCUCGCUCUUCCCCUGAGGCUCUGACUCUCCUUCCCUACUGAAAGAGCCAUGAUCUUUCAUGUUCCCCUCUUCUAUUCCUUCGGGUAAUUUUCCAGUACACUUUUCCAUUUACUUCCCACACUAAUCUCACCCUAAAACCAAACACCAUCUUUGCCGAAAUUUUUGAAUUUUUCUCGGAAAUUCUCGCCUAUCCUUGAGAUUUUCUUGGUGGGUCUUCGUUCUCAGGUCCCGUAUGUAAAAGGGUUUUGGCUUUGGUAGCAGAUGAAGAUCGGUGACAAUGAUCGAAGUUCGUCGCCAUGUGGGUGAUCUCAGUGGCACUGGUUUUCAAUUCUGGUGAUUUCUAUGGUUUUGUGUUGCGUAAUAUUUGGGGAUUUGGUUUGGGUCUGUUGGUAAACAAUACUCAGGUUAAAUUUGGUUCCCUUUAUUUUCUCAAAUUUGUUUCACCGCAUUAUUUUUUGAUCCUUUACUUAAUCUUUCUUAAGAAAUUUUAGAAUCUUUAUUUGUUUUGAAUUUAUUUAUUUUUUAUAUUUUAUUUUCAAGCCUGGCAUUUGUUUUUAAUUUCUCUGUUGAUAAGUUUGAGGAUGAAAUUUAUUCUUUCUUAACAUUAUUUGACAGCAAAUUCUAGGUUCCAACCCCCAGUAACGCAACAUGCUCGAUUCCAAUUCUUAAUUAAGGGGGAUGAUGCAAAACCCAGAAUUUCUUUGUAAAUUGGCUUCUCCUUAGACUAUACAGGUAUAUUUAUUCUGGGUGCCUAAGGUUUUGAGUUUUGAAAUUUGUGUUUGACCAAUUAACCAUUGAGAUAGCCGUCAUAUAUGACAUUGCCAAGAUUCUCAAUUCUUAGUCUUUCAUAUUUACAAUUUGGUUCGUGGUCUUUUGACAUCUCUGCUGCUCUACCCAUUACCAAGCACAGCUCGACAAUCCCCAGCAUUAGCAACUAUCAGGGUCCUGCAAAAAUUACACAGUAUGUAAGACUAAGACAUGAAACCUAAUUAAGAUUCACAACUUCUACUUGCAAAGUAUUUAGAAAGAAAUUCCAUACAAACUCAAUGCUCAUCAGUCAAUUUCUUUCUCUCUUUCAUAAUUUAACUUUUGCUUCUUAUUGCCUUUGUUUUUUCUUUUCUAUCUUGCAGAUACUCUUUAAUUUGCAGCAAUCACUUCUGUCGCAACUGGUCGACAACAGUAAUAGUCAACCCAGUAAGAAGUGACAUAGAUUUUUCUUUGAUAUAUUUGAUAGAUAUAGCCUGAAUUGAUAUUUCUCCCUUAGCUCCCUGCGGAAUCCAUGUUGAUUAUAUGGAUUAAUUAUGCAACUUGAUUGAAGUUUGAUGUAAUUUCAUAUUGUUAAACCCCUUUAAAUGGAUGAGAAAAUAUUGUUAAACCCCUCAAACUUUAUUUGCGCUCUACUUUCAAUUUAAUUUCAUAUCAGUGAGACAAUAUAAUUUUGUUUGAAAGGUUGGAAAAAGCUAAUAACUCUUGGUAAAAUGUCUUUAUGCGGAUCACAGACAAGCAAACAUUAUCAAAUCUAUGUGUAUGAGUUGCAAAGAUACAUAUGCAAAAUAAUAGGUGACCUCUUUAUUCUAUAUUUCUAACGUUUAUUUAUUUAUUUAUUUAUUCCAAAAUCCAUGAUGAGCAAUUUAUGUUUCUCUUUCUUUAACAUUUUUUUUCCUUUGGUUUUGCUCACUUAAUAAUUUGAUUGACACCUACUUUUUAGAAUUAGAAUAGAAUAUGGUUAUAAUUAUCUGCAAUUGUGGGGUAAUUGGCAAAACUCGAGACCCUUUUAUGCCUGUUUGAAGGAACAAACAAAGUUUGUAAACCUCUGCCUUGCUCAUACAUGUUUUACUCUUUCAUUGGCAUUUAAUUUAUUUUCCUGUUUUGGUUUAGGCUUUUAGUUUGGUUUGAUUUGUUGUUAACUUUGUUAAUCUGGUAAGAAUUACAUUUUUCUAAUGGCUUGGAUUUAGGAUUUCAAUAUAAUUUCUUCUUUUUCAACAUAAUGGUUAAUCUGGAUAAGGAGGUAGUUUGCAUUCAGGUGAGGUGGAGCGGACUUUUUUGAGAAAGAACCUCUUGGUGGAGCCCCCGGAGGACAAAAUAGUACUAUUUAGUGACCAGGAGCUGAGAGCCCAAUUUCAUUACAAUUUCUUCCUUUUCAACGUAAUGGUUAUCGAAUUAAUUGUUUUUCCUUUAAGGGUACCAACAGCAUGCUAGACUCAUACCUUUCCAUUUUUUUUCUUCCAAAUUCACCAAACAAUACUAAUGUUAUUCCAUUUUUUCAAAUUAUAAAUUUUCUACAUGGAAUCUUAUUUUCAAAUUUGUUUUAUAUUUUUGCUCAAAAUUCACAAGUGCAGUGUUUUCUAUUUGUUAAAGGCAUAAUAGUAUAUCCAUUCAGUUUAAUGAUAUUUUAACUAAGUGGUGGUUUACACAAUUUUCAACAUUUUCACAUAGGUUCUGAUUUUAAUUGUUUGGUAAAACCUAUAGAUUGUUAAACUAAUGACAAGCUAUUACUGUAUAUUGUUCAUAUCAAGGAUGGAGACAUUUUUAGAUUACCCUAAAAUAUAGCUAGGAAACACCUGUUCUUUUUUAUUACGGCAGACAUUGAUGCCCUAAAAUGUUGACUUUCUUUAAUGCUUCCUCUGGAUUCUCCAGUUUCUUUUUAAAGUUUAUUUGGUUGUUGAAAAAAAAAACUCAAAAAUGAAGGGCUUUAGAGUUUGAUCAUUUGUGCCUCAAAUUUGGCACGGUUUCUUUCCCCUAUAUAAUUUCGAUUGGUAAUAUAGAUUUUCAUCAUAAAUUAUUGUAUUCUUUUGCAAAGUUGUUCAUUUUUUACACUUUUUUUUUUUAACUUUAACACCACUUCACUUGAGAGCUCAACUUCAAUUAGAGAAAGAGGAAGAGGAGCAUAGAAGUAUGUCCACUACUCCUCUGUUUCAUUGGUAAUAUCUCCAAACCCAAUUCUCAGUUUUUAGGUUAUUUUCACAUCAAUUAAUUUUGCCUGUAAUGUUAUUUUAGGGAAUUUUUCGGGCACAAUUUUUUUUUUUUGGUCAAAUAAAUAGUUCUGGGUCUUCAACAAGUUAUUUUUAUGUAUUAUAGUUUAUUAGUUCACAACUAUAAUUUUUCAAUAUUAAUGGUAAAGCUUAAUUUCGGAUUGCAUGUCUGAAAGUUUAGCCUUUUGCGAGUCGAGGAAUCUCUUUUGUUUGAGCUGGCCAUGUCGGAUUAUAUUUUUACUAACUUGGUACACCAUAUCACGUUCAGAGACUCUUUUACUUGCCCUUUUGUAUUUGUGUUUGGUAAAUAUAUAGGGGUGUGAUAUCCACACAUCCCAUUUUACUUCUCACACACCUUUUUAAUUUUCGGCCGUCAGAUCGGAUGAAUUGAAGAAGAUUAAUGAACAUAAAUUAUCAAGGGGGGGUGUGAGAAGUAAAAUGAGGUGUGUGGAUAGCACAUCCCAAUAUAUAAUAUUUGUCGAAGUAUUUUGUAUAUAGUUGAGUCACAUGAAGUUCAAGAUUCCAGUUAGUAUAUCAUUUGACGCUUACCAUCAUCUAAUCUUUGGCAUGUAUAAUCCAUGCGGUUGCUUCACAAAAUCUGUUCGAAUAAUCUCCAUUAAAUGACUUCUGUGUUUGUGACCUUUUACUCAAAUUUUAUAUAUUUUCUCCUCUCUAAUUUGUGUUUUUUGCCGUGUCAGAAGAUUAUUUUUGUAUAAGAUAUAAAUCUUAGAAACAUUCACCCAUUGUUUAGUUUCUUUGACGAAUUUUGUAGUGUUAGUUCUGCACCAUUUCAGUUUGGCUUGGAUUGGAUAAAUAAUAGCAUUGUUUAUGCUAAUUUGCCAAUUUCCUCAUAUUUUUAAGUUAUCUCGAAGACUAAUUCUGGGCCUUUUAUUCAGCGUUUUGAAGACGUUGGGGACUUCACUGUGACAAAGAAAUUGAAGACUUAGGGUCUAAAUAUAUUUUCACAUGUAAAUAUAUAUCUAAAACUAUCUACAUGAUUCAUACAAUUUCUAAACCCUCGCAGCACCGCGCGGGCAAGCUUUCUAGUUAUAUACUAAAAGAGAAAAGCGUGGUACUGUUCAUCCAAUUUUGCUCUGAGAGCUGCUAGACCCACUUCAUUGUCUUAUUUCCUCACCCAUGUUAUAUUUACACCUAUUAUAAAAAGUUGUCAAAAAUUAAAAUGUUAUUUUCUCACCCACUAUUAUUCCUAAAAUAACCCUAUAUAUAAUUAAAGAUAAAUUUCUCUUAAGAAAAGAAUAUAAACAAAGAAUAUUACACGUUUGGUCGGGAUUGAAAAUGGAGAAGCUUACUCAAGUCCGAACCCAUGUUUUAACUUCCCUCAGCAGUUUACUUUGUCCUGCAAUAUGUUUGUCUUUAAAAGUCGAUUUGCACUUGGUAUGAACAAGAUGAUCUUUUCACUUCAUUAAUGGCUGAUGUCUUUUUUGCUUGGCAUUCUUACCAGUUAGGCCCUCAGAUAACAUUUGGAACCUUUCCUGGGGCUCGUAAGAAAACCCUUCCUAAAAAACGUUCUCUUGGCCAGGCCACUCGAAACACUUGGUUCAUUACCAUCGCAAUCAGGGUAAAAUAAAAAAAUAUGUCUUGCCUUUUUGUAUUGUCAUAAACUCAUUAAAAAACAAAUUUACUCUACGAUAGCAGUAUGCAACAAUUGAAGCUUAAUUCGGCAUCAAUUCUAACUUUAAAGGGAGAGAGAGGUGGUGCUUGUGGUAAGUACGGGCUAAUGAAAAAUCGACCACGCUUACCGUUGUUUAGGUUUUCAAUUCUAAAUCAACCACGCCUACAGCAGUAUGCAACAAAUUUACCUCAACCUAAUGAACGAUGUCGAUAGAGCUAUGCUUCAAUUCCAGAAAUUCUCAUUCAAAAACAAAUUGCACCCUAAUCUAGUGCAAAUUCAAAUAAAAAAUCACAAAACUAUGCUUCAAUUGUACGAUGUCGGCAAAUCAAGAUGACCUAUAUAAAUUAUCUUUUACCUCUUUGACGGAAAUACAAUCAUCUAGUUCUUCCAUAGAAACUCUAUCUUCUAAGUUCAUUCUUUUUGCUUUCUCAAAAUGAUUUUGCUUUUUCUGAAUGAAAGGAGAUAGGAAUGAUGAGUUAGGGUUUAAGAGAGACAAAUUUCCUAAACAUAGUGUGAGAGUUAUCACGUCCAAACUUUUUUUUUUUUUUUUUUUUUUUUUUAUAAAAAAAAGUAAUGUAAAAUGGGGUAACUAAGGUUUUUAUUAGUCAUUUUACAAAUGAACAAAUAUGUAAUUAAAAAAUGGCACACUUUGGAUGCGGUCGCUAGCUAUCAAUAUUCUUUGAUUGAAAUCUUGUUAGUUUUUAGUUUUUGAUUGAGGUCCCUAACAUUAAUGUAAUGAUAUAAGUUACUAUAUUUUUUUAAAUUAAAAAUUAAAAAUUGAAAUUUGUAAUUGUUUAUAUUAAUGAGAUUUUAAAUAAAAUCCAUAAUUUAUGGGAUUAAAAAUAAUAAAAUAUAAAUUAUACUCUCUAUUGUAUUGUGUGUGUACACAUAUAUGUAUGGGUACAUUAACCAAAAUUAACAAAAAAAGUUAUUCUACCAAAACAUGGAUACAUUCUCAAAUCAACGAAAAAGAAUGUACCCAUAUAAGUUUAAACAUGGAUUAAAAAAUUUGAAUGGAUUUUAUAUUAAAAAAUGGUACAUUUUACAUAUAACAAAUUGAUAUAUUUGAGAAUGGAUACAUUUAAGAUUAAAAAAAUUGAAAAAUUAUAUGAAUGGGUACAUUUAAGAUUAAAAAAUUGAGAAUCUUUUUAUAUAUAUAUAAAAAAAAAAAACUAAUAGGUACAAACUUAAUUUAAUUUAAUUUUUUAUUAUUUUGGAAAUGUUUGAAUUGAAAAUUAAUUAGAAGUUUAAUAGAGGUGUGAGUAUUAAACCCUAAAUUAAUUACUAAUUUUUAUAUUAAAAAUUUAUAUAAUAAACAUGUAAAUUCAUUAUCACAUUAAUGCUAGAGACUUGAAUCAAAAUUUGAGAACUUAUAAGGUCUUAGUCAAUAAACAGUAAGAACUAGAGACCGGAUACUAAUUUUUUCUUAAAAAAUUUAUAAAAAUAUAAGUGGGAAGAUAAGACAUUAAGUGGAAUUGACCGCUCUCUUUUGCCAAGGAGUUGCUCUGUAAGUGUACAUUUUUGUGUGUUUUAUACAGUAAAAUGGCAUUUUUGUCCCUGCAGUGCAGUGCAAUGGAAAUCCCUUAAUUUCUUCAGAACCCGCACUCAGCUUCGCCAUCUCUCUUCCAUCUCUGCUCUUUUCGAUCUCUGCUUCGCGCUCUUCAAUCUUUGGUCCUUCGUCAGUGAGCGUUGGGAGGGUUUCAAGGAUUUCUGGUGCGAACGAUUCUCCUUCCUCACCAACUACUCCAAGUUCGUUAAGCAGGACAAGCCCCUUCCUCCCUGGUCCUACUCUGACGUCGAAGCCUUCAUUGCUCUUGACCCUGUUCAUGGCCCCGCUGUAAUUUCCUGCCCUUCUGUUUUUUUAUCCAUUCUUUUCAGUUUAUAAGUGUUAAUGGUAAAUGGGUUUCUUUGAUUUCGUGUUUUUGUGACCUCUGUGGACCUGGGUGUUUGUAUUUUUGUUUUCCUUUUGAUAUUUUUCCUGUUUUGUCAUCUGGGUAUUUGUUUAUGUUUCUCCUUGAUUUAAUUGUUGAGCUGUGCCCCUUUCUGUCAUUGAUGUUCGAGUGCUCAAUCUCUUGGUCGAGGUCACUUGGGUGUGUCUAAUUUCGGGAUAUGAAGGUUUUGUAUUUUCUGUUUAUCCUCCUCCUUUACCCGAACGAGAAAUCUGAAAUCAACAACCCAAAACUCACUCAUGGUAGCCCUUGGCUUGCCGCAUUCCUCGUAUCCUGGUGGUUCAUUCUCUCCAUUCGAUUCAAUUUCGGUGAGUUCUUCGUUGAUCCUUUCCCAAUUUGGUUUUUUUGGACGUCUUCAGACGUGGUUUUGAUUUCGGUGAGUUCUGGGUUAUUGCUUUUGGCUUCUGGGUUUUUAUUUUUCGGCUGUUUGAUGAAUCUCUGUGUGAGAUUUUGGGGGGUUUUUUAGUUACUUUGUAUUUGGGGUUUUGGGUAAGCAAAGAAACUAAAAGAAUUCAGUUUUAAUGAUCAAAUCAGUUUCUUUUAAGAGUUCUGAUUAGUAGUUUGGAUGGCUUAUACAUAUAAAUAUACAACCCAUAUUGUUAAUUGUAUGUAAGAAUUGACUCAAGACUGGAAAAAUAUGAACUUAUCAAUGAACUCCUUCAAUUCAAUUCUUUUAUGAAUGGGUUAUCUUAUACCACCUGUUUGUGGAUGAGAUCGUCUACCAAAAGAGUAGGGAGUGCAAACCAGAAGGAUGAAUUAAAGGUAAAUUGUACUAAAGAUGGUAGUAACUCAUAAAUUCCCACUUCUCUUUGACUCCUUCCUCUCUACUUGCAGUAGUUGUGACUGAUUUUCCCUUUUGGUUCUAUCUCAGGAGUUUGUCAAGGAGAAAGUUUGUGAACAAAAAAACAUCUAAUCGAGAGGUAUUUUCCUUUUGGCUGAUAUCACGAAUUAUAUUUGGGUGUUUAUGUUUGAUGUUUGUGUUUGAUGCUAUUUUUUAGAUGUUUAGGUAAUUAGAUUCUUCUUAUCUGGGAGUUUAUUUUUGUAUGUUCAAUCUGAAUAUUUUAUCAAUAUUCUCACAUUGUCUUCUUUGUUUUUAAUCUGUAAUUUAUCUUUCUUUCUCCAAUUCGUGAAAUUCCUUUUUCUGGCAUUUAAAAAGAAAUGUGAGGAAUCUAAUUAUCCGGUUGUUCGAGGGUUUUGAUCUGAUUGCAGUAUUAUCUGUUAUCUGUAUGUUUGUGAGGGUCUGUGAAUCACAGCUGAUGAAAAACUUGCAGUUUGAUAAAUGACUGUCAGUAAACAAGACGUGAAAAAGAAGGUUCAUUUUCUUAUUUUUAUUUCCAAAUUCUUCUACUUUUCUAUUUUGUAGAUAAAUUUUUUUUGGAUCUUUAGGCAAACAGAUGGUGUUUUUAAUCAGAUUUUGUUAAUUAAUUGGAUUUUGUGUUUAACCCUUUUGGUUAGUGUAUGUUUAGUUUAACUCUCCUAGCCGGAAGGUAGGUUAGUGUAUGUUUAGUUUAAGUCCCCUGAUUUUUUUAUUCGUUUGUUUUGUUGGGUGAUGCAGUUUGAUCGGAUCCAGUUGUUGGAUAAUCCCUGAAGUAACAAGAAGGAACUGACUACUGGGAUUUUUUUUAGCAAGUAAUAAUUCUUAAUUACUUACACGUUUUAAUUUCAAUUUAUGAUUUGAUUGGCCCUUAUAUAAAUUUCGAGCCCCACAAUUGUUGGACCAUUGAUAUGUUAUGAGUGUAAAUAGUAAAUCCGUUUUGAGUAUGUUAGUUAAUGGGUUAUGUGUUGGGAGAGUCACUUUGCAUAAACAACUUGUAGUAGCUCAUACAUUUGACAUAGCACUCCUUUUAUUACGAAUGGUUGAUAUAACAAAUGCUAGGAAUGCAAUCCAUAUAUACUUCAAUUAUGAACUCUAAUUACAUAAUACUGUGGUGAGCUCAAGAGCUUUUGAUUUGCUUAAGAGGGAGACCAGGUGUUUGACUAAACACAUCUUUUUUGUAAUAAUGCUUUUACAUGUUUUUAGCUGCACUUUUUUAAGCAGUACAAGAAAUGUGAGAACAAUUGAAGAGAACAUAUUAGUGAUCCUCAAUUCUUCCAAGCUAAAGGCAAUUAGGAUGCCUACGAGGAUAGCAAGUCUUAAUUCUGUUGUUCCCUUUUUAUUGAUAAUUUUAUGUUUGCCUCCGGCGAAAAUUUGCCAAGGAACUAAAAUCAAUUCCACUAUCAGUUGUUUUGAAUCCCGGAAAGCUAAAAUUAGAACCCAGUUCUUGAGGUGGGAAUUGUAGCAUUUUAUUUGUAUUUUUUUUUUCCUUCCAAAGUUUUUGUCAUGGAUCAAAAGAGUUACAAUGAUUGCAUAUUUAUUUCGAAAUUGAUGAACAUGACUCACUUUUCUCAAAGUAGUUUGCACUGCUUCCAUUGUAACAAUUUGAAACUAUGUGGAAUUUGAUAUAUAUUGAUAUAGGAAUUUAAAUUCCUAUUAUUAAAUGAUAGCAUUGCAAUCUGAGUGUAAUUAGUUUAGUAUUUUUGUGAAAUGCUAUUUACAAUGUCAGAAUGAUUCUUUGAUUUCAGUUGUUAAGCUUUCUUUUUAUAUUUUCCCCUUUUUAGACAUUUGCAGUUUUGUCCAGAGUGCACGGUUUGGUUGUCUGCAUGUGGAAGAGGCUGCGAGGAAAGGAUUAUGGUAUUGGAACUUGAAUGCAGAAAUAAUACUUUUACGUUAUUCAUUCAUUAUAUCGUGUUCACUCUUUUUUCCUCUGCUGUCAUUAAUGCUGGAGCAGCUGGAUGUUGCACUGAUCUUGCUCUUAGUUUUCCAGGUAUCCAUCGUAUUACAGAGUCUGAUAAUUUAUAAAUUAGCAAUAAACUCAUUGACUGCUAUUAAAAUUUAAAUUCUUAAUAUCUAUAGAACUCCCGAUUUUUGUUCUCUCUCAUUUUUGGAUUGUUAUAACGAUCAAGUCUUUUCCUUGCUAAUCAAUAAAGCAGUUUCUGUACAGUCUAUUGUAUCUUUAAUUUAGAAUACCUUAUUUAAUUUGCAGGUGCAACCCAGGCUCUUCUACAAAGCUGUCUCACUUUUGGGGCGUUCUCAUUUGUUAUUGAAGCCCUAAACAAGCAGCAGCCGGCUUUAGCACAACCAUUUUCUGUGAGGAAGAAAAGUGAGCAAGUUCGUCCCUUGGUGCUCCCCCUUCAACUUUCACUCACGGGAGAACUAAAAGCGGGUUUCACCUUUUGCAAUUCCUUGAAGAAUCGCAAGAAGGGCACUUCUCACCAGCCUAAGAAAGGUUGUUCCAAAAAGGCAGCACAGCUUGGACCUCUUUACGAGAAUUCAGGGUUUUUGCUCGCCAGACAAUGAUAGGCGAAUCACCACAAGCAGCAGUAAUUAUGCUGCAAACUGAAUUCAGGAUGACUAACCUGGAGUCUUCAUGGUGGUCGCACCUCUCCUCAUCUCUGCUCCUCCUCCAAAACCCUUCUGUAGGUUUCCGAACUUAAAUUGUAUUUUCUCUCUCUUUCUGCCCUUUAGAAGGGUUUCGGAAAAAUAAUUGUAUUUUUUUUUACUAUAAUUUUGGUUUUGAUGAUAAAAUUUGGAUUUGCCCAUUUGGGGAUUUUCUAGUCCAGGACCUAGGAAACAAGUAGCAAUGCAGAGGCCCUGUUGGAGAGAUUGUGGACCUCUGUUAAAUCACAGUCCAGUGAAGGGAUUAGCCUGUCCGACUUUGUGUUUUAGAUGAAUCCGUUUCGGAUUGGGAGAAAAUUUAAACCCAGAAAAAGUUGGGUUUCCUGGUGAAUUGUCCGGCAAAUUUCAGGUGGCUAAUUUCGUGAUUACAGUUAAUUUUGCGUCAUGACAUUGUGGUAUGCUAUCGAAUCUAAUUGGCGAUUUUUUUGUAUGCUUUUUGUGUGGAUGCAGGUCGGCAACGAACAGAUUGAUCACAUCAUGAGUUUUCCGACUGAUUUAUUCAAUCCUAUCAGUUCUGAUUGCCCCUCCAUAACAUUUGCAGCACCAUCUGCCUUGCUCUCAGCAUAGCUUGGCUUUCAGUUCCUCAGGUAAAGUUUCUACCUUUUUUUCUUCUGGAAAAUAACAAUGAUUCCAAAUUUAUUGAACUAUUUAGUGAUUUUCUGUUGAGUUUCUUCUUAAAAUUUUUAAUUUAAAUUUUUUCAUUUGGAAUAGGGGGAAUGGUGGAUGUGAGAGUUUCUUUUACAACAAUUCAAAGGGAAGAGCUUGAGAGACAGUAGACUCUUCCCCUAUUCCUCCACAUUCACUUUUACCAAUUUUUCCAAGAACACAUUAAAUUCCCUCAAAAUAUAAGCUGAGGUAUGAAAAAGCUUCAAAUUCCUUGGUUUCCUCCAAUUAGUAUGCAGAACUCUCAAAAAAAAAGAAGAAGUGAGGGUUGAAUGUCUACCCUCAUAUACACACAGAGAGAUAUGGAAAAAUUUAGAAUGGUGAAGUGAGGGUUCAAUGACUUAUUACUCAUUUGGUUCUAUUUAAAUAAAGUUCGCUGAUUGGGUUGAUUUGUGUUGUGUACAUAUACAUCUUGGGUUUUUUUUAUGGACUUAUUUAUUUCUGUAUCGAUUGCUGACAUAAUGGAUAGGGUGCCAAAGAGAAAGGUGGCAUUAGGAAUAAUGGCUUUUUGAUAGAAGUAGAGUUUGAUCUCUUCAUUUGGGUUGUGCAUAUUUCGUUUGAUCUCUUAUUUUGGGUUGUGUAGAUUUCGUUUGAAUUAAUUUGGGUUGCCAUUUGUAAUUCUCUGUUUUUUCACUCAAACAUUGUUUAUGAAAAUUGAAGCUAUAAAAUAUUUCAUAUGAUUUUCAAUCCCGCAGUAUUGCGUGGGUACAAGUUUCUAGUUUAUAUAUACUAAAACUGAGUUUUAGGAUGGCACUAUUGAUCUAUAGUGUGCGGACGGAUUUGCCCCUCAUUUUCUUUAGUGUUCUCUGAUUUUGGUGGGAUUGUGCAAUGAAUUGGCCAUUUUGCCAUUAAUCAUACCUGCUGCGCGUGCCUGCUGCCCGUGUGGCUUUCGUGUUUUGUGGGAAAGAUGCUGGAACCCUUUCCUCUUCUUUUCUCCUCUCUCUCUCCCGUCUGUGUUUUGCCUUUUUCGAUCUCUCUAUUUCUUUCGUUUCGAUUCUGAUCUGAUCGUUGAGUGAUCAGUAUUGGCAGGCGCAAGGACACGGUGGAUCUGCAGGUAAAAGUUCUUCUCUGUACAAUAGUUACGAACUACAGUUUGUGUUUGGAUGGCUGUGAUUCAUGUUACAUGAUCUUGGUGAUUCAAUGUUUUAGAUUGGAUUUUUGUGGUUUUGAAUUUGUGGGUUUUUUUUUUUUUUUUUUUUUUUGCUCUGUACAACUUUUGUAAAAGUGAAGUGUUCAUUUUCAAUUUUGAGAUUGAAUUGAAGUGUGUAGAAUUUAAUUCAAGCAGAUUUGGUUUGGUUUCAUUACAUUUGAUUGUUUGAUCUUUACUGCUAGAGUAUUAGAUGAAAUCAAAAUUUAGUUUAGAGAUUGGAGUGAUGGAUUAUAUUAAUUUCCUGGCAAAAUUCAUGUUUUUAUCAUUAUUAAAGUAAAUACAUAGACUUGAUGCAAAAUUUGGAUUCUUCAGAGGAGCAGAUUAUAGUUUUUCAGUUUGAUUUAUAGUUUUGUUUAAUUAGGAAUAUAGUGAAAAUGAAAAUGAACAAAAAAGGGUUAGUGAGAAAAUGACAAGUUUUCUUUGUGUUUAUUACAAAAUUAGUAAGUUGAAAAUUUUGAGAGUAUAUUGCUUCUUGGAGCAGGUAUUGUUUCGAGAGUGUGAAUCCCAUGUCGGGAAUUGAAGUGUUACGUAAAUAGUUUGAAAUAUCUCGGGCGUCUCCACCCGUUGCCAAUUGGUUUCGGGUCGGAUGCUCGAAUUGCAAUAGAAUAAAAAGUAUAGUUGUUUUUUUUUAUCAUCUUUCAUUGUUUGAGUGGGGAAUAUAAUCUUUAUACAAAUUGCUUCCUGAUGGUGUUUGUAUGGUUCUGUAUUUAUGUGUGUGAUCCUUCAUCCCGACUUUGAAUGCAUAAACUAGCUGGAUGAAGAGGUUUUGUUGUUAUUGCCUUGCCCAAAACAAGGAUUUCAUUGAGGGCUAAAUAGAUUUCUUAUAACUGGGUUCUUAUGUCGUCAGGGAAGGUUAAGAGUUCUUUAUCCUUUUUCGUAUUUCAGUCAAAUGAUGUAUCUUUUGACAUCUGUGCUAAGUGCUUCGUGAUUCCUAUCAGUCAAUUGAUGUAUUUUUCAGUCAGUGAAAUGCUAUUAUGAAUUGGAGUGGUUCCUAUUGUCCUUGAGUGAUUCCUAUCACAACAAUCAGGGAGGAAAUCCCUCUGUGUUUUGUUUUUUUCUUAUAGGUCUAGGAUUAUUCAAAUGAUACAGCACUGAACAAGAGUUAGGACUUCAACUCAGUGUCGCAAAAACUUACUACCAAUAGAAGGUUUGUAAGCACUAAUACUCCGACUCAGAUCCUUACCGAAGUUAUUUUGAAAGUUGAAACGAUAUAGCAGUAGGCCCAAGGUUAUUAGAUGAAAUCAAAAUUUAGUUUAGAGAUUGGAGUGAUGGAUUUAGUAAAUUGAUACAUAUCUUGCCAGUUAGAUUAUGUAUUUGAAGGAUUUUUUUUUUUUUAAAUAAAUCCCUUAUUAAACACGUUUUAACAAUUGGUCUUUGGUUCUAUAUAUUUGAUAAAAAAUUGAGUGCAAAGAGUAACCAGUUUGAUUGAAGUGUGUUAUCACCAUUCUCUUACAUGCUUAAAUGAAUUGCCACUAAGUUCAGACAUGUAAAAUUGUGUAAUCAGACCUCAAGAAGAGAGCUAAAGCAGGGAUUUAAACCAAGAGGACCAAAGCAUAAUCUUGACAGCUCCAAAGGAACAACUUGAGGAAUGUGUGGAUAAACACUUUUGUAUAUAACAAUCUACCAAAUGUUUUCAAUGUAUUAAUGUUUUGCAACAUAAUCUUUUAUAUCUUGCACGCAUAAUCUUUCAUACAAUUUCCAACCCUGUAGCAAUUUGUGGGUACAAAUUUCUAAUGAGAACUAAAACUUAGUUUAUAUGUGAAUCUGCUAGGGUUCCCAUCAGCACGUGUGGCUCGUGUGAAGAGGCUCAGCGCUUCAAGCUAUUCCAGCAGGUCACGGGUUCCAGUCCAGCACGCAGCACAACUUUUGGGAUUUUAUUUUUCAGCGCCUUCUUUGAUGCUCUCGUGUCCCAGGUUCGAUCCCAGGUGUGUCCUCUUCCAUUCCCUUUAUUUUAUUUUUCGUUUUGUAUCAUUUUAUACUUUGUUCUGCUUUGUCUUUUGUUUUAUUUUCUAGUUUUAUUUUUCGUCUUUCUAUUUCUAAUCAAUUAAGGUGGUGUUUUAUUUUUAUUUUGUUGUUUUAGUUUAUUUUUGUUUUUCUUCUACUUUCCACACCUUGAGGAUAAUGUGUGAUUUAAGUUUGAAAGUGGGAAAUAAGAAAUUUUAGAUUUUUAAUUUUUGAGUCAAAUUAAAAAAUUUCAUUCUUUUAAGUUAAUAUCCAUAGUUUAUUUUAAACGUUAGAACAAAUGAACAUAGUGAGGGUUCAUCUCAUAGUAGAGUCUUUUCUAUUUAUUAUUGCUUAGACGCUAAUUCAUGAGUUAUACUUUGAAAUUUGCAUGUUCACUUCAACAUGGUUUGUGGGGAGUGAGAUUGAAACACUUACUUUUAGUUUGAAUGUAUUUUAAUUUUUGUUUUUAGUAAAGUUUAGUAUGUGUUACAAAUAAAGUAAUAAUUGUUUCACCUGAAACUUUGCUUAGUAAUCGGGUCAGUCCUGCCUAAUAAGCAGUGAUUCUCGCGUAAAACGGUUAAGUUUUGGCAUGGGGUAGGGUGGUUAGUUGGUUUUGUAGUCUUUUCAGCUUGAGUUAAUAAGUCGGUGUUCUACAUCUAAUGCCCUAAAGCCUUUGUGGUUUGGGAGUCAUUGACCUAAAGCUUGUUACAUGGGUUGGAUCGAAAGCUUAAGGGAACUGACAUUGCACGACAACUACUGUUACUAGAAGAAAAAAAGCGAAAAAAGAAAAAAAGAAAUAUAUAAAGUUAGUAUGUAUGGAAUAAAGAGUACGAAAGGUAGGGAUUUUAGUCGAGUCUCUUUAACAUUGUUGGUUCACUUUACAUCAGAUGAAGUUCAUGAAUUCUUUUCUAAUUUUUUCUAAAUGGCUUAGAGACUCUGUGGUGGGAUUAGUUGGAACUUUUGGAAAGAUGUUUUGAUUUUUAACAUUUGUUAUCUAUUGCAACUUGAAGAUGAAAAUUUUGUUUUAUUUGAGUUUUAAUAAAGUUUCUAGUUUGUUAGUUUUUAAUUUGUUUUUGAGUUUUGUUUUGCUUGAGGACAAGCAAAAAGCUAAGUUUGGGGGUUUUUUGAUGAGUCGAUAUUAUACUAUAUAUUUUACCCAUUCUUAGUUAUAGUUUAUUGGUUAUUUCGGUAUAAUUUUGAUACUUUGGAUUAUAUUUUUAAUGUAGGACAUUUGAAUUCCUCUGGAGCAAAAAUUGAUCAAACGGAUGAAUUUUGGAGUGAUUCUAAUUUGAGGAUAUUCGGGAGUCUUUCAAGAUGAUUGUAUCAAAAUUUCAGAUUUUUUACCAAGCCGUUUAACUGUGGCAAUGAAAAGAAGGCCCAACGCGCAGCUUUUCCAGAUUGAUAUUUCUGGAUGUUUUGGGUAUUUUGGAGGUCAAGAUGGCAUAUUUUGAGGAAGAUUUCUUCUGAGGAUUUGUAGGGGAUGUUUCCAUCUUUCAAAAGAGACCUUUUGGGACUAAAUCAGAGUUGAUUUGGUCGGUCAAAAGACUGAUUUUCUGAAAAGUCCGAAUUUUAAUUCAAAUAAGAAUCCUUUUAUUUUCUAUUUUAUUAUUUUAUUAUGUUUCCUAGUUUUAUUCUAAGACUUUUUAGGGUUUUAUUUUUGUAGUAGUAUAAAUAAAGAUAUUUAGCCAUUAGGGUUAAAAAGGAGGGAGGCGGACGCAUAAAAUUUAGGCAUUCGCUACUUAGAGAGCUCUUGACGAUUCAAGUUUAUUUUUAAGAUGUUUUUUAUCCAUUUUUUUAAUAAUAUUUUGUUUUAUGGUUGUUAGUAACUAGUUUCAUUUGCUAAGACGAGGCCACGAGCUUUAGUAAGAAUAUGUAGUUUCUUUUCAAUUUACUUAAGAUAUUAUGCAUGUAGGUUUUGAAUUAUUAAUCACCGGUUUAAACUAUCUAAUUGUCUUGAUAAUUGGCCACCAUUAGGGUAUUUAGAAAAGUAAUUUGAUGCAAUUUUGGUGGAGGGUUGUCCUUGAAAUUAGCGCUGAUUUUUUGUGGUUAAUAUAUGUAACUUCUUAGGAUGGACGACACAUUUAAAGGGUUAUAAGGUUUUUCAAAAGGAUUUCACAAAACUUAAUGAGUCUUGCAUGUUUAAAUUCGAUGAUGCCAUGGAUGAGUUGUAUGUUAGAAAUUAGAGGUCCAAAGUAGGACAUAUUUUAAGAAAACCUAACCUUCAAAAUAUGCAUGGGUAAUUCAUAAGUAAUUGGAAGAACUACGUAGGAUUGUUAAGGUGACGACGGGAUCCUAGUGCUCAAAUUUAUUUUCAAAACUAUUUUAUUUUGUUUUAUUUACUUUGCCAAUUUAUUUAAUUGUGUUUAAUUAAAUUCGUUUUUAAUAUUUUAGGCAAUAAAAUCGACCAUUUCAAAACUUUGUUUUCAAAUAAUUAAUUAAGAUUUGAUCUUUACAUAUUAUUCAUUCAAUCCUUAUGGCAAACAACCUUACUUGAACUACUAUACUACGACAACGGGAGUCUUUCUUCCUAGAUGAGACUUCUUCUCUCCUCUUGUCUGAGGUUUUCCUUCUUGAUUUUCUGUUCAGCUGCCGACCCUGGCUAUGUCCAAGGUCGGUGGCAAUCGUUUCCUAUCUUCUACAGUUUUUUCCCUCAUUCCUUUCUGUUACUGUUUUCCCCCUGUUAUCCAUCCCGAUUAGUGUGACCUAUGCACCCUUAUUACCAUCAUUCCUACUCAAUUAUGUCCUCAGAUCCAUCCCUUCAUCUUCAUGUCCCCCAGUCAUCCUCUACAACUCCGGUCAACCCCACAAAUCCGAUCUCCUCUAUCUUCGGCUUGGCUCUGCCUUUCAUCAAUUUAUUCUCAUAUUCGAUUUGCAGUCACUUUUAACCGCGAUCUGUCGCGGUCCAUUGAGAAGGUGUGUAGAGUUCCGGUAUGCAUAUUAGCUCGGGUGUCCACACCACCUCCUUCUCUCAGUCUGCCUUUAUUGGCAGUGUCCCUUGUGGGAUCCACCAUUGAUGCUGCACUGGCUGCUUACCACGUCUACUGGUUACACAUGUUCUGCUUGCCGCAGAAUACGAUUUCUAGACCACCACAAAGACAAUAUGAGCCUCAUGAAGGAGGGCAAACUACCCCUUGGACAUGUCAAUCGCCAUUCGGAAUAGCCUUUCUUUAAUGCUACGAGAUCGCAACAAACUCAUCUGAAAAGACAAGGGACUAACAAACGACAUGGAAAUUUUUAUGUAGAGCCUCGAUGGGCUUGCACAUACCCUGUUUUCCCUCAGCCUGUUUACCUGCUUGAAAUUUCAUUUCCAAAUAUUACUUUGCUUCCUUUUUUUAUUUUUUUGUUUUUUUGUUCCGUCAAAUAAUUUAUUAUAAUGUUUGUUUCUUGCAUUUCUGGAUUUGACAGCUUGGCUACAUGAUUUUUUUUUUCUUCGCAUGCGACUUUCUUGUUCUUCAAUUUUUUUGGCUUUAGGUUGCUCAAAUGGUUUGCGUGGAACAUUGUAGUUUAUUUUACUAUGUUUUCGGUUUGGUAGGUCGCUUAAACUCUACUUGAACCAGUGAAACCUGCUCGGUGAUGUGAGCUCGAAGUACCUAUAAAUUGAGGAGAAGAGGAGAAAUCUUGAAUUACACAAUCGCUCAGAGAAGAAGAACACGAUUGCAAGCAAGAAACAGAAAUUCUUGAUCAAACUUGAAGAGCGGAAGUAGAAGAAGGAUCGAGAAGAAUCGUGCGAGCAGUUAUGGUGAUGGAUACCAUGUUAAUGUACACAGAAAUUGAAGAAAUAGAGAGAAUCAAGAACUAGAGAGAGAAAGAUAUAGAGAGAGAAAGGAGACUGAAUAUUCUUUGUUUUGAUUACUUAAUGAUCAAGUCAUUACAUUGAAGCUUAUAUAGCACAGCUAACAAAGACAAUAUGAGCAUCAUGAAGGAGAGCAAACUACUAAACUCACAAUCUAAUGACAAAGUGUCACAAUCUUACACUAUUUAAUAUAUCCUAACACAACCUACUCCUUGGACAUGUCAAUCGCCAUUUGGAAUAGCCUUUCUUUAAGGCUACGAGAUCGCAACAAACUUUUCUGAAAAGAGAAGGGACUAACAAACUACAUGGAACUUUUUAUGAAGAGCCUCCAUGGGCAUGUACAUGCCCUGUUUUUCCUCAGUCUGUUUACUUGCUUGAAAUUUCAUAUGAAAAAAUUGCUUUGCUUACCUCUUUUUUUUUUUUUUUUUUUUUUCUUCAAAUAAUUUGUUAAGAUGUUUGUUUCUUGCAUUCUGGAUUUGACGGCUUGGCUACAUGGACCCUUUUUCUUCCUUGGGCAUGUGAUUUGCUUGUUAUUUUACUAUGUUUUCGGUUUGGUAGGUCGUUUAAUGUGGAAAUUUUCAGGUCGACGAGCCGAGGGCCCACUCUAACAACACUGAUACUAUCCCCACUUAACCACCUGCACAAUCCUCAGGUGUGGGGUUUUAUCACAAAAGACAUCGAUAUUAGUUAGAGUGGAGUAAUUCUAUUUAAAGUACUAUUUCUCCUUCCCUCUGUCCGAUGUGGGACAAUUGGUUUCAACACUCCCCCACACGUGAGACCCCAUUUAUGGGUCACACGUGAAAUUUCACACAUCGGCAACCACGUGGAGCCAUGUUGGGACUCACCCAAUCGCGUGGGGUCAUUGGGGACCCACCCAAACACGUGGCAUCUUUGGCCUACGUGGACAAUCACGUGGGGCCAAUGGAGACCCACCCAAUCACGUGGCAGUACGGGCCCGUCCCUUGGCUCUGAUACCAUGUGAAAAUUUUUAGGUCGACGGGCCGAGGGCCCACUCUAACAACACCGAUACUGUCCCCACUUAACUACCUGCACAAUCCUCAGGUGUGGGGUUUUAUCACAAAAGGCCUCGAUAUUAGUUAGAGUGGGGUAAUUCUAUUUAAAGUACUCUUUCUCCUUCCCUCUGUCCGAUGUGGGACAAUUGGUUUCAACACUUAAGCUCUACUUGAACCAGGGAAACCUGCUUGGUGAUGUGAGCUCAAAAUACCUAUUAAUCAUAUAAGUAAACCCAAUUUUAACUUGCAAGUGCACAAGACCAAUUGUAGUAUAGUAAGAGCAAGUAUGAAGUUGUUCCCACGAGUAUUCACUAGUGGAAAAAAUAGCUUGCGCGACGAAACAUUUUUUGUCGCAUAAGAGGCACUAGCGUGACGAACAAACAUAUUCGUUGCGCAAAAAUGGCAGGAAAGGAAAAAAAAUUUAGGUAAUGGCUGAUUCGGGAGAAGGCGCUCGUGAAAGGAAAGUUGUAUUGCGAGUAGAGAGGUACCAACGCAAGCAAGUUCCCUAUUAAUAUUUACAUUGAUUAUAAUAUGUAUUUGGGAUAAUAAAUUAGUUUUGUUAAUUAAUUUGGUAAUGUUUAAUUAGGUUUGAGUUUUUUUUUAAUUUUUUAUUUAGAUGAAAAAAAAAAUUUACAUUAAUAAUUUAUAAAGUAAACGAAAAAAAAAUGUAGACUUGUGCAACGAAUGAUAUAUUAGUCGUGCAAAGUGUAUUUGUGCGACGAGCACAGUAUUCGUCACGCAAAAUCAUUCGUCCAAAAGUUAACUUCCAUUUUCUCUCAAUUUCAUCAUCUAAUACUCCCUCCAUCUUCUUCUCUAGGUUGAUCGAGAUAAUUAAAUUAUGUUGAAAAUUAUGUUGUUAUGUUUAUAUUGUGUUGUGAAAUUAUAUUUAUAUUAUGUUGUAAAUUUGUACGUGACGUACAAAUAUGUGUUGUGAUGUACGGAGUUAAUUGUGAUUAAUUUCGUACUUGUUUUUUUUUUUUUUUUUUAGUAAAACUUAGUUUUCUGUUUGAGGAUUAAUUAGAUUUUGCGCAUGGAUGCGAAAGCUUGACUACGGUCCAAUUGAUUCUUGAAUUGUCCCAUUAUCUGGACAGUUUGGGAAUGCACAGUUAUGGUGCAUAGUUUAUGGUUGAAGGAUUAGGUUUCGGUUGUGACGAUUUCGGUGUCAUCUUUGUACGUUCUUUAGGUAGCACAUAGAUAUUUCAUAUCUACAUUGUCCAUUUGAAGAACUGUACCAAGAUGUUGCUGAAAUUCCUCCAUGUUGAAAUCUAAUCUGAUGUAGCCGUAAUUUACCUAACAUAAUGUUGCAUUCCAAAAUGGGAUAAGGCCCUUACCGGAGGCAUAAGGUGACAAUAUCAUUUGUAUGAAGUUGUUGUGAUUGUUGUACUUUUAUUGUGGUUGCAAGAAUUAUGGACAGAAUGUGGAUAUAGAACCCGAAUAGAUGUGCGGACGAAUACUUGGAUGGAAUCGAGAAUUUUAUUGAGUUUUCAUGUACACACAACCUGGGUGCAACUAGAAUCCGGUGUCCAUGUAGGAGGUGUAACAACACGUUAAGGGACACAAUUGAAAAUGUUUGAUUUCAUUUAGUAAGGAAUGGAAUGGUAGAUACUUAUAAUACUUGGAACCACCAUGGGGAACAAUUAGACAAUGCUUCGUCUUCAAACGCCACAAUAGUGGGCAAUGUUGAACCUAUUGUGGAUCCUAAUGAACAAGUCAUGGAUAUUAUAAAUGAUGCUUUUCUAUUUGCAUCAACAAACACCAAUUAGGAAGGGGAAGAUGACGUGCCUACAACAAUGGACAGUGCAAAGUUCGAACAAUAUGAAAAACUAUUAAAAAAUGCCAACCAAGAGUUAUACCUUGGGUGCGAGAGCUUUUCAGUUCUCACGGCUAUUGUGGAACUAAUGCAUGGAAAAAUAAAGUAUCAUAUGUCGAACCAGUGUUUCGAUUACUUUUUGGGGGUUUUCAAGAGAAUGCUUUCAAAGGACAAUUGUUUGCCGAAAGACCAUAGACAUGCACACAAGGUGUUGAAUGGUCUUGGAUUGAGUUAUGAAAAGAAUUCACGCUUGCAAAAACAAUUGGAUAAAUGCCCUGUAUUUUAUUCCAUAGAGAAUGAAGCAUUGGAUAGAUGCCCUGUAUGCAAUGAGUCGAGGUUCAAAAUGACAUAUGAGAAUAGAAUGACUAAGAUUCUACAAAAAGUCAUGCAUUAUCUGCCUUUGAAACCUAGGUUGCAGCAAUUGUAUAUGUCCAUGCAUACUGCCAGUGACAUGAUAUGGCAUAAGGAAAAACCGGUAGACGAUGACGUGAUGAGGCAUCUUGCAGAUGGGGAGGCAUGGAAAAAGUUCAAUCAAACGUUCCUCAAGUUUUAUGUUGACCCUCUAAAUGUUAGAUUGAGACUUGCCAUUGACGGAUUCAAUUUGUUUGAGGCUCUAAACCUAUGGCCGAUUUUGGUAUUUUCAUAUAAUUUGCCGCCUUGGAAAUGCAUGAAAAAAUAAUACAUGAUGAUGACUCUUUUGAUAACUGAGGAUCCUGGUAGGUCAAUCAAUGUUUACUUAAGGCUGUUGGUAAGGAUUUAUGGACAAAUGGUGUGUGCAUGUACGAUAAGUGUAUUGGGAAGAUGUUCACUUUGCGAGCAGCAAUUAUGUGUACUGUGAACGAUUUUCCCACAUAUGCAAUGGUUUUUGGGUGGAGCACUAGGGGUUAUAUGGCAUGCCCUGUAUACAAGGAUGAUGUAACAUCUGGUUGGCACGUCGAAAAAGUUUGUUACCUUGGGACCACAAGUGGCGGGAAAAGGAUAAAGAGUUCGACGAGAAAAUAGAGCAUCGCCUUAGACCUAGAGAAUGGUCCGGUGAUCAGAUUUUGAAACAGCUUAAUUGUUUGGAUUUUGCUCCGUUCGGGAAAAUAGUGAGCAGGACUAGACCUUCUACACAUAUGAACUGGACGCACAAGUCUAUGUUUUUUGAGCUCCCGUAUUGGUCGAAACUAAAAUUGAGACACAACCUCAACGUUAUGCAUGUUGAGAAAAAUGUAUUUGACACAUUGGUGGGCACCAUUCUAGAUAUCGAGGGCAAGACAAAGGAAAUGAUCAAAGCUCAUCUUGAUUUGGAAAUAAUGGGUAUACAGAGGGGUUUAUGGAUGAAUAGGGACAAUGAUAAAGUUAGAAGGGAUCUUGCGUUUUUUUCCAUGAAACCGAAUGACAAAAAAGAGUUUUUAAAGAUUGUAUCGUCUGUAAAGUUUCCCGAUGCGUAUGCAUCCAAUAUUGCGCAUUGCUUCAAUGUUGAUGGGGGUAAAUUUGCUAGACUAAAGAGCCAUGACUGCCAUGUGGUUAUGCAACGCCUAGUUCCUGUGGGUGUUUGACACCUAUUGCCGAAAGAUGUUGUGAAGCAAAUCAUGUUGCUGUCCAGAUUUGUUUCCUAAUUGAUGGCAAGAACGUUGCGAAUGACAAACGUUAAUCAGUUGCUCCAUGACAUUGUCCAAGUCCUAUGCAAGUUUGAGAUGAUAUUCCAUCCAGCUUUCUUCACAAGUAUGAUCCACAUGAUGGUUCACUUACCGGAAGAAGCAUUGCUUGCUGGUCCUAUAACCUAUCGCUAGAUGUAUCCAAUAGAAUGUAUAUAAUCCUUAUCAUUUGUUUAUUCAUCAUUAACCCACGCUUGCUAACUUGUAUCGUAUCGUUUUAUUUUGGCAGCCUUCUCGAGGAGUUGAAAAAAAAGCACACAACAGGGCGAAGCCUGAAUGAUCAAUUAUAGAGGCUUGGGUUCAAUAUGAGUCGCUUACAUUUUGUGGAAUGUAUUUAGAAGAUCUGGAGAUGACUUUCAAUCGUCCUCAGUGCAAUAGUGACAAGGGUGUGAGAAAGGAGAAACUUUCAGUUUUUGCCCAAUGUGUACGACCCUUUGGAGAUCUUGUAAGAGGCGAGUCGUUUUCCAAAAAUUACAUGGAGGUAGCUCAUUGGUUCGUACUGAAUAAUUGUGACGAGACAAUAACAUACCUAGAUGAGUAUGAAGAGAUGAUGAAGCGAAAACAUCCAUCACAUUGGUAUGCCAAGAAACACUGAGAAUUAUUUCCACAAUGGUUUCUCGAAUAUGUAAUUUAUAAAUGUGUUGUAUUCGACAUAUAUAUUGUAGUAUUUAAUUUUCUAGAACUAACAGGUGUAUGUUUUUGUAUAAUGUUAGGUGAAUAAAUUGAAAGCCUCGAAUUCCCCCACUUACAGUGAAGAGUUAUAUAACUUGGUGUUUGGCCUAAUUCCGCUGAAUUGUUCUCGGGUUGCUAUGUUAAUGGCGUCAAGUUUUUGGGGGCUGUAUGAGAUGACAAGUUGUGUAUGCAAAAUAGCGCAGGUGGAGGCGAAAGUACGGACAUUGAUUUCUAUGGCAAACUAACAAGUGUCGUGCAAUUGCUUUACAAAGACAGAUGCCAAGUGAUCAUGUUUAAGUGUCGAUGGUUUGAUACAAACCCAAAUAGGUAUGGAAGUGUUAAAAUCGACCAUGGCUUGCUAUCUGUGAAACACUAAUAUAACUUGGUACAAUGAAGACCCUUACAUUUUGGCAAACACGGAAAGACAUAUUGUGUACCUAGAUGACCUUAAAUCAGGGAGAGGUUGGAAAGUUGUUCAGAAGAUGGAUCAGAGGAAUGUGCAUGCUAUACCAGAACAGGACACUACUGACGACGAUGUCGACAACGUCCCUGACCAACGUUUAGAAUCUUCAAUGGAAAAUGAUGUGGAAACAUUUCGAGAUACAAAUCUUAUCCAAGAACUGUUCCAUAUACAAGGAGUGGCUUCAAUUGAAAUACGGAUUCAGUCAAUUACAAAUGACCUCGGUAAUCUUCCGCGAUACGAUAGUGUAGUGGGCCUGAAUGACUACGAUGACGUACCUAUCAAGGAAGAGGAUUGGGAGAUCGAAAGUGAUGAUAGCGACGAUACUGAAAGUUAUUAUAAUUCGGAUGAUGAAUAAUGCAAUUCAUUUAUGAAUUGCUCUGUAAAACAUAUUAAAUGAUUUUUUUUUGUUGUAAUUUAUUUAUCUUAUGUUAUAAAUAAAUUGUUUUUAUUUGAAUAAAUAUAAAUUAAAAAAAAUUUGACCCUUAAAUUUUCAGCUAAUUGCGUGACGAACAAUGAAUAUUCAGAGUAACCAUAUACCUGAAUUUUGAGCCUCCACUCUUAUCUCGAAUACCCUUGCAAUAGCACAUAUCAUAAUUGACAACAACACGACAACUUGAGUCUGGAAUUUCAUCAAACACAUUGAGAGCAAGACGAGUUUUCUCAGCAGGUACAAUAAAGGGGUCAGCUUCCUCUAAAAAAUUCAUCUUUUUUCGCAUUAAGAACAAAACCCAAACCACAAAUUGCCAGAAAAUCCAUUGAGUUGAAUUCAGAGAGACAAACAGUUCCGUCUUUGUUAUAUGCAGUAGCAUUUUCAGAUUCAUUUGUACAAGAAGAAAUAAGGAUUGUACCAAUCUUGUACCUGAAUAUUCCUGAAUGGUCCUUCCAAAUCUUGUCUUUUGGUAAACCUCCACCUUUGUCACGAAUGCCUUUGUGGGGCCUUUGGUUUAGGCCUUGAGGCUCACAAUCAAAGCUAGUAGGGAUAUGAGUGUUCCACAAUUAUCUUUUUGUAUAACAGAUUGUUGUAUAAUUGUGAGUUAGGUCGAUUACUUGCGCCUUAAGUUAUUUAGACUUCUUGUUUAUCAAAGGAUUGUCACAAAUGGAUUAAGUUUGUAUAAGGUUAGUUUCUUGCCUUGUAAACAAGGACUUUUACUUAUAACAUUGUAUGUCCAAAAUGAAGGCAGUUCAGGGCCCUUCCAACCAUUUCCUUGAUCCAAGUUUGCUUUAAUGAAAAAAAGUUCAUUAACUUAUCUAGAUUUGAUUAUAGAUGAAACUUUUGAGUGGAAAAAGUCGAAAAUGACUUAAAUGCACGAAGGAAAAUGCAUUAAACAACAAAUCUACUAUAUAUAAGUACAAUGAAAAGAGAUUUAGGCAAGAUCUAACGUUGUCGGGCAAGGUCGAACUUCUUGCAACCACUUCUCUUUGUGUUUACAGGGGUUUGUAUAUUGUGAGGGAUGAAAAGUAACUAGGUUUUACUAGAGAGAUUCGAUACUACAACAUGAAGAGAAGGUGGCAGAGCUUCUAAACUUGACAAAAAAUGGCUUCUGUAAGGGAACUACAGCUAAAAAGGACAUAAUUUGGACAAGGUGCAGCUUUGUGGGUACAAACUUGUUUAAGAGCAAGUUUGUAUGUCUUUUUAUUGAAUGGUUGAGUGUCCUUAUCUCUGGUGUCCCUUUUUGCUUUUAUAAACAAUUUGGCCCCACUGUCCAAGCCUUGCCUUUAGCUGAUAGUUCUCGGAGGGCAGUGAGUCAUCAACUAUUUACUCAUCCAUAUCCUUGAAAAGUGCUUUUUGGCUGUGGUGAGGUGCCUUCUGUUGCCCAUGACUUCAAUCACAAGCAUAUAACCUAUGCCUUUGUUGAAAUAGCUUCCAAUUCUUCUUAGGCCUAUUAGCUUUUCUGAGUCCAGUCUUCUCCUUGCUUUUGCAUCUUUGGGCCUCCAUUAUCACAAAGACCAGAGUCAAAUAUAAACCCAAACAGUGCCCCCUUUAAUCAUUGUUAAGUUUAUUAACCAAGACAUUGAUAAUGAUUAAAAUUAAUUGAAUGCUUUAACUGGGGACUUACGCCAUUUACUUAGCCAUUUUCGAAUAAACCUUUGCACUAACCCUGGAUCACCAACGUUAACUACCUUAAAUAACUUCCAUUUAAAUUUCCUUGGCCAUUACCUUCAGCAAACCCAUCUCUCUGAAUUUCCAGAAUCCUUGAAUCUCUUGCAUUCUUAGCCCUUUCUUGCCCUAGUUUCAAUCACUUUUCACUUCACUCUCUCGAAAUCAAUUAUGGCCCCCAAAUUGUGCCCUAUAUGUGAAUCUAGAAAGAGAAUCGUUAACUUACACCGCCGGCUCAACGACCUUAUCAGCCUCGGGCUGGCCUAAACCUGUCUAUCUUCUUCGAUGAGGAAAAGGCACACUCUCUAGGGCAUGCUUGGACUGCCCGAGUCCCAAUUGUAGUGGAGAACAACAUGCCUAUUGCCAAUUGGUUUACUCCCACCUUUACUUCGUCGAGGCUGGGAUUUCUACCUCCAAAUGGUUUGAAUUUUAGAAGGGGCUUUCCUCUGAUGAAGGACGAAGCUUGAUCUCAGUGGGCGCAUGAGCUUGAGCCCAUCUGGAAGCAAAAAUGGAUGGUGAAUGGCAUCUACGAGCUCAUUAUGAUGUCAAAGAUCGUUGUUCCAAUUAAGCACGAGCUUCUGUGAACUGCCCUACUCUUAUGGAAGAAUAGGACCACACAUUCGACCUUAAAAUAGGUCCCAUAACCCCUACAAUCUUGAACAUGGCUCAAGUCUUUGGCCUAAGGCCUUUAGGCAGAUAUGUGGAUAUCACACACGACUGGUCCUUCCUCUCUCGCCUGAUCGCUGAAAGCUCGGAGACCUCCAAUUCAAUCACUCUCUUGGAGUACAACUCUUCCACAUUCAAGAGCUAUGAGACAUCAUUCGCAGACUUCAUUCCUUUCCCCAAGAAGAUGUUUAGCCCACCCUCUUCCACCGUGGAUAGAGCUCAAGUACACAUGUAUUUCCUCCUUUAUUGGUUGAACAAAUAUGUGUUCCUCAACAAAUCGAAGGGGGUGAAGUUAGAGUAGAUUCCACUAGUGGAUGCACUACACUCAUUUGAUGAUGUCAUCACGAAACUAUUCAUGUUGGCCCAUCUCUACCACCUCAUCUACGAGAUGACAAAGGGAGAUCCCUUUGAAAUCAAUGUCAAUAAGGCCACUUGGAUGGUGCAGCUUUGGCUCUAGUGGUACUUCCCUGAGUUUCGGGCUGCCAACCUAGAAUUCCCUGAAGGCGUAGCUCCAUCCCAAAUUUUAGUAGAGGUUUCUACCACAAGCCACUCCACACUUGCCUGCCUUUAUUUUUUCAGAAUUUGUCGGACUCGGGCAAACUUAGAGUAGGAUGCCUCUGUGUUUAGGAGGUACCCUUGGUUCUCAGACCAACUUUUCCAGGACUCAUUCGGGGAUGACACCAGCAACUCGUGCAAAGAAAAGUUUAUCAGCUGCAUUCAACAAAGGGACCUGGCUUGGGGAGUACGAAGUGACAGAGUGGGGUACGAGUGUGGGUUAGAGGCCUACCACCCUAACUUAUGUGGUAAACAAGUAGGAUUCAGGCGGGCAAUCCCAUCGCCGUUCUUCGACUCCCUUCACUAUGGGACCUUCUAUCACUUCCGUUCUCCCUUUGAGGUUACUUUUUGUGCAAGUUGGCAGAGCUUUGAAGUGUUGAGUAAGAUUGCUCACAAGCCCUUGGCUCUGAACUUCAAAUGUACCUCCCAGUUCACUACUUGGUGGAAGGCUAAGUGGUCAAAGAAAUAUGAUGGAGACAUUAGGGAAGCCCACGAUAAACUCUUCGAGCAAGUCUUCUUCAAGUCUUUCCCCAAAAAGGAUGAAUUCGAGAGCUGGAAGAUGGUCAUUAACCAAAAGAACCAACUUUCACUUAUUGGUAAAUCACAUUGCUUCUGUUUUCAUUUUCCACAUCAUACUUUCAUAGUUUAUGGUUUGCUAACUCAUUUUCUAACUUUGCAGCCCAAGGCAACAUUGAGGAAAUGGAUGUUGGGCAAGAAGGGUUGGCUGCUGAUGCCUUGGUCAUCUAAUAGAUUGCUGCAAAGGCAGUUAGGCAAGGAGUAGGGUCAAGCCAUACUUCUGGGGAUGUUGAGGACAUCUCCGAGUUGUUCAAUGAGUAGGAGACUGAGGCUGGGCCCUAAGUAGAAGCGAUGGCCUCUCGUCUAGUAAAGGCUUUCGUAGCGUAGUCGUCGGAGUUCGAGCUCGAGGAAGGACCCCAAGCUCAACUUACCUUACCUGCCUCAAGAGUUACUUCCACGAAGAAGGAUAUUGGGUCUCAGACUUCCUAAGCUUCUAAGUCUUCCUCUGCCCUUCCCAUCGAAACAGGCAGGAAAAAACAAAUAUCUGCUAAUAAGUGACCCAACCUUAGCUUUUUCUUCCCUUAGUUUCAACUCUUCUAAGUUUCGAGCUAAUCUCUCUUUUCUUUUCUUACAAGCAAGACUUCCUGCCACUAAGAAACCUGCCCCUACUCACCAAGAGUCACAGAUGGGCGAGGAAGUGCAAUCGACUGACAAGGAGGUCUUUGCCAAGAUUCUUGAAGAGUUGAAAGUAUAAUCUCUCAAACUUUGAGUACUAAGGUAACUUUGAAGUUUAUCUUCUUUAACACUUUACUAAUUCUUUGUUGUUUUCUUUGAAAUAAGAUACCAAAGUGAAAGGAAUUUCCUAGCCCGAGCCUUCUUCUCAUCCAGCCCGAUCGAUGCAUCCUUCUCCUUCUCGGGCUAAGUCCUCAGAGGUACAAUUCAUUCUCUCAACAUUGGUUAAGUUUUGUUUUCUGAAUUUCAAAGCUUAACAUUCACUUCUGUGGUUUUUUAGGCAAGGGGAAGUACUUCAGCACCUCAGGUCGGGCAAGCAUGAGCUCCUCCAUCUUCCACUCUUACCCCAGCAAUGGUGGUGACCCCUACUUCCCAGUUUAAUCUAACAACUGAGGGGAUGCUUCACUAUGUAGAGGAUGAUAACACUUUUGUAAGUUUUCAUUCUUUAAGCUUUUUCUAAGUUUUCUUUGAGUUUCUUCAUUAACUUACAAUCUGUGUGUUGUCUUUGCCAGUCUUCUCCAGUGGAUGAGACCACCAAUUAGCCAACACAACUUUUGAGGAGCCUAUAGUCCUCGAGAUACCAGUUGUCUCUGAGGUGACUAGCCAUAAGGCUUCCCAAGCUUCCUCUUGGGCCAGCCAGCCUACUUCUUCUAAGGUAGCAUCAUCAAUAAAAGCUCAUCCCAAAGCUCAAGGGUCUUCUCAGGUAUACAAAUUCUUUCAUUCUUGUUCUUUCUUUAUCUUAGGUAUAGACUAACCUUCUAACUUAUCUCUUUCUUGGUUCAACAAAAUUCUUACGAGAGCUCGAGCAAAUCCCCUCAACUUGCAGUGAGCAAGGUUGUUCUCCCUCAACCUCUCAAGCCUUUUGGAGUCAUAGAGAUUCCCCAUCCCUCUGUCCAUGAAGGUUGCUACAUCUGAGGCUCUCCUAACUAUCACUUAUAAGGUUGCCACUGCUACUACUGCCUUUAGGGGUGCUGGAGUGAUGCUUUUUCCCUUAGCUUCCAUUCCUACCAUAGCUUUUUUGCCCGAACUAGUCAGAGAGUUUGGGAAAAUUCGGACAAGGAUGAUGUUUCCACGACGCCCUUCUGAGCCUCAACACCUUCAAGAUCAAUGAUGGAUCUUCAAGGAAUGGAUGCAGAGCGAUUUCUCGGCCUCCUUCAAUCUCAGGGCACUCUAAGAGGUUGAGAAAGCUCUCACUAAGUUGUAUAAGGCUCAACAGAUGUCAAAGGUUUAAUACGAGUCAUUCCUCUCAUUCUUCGAGAAUUUGAGGGCACUGAGGGAUUAACAUCUUCGGGCUGAGAGGCAAGCUAACAUUUUAAAGUGCUACAAGGAGAAGCAUUCCAGAAUUUCUACUUCCCUGUAGCAUCUGGUGGAAGAGGGCUCAACCAUGGAAGACAGAAUCAUGGUAGUGACCUCUAAGAUCCAAAAGUUGGAGAAGCAACUCUCUGCUUUUAAGGCCAAGCAGAUGACCCUCUUAAGCAACCUCUAUCAAAAGAUUGAAGAAAUGAAGGAGGUCAACCAAGAAGUGGAUGACUUUGAAGCUCAACUAGCCAAUAACAACAUUGCCUUAGAAGAGCUGGGCAUAAUUUUCACUAUCAUGCAAACCUAUCAUUCCAGGAUAGCUGCUUUAGCUAAGGAUGUAAAACUGUAAGUCUAGGGUUUCUUGUAACUUCCUUCAUUAUGAAAUGAAAUAAAAUAUCACUUCCUUCUUCACUUAUCUGCUUAUUCACUUGCACUUUAAUGCUUAAGUACUUUAAAUACAUAAAAAGGCUUCACUACUUUUCCUAGUGUUUAAAAUUCAUCAAUGUAAUAAUCUCUAACAUCCCACAGAGUUGGGCGAUACUUAUUUAAGAAUUUAGCAUUGAUUGAAUGUCUUUGCAAGUUUCCUUCUAAAUUUGCCAAGUAGUAUCCCCCUCUGUCUAACACUUUGUUGAUGAUAAAAAGGCUUUCCCAUGUGGGACUCCAUUUCCCAAAACCCCUGAUUUGAGCUCUCAAGGGUAGAACUACCUUCCAUACCAACUCUCAUUCUUCAAAGGUUUUGAGUCUCACCCUUUUGUUGUAGGUUAGGGCAAUAGCCCUCUUUCCUUCCCAGAUCUUGUUUAAAGCUUCAACUCAGGCUACAUCCAAAUUUUCAAUCCCUUGACACAUGGCCUAGAUGAAUUCUUUACUAUGUAGACCGAAUUGGUUCUAAAGCCUUAUAGAACUUACGUUGAUUUACAUAGGGAGUACAACAUCUUGCCCGAAUGUUAAUGCAUAAGGAGUAGUACCAGUUCCUGCUCUUUUUGAGGUUUUGUAGGCCUAAAGGGUAUCUCCCAACUUCUCAUGCCAUCUUUCUGGGCUUUCUGCCACCAUCUUCCUUAUAAUGUUCGGCAAGAUCUUAUUGCUAGCUUUUGCUUGACCAUUGGAUUGGGGAUAAUAAGGGCUAGACUGGAUCAUCUUUAUUUUAAACCUAUAUGCAAACUCUUCUACUUCUUUUGAGAUAAAUGAUGGCCCUCUGUCUGUAACACUUAUCUGCGACCCCAUAUCUGUGUAGGAUUUUGGUCUCAAUGAACUUCUUCACAACAGCUGAAUUAAUGGUCUUCACAGCUGAAGCUUUUACCCACUUAGUAAAGUAAUCAAUUGCCAUAAUUAUGAAGGUGUGCCCUUUGCUAGAAGCUGGGUAUAUUUGCCCGAUGAAGUCCAUUGCCCACCCUCUAAAAGGCCAUGGCUUCACUACUGGAUUCAAGGGUACUGAUGGUAUGUGCUGGAAAGGUCCAUGUUUCUUACAUUCUUCACACCCUCUGGCAUAGGCCUUAGAAUCUUUUUCAAUGUAGGGCCAAAAGUAGCCAUAUCUUCUUAGUAACCACCUCAUCUUUGUUCCGGCUUAAUAUGCCCAACAAAUACCUUCAUAUACUUCAACAAUUACCCUUAUUGAUUCCUCCAAACCCAAGCAUUUCAACAUAAGUCCAUCUGGAGUCUUUCUUAGCAAGGUCUUGUCCCACGUAACAAACUUAGUUGCUUAUUGUCUAACCUUUUGACAUGUGGGGAAGAGGGGUAUCUUAAGUAUUGAACGAUUGAUGUUCUCCAGUCUUUUAUCUCAAGCUUUUUAGCCAUUAUAUCUAAGCUAAAUCCUCUCUCAAAGAUAGAAGGGAGAUUUUUCCUUUGUACUUCUACAUUCAUCUCAAAUCCUUUUUCUUGAAUCUGUGCUCCAAAAGCCAUAUGUGCAGUUUCAUUGGUAAUUAAAUUUGCUUCUCUAGGGACAUGAUUGAUUGUUAGUUCACUACCCCAAUAGUUUAGCAACUGAGUAGCUGCCAAAUAAUAACUUCCAUUGUGAGAUGUCUGCCCUUGUAUUCUCCAUUCAACUGAUUAAUCUCCAACUCAGAAUCACCAUAUAUUUCUACCUCAGUUACCCCUAACUCUAUCAGGAUUUCUAAGCCAAUGAUCAAUGCCUUGUUCUCUGCCCUGUUGUUGGUAGUAUCUUGGUAAUCCAUAAGGAAUGAGUAGCAAUGUUGGUUUCCCUUUGGAUCAAUGAUGACAAUCCUAGCUCCUGCAACAUGUUGAGUGUAAGACCCAUAAAAAUAUAAUUCCAGUGGGGGAUCCAUAAGCUAGUUAUUCUCUUUAGUUCUUGUUGGAUCCAUUCUUUCCUCCCCGAAUGAGAUUUACUAGGUGGGAUCUAAAGGCUGGCCACUUCCAGAGUUCCAGGGAUGUUGACAAGUUCCUCCUUGAAGUCUUGGUGCUCGGACAAGAAGUUUGUAAUUGCUUGUCCCUUUAUUGCCCUCUGAGGUACAUACUAAAAACUGAACUUUGAUAAUGCUAGAAUCCAUUUCCCAAUUCUCCUAGUUAGCAUUGGCUUAAAUAUCAUGUACUUGAUUACAUUAGUCUUGGCAAUUCUAUGGAGCUGGGAAGGCAACAUGUAAUGCCUUAAUUUGCAGGUAGUGAAGUAUAAAGAUAGACAUAGCUUCUCAACUAGGGUAUAUCUUGUUUCUACCUCAGUAAGGAUUCUACUGAGGUAAUAUAUUGCUUGUUCCUUCCCACCUUCAUUGUUUUAAGUCAAUAAAAUUCCUGUUAACUUCUCAGAUGCAGAGAUGUAGAGUUUCAAAAGUUUCCCCUUUGGGAAGGCAUAAGCACUAAUGGAUAGGCCAGACAAGCUUUUACUUUGUCAAAAGCUUCUUGGUGUUAAGGGCCCCACUUGAACUUAUCUUGAUUCUUUAACCUUAAUAAAAGAGUCAACGAUUGGAUCUUACCCGCCAGAUUAGCAAUGAAUCUUCUUAAAAAGUUGAUCUUCCCCAACAACCUUUAUAAUUGUACUUUGUUGGUGGGGGGAGGUGAUUUCAUUAUAGCUCGAGCUUUGUUCUUGUCUAUCUCCACACCUCUCUGAUGAACUAGGAAUCCUAAAAAGUUGCCCGAUCUAACCCCCAAAGGCACAUUUCUUAGGAUUCAUCUUCAACUUGUGGGUCCUCAUUCUCAAUAAGGCUUGUCUGAGGUCUUCUAGGUGAUGUUCUUCAGUUUUUGGCUUUACCACGAUAUCAUCAAUGUAUACCUCCAUGCUAUGCCAGAUUAAAUCAUGAAAAAUAGCAUUAAUUGCUCUUUGAUAGGUAGCACCAACAUUUUUCAGCCCGAAUGACAUGACUACAUAUUCAUUAGCUCCUAUAUGUCCUAGGCAUCUAAAUGUUGUCUUAUGUAUGUCUUUUUUAGCCAUUUUUAUUUGAUUAUAUCCAGCAUUCCCAUCCAUAAAAGAUAGAAUUUUAUGUUUUCCAACUGCAUCUAUGGACAGGUCAACCAUAGACAUAGGGUAUUCAUCUUUAGGCGUGGCUUCAUUAAUGCUUCUAUAGUUGACACAACAUCGGACGGUGUUAGUUACAACUUUUAAUACAGGUACAACGAACAUCGGACGGUGUUAGUUACAACUUUUAAUACAGGUACAACGUUAGCCAACCACUCCACAUACUUUGUAGGCCUAAUAAAUCUUGCCUUUACCAGCUUCUUAAUCUCUUCAUUGACCUUCUCUUCUAUCUCUUUUGGCAUCUUUCUUAGUGCUUGCUUUAUAGGUUUGUACCCCUCUUUAAUGGGCAUUUCUAUGUAAUGCCAUGCAAAACAGUCCUUGAAUUCAUGCAAAAGGUCAACUAUUUUUGCCCAAUCUUCAGUUUCCAACAAGCCACUGAGUUUGUAUUAGCCUUGAAUCCUCCUCAAUCCUGAAAUUAAUGGUUUCCAAUGGGUCUUGUAAUUCUGGUGCUAGUUUGUCAGGCUCUAUACACAAAAAUUCGGCUGACUUUGGGGCCUCGGGUUCAUCAUUUAGCCAGUUUAGGUUAUAUAUACACUUUGUCAUGUCAAUGGCUGCUUCCACUUCUUCUCCCAAAAUCUCUUUUCCUUCUCUAUCCUUGGUGCCCGAAGUUCCUUCUUUCCACUUAGCCAACUCCUUUGAUGAACUCUCUUUAAUCUCUCUUCUUUCUCUUCUAUAUUCCAACAAUCUUUCGAUUAAGGACCUGACUAUUAUCACUUGGUCCUUCCUCUUAUCUAACAUAAUUGGUGUGGGUGGGCUGGGACAAUAUAAGGCAUGUCUUAUUCCUCAUUGGUGAAAAAAAGUCCUUAUUCUAGGAGCUUCCAGGCCAUCACCUUGGUAGGGCUGCCGUUCUUAUAAGUACCUAGACAUUGUAGGAUCCGAACACUAAGAUUGUAAAAAUUUGCUUUUACAACAUUGGCUGUGGGGAGAAAUGACCAUGAUUCAGGCUCCACUCUCUCCCAAAAUCAUGGCUCAUCCGUUCUAGCCUCAUGGUAAACAGCAACUUGUUAAUGCAAACCGGAUGGUACAAACAGACUCUGGUGGAUCCAAUCUCUCCCCAGUAAUGCCCCAUAGGUAAAGCUAUUAUCCACCACAAAGAAUGCUAGCAUAAUCCUCUUGGAUCCCAAAUUUACCUCGAAAGGCAAUAUCCCAUAGGUUUUGGUGAUGACCCUAAAGAAACUAGAUACUGUGAGAUAAGUGGGAAUAAGAUCUUCCUCACUUCUGCAAAGCCUCAUCAUCUGUUUAAGUGGGAGCACAUUAAUUGCAACCCUACCAUCUAUCAACACCUUUUCGAAUGGGACUCCCUCCAGAUGAGUUAUCACAUAUAUGGGCUUCAGAUGGUUUGCUAAAGCUAGACUUGGCUUGCUAAACACCAUUUUGUUAUAAUAAACCCUCUCGGGCUUUUUUCGUGUAAGGUCGGGCAAGUCUGCCAAGCUUGAUACUUAUUUCCCAGCUUCCUCAAUGUUCACAAGUGCCAUAAUUGGUUCUGGUGCCAAACAAUCACCCUCCAUUGCUGCUGGCUGAUCUAGUUCUGCAUAAAACAUGGCUGAUAAGACAUAGGUCAUGUUUACAUGGAAGUUGCUGGGUCCAGGUACUUUUUAUUUCUUCUCUCCAAUCUGACACAUAAAUUGGUCCAUCGAGGCAUGGGCAUCCUUGGUUAGCAUCAACUCGGGCACUUCCUCUUUUUCUACUAUAUCAAAGUUAUGCAACUGUCUUGGGAUUUCACAAGGAGCAUCUUCCAGUAGAGGUGGAGGUAUCCCCCUCUCAGGGGAGAUGGUCCCCAAAUAAAUAAGCUCUGGAUCCCAUCUUGGUGUAGGCAUCAUCACAACACUCUUUUGAGCUCUUCUUAAGAUUAUGUACUUCCCUAGAUGGGGGUUUUGAGGUGCAUGGUCUCCCUCUCCUUCAGCUUUACUGUUGGUUUUCUUUAUCUUUUUCUUACUUCUCCAUUGGAGUUGUCUUCUUCCUUCUUGGGUGGCAUUUUCAAACUUAACAUUUUCAGAAGCUUCUGAAAUGAUAGGGAUUUUCAAUGAGUUCAUAUAAGCCUUAUGCUGCUUUUGAACCCUCCUUAUCAUAUAUGUCUUUAUCUCUCUAACAGGUCUCUCAUCUUUACCUACUAUGUACCACUUUCGGGCGAGUCAAGCUGAAUCUUUCUUAGUAACUGGGGAAAUUGGGUUCAUGGUUCUCUCUCGCCAUCCUUGUCUUACGCUGCUAUGAUAACUUGGCUGGGAAGGUUUCACAUCCACCCAUCUUGGCAUUUUUGCUUCCUUAUAUUCAGCUUCUUAAAAGGCUUCAUAGUUUCUGAACACCUCAGAUAGGCAUUUAAGUUCUAAAUCUCCUCCCAAUUUCUGGAACACAUUCUUGGUGGUUUCUUUCUCUGCAGCCCUAACAAUACUUCUACAGGGAUCUUGCUCCUCUAUCUCGCUUCUUCUGAUUAACUCCCGAUCAAUAAUGAAACUCGAUGUGCCACACUGACACUUACUACAUAAAACCACUCAUUUGACCAUAGCUGCUUAGGGUCUGUCGGGCAACCUUUUAACACCUUUUGAUGGCCUAAUAGCUUGCCUUCUCUCUCUCCAUUUUCAUCCCAGGUAGCCUUUGUUUUUCCUUUCUCAAUCCAAUUAAGGUUGAUCAUGUUGAGUGAGGCUUAUGGGAAUGGAUCUAUGUCAAUUAUCAUAUUAGUUUCGGGUUUCUCUAAUAAUAGUUUUCCCUUGACUAUGAGAUCUUGGAUCCAAUCUCUUAACUACACAAAAUUAGUUAUGGAGUGAUUGAAGGUGUAGUGAAGCUUGCAGUACUUCUUCCUUCUAAGCUCUUCAGGUUUGGGCAUCUUCUUGGUGCUGUUGGGUAAGAUUACUUUAGCCCUUACUAGUUCUUCAUAAAUGUCUGCAACCUUGGUUAGAUCAAAGGAAUACGCCUGGUACUUUGGGGGCUUCAUGGGCACAAAACCUUCACCAUUCAUUACCACAUUUUGGUCCUUGAUAGGUUGGACCAAUCCCUUCAUUAUUAAAGGUUUGAAAGAAGUGGUCAUCCCCGCAGCAUAUAACUCAAUCCCUUCUCCCAAACUGCUAUCAUUUUCUCCCUGCUCUAGGCCUUCAAGCUCUACCUGGUGUAUUAGGGCUUUGUUCUUAUAGAAAUGAGGCACUUUAGAUGAGUGCUUCACUUGUUGUUCCUCUGUCAACAACUUCUCAUACUUAGUAGCUACAAUCACCAACUCUUGAAGCUCGUUAAAAUGCACAUAAUAGAACUUCUUUCUUAAAGGUAGCCUUAGAGCCUUUUGGGCAAUAGUUAUGAGUUGAGCAUGGUUGAAUCGGAACUGGCACCUCAUCCUGGUUCUUCUGAACCUCAUCAUGAAAUCUUCCGUAAACUUAUGUCCAUACUGUUUUACCUCUACCAAAUCAUUGAUGAUCAUCUCUGGCUCCAUCCUAUAGAACUACUCAUGGAAGGCUAUCUUCAUUUGCCUAUAGUUGGAAAUGGAAUUAGGGGGUAACAGAGAAUACCACCAGGAAGCCAAGCCUACCAAUGAAUUUCCAAAUAGUCUCAGCUUGUAGUUAGGGUUAUCUCGAAUGUUACACAGUGAUUUGAAAACUUGAAAAUGUGGUCUAUGCAAGACACAUUACAGUCUUCUCCACUGAAAGUUGGGAAUGCAGGCAUCUUGAAGUUGAAAGGGAAAGGAUUUUGCUCAUCAAUAUACCUAGGAUAAAGCUUCUGGUAUGUUAUCCUGAACAUCGGGUGAACCUGUGGCAGAGCAUUUUGUACCACCAUCAUUCUUAGCUCUGCCAACUCAUUCAUGAGUUGUUGAUUAGCCAUGUUGUUGUGUGGGGUAUAAGAAGUGCCCCAUUUCGGCCUAAGAUCAAUGCCUGAGAAAUCUUAUCUCUGUGGUUCUGGCUGCCUCCACCUAGCUUCUUUUGCCUUGUUAGCCAACGGUGGUGGCCUAUAAAAGAGAGGUUUGCCUGUAGCUACAGGUAAACCUUUUUCGCUUGUCUCUCACACUGGAUUGGUCGCCUUUAACUUCACUCCUUCCUGCCCGAUCUGUCUGCUAACAUUUAGUGGAAGUGGUAGAGGAUCAGGCAAGCUUAUCUCUUGAACUCAUUACUUCUGGCCGACUGGUCCUAGCAUCCUCUUUCUUCUUCCGUGUUCGUCUUUUCCCCGAGUAAGGGGAAUAAAUGAAUCACCGGUUCAUUCUCUGGGCUUGUUUCCCUGAUUAUCUCCCUGGCAUAGCUAUCCCUUGAUGUAUAGUACUCUAACUCCAGCUUUCUUUGUAGAGUUCCUGUUAAAGAACAAAGUCUGCUAACCUAUUAUUUGGUCUCCAGAGUGAUCUUCUCUAUACUUCUUAAUACUUGCACCAUAGUAGCUUGCAAGUCAUCGUUAGUAACUUUUCCACCUGACUUUUUAGAAGAAGUCGAGCUCUCUAGAAUUGCAGGACCUCGUAGUGAGGGAAAAUCUUCUGGGUGAUCUGUUAUGUUUGCUUUGUCAAACAAGGGGGUUGCCCAAACUCUGCUUUCCACCUAAAGGUUUGUUCCUUCCUUCUUCUUGGCAUACAAGAUUAUCAAAUGGUCCCACCGAACAUGCCAAAACUAUGCUUGGCCUGGAUUCUGGAUCUGGUCCAUCGCACAGCUCCUCAGGGCCCUAACUCUUUCUUGCUUGUCGGGCAAGAUCCUGCUGCUUGGUUUGUUGCAAUAUGAGUUUAUUGUUAAUUUGAAAGGUGCCUUUGUGGGGCCUUUGAUUUAGGCUUUAAGACUUACAAUCAAAGCUAACAAAGAUCUGAGCGUGCCACUGUUAUCUUUUUGUAUAAUAGAUUGUUGUAUAUGUGUGAAUUACGUCAAUUACUUGUGCUUCAAGUUAUUUAGACUUCUUGUUUAUCAAAGGAUUGUCAUAGAUGCGUUAAGUCUGUAUAAGGUUCUUUUCCUACCUUGUAAAUAAUGACUUUUACUCAUAACAUUGUAUGUCCAAAAUGAAGGGAGUUCAGGGCUCUUCCAACCAUUUCCUUAAUCAAAGUUUGCUUUAAUGAAAACAAGUUCAUUAACUUAUCCAUAUUUGAUUAUAGAUGAAACUUUUGAGUGGAAAACAGUCGAAAAUGACUUAAAUACAUGAAGAAAAAUGCAUUAAACAACAGAUCUACUAUUUAUAAGUACAAACAAAAGAGAUUCGGGCAACAUUUAACCUUGUCAGGCAAGGUUGAACUUUUGCAACCACUUUACUUUGUGUUUACAGGGGUUUGUAUACUGUCAGGGAUGAAAAGUAAAUAGGCUUUACUAGAGGGAAUCGAUGUUACAUCACUAAGGGAAUGUAGCAGAGCUUCUAAACUCGACAAAAGAUGGCUUUCUAUAAGGGAACUACAGCUAAAAAGGAAAAAAUUUGGACAAAUUGCAGCUUUCUGGGUACGAACUUGUUUGAGAGAAAAGUUUGUAUGUCUUUUGAUUGAUUGGCUGAGUGUCCUUGUCUCUGGUGUCCCUUUAUACUUUUAUAGACAAUAUGGCCCAACUGUCCAAGCCUUGCCUUUAGCUGAUAGUUCUCGGAGGGCAGUGAGUCAUCACCUAUUUACUCAUCCAUACCCUUGAAAAGUGUUUUUUGGUUAGUGGUGAGGUGCCCUCUGUUGCCCAUCACUUCAAUCAUAGGCAUAUGGCCUAUGCCUAUGUUGAAAUAGCUUCCAAUUCUUCUCAGACCUAUUGGCUUGUCUGAGUCCAGACUUUUCCUUGCUUUUGCAUCUUUGGGCCUCCAUUAUCACAAAGCCCAAAGUCAAAUAUAAACCCAAACACAAGGGACUAACAAAUUACAUGGAACUUUUUAUUUAGAGCCUCGAUGGGCAUGUACAUGCCCUAUUUUUACUCAGCCUGUUUACUUGCUUGAAAUUUCAUAUGCAAACAUUGCUUUGCUUCCCUCUUUUCAUUUUGGAUUUGACGGCUUGGCUACAUAGACUUUUUUUUGGGCAUGUGACUUUCUUGUUGUUCAAUUUUGUGUGAACAUUGUAAUUUACUUUACUAUGUUUUCGGUUUGGUAGGUCGCUUAAGCUAUAUACUUGAAUUAGUGAAACUUGCUCGGUGAUGUGAACUUGAAAUACCUAUUAAUCAUAUAAGCAAACCCAAUUUAACUUGCAAUUUUAACUUGCAAACCCAAUUAAUCAUAGUAAGAGCAAGUAUGAAGUCGUUCCCACGAGUAGGUUUUUACUUUAAUUUGAGUCUCAACUCAAAUUCAACGAACUUUUAAUACAAAUAGGGCUGAAAAUUUUACCUAGAAUGAAAGAGCCAAGGAGAUCUCAAACCCUAAAUCACGAGUAGGUGGGAAGAAUAUUUGAGUGCUUGUAAUUGUUUCUACAUAUGCUUCUACAGUAAUCAAGGGUCCUAUCAUUGUGCGUGAUUAGUUUACUUUUGUGUUCUCGAUCGCAUGUAUAUCAUUUUGCACUCAUUGGUUUGAGGAAAUUAAGGCUCAGACUUCGUGAUAUUUUCAUGGUUCUUUAAGAAAUCCAUUGAAAUCUUACUAAAUUGUCUAACAAAUGAGCAAUUUGAUUCUUACUGUUGGAGGAAAGAUUAGCAGUUUUCAAUUACACUGCAGAAAGGAAGAAUACAAGAGAAUAUAUAUGGAGGAUGACUGGAUGAGUUUUGAAUGGGUACUAAAAUUUACAUAACUUUAUUGCUUUUAGAUUUUUAUUACAACACUUGGCCAUCUUAUUGGCUAUCUAUAUUAACAUUCAGACCUUUAGAUGACAGCCAUAACUGUUAACUACAUUGUAAUAUUUGGGAAUUGAAAGAAAAUCAAGAAGAAAGAUGAAGAGAAGAAGGAUCAACACAGAGAGUUUUAGAGAGAGAGAGAGAGAUUUAGAGAGAAAUAUGUUUUUGUAUUGAUUGAUAGAAUGAAGGUUACAUAACUGUUUUUAUAAGAGAAAGCCUAACUACUCUAACCAACUUACUAACUGUACUGUAUUACAUUUGUACCCUUAAUACUCCCCCUCAAUCUCAACUGGGUUAACCCAGUUUGAGAUUGGAAAAACAUCUACAAUCACUGAACACAAUGUUGAACCAUCUGCAAUCUUGCAAUCCCACAGCAAAGUCUCAUGAGCAACUCUGUUGACACACCAAAUUCCUUAUCGAAAACCUUGGUCCUGCCAACCAUAGCCACUUCCAAAGCAGCAACCCUCUCUGCGAACUUGAAUCUUUUGACAUCACAUUGCUUUUGCCUCCAACAUGUCCAUCAUUGUUUAGCAUCACUUUGCUAUUGAGUCAAACUUCUCCAGCAUUGAUUGGCAUCACUAAACUGCGCAAUUUCAUAUUGGUUCUUUCCAAAGAAUUUCAGCCCCACAAACUGAUGUCUACACCUCUGUAGCUACUGCAAACCAAAUAGAAGAGCAGCCUCUUAUAAAAUUGUAACACAUCCUCAGGCCGGUUAUAACAAUUUCUUACGGAAUUACCCUUCGUGGGAUUUACCGUCAACAACUUCUUUUAACAAUGGCUUCGUGCCCACAAUCAAAACUAAUUACUAACGGCUUCGUGCCAACAAAUUUCAACUUCUAAUGGCUUCGUGCCAACAAUCUUCAAGUACUAAUGGCUUCAUGUCCAUUUCUAAUGGCUUUCUGCCAAUACUAAACCACACUACACUAAUGUCCACGGGAUCGCCCUUUGUGGAUUUACCAAUUCACAACACUACCUAUUCAUAACAUGGAAUUACCCUUCGUGGGAUUUACCAUUAACAACUUCUUCUACCCUUCGUGGGAUUUACCUAUUCACAUCACGGAAUUACCCUUCGUGGGAUUUACCCUUAGCAACUUAUUCAAACUUCAUCGUAUAACCGGACUUACUGUAGAUUCAUGCUAACAAUUGAGUUGGUUAGACUCGACAUUAUAGGUUGUGAUAAGAAAAAAAAAAAUAUUGCACAAACUUCUCAAUUAACUCAUGAACAAUCUUCCAUUCAGCAGUCAACACAAUCUAUGCUUCAGCAGCAUCCACAGUCAGUUCUCUGGGGUCCAAUUUCAGGAUCCUUCAGUUUCCUAUUGUUUGACAUCACCUUUGCAGGUCUUACUCUCCACCAUUCAAGACAUAAUUGCUGAAACAGUAAGGGAACACUAUAUUUUGCAAUAAAUCCAAAACCUGCAGAGAGUAAAUUACCAAGUAUGUUCCUUCUUCAUCGAUUUCCAAAACAUUUUUGAGCAAUGGGAAAGAGGAAGUCAUUAGCAAAACCGCCUCCUAAGAAUCGGAAUGACAAGCUUGAUACCGUCUUCAACUGUCCAUUUUGCAGCCAUGGCACUAGUGUUGAAUGCCGCAUUGACAUGAAGAACUUGAAUGGGAAAGCUCCUUGUAGAAUAUGCCAAGAAAGCUUCAGCACCACCAUCACAGCUUUAUCUGAACCAAUAGACGUCUACAGCGAAUGGAUUGAUGAAAGCGAAGCAGGUGCAGUCACAGCACCAAGCCAAAUAUUCCAAAUAUCACAAACACUGAUCUUGAAGCAAUGACCAAUCUUGAAUCCAAAUAUCACAAAAUAAAGAAUCUUGAAAGCAAAUAUCACAAACAACUGGAAGAACCCAGAAAAGAUUCACAAGAAAGAUGGCUCUGAUUACUUUGCUAAAAAACUUAACCUUCACAUGAAAAUUCUGAGCUGGGCAUUUCGACAAACACUUGGACUACACAAAGGUCUAAACUUUCUUCCACACCAAAGAGUAGAGCACAGAUCAAAUUCGCGGACAAUAUCGAAAGCACUGAAGAAAACAUACCAUAAAUUGAUGACCAGAAGCAGUAUAAGCCUAUAAGUGCACCAAUGCAAUGACCUUCGCAUGGAAAGAUUGCAUACUAUCAGGUACAGAACUAUGGAAUACAGCGGCAACAGCCCCAGAUCGAAAGUAGAGGGGGCAAUUAUUACGGAUUGCAGUGGCAUGACAACCCAGAGACAAUGCUCGACGGUGGUGAAGGAGCAAUGGUCGUCGUCUUCCUCUCAAAGCAUCGACACUUAUUUGACAUUCCAUCUUCUUUCGAGGUGAAGAACUUGAUGAAAAUCUGAAAAAUUCCCGAAUUCAAGAACAGAAAAUUCGAGAAUAGAAAAUCAACCUAGAAGUUAUAGGAUGAUCGCGGAAGCACCGAAGAACUUGACGGAAUUUCUGACGAAAAUCCGAAGAGAAAAUAAAACUAGAACAUGAAAUCUAAUACAAAACAGAACCACCAGAAUCAUGGCGUGAGCCUGGUAGCUCUGAUACCAUGUUAACUACAUUGUAAUAUUUGGGAAUUGAAAGAAAAUCAAGAAGAAAGAUGAAGAGAAGAAGGAUCAACACAGAGAGUUUUAGAGAGAGAGAGAGAAAUUUAGAGAGAAAUAUGUUUUUGUAUUGAUUGAUAGAAUGAAGGUUACAUAACUGUUUUUAUAAGAGAAAGCCUAACUACUCUAACCAACUUACUAACUGUACUGUAUUACAUUUGUACCCUUAAUAAUAACUCUUGGAUUAGUUUCAAGAGACACAACUCUACAUUACAGAAAGUGCAUUACGUUUAACACUUACAUCAUUGACAUGAUCUUAGUUGAUCUAAGGUUGUUACAUAUAUCCUCCUUAGGUUCCUGAGUAAUCCUCUCUAGUUCCUGCUGAAAUCUCUCCAUGGCCGAGAAUGGCAAGCACAUUGGUACCAAUAUUCCAUCCUCAGUGUUGUUUUUGUGUUGAAUGUAGAAGCUAAUCAAAUCCAUGGCCUUGGCGGGUCCAGCAAAUACCGGCUGUUCCCAUCCAAAAUUGACAUCUCCAACACCUACACGAGUUAGAUCAGAAACUAAAAAAUUACUUCCUGUCGAUGAAUAUUGAGGUCGCCCUCUUAGUACCAAAUGAUCUGCCACUGAUCUUAAGUAUUCUUCAUUCAUGGUAGCUUUAGCCUUCUUCACCAACUCUAAAGCAUAUCCCAGUGGAUUUUUGCAUAGAAGUUCAGCCUUUGAAAUUGCAGCUGGAAAUGCAAAUGCAUUGCCAUAGUAUCCCAAGGGAAGACGUACAUUGUGGUGCUUUCCCCGUGCAUUGACAAUGCAGGAAACUCGAACAGCCUGUUUUGGAUUAACUUUAAGUGCAAGAGUGCGACAUUUCCACAAACAAGCUGUGAUCAAGUCAAAUGUGGAGCAAGUGGAAAUUAGGUGGGGUGGAAUCUGUUUUCGAAGGACUCUCAUCUUCUUGGCACCAAAGUAGAAGGAUCGUUGAACCAUGUUUGACUGGUUACUGGAUGCGUAUGAGCCAUCAGAAUGAUCAAUCACGUCUUCAUAUUCAUGAUGAGCACAUGUAAUUCUUGGUGGAUCUCGGGCAAACAAGAGCUCUCUCUCCCACACUGGUAUAAUAGAUGGUGCAUGUAUUACGCCUCUUGCCAUCUCCGCAACGGCGGUCAGGAACUGGAGAAAUCCAGGUGCAUCACACAUCGUGUGGUUUAGGCGCAAUGCAAGUAUGAAACCUCCACAUGUAAGACGGGUCACCUGCAUAUUGAAAAAGUUAGUUACUAGACUUUUUUCUUGAUCAUUCUAUUCGUGCUAGUUAACAAUUCCUUAGAAAAGACCAAAAAAACUAUCUAAAUUGGAUGAUCUAAUUAGGAAACCAAAAUUUCAUAAAAAUCAGGAAUAAAAUUCAAGAAAGAUGGAAUCUUUUCGAAAGAGUCUCGUGCAUGUUGUAGUUACUUGAAAAAGUCUUUAUAAUACAGAGGAAUUUAGACAAAAUGCUUAUAGAAGAUAGAAAAGCAAAAAACCUAGAAGAAGAACGGCAUAGGAAAACCUAUGCAAUAAAGGUGAUGUGAGACUGAUAGAAAACCUAGGACCUAUUACCAUGUAGAAAUGUAAUUUCCUCGAUCCGGUGUGUACACAAAUUUUACAAUAUAUAGGGUUAAACAUAAGGAUUGUCGAAGAAAAAUCAGUUUCGAAAAAUAACAAAAAGCGUCUCAUAAUCUUUUCUUUUCAAAACCACCUAAUGAACUUUCUUUAAUCAUAAGAACAAAGAGGCGUGGUAGUAUCGUAGAUAAGUUCAAGUUUGGGUGUAAUGGCAAUAUGAUAAAUUUUCAUUUAUGAAAAAGGUUGCCAAUUUUAUGAAAAAGUUAAAAACAGUUGCGAUGCCACCAAACUUCAACUUAUUUACAAUAUUAUUAGCGCUUUCCUGUUUAUGUCCUUAUUUUCAGUAAAAAUUCAUAUGUUGUUGAUUGCACUAAUUUCUUACAAAAAAUAUCCGGCGUAUGUAUGUGAUCUUAACUCAAAAAAUACUACUCUUACCCUUAACCUACUUCAAUUUUUUUUGUAAAGAAUUAAUGGCUAUGACCAAAUAUGAAUACGAAAACCUAAUUAACAUGUUAUUAAUAAUUAAUUGACUCACUUGAACCAGCAGCAAAGGACAACCAAUAAUUCCAUCAGAGCUUGGAAAAUUAAAUAAAAACUCCUCUAAGAGUGGACAAGGGGGUAGAAUUUUGUCUCCUAGUUGCUCAAGUGUGACAUCAGCAGAAGCCUCGACAAACAAGAUACCUUCACCAUUGCAAUCGACCAUGAGCAUUCUGUUAGGCCCUUCCCUAAGCCUACCAGCUAAAGGGUAGUAAUACACUAAUGCUCUACUUAAGGCUUCCCUAAUCACCUUAAUGGGAUUACGAUUUUCAUUAAGUGAAGGGUUGUCUUUGUAACACAUUAUGACUGGAAGCUGAAACCUCAAGCCUUCUUGGUCGUCAAUAUCUGAGAGAAACUUUGUUUCUCGAGGCGUUGGCUUUGCCGGAAUUAUAAGUUCCGGCUGCAAUCGUUUCACAUGAAGUACUGAGGAUGGCAUCAUUUCAGUAACGAGCUUAAGAACCAGCAAAAGAUCAAAGGAUUUGGAACUUUUAUUUUGUGGUAUGCAUGCUAACUAAAAGUUGAUAGCCAGUACUUAUAUAGCGUUAUGCAGAUGCUCUAGGGUUCCAUCCAAGUUUCCACACAUUGUGAAUGUGAUUCUUUUCUUUUCCAUUAAAAAUGUUGUUAGAAAGAAAGUUUAAAUCACGCAAUCAACAUGGGCUGCAGAAGAAAAAAAAACAAAAAAAAACCCUAGAUUCGUACGUAUACAUUAAUGCUGAAUUUCAUUUCAACGACAGAAAACUGUACACUAACAGAGAUAUGAGGACAAUGGUGAAGUGGCAUCCUCUAUUUGCAUAGACAUUAAUGCUGAAGUGGAAGAACUCCCAAAGAGAGAAGUAAUGAUGAUUUUCAUUUCAACAUCAGAAAACUGAAUACUAACAGGGAUAUGAUGACAGGUGUGCGGUAAAAAACCCUUGAUAGGAAUGGAAGGAAAAAUGCCAACGUCGUAUGUACCUGCCCCAAUUACAGCUGUCACUGUUGUAAAACAUCGAUCAGACGUCCGCUAUAAAGGAAAACGUUGUUAUUUUAUAAUAACUGGCAUACUACUAGCAGGGGAGAAUAUUGUUUCACAUUAUUAUUAAUUUUGAUUGAUCUGGUACGGUGACUACUCAAUUUUCUCAUGAUAAUAGUUUGUUAUGAUAAAGAAAGAUGAGGCUCCGUAAAAUUAAGAUUCAAUCUGGUAUUGUUUCAAAUACAUGAUUCAAUCUAGUUGUAUUUAUUUAAGAAAAUAGAAACAAACCCAAGAGGAUUUCAAAGAAAAGUGACGGCUUAGGGCAGAACAUCGCAGCUCAAACAUCGCUUAUAUACUUCAAUGAUUUAGGGUUUGGGUCACAAUACCACCUUACAUCUCAUUUAAAUUAGCUAGCUAACAAAAGCCUUCAAGACCCCAGUUGUUAGCUAAUAUAAACCUCACACCAAAGCAAACCUAUCUCAGCCCUACACUUGUAAUUUUGGACUGAGUCAACAUAUUGGCUGUUACAAAUUUAGAAAAAACUAAGCCAUUACUUUUGUUUAAUACAAAAAAUUGGACGCUAGAAAUCAGUUUAGGCAUCAACACUCUCCUUCAAAUUGUUUCUAGUUUUGACACCACGCACAUCCCUGAGGUAUACAAAACUCUCUUUUAGCGUACCCUUAGUAAAUAUAUCAACAAUUUGAUCCUCAUAUUUGCAAUAGAGUAAUUCAAUCACAUUAUCUGACUUACAAAGAAACUCUAAUAAAGUGAUGGUUCCUCUUGACAUGUUUUGUUUUUUAGUGAAUCAGAGGAUAUCUUGUCAUAGCAAUUACAAAGGUGUUGUUGAAUUUUAUUGAUAUAGCAUCUACUUUGAAAAAGUAGUUGGGUCGGGGAACCCAAACCCAAUAGAUAAAUAAUCUCAACUAAAAUUCCAGACGAGGAUUCAAGUAUGGUUUCAAUCAUACUACAUAAUAGUGAAGAACAAAAUGAAAUAGAGAAAAAUAACAAAAGACUCAUGAUAUAAUUCAUGGGCACACAACCAAUUAAAGAACCAUUGAGAAAUAAGUACUUUGACAAGACUCAACAAGACAAACAUCUACGACACUUGAAGUUUUCUCUUGUACUUUUAAUCUUGGAUGAACACAACGCACACAAAAGGUUCUCCUCACAACUAAAGAGAUUGCACUCAACUUCAUCACAUAGAUGGACACAACGUCUUCACACAAAUGAAUAUGAUGAAUAAUAUGAAAGGUACGAAGUGUUUCACUAAGAUCACUCUUCUAACCUAGCACUCAAGAACUUUGCUUUAAACCUUUUAUGCUCAAAUCUUAUAACCAAGCAAAGAUGAAUGAUAGGCUUGAUUUCCUAUGAAACCAACAGCCUUGAAUAAAAGAAACUGGAAUUAUGUACUAGAACAAAAUCAAAUUGGUUUUAUUUCUUAAAACUAGGCAAUUAAACUGAUCUUAUAAUCUUCAAGAUAUGCAAUGAUGUGAUUGUGAUUCUCGUUUCCUAUAUGAAUGCACAUGAUACUCCAAUAUAUGCCUUGAUGUGCACGUUUUCAAUAAUUAAACCUAGAAACUACGACACGCCUAAAAUAUAGAACUAAUAUAUUGCAGACCCAUUAAACUUGUCUAGGAAAUUAGCCAAAUACAAAAGCUUGUACUUUCACACUUGCAUUCAAUAAAGUCCUUAAGAACAAACCUCAACCAAAUUGCUUGAGAAGUAGCCUCCAGCACCAAGGAAGAACUUCACUUCGAAAAAUAGUCGUCUUUGACUUUGGGCUUAAUCAAGGGUUGUAAUUCCAAUUCUAAUGGUGAAAUUGGGUUAAGAUAAAAAAUACUUUUUUAUUUAACAAAUGAUAUUAUCUAUACUAAGGGGAGAGGGUGGGCUAAACCUCACAAUGUGUUAGCAUAAUGUGGUUCAAAUUCACUUUUAUCAAGAAUCGAACCUAAAACCUCUCAUUUACAAGUGAAGAGAAAAACCACUAAAACGUAGUAGUAAGUGGCAAUACUUUGGGUUAGUUUGGUAUUCCUAUGCUUUCUAAAAAAAAUGUGAUUUGUUGUCCUCUGAGAAUAAAAAGUUGUAAAAAAAAGUUAUUGAGUGUUUGGUAAAUUUUAUUUAUUUUUUAUUUUUAUUUUAUUAUUGAGUGUAUGAAUAUUUGGUAAACUUUUAUAUAAAUUGAUGUGAAUGUGUUAAAUAACUAGAAGGGAUAUGGUAUGUAGUGUGAUAUAAUAAUUGUAAAAGACAAUAACGUAGGGGCAAAAAUUAUAAUUUUGUAAAAUAUGUAGGGUUGUACUUGCUGUUUGAAAAUUUUAUUAAAUGAGCACUAAUUAAUCUAUUUUGACAAAAAUAAAAAGGCACUUUCUUUAGAUGACAAUUGUUAAAUUAUUUUGUAUAAACUUAGCAUCCAUAAAGCAUUUUAAGUUCGGAAAGGGAUCCUCGCUGGAUCCUUUUCCUGAGAAUCCUAAGGAUCUCGUGAUCGUGACCGUUCAUCGUACAUCAUGUGGUCAGAAAUCAUUUCAAAGUUUACAAUUUAAAAUUAAAUAUGAAUAGUACCUAACGAAAACUAAUCGCACAAUGUACGAUGAACUGUUACGAUCACGGGAUCUCAAGGAUCCCCAGGAAAAGGAUCUGACGAUGAUCCUUUUCACUAGCAAGAGCAUUUAAAUUGUAGGGAGUAGAAGACAAUUUUGAGAUCAAUCCCAAUCAUGUUUCGAAUUCAAGAGAGAAGUCAUUUUUUUUUUUUUUUUGUAUUCAUUUGAUUUAUUCAAUUUGAAACCCAAAUGUCUUAUUGUUGUGCUUUUCAGAAUACCUUCACCCCAAUCUCCUUGCUCUAUAUCUUGGGGAAAGAAAUAUAGAUUUCAAUUUUAAGCCAAAAUGCUUGGUUAUAAUGAUUAACAGAUUAAUUUUGUUGGAAUAUUUACAUUUUUGCAAUUUAUUUACAAUUGAGUUGUAAGGAAAGACAUUCACUAUUCUUCCAAGAAGAGGCCAAAUUCAGAUUCAUAAUUUGAAUUGAGAGCCCAAAUGCAAAGCGUGAGGAGACGGUGGCUAUCAACAACAGAGGAAGCAGAGAGGAAGUCGGAGAAUUGAUCCUGCCUUCCUCCUUGCGGUAUUUCAAAAUACAGUCUUGUGUAGGCAUUUGUUUCCUCUGUUCUACAUGGCAAAUUAUUGAUCCUCACAAAGGUGCACAACAAUGUAUUCCGAGUUGAUCCCUUGCAUUAUUUUAUUUUGUUUAAUGCUUCAACGUGUAACACAUUUUAAUCUUCCAUAUGAAUCCCUUAACAGUCGUUGGUAACUUAGAACCUGUCCUUUCCUCUCUUGACCUGUCAUUAGCUAAUAUAUCGUUUAAUUUCUAGGGCAAUUAGCAGGAAUGAUCACUUUUUGACAUUUGGCAAUAGAAAUGAUCAGGCGUUGUUAUGUUAUUAUUGUGUGGUCGAUAUGUGAUCAAAAUAUCGCCGAUAUUAAAAAAUGAUCAUUUCUGCAACCAAAUGUCAAAAAGUGAUUAUUCAUGCUAAUUGCCCUAAUUUCUAUUUACCAAAUACAAGAAUAGUACUAUUAGUCGGACUCCAGUAUUGCAAGUGCACAAAAAAAGGUCGAAGGUAGUACCCCAUAACUUGCUACAUGAGACAUUAUUUUUUAGAGACGAAAUCGACUCUUAAAGAUAGUGUCUAAAUUGCCUCAACUUAUAGUGUUGUUCUAAUUAAACAUCGGCAAAGAGCGAUUUCUACACCCUAAAAGAUAAGUAUUCAAUAUGUUGUUGAUUUCAUUUAAUCGAUUGUGGCAAUGAAAAUUCUCAUUAACCGUAUUUAUCUAUUGUGAAUUGUUGUAGAAGUAGCAGCAUCAACGUCGCAAAAUUUUUCAACAACAAACACCACUUGUAAAGCAUCCCUUUCUGAAUGAAAAUACGAAAGCUCAAUAGGAUGGCUAGUUAACACUUCAUAACGCUACCAAUAUGCUUCUACGUGAAAAGGACUAGCAGUACCCAUCUGAAGAGUAGCAACCAAAACAAGACAGGUCGCUUCCCCAUCCCUAACCACCCUAAUGCCACCAUUACCACUGCACUCGCGUAAACCAUAAUACAAAAUAAUAUUCACCCAACUGUGACCCAGAGGACUCCACCAUUGAUGCUGCACUGGCUGCUUGCCCCGACUACCGGUCACACAUGUUGUCCUUACUGCAGAAUACUAGUCCUCGACUACCACAAAGACCAUAUGAGCAUCAUGAAGGAAAGCAAACUAGUCCUUGGACAUGUCAAUCGCCAUUGGAAUAGCCUUUCUUUAAGGCUACGAGAUCGCAACAAACUUUUGUGAAAAGACAAGGGACUAACAAACUACAUGGAACUUUUUAUGUAGAGCCUCGAUGGGCAUGUACGUGCCCUGUUUUUCCUCAGUCUGUUUACUUGCUUGAAAUUUCAUAUACAGAAAUUGCUUUGCUUCCCUCUUUUCAUUUUCUAUUUGACGGCUUGGCUACAUGGACUUUUUUUUUCUUGGGCAUGUGACUUUCUUGUUGUUCAAAUUUGUGUGAACAUUGUAAUUUACUUUCUGUAUUUUCGGUUUGGUAGGUCGCUUAAGCUCUACUUGAACCAGUGAAACUUGCUCGGUGAUAUGAGUUCGAAAUACCUAUUAAUCAUAUAAGCAAACCCAAUUUUAACUUGCAAGUGCAUAAGACGAAUAGUAUUAUAGUAAGAGUAAGUAUGAAGUCGUUCCCACGAGUAAUGAUUUUUACUUUAAUUUGAGUCUCAACUCAAUUCAAAUUCAACAAACUUUUAAUACAAAUAGGGCUGAAAAUUUUACCUAGAAUGAACGAGCCAAGGAGAUCUCAAAACCCUAAAUCAUGAGUAGGUGGGAAGAAUAUUUGAGUGCUUGUAAUUGUUUCUCCAUAUGCUUCUACGUACAGUAAGCAAGGCUCCUAUCAUUGUGUGUGAUUAGUUUACUUUUGUGUUCUCGAUCGCAUAUAUAUAUCAUUUGCACUUAUUGGUUUGAGGAAAUUAAGGCUCAUACUUCGUGACAUUUUCAUGAUUCUUUAAGAAAUCCAUUGAAAUCUUACUAAAUUGUCUAACAAAUGAGCAAUUUGAUUGUUACUGUUGGAGGAAAGAUUAGCAGUUUUCAAUUACACUGCAGAAAGGAAGAAUACAAUAGAAUAUGGGAUGUGCUAUUCACACACCUUAUUUUACUUCUCACACACCCCUGGAUAAUUUAUGUCCGUUGAUCUUCUUCAAUUCAUCCGAUCUGACGAUUGAAAAUUAAAAAGGUAUGUGAGAAGUAAAAUAGUGUGUGUGGAUAUCUGAAAUUUACUUAACUUUAUUGCUUUCAGAUUUUUAUUACAACACUUGGCCAUCUUAUGGGGAUGCCUAACCCAAUUUCCUCCAUCAAUAUUCGGUUCUUCAUCAAGCUAUGCAAACUCUUUUGAGAAUUCAACUUAAUUAUAAGGAAUAUGAAACCAGCAGCUCUUUCAACUACUUGUGAAUGAUGUCCAAAGGAAAUCAAAACCAAACUAGACUCAAGUGUUCAUAUAUUCAUUGGAGUUGAAUAUGUUAAGGAAUCUCCUACAUCAAAGGAGAUCAGUUCGUCAACAACACAAUUUGCUCCAUCUACCGCACAAUCGGCUCCUCCGUAUGAAAGUCAACUAUGAUAUAUGCUAUGCUGUCUUUCCUAUUCUAUUUGAAUAGGAUUGAUUCAGUCAUUCAAGUAUGAUUGUAUUUACCAUAUUAGGAUUGUAUUCAAAGUGUAUAUAAUCAUAGACCUGUACCUAUAAACAUAUCAAUGAAAUAUACCCAUUCUAUAUGGUAUCACGAGCCCAAAAACUCCAACGAGCAAUCUUUUUUUUUUCUGAUCCCUCUCUUCCCUGUCUUCAUCCAUGGCCACUGACGCCUCUACAACCAACCCUUUACCAGAGCUCAACUCCACUACUCCCACCUUGAUCACAAUCAACGCUACAGCCCAACUACCUGUGAAACUCACACCCACCAAUUACCCAUCCUGGCGUGCUCAGUUCAACGCCCUCCUUUACGGCUACGACCUCAUGGGUUAUGUGGAUGGUUCUAAUCUCUGCCCAUCAACUGCUCAAACCGUGCUUCGCACCUUUUGGAUUCGGCAAGAUCAACUCCUCCUUCAUGCGAUUCUUGCUUCCGUCUCACUGCAGGUCAUCUCCCUUAUUGCCUCUGCCAAGACAUCCAAGGAGGCUUGGGACAAACUUCUCCAUCUCUUUGCUAGCAAAGCCCGUGCCCGUGUUCUUGGUCUCAAAGAACGCCUUACUCUCCUGCGCCGUGAGAACAAGCCUGUCUCUGAAUAUCUGCAAGAAGUCCGCGUUAUUGCAGAUGAGCUUGCCAUCAUUGAUGUCCCCCUCUCUGAUGACGAUCUCCUCCUCUACAUUCUUAAUGGUGUUGGCUCUAACUUCAAGGAAAUUGCUGCGGUAGUUCGUUCCCGCGACACCUCAAUCUCUUUUGAAAACCUGCAUGACAAACUGGUUGAACAUGAAGCUGCUCUCAAGCGUGAUGAUACCGUUGUUGCAGCCCCAGUGAUCACUGCCAAUGUCACUCAGACAUCUCGCUCCCACACCUCAACCCGUGGCUACCGCUCUCACAACUCCAACUCCAACCGUGGGUCCUUUGCCUCUCACAAUCCUUCUCGUGGUUCCUUCGGGCACCCUCACACAUCUUCCAUUGACACCAAUUCUCGUAGUUCCUAUAAGCCCACCCAACAAUCUUUCACCGACAAUGGGCGCCGCUCUACCAACAUGAACAACACAGGUUAUCGUGGUUUCUGUCAAUGGUGUGGCACUCAAGGUCAUAGUGCCAAACGCUACCCUCAACUCCAAUCUGGACCUCACAGUCCGCAAGUGGCCAAUCCUACCACCCAUGGCUGGUCCACCUCUUCUCCAACAUGGUUGCUUGAUUCCGGUGCCUCUCACCAUGUUACCACCAAUGUCAACACUCUUUCUGGUGCCUCUAUAUAUGAUGGUCCUGAUGAAAUAAUUAUUGGUAAUGGUUCAGGUUUGAGUAUCACUCAUGUCGGUUCAACCACUUUACCCUCCUCAUCCUCCCAAUCUUUCAACUUAUCAAACGUUCUGUGUGUUCCUUCUAUGCAAAAAGACAUUAUUUCUAUCUCUAAAUUUAAUAAACAAAAUAAUACCUCUAUUGAACUUUUUCCUGAUUUCUUUCAUGUCAAGGAUCUGAGCACGGGGGUGGUUCUUCUUCGAGGCCCGAAUAAUGAUGAUGUGUACGAGUGGUCUCCUAAAUUUUUUUGUCAACCACAAGCUAUGGUGGGUGUGGUGGUCUCUCCCAACCUUUGGCAUCGUCGUCUUGGUCACCCCAGCCACCAAACUCUCCAACAAGUCCUUCGUAUGUCUUCCAUUAAUGUGUCUUCCAAGUUGUUCGAGUCUGUUUGUCAUUCAUGUCUAUGUAAUAAAAGCCAUCGGCUCCCGUUUGGUACUUCGUCUCUCACCAGUCAUGGUCCAUUAGACCUCCUUUAUAGUGAUGUUUGGGGCCCUGCUCCGUACUCUUCUAUUGAUGGUUUUUCCUACUAUGUUAUCUUUGUUGACCAUUUUACAAAAUACAUAUGGCUCUACCCUCUCAAAAAGAAAUCUGAUGUGUUUUCCACUUUUGUCACCUUCAAAGCGCUUGUCGAAAAUUACUUUAAAAGAAAAAUCACUAGAUUAUACACUGAUGGUGGGGGCGAAUUCAUCAAACUCCAACAUUUUCUCUCAUCCAAUGGCAUCACCCAUCUUCUUACACCACCUCACACUCCUCAACACAAUGGAGUCGCCGAACGACGACAUCGUCAUAUUGUUGAAACUGGUCUCACCCUUCUUCAUCAAGCUUCUUUACCUCUCACCUAUUGGUCUUAUGCCUUUAAAACAGCUGCCUAUCUUAUCAACCGCAUGCCUACUCCGCUUCUUCAUAAUCUCUCCCCAUUCACUCAACUUUUUGAUGAACAACCCAAUUACUCCCGUCUUCGUACAUUUGGGUGCUUGUGUUUUCCUUGGUUACGUCCUUACAAUUCCAAUAAAUUACUCCCUCGUUCCCGCCCAUGUCUCUUCCUUGGUUACUCAUCUAAUCAAAGUGCUUUUCAGUGUCUUGAUCUUUCCUCCAACAAACUUUUUAUCUCUCGGCAUGUUCAAUUCGAUGAGUCCACUUUUCCUCUUGCCAACUUCCCUUCCUCCAUUCCCCAUGUCACUGUUGAUAACUCUCACACUUGGGUCUCCUCUCUUUCUCCAGUUACUCAUAUUCCUGUACACUUCCCCACCAGGCCUGUUGAGUCGGUUGUUUCUUUGCUGCCACCACAUGUCACAUCAUCAUCAUCAGAAUAUGCCCCUGUCUCAAAACCGUCACCAUCCGCUGCCCCGGCCCCUAUUACUGCUGCUACCACUCCUCUCUUACCGUCACCCAACCACCACGCCUUGGCCCCUACCUCUACCACACCUCUAUUCACCCCACCACAUUCUCCAGCCCAAACUGACCACGUCCAGCCACCUCUUCCCCUCAACCCCGUUUGUACAUACACUAGAAACCCUCAUAGGACUGUUGUCACCUUUUUAUCCUCUGACCCACACCCCCCAACCCCCCCGUACCUCAUGUGCUCCCCGAUCAUUCCAUGAUCACCUGUGCCAAAUCCGGUAUCCACAAACCCAAUCCUCGAUAUGCUAUGACUGCUACUAAACAUCUCAUUCUCUCAUCAGUUGAACCGACAUGUGUUUCCCAGGCCGUCAAUGAUCCCCUUUGGCGGCAAGCAAUGUCCAAUGAGUUCAAUGCGUUAAUUCGCAAUGGUACAUGGGAGCUCGUUCCUUCCCUCCCCUAUAAUAAUCUUAUUGGUUGUAAGUGGGUGUUUCGUAUCAAACGGCAUCCUGAUGGCACUAUUGACAGGUACAAGGCACGCUUAGUUGCCAAGGGUUUUCACCAACGCCCUGGUGUUGAUUUUUCAGAUACUUUCAGUCCGGUGGUCAAACCUACUACCAUACGCAUUGUUUUGCAUCUUACCGUAACUCAUGGGUGGCCAAUUCGUCAGUUAGACGUUAACAAUGCUUUCCUUCAUGGCACCAUCCGUGAAAAUGUCUAUAUGAUCCAACCGCCUGGUUUUGUUGACUCUAAUCAUCCAUCUCAUGUGUGUAAAUUGAGGAAAGCCCUCUAUGGCCUCAAACAGGCUCCCUGGGCAUGGUACAAGGAAUUACACUCAUUUCUGCUCUCCCAUGGCUUUGUCAAUGCCAUCUUUGAUGCCUCACUUUUUCUCUUGAAAAAUGGGACUGCUGUAAUUUAUGUUUUGGUUUAUGUUGAUGAUCUUCUUAUUACAGGCAACGAUUCCUCACUUGUAGCAAAGUUCAUCCAACUAUUGGCAACUCGGUUCUCCGUCAAGGACCUGGGCUCAUUACAUUACUUUCUUGGUGUUGAGGUUCUUCCCACAGCCACUGGCCUUUUCCUCUCUCAGCACAAGUACAUUCAUGAUCUUCUCGUCACUGCCAAGAUGGAUGGUGCAAAGGCUGUCAGUACGCCUCUCUCCACCACUAACUCACUCAUGCUCCAUGAUGGCUCCUCCCUAACGGAUGCCACUCCCUACCGUCGUCUUGUUGGUGGUCUUCAAUACCUAAGCCUUACAUGCCCUGACAUCUCCUUCACAGUCAAUAAGCUCUCUCAAUUCAUGCAUUCUCCUUCCGAGACUCACUGGCAGGCACUCAAGCGUCUUCUUCGCUACUUGAAGGGUACCAUUUCCUUUGGCCUUCAUCUUUGUCGUCGCCCCUCUCAUCGUCUCUAUGCCUUUUCUGAUGCUGAAUGGGCUGGUGACCGUGAUGAUCGCAAGUCUACGACUGGCUAUGUUGUCUAUCUCAGUGGAAAUCUCAUCUCUUGGAGCUCUUGUAAGCAGCGGUCUGUCUCUCGUUCCUCCACCGAAGCUGAAUAUUGGGCCAUUGUUGCCACCACUGCUGAACUCAUAUGGAUUCAGUCCUUACUGCGUGAACUUGGCAUUCCUCUCCCCACAACACCGGUUGUUUCUUGUGAUAACAUUGGAGCCAUGUUCUAUUGUGCUAAUCAUGUCCUACAUUCUCGUAUGAAACAUAUCAAUAUUGAUUUUCAGUUUGUCUGGGAUCGUGUCACUCGUGGUCUUCUUCAAGUGUCUCAUGUCUCCACUACUGAUCAGCUUGCUGACGCUCUCACCAAGUCCUUGCCACGUCCUCGUUUCCAUCUCCUUCGUUCCAAGAUCGGUGUCUCCGAUGGUGCCACCGUCUUGCGGGGGCGUGUUAAGGAAUCUCCUACAUCAAAGGAGAUCAGUUCGUCAACAACAUAAUCUGCUCCAUCUACCGCACAAUCGGCUCCUCCGUAUGAAAGUCAACUAUGAUAUAUGCUAUGCUGUCUUUCCUAUUCUAUUUGAUUAGGAUUGAUUCAGUCAUUCAAGUAUGAUUGUAUUUACCAUAUUAGGAUUGUAUUCAAAGUGUAUAUAAUCACAGACCUGUACCUAUAAAAUAUCAAUGAAAUAUACCCAUUCUAUAGAAUAUAACAAUACGUAAAAUUCCAUCACUAAGAAGCCAAAUUGUAUCAAGACUUUGUAACAGCAGCACGAAGGUCAGGAGUCGACUUGGAGGAGAAGAUCGCGAGCGGGUUUGGCUAGCAUUGGUUAACCGAACCCCCAAUUCCAUGUUCAUGGCUAUCGGCUAAUCCUUCACUCUUAUGUUCGGUGUUUAACUUCCGAACAUUGAACUUUUUGUCAAAUUUUGUGUUCAGCAUGUUAAAAUACAUGAUUCGAUCUAGUUGUAUUUUAUUUAAGAAAAUAGAAACAAACCCAAGAGGAUUUCAGAGAAAAGUGACGGCUUAGGGAAGAACAUUGCAGCUCAAACCUUACUUAUAUACUUCAAUGAUUUAGGGUUUUGGUCACAAUACCACCUUACAGCUCAUUUAAAUUAGCUAGCUGACAAAAGCCUUCAAGACCCCAGUUGUUCUAAGCUAAUCUAAACCGCACACCAAAGCAAACCUAUCUCAGCCCUACGCUUGUAAUUUUGGAAUGAAUCAACGUAUUGGCCUUUACAAAUUUGGAAAAAAACUAAGCCAUUACUUUUGUUUAAUACAAAAAAUUGGAAGCUAGAAAUCAGUUUAGGCAUCAACACUCUCCAAAUUGUUUCUAGUUUUGACACCAAGCAAAUCCUUGAGGUAUACAAAACUCUAUUUUAGCGUAGCCUUAGUAAAUAUAUCAACAGUUUGAUCCUCAUAUUUGCAAUAGAGUUAAUCAAUCACAUUAUCUGACGUACAAAGGAUCUCUAAUAAAGUGAUGGUUCCUCUUGACAUGUUUUGUUUUUUAGUGAAUAAGAGGAUAUCUUGUCGUAGCAAUUACAAAGGUGUUGUUAAAUUUUAGUGAUGUAGCAUCUACUUUAUAAACGUAGCUGGGUCGAGGAACCCAAACCCAAUAGAUAAAUAAUCUCAACUAAAAUUCCUGAUGAGGAUUAAAGUACGAUUUCAAUCAUACUAUGUAAUAGUGAAGAAGAAAAUGAAAUAGGGAAAAAGAACAAAAGACUCACGAUAUUCUUAUACGUGGUAAAACCCCACACACAAUGGGGAAAAUUCAUGGGCACACAACCGAUUAAAGAACCACUGAGAAAUAAGAACUUUUACAAGACUCAACAAGACACACAUCUACUAAACUUGAAGUUUUCUUUUGUACUUUUAAUCUUGUAGCACACAUUCCUUCUUUUGCUCUCUUCUGGAUGAACACGAUGCACCCAGCAAGUUCUCCUCACGACUAAAGAGAUUGCCCUCAACUUCGUCACAUAGAUGGACACAACUUCUUCACACAAAUGAAUACGAGGAAUAAUAUGAAAUGUAUGAAUUGUAUCACUAAGUUCACUCUUCUAACCUAGCACCCAAGAACUUCGCUUUAAACCUUUUAUGCUCAAAUCUUAUAACCAAGCAAAGAUGAAUGAUAGGCUUGAUUUCCUAUGAAACCAACAGCCUAGAAUAAAAGAAACUGGAACUAUGUACUAGAAUAAAAUCAAAUUGGUUUUAUUUCUUAAAACUAGGCAAUUAAACUGAUCUUAUAAUCUUCAAGAUAUGCAAUGAUGUGAUUCUCGUUUCCUAUAUUAAUGCACAUGAUACUCCAAUAGAUGCCUUGAUGUGCACGUUUUCAAUAAUUAAACCUAGAAACUACGACACGCCUAAAAUCUAGAACUAAUAUAUUACAGACGCAUUGAACUUGUCUAGGAAAUUAGCGAAUACAAAAGCUUGCGCUUUCACACUUGCAUUCAAUAAAGUCCUUAAGAACAAACCUCAGACAAAUUGCUUGAGAAGUAGCCUCUAGCACCAAGGAAGAACAUCACUUCGAAAAAAGUCGUCUUUGACUUUGGGCUUAAUCAAGGGUUGUAAUUCCUUUAAUUCUAAUGGUGAAAUUGGGUUAAGAUAAUUAUUAUUUUUUUGCUUUAUUAUUAUUUUUUUAACAAAUGAUAUUAUUUAACCCUAAGAAGAGAGGGUGGGCUAUACCUGACAAUGGGUUAGCAUAACGUGGUUCCAAUUUGCUUUUGUCAAGAAUUGAACCUAAAACCUCUCACUUACAAGUGAAGAGGAAAACCUCUAGACCGUAGUAUUAAGUGACAAUACUUUGGGUUAGUUUGGUAUUCCUGUGCUUUCUAAAAAAAAAUGUGAUUCGUGUUGUCAUAUGAGAAUAAACAGUUGUAAAAUAAAGUUGUUGGAUGUUUGGUAAUUUUUUUUGUAAAUGUGCUUUUAACAAAAAAAAUCAGUGUCAGAGUGUUUGGUAAAUUUUUCUAUAAAUUUUUGUAAAUGUGUUAAAUAACUAAAAAGGAUAUGGUACGUAGUGUGAUAUAAUAAUUAUAAAAAACAAUAACGUAGGGACAAAAAUUGUAAUUUUGUAAAAUAUGUGGAGUUGUACUUGCCCUUUCAAAAUUUUAUUAAAUGAGCACUAAUUACUAUGAAAAAAAAAGGCACUUUCUUUAGAAGCAUGAUAGACCCUACUUUUGUUUUUCUAUGCUUUUCUACUGUUAUUGACAAACACACUUAAUAUUUCCGAUUUUUUAACAGCACUACAAUCCUAAUCCAGCCAUUUGUUACAAUGUUUAGAAUUUUCUCAACCAAAUGGCUCAAAUGUGUAGGGGGAAUACUAUGAUCUAGUUGGCAUUCAGUGACUUGCUUGAUUUCAUUGAUUAGUGAAUAUGUUCUGGAUUGUUAAAUUAUUUUGUAUAAACUUAGCAUCCAUAAAGCAUUUUAAGUUAAACCAUAUUCACUAGGGAGAGCAUUUAAAUUGUAGAGAGUAGAAGACAAUUCUAAGAUCAAUCCCAAUCAUGUUUCGAAUUCAAGAGAUGGGGUCAAUUUUUUUAUUUUUUUUUUGCAUUCAUUUGGUUUAUUCAAUUUGCAACCCAAAUGUCUUCUUGUCAUGCUUUUCAGAAUAUGUCAUACAUAUUCCCCUUCACCCCAAUCUCCUUGCUCUAUAUCUUGGGGAAAGAAGUAUAGAUUUCAAUUUGAAGCCAAAAUGCCUGGUUAUAAUGAUUAACAGAUUAAUUUUGUUGGAAUGUUUACAUUUGCAAUUGAUUUACAAUUGAGUUGUAAGGAAAGACAUUCACUAUUCUUCCAAGAAGAGGCCAAAUUCAGAUUCAUAAUUUGAAUUGAGAGCCCUAAUGCAAAGCGUGAGUAGACGGUGGCUACCAACAAUAGAGGAAGCAGAGAGGGAGUUGGAGAAUUGAUCCUGCCUUCCGACUCGCGGUAUUUUAAAAUACAGUCUUGUGUAGGCGUUUGUUUCCUCUCAUCUACAUGGCAAAUUAUUGAUCCUCACAAAGAUGCACAACAAUGUAGUCCUAGUUGAUCCUUUCCAUUAUUUUAUUUUGUUUAAUGCUUCAACGUGUAAUUAGUUUCAAUCUUCCAUAUGAAUCCCUUAACAGUCGUUGGUAACGUAGACCCUGUCCUUUCCUCUCUUGAACCGUCAUUAGUUAGUAUAUCAUUUAAUUUCUUGGGCAAUUAGCAGGAAUGAUCACUUUUUGACAUUUGGUUGCAGAAAUGAUCGUAUGUCGUUAUGUCAUCAUUGUGUGGGCGAUAUAUGAUCAAUAUGUCGCCGAUAUUAAAAAAAGAAAAACUAAUGAAAAUAGCUUGAAAACUUUGAGUUUUAACGAAAAUGACAAAAUACAGGGUAAGGUGAAUAGUACCAUGAUUGACUUUUAGUGUAAAAAUAUAGUUUUUCGUUAAAAUGAACAGUACUGUGAGCUUUUCGUUAAAGUUCCCAUUAAAAAUGAUCAUUUCUGCAACCAAAUGUCAAAAAGUGAUUAUUCAUGCUAAUUGCCCUAAUUUCUAUUUACCAAAUAAAAGAAUAGUACUAGUAGUCGGACUAGAGUAUUGCAAGUGUACAAACAAAGGUUAAAGGUAGUAUACGAAAGCUCAAUAGGAUGGCUAAUUGAACACUGCGUAACGCUACCAAUGCUUCUACGUGAAAAGGACUAGCAGUACCCCUUUGAAGACUAGCAACCAAAACAAGACAGGUCCCUUCCCCAUCCCAAACCACCCUAAUGCCACCAUUACCACGGCACUCGCAAAAACCAUAAUACAAAAUAAUAUUCACCCAGAGGACUUCACCAUUGAUGCUGCACUGGCUGCUUACCUCGACUACCGGUCACACAUUCUCCUUGCCGCAGAAUACUAGUCCUCGACUACCACAAAGGCCAUAUGAACAUCACGAAGGAGAGCAAACUACUACUUGGACAUAUCAAUUGCCAUUGGAAUAGCCUUUCUUUAAGGCUACGAGAUCGCAACAAACUUUUCUGGAAAGACAAGGGACUAACAAACUACAUGGAACUUUUUAUGUAGAGCCUCGAUAGGCAUGUACAUGCCCUGUUUUUCCUCAGUCUGUUUACUUGCUUGAAAUUUCAUAUGCUAAAAUUGCUUCGCUUCCCUCUUUUCAUUUUGGAUUUGACGGCUUGGCUACAUGGACUUUUUUUUUCUUGGGCAUGUGACUUUCUUGUUGUUCAAUUUUGUGUGAACAUUGUUAUUUACUUUACUUUGUUUUUGGUUUGGUAGGUCGCUUAAGCUCUACUUGAACCAGUGAAACCUGCUCGGUGAUAUGAGCUCGAAAUACCUAUUAAUCAGAUAAGCAAACCCAAUUUUGACUUGCAAGUGCACAAGACCAAUAGUAGUACAGUAAGAGGAAGUAUGAAGUAGUUCCCACGAGUAUUGAUUUUUACUUUAAUUUCAGUCUCAACUCAAUUCAAAUUCAACAAACUUUUAACACAAAUAGGGCUGAAAAUUUUACCUAGAAUGAACGAGCCAAGGAGAUCUCAAAACCUUAAAUUACGAGUGGGUGGGAAGAAUAUUUGAGUGCUUGUAAUUGUUUCUCCGUAUGCUUCUACAGUAAGCAAGGCUCCUAUCAUUGUGUGUGAUUAGUUUACUUUUGCGUUCUCGAUUGCAUAUAUAUCAUUUUGAACUUAUUGGUUUGAGGAAAUUAAGGCUCAAACUUAGUGACAUUCUCGUGAUUCUUUAAGAAAUCCAUUGAAAUCUUACUAAAUUGUUUAAAAAAAGAGCAAUUUGAUUGUUACUGUUGGAGGAAAGAUUAGCGGUUUUCAAUUACACUGCAGAAAGGAAGAAUACAAGAGAAUAUAUAUGGAGGAUGAGUUUUGAACGGGAACUGAACUUUACUUGACUUUAUUACUUUCAGUUUUUUAUUACAACACUUGGCCAUCUUAUUGGAUAUUUAUAAUAACAUUCAGACCUUUUGAUAAUAGCCAUAAUUCUUGGAUUAGUUCCAAGAGACACAACUCUACAUUACAGAAAGUGCAUUACGUUUAACACUUACAUCUCCGCAAUGGCUUUCAGGAACUGGAGCAAUCCAGGUGCAUCACACAUUGUGUAGGCGCAAUGAAGUAUGAAACCUCCACAUGUAAGACAGGUCACCUGCAUAAUGCAAAAGUUAGUAACUAGAAUUUUUUCUUGAUCAUCAUAUUCGUGCUAGUUAACAAAUACUUUAGAAGAAAAGACAAAAAAAGGGUCUAAAUUAGAUGAUCUAAUUAGGAAACAAAAGUUUCAUAAAAAUUAGGAAUAAAAUUCAAGAAAGAUGGAGUCUCUUUGAAAGAGUAUCGUGCCUGUUGUAGUUACUUGAAAGAGUCUUUAAAUACAGAGGAAUUUUGACGAAACGCUUACAAAAGAAAGAAAAAUUUAGACAGAAGACGAAGAGAACAACAUGACAAUAGGCAAAAACCCUAGAAGAAGAACGGCAACAGAAAGCCUAGACACUAAAGGUGACGUGAGACUGGUAGAAGGAACCUAGGACCUAAUUAGGCAGAUACCAUGUAGAAAUAUAAUUUCCUUGAUUUGUUGUGUAUAUAAAUUUUGCAAUAUAGAGGGUUAAACAUAAGGACUGUAAAAAAAUAAUGAAAAGCGUCUCAUAAUCUUUGCUUUCCAAAACCACCUAAUGAACUUUCUUUAACCAUAAGAACAAAGAGGCGUGGUAGUACCGUAGACAAGAUCAAGUUUGGGUGCGGUGGCAGUAUGAUAAAUUUUCGGUUAUGAACAGGGUUGCCAAUUUUAUGAAAAAAGUUAAAAACAGUUGUUGUGCCACCAAACUUCAACUUAUUUACAAUAUUGUUGGCGAUUUCUUUGUUUAUGCCCUUUUUUGUUAUUAAAAUUUUCAUAUGUAGUUCAUUGCACUAAUUUCUUACAAAAAAAUGUCUAGCAUGUGUAUGUGACCUUAACGCAAAAAAACACUACUCUUACCCUUAACCUACUUCAAUUUUUUUUAUUUUUUUUUGUAAAGAAAUAAUAUGGCAAUGACCAAAUAUGAAUACAAAAAACAAUUUAACUUGUAAUUAAUAAUUAAAUGAUUCACCUAAACCAGCAGCAAAUGACAACCAUUAAUUCCAUCAGAACCUAGGAAAUUAAAUAAGAACUCCUCUAAGAGUGGACAAGGGGUAGAAUUUUGUCUCCUAGUUGUUCAAGUGUGACAUCACCAGAAGCCUUGACUAACAAGAUACCUUCACCAUGGCAAUUGGCCACAAGCUUUCUGUUAGGCCCUUCCCAAAGCCUGCCAACUAAAGGAUAGUAACACACUAAGGGCACGUUUGUUACACCUCCUUAAGAGGGAUUAGCUUGGACUACCUUAAGUAGGACUAUAAUCCUACGUUUGGUGGGUUGUGGGACUAAAAUAAAUAGGACUCGCCUUGACUACGAGUCCCUGCGCGCUUCGCUAAAGCUCUCAGCCUAAUCCCACGCUUUCGCUUGGUAUUAAUAAGGACUAGAAGAAGGAAACUAAGCUGACAUCCAAUCCCCACUUUGGCUUGAUAAACCCCCCAGUGCUCCACACUCCGCCUUCUUCUGCGAAGCUGUCAUCAUGGCCAGGCCAUCGGCGGCAACCCACCUUCAUCUUUUGUGAGACCAAGAUUCGGUGUCGUCGAGGGAGGACGACGACAAGCUUGAAGAAGAAGAGAUCGUCGACGACCAAGAUUCGGCGUCGUCGAAGACACAGAAAGGAAUAGCGUUGCAGUUACACACUCUAGAGCAUUCUUGGACCUUCUGGAGUUCUAGUUUAAUUUUGAGUUAUGGGUUACUUUUGUUUGGUUGGUAGGAAAACUUAUAUGGAUUUGGCGUUGCAAUGUGGAGUUCAGGGUUUAAUUUUGAUGUUAAUUUAUUCAUUUCCUUUUAUUUUGGUUUAAUUUUGAGUUCUGGGUUAAUUUUGUUAGGGCCUCAAAGUCUAUUUCUCGAAGGAAUAUACAGUGUGUUUUACAUUGCCCAUCAUCUUUUCCAGUUCUGGGCUUAGUUUUGAUGUUAAAUUUCUUUAAUUUUUUCUUUUUUGGGUUUAAUUUUGUUUGUUUGGGUUUAAUUUUGUUUAAUUUGGGUUUAAUUAUGAAGUUCUAGACAUUUUGAUAUCAUAUCGAUUGCAUUCUUAAAAAUUGGAAACUAUGAAUUUGGCUCAAUGUGGCGUUGCAUUUCUUAAUUUCAUGUUCUCUUAUUAACAAAAAAAUUGGGUCAACAGUUUAGUCUGACACUUAGUCCGGCACUACACCAAACUCUUCACUAUUUUUAUCCUAUUUAGUCUAAGCCAAGCCAAUCCAGCUUAGUCCCUGAAGCUAGUCCAGUCAAAGAUAGUCCGGUGCAACAAACGCACCCUGCUUAAGGCUUCCCUAAUGCUCUGCUUAAGGCUUCCCUAAUCGCCUUAAUGGGAUCAUGAUUUUCUUUAUAACCACUAGUAGAAAAAAUAGCUUGUGCGACGAUAUUUUGAGCAACGAAUAAUAAUUUGUCGCACAAGAGGCACUUGUGCGACGUAAAAACAUAUUCGUCUCACAAAAUAGAAAACAUAUUGAAAAAUAAAUAAAAUUGUGCAACGAAAGAAAUCGUCGCGCAAGAAUACUUAGUGCAACGAAUAAUUGUUGUCGUCACGUAAAGUCAGCCAGAAAACGCGAGGUAAUUUUUUUUGGUGCGAGAAACUUGCGCGACGAAAAGUGCUUUUGCGCUACCAAUUUUUCGUCGCGCAAGUUCCAGUAAGCUUUGACCAUUUAAUGCAAGUGAAUCAGAGGACAUUUAAUACAAAUGUUUGAGCGACAAAGCCUUCGUCGCGCAAAGAUCUUAACUUUGCUAUAAAUAGGCGCUUCUAUUGUCCUUAUUCUUCACAAUUAUGUUAUCCUUAAUCUUCAUAAUUAUGUUUGUGCUGAGAUGGCGGAUAUAAAGAACGAUAAGAGUGUGCGCGUCGGCAACCCGCAUGAUUUGAGAAAGCAUUUUGAGUUUGCUCAUGCUAUUGUUGUAGCUAUGGGGAAUAAUUGCCCCACUGUUGAGUGGCGUUCUUGGAAAGAUGUGCCCGGGAAUUUGAAGAAGGUUGUGAUGGAUGAACUAUUUGUAAGUAUAUUAUUGAUGGAUCAAUAAUGAAGUUUGUGAAAUUUUUAGUUAUAUGUUGGAAUUAAUUAUUUGCAUAUAUAUGUAACAGUGUAAGUAUGUUUUUGAUGAUGAACAGAAAGAACAAUUGAUGAAGUUGCUAGAGGAUGCGUUGGAGGGAGGUUACAAUCGGUGGCGUUAUCAAGUAUUGCAGAAUGGGGUAGGAUCAUCGAAAUAGUAGUUUAAAAUUUAUGUUUUGUAUGACAAUAUUUAAAUUUCAGGUUUUUUUUUAUUUUUUUAUUUUUAUAAUUUAUGUAUUUGGACUUAAUUAGGUUCCAAUUCCUGUUGUGUUUUUUUUAUUGAGACCUAAUGUAAGCACCCUAGCUAUCCUCGGUUUAUAUGUGCUUUUAAUCUUUAAUGAAUAUUGUACUUAUGUUGAAAAUAAUUGUAUGGAUUAAGCCAUUAAUUAUUUGUAGAAUACAUAUUUAAGGUAUUGACUAUUUAUAGAAUAAUAUUUUAGGUAUUAAUUAUUUAUAGAAUAAAUAUUUAAAGUAUUAAUUAAUAUUAGAAUAGAUAUUUAAGGUAUUAAAUUGUUUUGUGAAUAUUUGUUUGUAAUUAUAAAGUUUACGUAAACAUAGAUAUCUAUGUUUACGUAAAUUUUGUAAUUACAUUUAUAAGUAUCGUCGCGUAAGAUAUUUUUGCGCGACAAAUACAUGUAUUUGUCACACAAAGCACGGUCAAACUACGUUCAAACCAACCAAUUUAUUGCGUAUUUAUGACGCAUUUUACGCGACGGACUUAGAGGUUUGAGUGUCAAAUAUUUCGUUGUGCAAAGGUGUCCUACUGCUAUAUAAUCACAGUUUUAGAGGCGUAGUUUUCAAAUUUUUUUUGUUUCAAAAAGAAUGGGCGAUUAUGGAGAAGGUUCUGGCAAAAAAAAAGUUGUUGUGGGAUUAGAGAGGUAUAGACGGAAGCAAGUGCCGUACUUUGAAGGCAAAAAUAUGGUUAAGGCGUACGCCGAAUUUAAGUAUGACAUUAGAAAUUUGGUGCAGAGGGAUUGUUCUGCCGAGUUUGAGUCUUGGAAAAAGGUUCCUGAGGAGUUGAAGAAGUCCAUGCUGGGAGAGUUAUCAGUAAGUUUGUGGUAAAUAAUUAACAAUUAUUUUUGUUAAACGUAAUAUUUUUUAAAUUACUAAUUUAUUAUUAUUGGCAUUAAUGUAGGCUCAUUGGGAUGUUGAUGAAACCGAUGAGAAGCAACGGAUUUAUGUGAAUGGGCUUUUCAAGCAGAGUUUCCGGCAGUUGAGGUUUGAUGUGUUGCGGGAGAAGGAGGAGUGAAGUUGAUGAGAGUUGUUUUUUAUUUUUAUUUAAAAUAAGAUUUUGUGGACUUUAUAUUUAAUUUAACGAAUAAAUAGAUGUUAUGUGGAUGAGUAUUAAUAUUUGCAUUAAUUAUAAUUUCUAUUUGGGAUAGUAAAUUAGUUUUGUUAAUUAAUUUAAUGUUUAAUUAGGUUUGAGUUUUUGAUUUAUAAUAAAAUAAAAAUUUACAAUGCAUACAAAUAAAAAAGAAAAACAUAAAAAAAAAAUGGAUUGCACGACGAAUGUUCCUUUUUCGUCGCUCAAAGUUAUCUUACGCGAUGAAAUACGUAAUUCGUCACGCAAAAUCGUUCGUCCUUUUCAAUCUAAAUUCAACCAUGUGCAGAGGCAAACUGCAAAAAAAAUGCAAAUUGUGCCUCUGCACUCAUCCCUUCGAUUUUGCUCAAUCCGGCAUUUCCAUUUUUUCUCAAUUUCAUCAUCUAAUACACCCUCUAUCUUCUUCUCUAGGUUGAUCGAGCUAUCUCGAUGUGUCUGGUAAGCGUUUUUUGUAAUUACUGUAAAAGUAUUAAUAUAAAUUCGAACUAAUGUCAUUAAUUUCGUUGUCUAUAGGGAUAUUGUGUGUGCAUAGUGAUUGGUGGAGAACGAUUGAGAAGGUAUUUUGUUCGUUUUAUUUUUUAAACAUAUAAAAUUAAUUAAAUUAUGUUGAACUUAGUUUGUUAUGUUUAUAUUGUGUCCUAAAAUUAUAUUUAUAUUAUGUUGUUAAAUUUGUACGUGACGUACAAAUAUGUGUUGUGAUGUACGGAGUUAAUUGAAAUUAACUUUGUACUUGUUUUUUAUUUUUAGUAAAACUUAGUUUCCCGUUUGAGGAUUAGUUGGAUUUCGUGCAUAGAUGUGAACGCAUGACUGCGGUCUAAGUAAUUCUUGAAUUGUCCCAUUAUUUGGACAGUUUGGGAAUGCACAGUUAUGAUGCAUAGUUUAUGGUUGAAGGAUUAGGUUUUGGUUGUGGAGAUUUCGGUGUCAUUUUUGUACGUUUUUCAAGUCGUACACCCGAAGAACUGCAUCGAGAUGUUGCCGAAAUUCAUCAACGUCGAAAUCUAAUCUGAUGUAGCUGUAAAUUACGUGACAUGACUAUGCAUUCCCGAAUGGGAUAGGGCCCUUACCGAAGGCAUAAGGUGACAUUAUCAUUUUGUAUGAAGUUGUUGUGAUUGUUGUAUUGUUAUUGUGGUUCCAGGAAUUAUGGACAUGACAUGGAUACAGAACCCGAAUAGAUGCGCAGAUGAAUACUUGGAUGGAAUCGAGGAUUUUAUUGACUUUGCACAUACACACAACCCGGGUGCAACAAGAAUCUGGUGUCCUUGUAGAAGGUGUAACAACACGUUAAGGGAGAUAAUUGAAAAUGUUUGAUUUCAUUUAGUAAGGAACGAAAUGAUUGAGACAUAUAAUACUUGGAACCAUCAUGGGGAACAAUUAGACAAUGCUUCGUCUUCAAACGCCACAAUAGUGGAUAAUGUUGAACCUAUUGUGGAUCCUAAUGAACAAGUCAUGGAUAUUAUAAAUGAUGUUUUUCCAUUUGCAUCAACAAACACUAAUCAGGAAGGGGAAAAUGACGUGCCUACAUCAAUGGACAGUGCAGAGUUAGAACAAUAUGAAAAACUAUUAAAAAAUGCCAACCAAGAGUUAUACCCAGGGUGAGAGAGCUUUUCCAUUCUCACGGCCAUUGUGGAACUAAUGCAUGGAAAAAUAAAGUAUCGUAUGUCGAACCAGUGUUUCGAUUACUUUUUGGGGGUUUUCAAGAGAAUGUUUCCGAAGAAUAAUUGUUUGCCGAAAGACUAUAGACACAUGCAAAACGUGUUGAAUGGUCUUGGAUUAGGUUAUGAAAAAAUUCACGCUUGCAAAAAUAAUUGUAUUUUAUUCUACGAAGAGAAUAAAGCAUUAGAUAAAUGCCAUGUAUGCAAUGAGUCGAGGUUCAAAAUGACAUCUCAGAAUAGAACGACUAAGAUCCCACAAAAAAUUAUGCAUUAUCUGCCCUUGAAACUUAGGAUGCAACGAUUGUAUAUGUCGACGCAUACUGCCACAGACAUGAGAUGGCAUAAGGAAAAAUGGGUAGACGAUGAUGUGAUGUGGCAUUUUGUAGACGGAGAGGCAUAGAAAGAGUUCGAUCGAACAUUCCCCGAGUUUGCUGAUGAUUCUCGUAACGUUAGAUUAAGACUUGCCACUGACGGAUUUAAUCCGUUUGGGGUUUUAAACCAACACCAUAGUACUUGGCCGAUUUUCGUAUUUCCGUAUAAUUUGCCGCCCAGGAAAUGUAUGAAAAAAGAAUACAUGAUGAUAACUCUACUGAUAACUGAGGAUCCUGGUAGGUCAAUCAAUGUUUACUUAUGGCCGUUGGUAGAUGACCUAAAAGAUUUAUGGACACACGGCAUGCGCAUAUACGAUAAAUGUACUGGCAUGAUGUUCACUUUGCGUGCUGCAGUGAUGUGGACUAUGAAAGAUUUCCCCGCAUAUGCAAUGGUUUUCGGGUGGAGCACUAGGGGUGAUAUGGCAUGCCCUGUAUGCAAGGAAGACGUAACGUCUAGUUGGCAUGUCGAAAAAGUUUGUUACCUUGGUCAUCGAAGAUGGUUGCCUUGGGACCACAAGUGGCGAGAGAAGAAUAAAGAGUUUGACGGGGAGAAAGAACAUUGCCUCAAACCCAGAGAAUGAUCCGGUGCUCAAAUUUUGGAACAGCUUAACCGUUCGAAUUUUGCUCAUUUCGGGACCAAUGUCAAUAAGACAAGACCUUUUACACUUAUGAACUGGACGCACAAGUCUAUGUUUUUUGAGUUCCCGUAUUGGUCCAAACUAAAAUUGAGACACAACCUCGAUGUUAUGCAUGUUGAAAAAAAUGUAUUUGACACAUUGGUCGGCACAAUUCUAGAUUUUGAGGGCAGGACAAGGGACACGAUCAAAGCUCGUCUUGAUUUGGAACGAAUAGGAAUACGACGGGGUUUAUGGAUGAAUAAGGACAAUGAUAAAGCCAGAAGGGAUAUUGCAUUUUUUUCAAUGAAACCGAAUGACAAAAAAGAAUUUUUGAAGUUUUUAUCGUCUGUAAAGUUUUCCGAUGGGUAUGCUUCAAAUAUCACAUGUUGCGUGAACGUUGACGGGAGUAAAUUAGCUGGCCUAAAAAGUCAUGACUGCCAUGUGGUUCUGCAAUGCCUACUUUCUGUGGGUAUUAGACAUCUCUUGCCAGCCGAUGUAGUGAAACCAAUCAUGUUGUUGUCCAGUUUUUUUUUUUUUUUUUUUUUUUUUCCAAUUAAUGUUAAGAAUGUUGCAAAAAAUUUACGUUAAUCAGUUGCGCCAUGACAUUGUGCAAGUUCUAUGCAAGUUUGAGAUGAUAUUUCCUCCAGCUUUCUUCACAAGUAUGAUACAUGUGAUGGUUCACUUACCAAAUGAGGCAUUGCUUGUUGAACCAAACAACUUUCAAUGGAUGUAUCCAAUAGAAAGGUAUAUAUUCCCUGUCUUUUUUAUUAAUCAAUAUUAAAUAUAUUAAGAUUAGUAAUAUGUGUAUCAUAUCAUUUUCUUUUGGUAGGCUUUUCGGAGACUUGAAGAAAAGUGUAUGAAACAGAGCGAAGCCCGAAGGAUCCAUUAUACAAGCUUGGUGGCAUAUGAGGCGCUUACAUUUUGUGGAAUGUAUUUAAAGGAUGUUGAGACAACUUUCAAUUGUCUUCCUCGCAAUAAUGACGGGGGUGUGAGAAAGGAGAAACUUUCAGUUUUUGCCUAAAUCGCUUGACCAUUAGGAGAUCUGAUUUUUGGCGAGUCAUUUUCCAAGAAGGAUAUGGAGGUAGCACAUUGGUUCGUACUCAAAAAUUAUGAUGAGACACUGUCAUACCUAGACGAGCAUGAAAAUAUGAUGAAUCAGGCACAUCCUUCACAUUUGUAUGCCAAGAAAUAUCGUGAAUUGGUUCCGUAGUGGUUUCUCGAAUAUGUAAGUUUGAAGUGUUUUGUAUUUGACAUAUAUAUUGUGCCAAUUAAGUUGCUCAAACUAACAAAUUUAAAUGUUUGUCUAAUAUUAGGUGAAUCAACUGAAAGCAUCGAAUUCCCCCGCGUACAGUGAAGAGUUAUAUAACUUGGUGUUCGAACCAAUACGCGUUGAAUUGUACUCGGGUUGCUAUGUGAACGGCGUCAAGUUUUUAGCGGGUGCACGAGAUGACAAGUUGUGUAUGCAAAACAACGGAGUUCAUGUCCUCGAGGGAGGUGAAAGUACAGACAUUGAAUUCUAUGGUAAACUAACAAGUGUCGUGCAAUUGCUUUACAAAGACCGGUGCCAAGUGAUCCUAUUUAAGUGUCGAUGGUUUGAUACAAACCCAAAUAGGCAUGGAAGUGUGAAAAGAGAUCAUGGAUUACUAUCAGUUAACACUACCAAAACUUGGUACGAUGACAACUGUUACAUCUUAGCAAGCAUGGCAAAACAAAGUGUGUAUCUAGAUGACCCUAAAGCCGGGAAGGGUUGGAAAGUUGUUCAAACGAUGGAUCAUAGGAACGUGUAUGCUAUACCAGAACAAGACCAUACUGACAAUGACAUCGACAAUGUUGCUGACCAACGUCUUGAAUCUUUGAUGGAAAGUGAUGCGGAAACACUCUGAGAUACUAAUCUUAUCCAAGAACCAUUUCAGAUAGAAGGAGUAUCUUCAAUCGAAAUAUAGAUUCAGUCGAUCACAAUUGACCUCAGUAAUAUUCCACGAUACGAUGGUCCAGUGCGCACAAACAACGAUGGUGACGUACCUAUCGAUGAUGAGGAAUGGGAAGCUGAAAAUGAUGAUAGUGACGAAAGGGAAAGUUAUUAUAGUUCGAAUGAAGAUUAAGACAAUUUAUUUGUAACUUUUUUUGUAAAACACAUGAAAUGGUUAAUGUGUGAUGGAAAAAUGGUAUGAAUGAUUCCCAUUUUAUAUGUGAAAUACUUUGUAAAUAAAUUUGGUAUGUUUGUAUUUUAUAAUAAAUUGUAAACAAAAUAAAAAAAAAUUAAAAACCAUUUUAAAACAUAAUUGUGUGACGCAUAACAAUUUUUGGUCGCACAAGCUAGGCCUGUCAAUUCUUGACACGACAACCAAAAUAUUAAUUUAAUAAUUUUAUAACCCUAAAAAAAUACUAUAAUAAUUAUAUAUAUUAAUUUAACAAUUUUAUACCCCUAAAAACUAUAAUAAUUAUAUAUAUAUAUUAUAUUAAAUUUAAAAAAUUGGUGACCACUAGAUCGGCUUAAAUAAACAUACCAUUCAACUUCUUAAGUGUUAUACUUAUACAUACAAAAUAAAUAAAUUUAACUCUACUUAUUAAAUAUAUAUAUAUAUAUAUAUAUAUAUAUAUAUAUAUAUUGUAUAUGGUUUGAGAGAGAAUCAUAAGUCAGGGGUGAGUCAUACGAACUCAGGAUCGGUAGAGAGGGAAGUUUCUCAAAAACCUAGGUUAGAAAAUGGAGCUUGCUUACUUUUGCCCUAUGCUAGAGUCGAAUUUUCAAAGUCAUUCAAAUGAUUCCCCAAAUUCUAAUUAUUAAAAAAAAUGAGAUCCAUUAUACAGGCUAAUCCGAUAUAGAAAAAGGCUCCCUGGCUUCGCCUAAAUCUGUAUCAAUAGCAAUGGCAAGAUCAACUACUGAAGGGGUUGUGGCACCCAUUUGGCUUUGUUUGCAUGACUCUAGGAAUUGAUCUGAAAUGGUAGCCUGUUGACCGCAUACGUCAAAAAUCGCAAAAAAACAAACAUUCAGAGAUGAAGUAACGGGAUAAAACUUUUCGACAGUUAGAAACGAAAAAUCAUGAUUUAACAGUUAUUUUAACUCCGAUUUUGAUGAUUUUUUAAAACUAUUUACCCUAUAUGAAUACAAUGAAUGAAUUCGAUCUUCAAUUUAAACUAUUUACACUAGUGGAUAACACAAAAUCUUAUGUUAUACUUAAUGAAAGUAUAAAUAAACUCUAAAUGCCAGUGAAUCUAUCUUUUUGAUGUGAUAUGCAUUCUACAGAACUAAUUUGAACGAUCCAACCAUCAAACUUGUUUGUAUAUGGUUUGAGAUCGCAUACACCAAAAAUCACAACAAAAAAAAACAUUCAGAGAUCAAGUAACGGGACAAAACUUUUCCAUAGUUAAAAACGAAAAAUCACGAUUUAACAGUUAUUUUAACUCCGAUUUUGAUGAUUUUUUACAACUACACUCCUUGACCCUAUAUGAAUACAACGAAUGAAUUCGAUCUUCAAUUUAAGCUAUUUACACUAGUGGAUACCACAAAAUCUUAUGUUAUACUUAAUGAAAGUAUAAAUAAACUCGAAGUGUUAGUGAAUCUAGCUUUUUUAUGGGAUACGCAUUCUACGAAACUAAUUUGAACUAUCCAACCGUCAGACUUGUUUGUAUAUGGUUCGAGAUUGCAUAAGCCAAAAAUCGCAAAAAACAAAACUUUCAGAGAUCAAGUAAAGGGACAAAACUUUUCGACAGUUAGAAAUGAAAAAUCACGAUUUAACGGUUAUUUUAAAUUUACGCGGGAGUAUUGCGCGACAAAUACAUAUAUUUCGUCGCACAAAGUAUAUUUGCACGACGAAAUAUUGUAUUCUUAGCACAAGUGUCUGAAAUUUCAAUUAAGGCAUUUUUUUUACAUGGAAAUUUUUAAAAAACUUGCACGACGAUUUUUGGCCUUGCGAGACAAAGGCUCUGUCGCGCAAGAUUCUAUAUUUUAACCCCAACUCUCCUUCUUCCCCUCACUUCUCUCUUCUUCCUUUUUCCCUGCGCGAUACCCUCUCUCUCAUUCCUCUGUAUCUCCAUCUGUCUCUCCAUCCCUCUCUCCGGCCGUCACGACUUCGUCUCCAAGAGGUAAUUUCCUCUUCAAUUUUCAUUAUCAAUUUUCUUUAUUUACAAAUUGGGGGUUCGAAUUAGGGUUUUUUGGUUUUUUUUCUUUUUCAAAUUGGGGGUUAGAAUUAGGGCAGUUAGGGUUCGUAAAUUGUGAGUUACAUUUAGGUUCUUAAAUUAGAGUUUUUAGGGUUCUUAAUUGGGGUUAGAUUUAGGUCUUAAAUUAGAGGACCGAUUUUGGGCAGUGAGGUUAGAUUAGGUUUUCUUAAUUUGGGGGGUUAGAUUUAGGGUGCUUGACUGGGGGUUAGAUUAGGGUUAUUAAAUUAGGGUUUUUUUUAAUUUCAAGUAUAGGGUUCGAAUUAAGGGUUGUUUUUUAAUUUAAGUACAUGGUUCUUAAAUUAGGGAUUUGUUAAUGUUUUCAUGUGUUCUAUGCAUCCACAACAUUGCACUUACAUGUUUCCAUAUGCAAGAAUCCUUUUAUUUAUUUAUCUUUAUAUCGUAUAAUUCACCUUUUCAAUUCUCUUUUAUUACGAUGAUAUGAAAUAUAUUUAUGUUUGUGGUUUUUAUGUUGGAAUUUAAGAUAUUGUAGGAUGUGUUCUCUAUUGUAGGUUUGAAAGAAAAAAAAUUGAAUUGCACUGUACAUUUGUGGAAUAAGUUUUUAGAGAUUUGCAUUGUAGACUGCCAUGAUUUCUUCAUAUAUGAUGGGGCAUCAGCCUUUGUUGUUGCCUUAUUAAUAUGAUAGAUGGUUGCGUUGCUUGUUGAAUUCGGCCUCCCAAUUUUGAAGUUACAGUUUUAGGAAUGUUAUGAAUGGAUUCUCUCCUGAGUCAGGCUAUACUUAAUUCACCAAGAAGGACAAAAAAUGGGAAAUGUAUAUGUAAAAUAUGUUUUCAGCCAGAUAGGGCAAUGUCAUGGUGAUUAGGUAUAACAAACCAAUAGGAACACAUUAAACCAAAUGAAAUAUGUUUGUGAACUCCAUUAUUAUUAUUAUUCAAAGAUAUGGGAACCCACAUGAUAUAAGCAAUUCUGGAUUUUACUAGUAAAUAAUGAUAUGCUCUCUCUUACAUUAUUAGUUUGUUGUGAGGUCUUUAUUUAAACAUAAGGUAGUAAGGAUAUCCAAGGCACCUCACAUUUGUUUGGUUUUAGGUAGUAAACUUGUAAGGAUGUCAUUUAUGCUAGUUUCUUCUUAUAAGUUAUAAUUGCUGGGUCUAUAUCCUAUCUGAAUUGAUUAGUUUGUGUAUAGUAUAUUAGUUUUAAGUUUUGUUACUGCCAAACUUGAAUUGGGUAUAGAAUUAGGGUUUUUAAAUUUUGUUUUAAAUUUAAGUUCAAAUUAUUAGCAUGUGUACCGUAAGUUAAAUCUUUGUAUACGAAACAAAUUGAUUUCCAAUUUUGUAGAUGUCACACCUCAUUAAAACCCGGAGGGCGAUGACUUCUACACCUAGUCCAAUGGCUACACCUAGUCCAAUGGCUACACCUAGUCUGUCGACUACACUUACUACUGCCACCACUGCUCUGGUAAAGAUGGACCAUAGGCCGGUCAAUCCGGUUGACCCAAUUGGUCCUCCAGUCCCACAAGCGUAGGCAUUGUCGACUUCUUCAGUGGCGUUGCCUGUUAGCUUCUGACGUACUCACUGGCACCCUCGCAGUACGGACUAGAUGUCGUCAUUGGGAUCCACAACCGAUGCCUCGGGUACACGACCAGAUAUACAAUCCUAAUUCACUCCCUCAUUCCCAUGUUAAUUGAGUUUUGUUAUUUUAGGUUCAAUUUGUUAUGCCAUGUCAUGUAAGGAUUAAAAAGUUUCCAUUGUUUUCUCUUUUUUUGUUUGCAAUUUCUUCACUUUCAGAAAUGGGUUUGUCAUGAAAUCGAAAUUGUGUGUAUUCCGUAAUUCAUUUCUGUUAAUUUUUAUGUUUUUGCAAUUUUUUUGUUAAUUUAUGUGUCAUUUCUUAGUUACUCAAUAGGUUUUUCACGGAAUUGAAACGGUAGUGUUGUGGAAGAGAUUUGAUGCUGAGGAAAUGGCAAAAAUGUUUAACUAGGCAAUGAAAACCUUGGUAAUUAUAAUGAAGCGAAGUUUUUAGAGUCAUAGAAGUUUCGGUUGUGACUGUAAGAGUCUUACAAAUGUCAAUGUGGAAGAGGUUAUAUGGAAUUGUUUGCUACGGUAGUUCAGAAUUCUUUGCCAAGCCUGUUGCCAGCAAUGUUUUUGAGCCUGUGUAUACAAGCUCGAAAAUUGGCCAUCUUGGAUGGCAGUUGUCGCCAUUUUUAGAAGUUUGUUAUGGUAUUUCAAAACGCUCGAAUUGGAAAUCAUAUAUACUAAAACUCAGUUUUGGAGCACUAUGGAUGACCAGUGGUCUUACGUUUUUGCCCUUAUGUUUUUGCUUUGUUUGCCUUGCUGUUUUCUGUUUGCUGCAGUGAAAAGUCUAUUUUGCCCAUUCGCUCCACGCGUCCGUCAUCCUUGAUUUGUUCCAUUCGUUUGUGAAGUUUCUUUUCGGUUUAACCCUCUGCUUCUGCUGCUCUCUCUCUUUCUCUCAUCCCUGCUUUGUUCUCACUGCUCAUCUCCGAUUGUUUGCUGUUCUUAAAUAUUGUGUUGAUUGCCUCGAAAAAUAUUGGGGGGAAACUUCCUGAUUUUCGUCUUUUAAGCUAUCUUAUUUCUGCUAUCUGACUUGAAGAGGGUUUUACAACUAGUAUGUUCUAAUUAGGAGAAAGGAAAUAGUGGCCUCAACCAGAGAAGUAGCUGUGAUGCUCAAUAAGUAACUUUUAGGAGAAAUAGAGGAAGAAAAUGUAUGUGAAUGUUAACUGAUCAGUUUUGUUAUUUUAGGUUCAAUUUGUUAAGUUAUGUCAUGUAAGGAUUAAAAAGUUGUCAUCCUUCCAAACCUUUUAUUAAACUGUUGUGAUCAUUGUGUUAACCUGUGAUUCAUUUGCUUCGUAAAAUGUCUGAGGCACAACAUGCUUAGAUAUGUUACAAAGGAAUGCAGUGUGAGCAGGUGACAACCUUUGAUAAGGCACGUAGUUGGAUAGUGGAUGCCUUGGCUUGUAAGUGACAAAGACUUAGAGUCUUGCUGAAGGGUGCCUUUCAUGCAUGAGAUUACGUCAAGGAGCAGCUGGAUUGGACUGAUGUUGUGACACUUCUGGAGCAACACUUUGGAGGGAUUCCUCUUCAACCUGAGUCGCAGUGUCACCUCCUGAAUCUGCUUGACACCUCAGAAGGAUGCCCGCUCUGAUGUUGUUAUCUCAUAUGUUGUUUAGGAUUGAGACUUGUAAUGGUUGUCUACAUCGAUUGGAUUAAAGCCUUGUAUAUAUUACGUUGGAUUAAUUCAAAGAGAAUUUGAGUUUCACAAGUACCCAAAAUCCAUCGUAUCAAAGAGAAUUACAAAAAAUUGCUUGCUUUUUUUUUUUUUUUUAAAAGCUUUCAAGUACAGGAUACAAUGGAUUCAUGUUUUCCUUGCGUAGUUGUAUGAUUCAGAUUACUAAUUUUAAUAUUAUGAGGUAUAUAUGUAUUUGUGAUGUUUUCACAACUGAGUGUUUAAUUAGUUGAAUUCAUUGGACUGACGCUAGAUAGCUUAUCUCAUUCCAGGGCUUUAACUAUUGUGGGGACAUUGCCAGGUAACCGAAAGGAACAAUACAACAACAACAACAACAAAGCCUUUUUUCACUAAGUGAGGUCGGCUAUAUGAAUCCUAGAACAUCAUUGCGCUCGGUUCUGUGUCAUGUCUUCUGUUAGAUCCAAGUACUCUAAGUCUUUUCUUAGAGAACAAAAAGAAACAAUGUAGAUGGAAAAUGAACUCUUUUGAUUUUCGUACAAGUCGAAUUCAUGGAUUGACCGUGCCAUAUGUGCACGAAGACAUAUUCAAGCGCUCAAUCAAUCACUUGUUGGUUGUGAGAAUCUUUCCACAACAAGGGUAUGUGAAACCAAUACUUCUUGACUCCGCUUUGAUUGCAGCUUGGUUUACCAGUACUUAACUGCCAUUAAAAUUGCAUUACUGUUUAUGAAUAUCGUAUAGCCCUCAUCUAGUGGUGCUUUGGAUAUACUGUUGUUGCCAUCUAUGUCUUUCGGAUCGCCCCGAAAAUUUACUUGCUGUCGUCUUUGUUCUUUUACAUCUUAUUUGAUUAAAGUUCAACCAUUCACAAAAGAUGCAUAAGCUUGUUAAUGAUCACACAUCCUCUGUUUGGAUUGUUUCACCAUUAGGCCAUUUUUUUUUUUUUUUUUUUUGUAUCUUUCUCAGAAAAUACUUUGUUUUAAUAUUAUUCUACUUACUCUUCAUACAAGCGCCUGGAUACUAUUAACGGUAAUAUACUGAAAACAAAACACUUCCAUUGUCCGAGGCUCUCAAGUGUCAGCUUGAAAGUACAAAACAGAUUUGCAAGAGCAGCUUGAGGUGUGUUGCUUUUGCUAUCGUUUACCUAAACCCGAACUUAGUGGCCAAAUAAUAUUCUAGCUAGCUUUCACUUGUGAGGAUGUAAAAGGCAAAGUCCCACCCGAACUUGUAAGGAGGGCAACUUCCCAUUUCUAAUUGGUUCUUGGAUAGAACCUCAACAUUCAUACGGCCCAUUUCCUAAUCAUUGUCGCUGCUUUCUAAAAUAGGUUCAAAAGAAGUUGCAGAUGAGAAAUGAAGCUCAAGAGAAGUUGCUAAAUGCUAAUAUACAAGGUUCUAAAAAACGUUAGGCGCUAGUCGGGCGGUGAACUAGCGCCUAGCGCCUAGGCGGCUAGGUAGGGUGUAGGCGGGCGCCUAGGCGGCCUAGGCGGAUUUAGGUAAAUUUCUUAUAUAUUAUAUGAAUUAAUUAAAUUUACUAUAUUAGAUGUAAAUAAUUAUUGAAUAAUAUGUUAUUUCUUAUAAAAGAACAUACAUAUGUGAAUGUUUUAUGUACAUAUAUAAUAUGCUUGCCUAGGAAAAAAAAUAUUAUCUAAAUAAUUUAUAAUUUUAAUUUAUAUAUAUAUAUAUAUAUAUAUAUAUAUAUAUAUAUAUAUAUAUACAGAGGGAUCCCCAUUUUUUGAAAAAAAUGGGGAUUAGGUGUGGGGCCCACUUCACAUCUAAUUUUAACGAUCCGAACCGUCUAUUUUGUUAGUCUCGAUUCAUAGAUCAUCCUUGCAAAAUAUUAGCUAAAUUGGAAAUGUUUAAGACAUCUAAUUGGGUUCAAGGAAAUGAAAGAAUACUUUGUUAUAUAAGAAAAUAUGAAAUUUGAUAUUGAUAAUUAAAUAGGCAAAUGGUUUCGGAUUGAAUUGAAUUUUUGCAAGGAUGAUCUAUGAAUCGAGACUAACAAAAUAGACGGUUCGGAUCGUUGAAAUUUGAUGUGAAGUAGGCCCCACACCUAAUCCCCAUUUUUUUUCAAAAAAUGGGGAUCCCUCCCCUUAAGCUCUCUGUAUAUAUAUAUAUAUAUAUAAAGCCCACGCAAGUGGGUGAUGAUGACACAUACAUAACAUUUAUAUAAAAAGCCCACGCAAGUGGGUGGUUUUGAUAAUUAAAGUUGUCCAUCCUAUUUCACAUCACCCAACCCCUAGACCUCAGUCAUCAUUAGUUUUUUAUCUUGGAAAGUGAAAUGCCAUCAUCAGUUUUUCACAUCACCCUAUUUCGUUUCUUCUUAUUUGCCUUUUCAGAAUCUCAAAAUUUUAGUCUCUUUCUCUGUCUCUCAUUCUGUUUUCCAGAAACCUCUAGCACUCUUUUAGUCUCUCUCUCUCUCUCUCUCUCUCUCUCUCUCUCUCUCGUUCUUUUUCCAGAAACCUCUAGGAAAGCAACCAUGGCUAUAUUUAGAUGCAGACACAUAUGGGAGUUUCGAUGCAGAUGCGAGAGUUAGAGUUGCAGAUCCGAUGAGAGUUCGAGACGGGAAGAGUUGCAGAGCCUUCAACGCCGACAAGAAUGGAGACCGUGGAAACUAAGAGAGAUGAUCGAAGCCGAUGGCCUAGAAAACCUCUCGAAGUUGCAGCGGGUGAGUGCACUGCAGUUGAGGAAAAAGAGACGAAGUGGACGACGAGACUUGGUUUCUGAAAUUGGUUUAAAAAAAAAAAAAAAAAAAUCACUCAGCUCCGCCUAGCCGCCUAGCCCGCCUAGGCAACCACCUAGAGCACAGCCGAUUUUUCCGGCCGAUUUGCAAGAAAACGCCUCGGAUGGUGACCGCCCAGCGCCUAGGCAGCCGCCUAGGCCGUUUUUUAGAACACUGCUAAUAUAUUAUCAAUUUUAGCAAGAAAAAAAAAUUGGCUUUUAUUAUUUGUAAUUUUUUUUAACCUUUUUUUUUUUCGUAGACAUAGUGCAUCGUUUAUUAUUCAGAGUUUUGUUUAUCUACACCCCAUCUCCUAUCAAAGUUCGCUCACAUCUCUAUCUAUAUUUCAUCUAAACAAAUGCAAGUUUGGUACACAAAUAAAGAAGGAGCAGGUGUUGUAGCUAUCAAAAGACAUCUGGCUUGUUAAGCUGGUAUGAUAUGGAUUACCGAUUGAUGCUCUCCUUGGAAGAAAUUUAACUGUAAUUUGUGGACUUCCCCUUAUUAUCUCUUCCUUCUCCGAGCUCGGGUUAUGGAAGAAGGAGAAGAACCCUGGAGAACUCUGUGACAGAAUUGACGCGUGAGGGGAUGAACUUCACUUGAUGAAGACUGAUCAAACUGCAUCAAGCUGCCAAAACUUCUCCAGUUGUGACAAUACUCAAAUCAUUCUCAAGAAACGGUUACAUAACAUUAAUUUGCAUGUAUCAAAUAAUGUGCAUUAUCCUUGACUAAUUAACUGGAUAUCAUCGUUCAUACAGUUAAUUAGCCGACGCUUGGAGUUUUUAUUCCCUUUUCGAUUUUCGUACAAGUAGAAUGCAUGUGCAUGGAUGGACGAUGCAGUAAGUACGCAAAACAUCUAUUUGUUGGUUGUGAAAAUCUUUCUUCAAACCGGUGAAAGGAUCAUGAAAAGUUCAGUUUUAGUGGUUAUGGGAAAUUAUGACACCUAAGCCAAGGUUUUGAACAUUGGUCUCUGAUAGGAUUUUCACCACCUGCAAAAGUAGGAAUAAAACCACUUUAAAAUAUUUGCAAGAGAACAAAGUUAUUGAAGUAUAAACAACUCAAGCAAGACCAUUUUCCAUAGGGAUUGAUAUGAAUAAAUUGUAUUUAAAACCAAUUCUUAGCUAAUUAACUAUUUGACACAAGAUUUUGAAAACAUUUGAAAUUGUGAAUUAUAAUGUAUACUUUUUUUUUUAAUUUUGUAAAGAAUGAUUAGGCGAGAUUAGCUCUUCGUGAACAGUCGUGAGCAAGGCACCAACCCUCUCUUGAAGGAGAAAGGACCGUUACACCCAGAAACUCCCCGCCCGUCCCUUCUCUACUAGAUUUUAUUAAUAAUAUGAAGAAAAAAAGAAAAGUAAUACAAGUGGGGGACCAGGCCAAUACCCACUAAAAACAAUUUUAAAGCCAAACCCUAACAAGAAGUAGAAAACUACUAGAAACAAGGAAACCGAAUUACAAAAAGACAAGGUAAAACCCAUCCUAACAAAAUCGAAAAUUGGGGCGAAGAGAAAGAUUAUGAUGAUACGCGACAAUAGCACAAGGAGGACAAAAGUCCCACCAAUAAACCCCAGGAUGGUCCACUCCAAAAUUUACCAAACAGUCAGUCACCCAACUCCCUUCAUGAAAAAUUUAUGUGUAACUCUUAUGCACAUAGAAGAGUGCAACGCUUGACAAUUCAACCAACGAACCCUCAAACGUCAGGGAACGCGAUUAUGAGAAGCAGAGAUGAAAAGAACAACCAAUGAUGGAUUACACUGAAUCCAAAGGGAACACCAACUCUUCUCCCAAGCUAAGUUUACCGCAUGAAUUACAGCAUGCAAUUCAGCGUCAAAAGAGGUGGCCACCAUUAAAGAAGUAGCAAAACACCCUACGCAUGAACCAAAAUAAUCACGAAAGAUAUCGCCAGUACCAGCCAAUCUUAGUAAUCCAUGAGUUGCACCAUCAGUAUUCACCUUGACCCAAUGUAGAGAAGGUGGUUUCCAUAAAACUUCAAAUAACACGAGGUGACCUGGCAGGACAACCAGACAAACCUAUAGCGAGAAGAAUACAAAGUUCUUCCCAAGAUUUUUUCAUGUUUCCCUUGCUAAGUGAAUCAAUUUCAAGAAGCUGACAAUUAAUUGAGCAAACAAUAGCAGUAAUGGAUGGUUGAAUAUCAUUAAAACAAAGCUUAUUAUGUGAUGUCCAAAGACAACACAAACAAGCCCCAAUUAGGCCUCCACCAUAGAAGUUGAAUUUGAGAGCCAUAGCCUUUGUGAUUAGGAUAAGUGAAAAAGGUCAUAAUAUCAUCAAAAGGAGAAAUCACCCCAAACCAAUUUAAACAUGAAGACCAAACUUGACAUGAAAAGGAACCACUACUACAUUAAACACUUUGCACGACGAAGAGUAUUUGUCAUGCAAAGCAUUUCCAGGUCGCACAAAACCUAUGGCGACACAGAAAUCGUCGCGCAGAAUUUGUCGUGCAAAGGUCGUGAAGAAAGACCUUGGGUGACAAAGAGUGCAGUUUCGUCGCGCAGCAAAACGAUUGUGCGACACUUUACUGCUUGUCGCAAGAAAGGUAUACGGACAAAGGUUUCGUCCCACGAUACAAGAGGGUACAAGUGUGCUUUGUGAUGAGAAAUUUUUGGGAACGUCUAUGGUUUGUCUCGAAAAUGUUUGCAUGACGAAACAUGUAAGACAUGCGUCAUUUUGCACGACGAUAUAUCUUCACUGCGCAAGUGUAAUUUUUAAGUUAAAAAAAAUUAAUAAAUAGAAUAAAUAGAAUGUUAUUAAAAAAUAUAUUUCAUACAAUUGACAAAAAAAAAACAAAUUAAUGAAUAGAAUAACAAUUUAUUUAUAAUAUAAAUAAAAAUGUACGUACAAAUACAAAGUUUAAAAACAAAGUGGGAAAAAAACUACGAAAAAAAUGAGGCAUAAUCUAUGGGCAAGUCGUUCAGAGGUGCUUGGUAAUCUUACUGGUGGAAGGGAGUGGGGUUGGGGAUAAGGUUGGAGGUUAAUGGGUCUAAUUGCUGUGUAUGCUCGGGGUGGAGGGGCUUUGAUAGCGGUGGUGCAGAAAAAUCGAGGAGACGAAUGUUGGAGGAACUGAGGACCUGUACAAUCAAUGACAUCUGAGUCUUGUACGAUGCGAGCUCAGUCCUCAAGCCAACGACUUUCUGCGUCAAAGCCGUAACCUCGCCCUUCAACUGCGAGGAUGAAGAGGCUCCACUCCCCCGCCACCUGGCAUUUCCUAUUCCCCGACAAUAUUUCCCUGGCCUCCGAUCGAAAGUCUGGUCCAACAUCUCUAUAAGGAUGUGAAACCCCGCAUCCUCAGGGGGAUUCACAGACUCGAUCGGCGUGUAUGGGGGAAGCUGGGAGGAGGACUCCUAAAGGACUGACUGACCCUUCUCCACCAAUGCACUAUGCUGCUCCGCCAUUGGUGCUGCCCGAUGUCACUCAUCAUAUCCUAUUGUGAUACGAUUGUUGGUCACCCGGGUGGCCUUUGCCUUCUUCAAUUGCCGACAAGGUCCCUAGGUGUUUUUCUUGGUUGCAAAGAAAUGAAAAAUUAACGUUAACCCAAACUAAUAACAAAUCCUACCAAAAUUUCGGCAGAACCUCUCUAUAAUUAAAACAUUUCCCAACACCCUAAAAAUAACAUAAACAAUAUAUGUAUCCAACACAAUGAUCACAACUGUUUAAUAAUGAGUCUAAAACGAUGACAACAAUAAACAAUAUAUAUAUAAUAACUUUUUAAUCCUUAAAUGACAUAACUUAACAAACUGAACCUAAAAUAACAAAAUUAAGUUCACAUGGGAAUGAGGGAGUAAAUUAGGCUAGUAUACCUAGCUGUGGACCCAAGCCAUCGGUUGUGGAUCCCGAUGGCGACAUCUGCUCCGGAGUGCGGGGGCGCCGAUGAGCGUGUCGAGCGCUAACAUGUAGUGCCACUGAAGAAGUCGAAGAUGCCGAUGCCUAUGAGACUGGAGGACCAACUGGGUCAAUCGGAUUCACCGUCCUAUGGUCCAUCUCAACCAGAGCAAUGGCAGCAGUAGUAGGAGGCGUAGUCGUCGGACAAGGUGUAGUCGGCAUUGCCUUCCGACUUCUAAUGAGUUGUGACAUCUACAAUAUUGGAAAUAAAUUUGUUAGAUUACAAAGAUAAAAAUUAUCGUACACAUGCAUAAUAAUUUCUACUUAACUUUAAAACGAAUAAACCAUUACAACCCUAUAUCUAACUCACUGCCCUAAUUUUAAACCCAAAUUUCAGAACCCUAAUUAUAACCUCUAAUUCAAAAUCAACUAACCCCCAACCUAGGAGCCCUAAAUCUCACCCUGUAAAUCUGAAACUAGGAUGAAGAUUUUCAAACAGAAGCAGUAAUGCAACACAUGGACAGCCAUGUCACAUGCACUGUCAACCAAGUACAUUAAUUAGGAACGCCAGUUUUAGGUCGUGUAUGAAAGUGCUUUCAACCUGUACAUUGGUCAAAAGUGUUUUUUCUAGGAAUGUGUGAAAAGUUUCAUAAAUAAACAUAUGCUCCUAUCAACUUUACACAGGACACACAAAUGAAGUACUUUGAUCCUAUUAGACGGGGGAUGGUGAAAAAGCUAGGACAUAAGGGUAGAGUUCAAGAGAGUAGAAUGCGUUUAGGAACGUGGAAUAUAGGAACCUUAACGGGAAAAUCUAUGGAAGUAGUGGAAGUUAUGGUGAGGAGAAGGAUAAAUAUUAUGUGCCUACAAGAAACUAAGUGGGUUGGUCUUAAGGCAAAGGAUCUAGAAAACUCAGGGUUUAAGCUUUGGUAUUCGGGCACAAAUAAAACGAGAAACGGUGUUGGCAUCAUUGUGGACAAGACCUUGACACAAGAUGCUGUAGAUGUCAAGAGGGUAGGAGAUAGAAUCAUGGCAAUCAAGAUUGUAAUAGGACAAGAACUCAUCAAUGUGAUUAGUGCGUACGCACCUCAAGUAGGGUUGGAUACGAGUUCGAAUGAGAAAUUUUAGGAAGACCUUGGAGACUUGGUGCAAGGAAUUGCUCAGACGGAGAAGUUAUUUAUAGGAGAAGAUUUAAAUGGACACGUGGGCAGGGAGACAGGCAACUAUGGAGGUUUUCAUGGUGGCCAUGGUUUUGGGGAGAGAAAUGAGGAUGGGGAAGCUAUCUUGGAUUUUGCAAUGGCAUAUGAUCUCUUCUUAGCCAACACCUUCUUUAAGAAGAGAGAAGAACAUGUGAUCACCUACAAGAGUGGGUCGUCAAAAACACAAAUAGAUUUUCUUCUAAUGAGGAAAGGGGAUCGUAUAACUUGUAAGGAUUGCAAAGUUAUACCGGGGGAGAGCUUGGCUAAUCAACAUCGCUUGUUGGUGAUGGAUGUACAUAUCAAAAGAGUGAGAAAAAAGAACAAGACUUGGAAGUGCCCAAAGGACUAGAUGGUGGAAUCUAAAAGGAGAAAAACAAGUCCAUUUUCAAAGAGCAAGUAAUCACCCAGUGUGUGUGGGAUAGAGAGGGGGAAGCUAGCCAAAUGUGGGAUUCCAUGGCUAGCUUGUAUCCGAAAAGUAGCAAAAGAGGUAUUAGGAGAGUCCAAGGGCUUUGCUCCACACCAAAAGGAAUCUUGGUGGUGGAAUGAGGAGGUACAAACAAAGGUGAAGGCUUAAGAAGGAAUGUUGUAAAGCCUUAUACAAGGAUAGGACCGAUGAAAAUGGUGAAAGGUAUAGAAGAGCGAAGCAAGAGGCGAAGAAAGCUGUGAGAGAAGCUAAGUUAGCGGCUUAUGACGAUAUGUAUAAGCGACUAGAUACCAAAGAAUGAGAGUUGGAUAUCUAUAAACUAGCUAGAGCAAGGGAAAAGAAGACAAGGGACCUAAACCAAGUGAGGUGCAUCAAGGAUGAGGAUGGAAAGGUUCUUGCUACAGAGAACGCGAUCAAAGACAGAUGGAGAGGUUAUUUUCAUAAUCUUUUCAAUGAAGGACAUGAAAGGAGUACUCUUUUAGGGGAGUUGAGUAACUCAGAAGAGUGUAGAAACUACUCAUUUUAUCGUCGAAUCAGGAAGGAAGAAGUUGUUGUAGCUUUGAAGAAGAUGAAGCAUAGAAAAGCAGUGGGCACAGACGAUAUACCGAUUGAAGUGUGGAAAGCCUUGGGAGAGAUAGGUAUAGCAUGGCUCACUGACCUUUUCAAUAGGAUUUUGAAAACGAAGAAGAUGCCAAACGAGUGGCGAAAGAGCACCUUUGGUGCCUAUUUACAAGAAUAAGGGCGACGUACAAAAUUGCAUGAACUAUAGGGGUAUUAAGCUAAUGAGUCAUACAAUGAAGCUCUGGGAGAGAGUCAUUGAGCAUAGAUUAAGGCAAGAGACACGGGUUUCGGACAACCAAUUCGGGUUCAUGCCAAGGCGCUCAACCAUGGAGGUAAUCUAUCUCUUACGAAGAUUGAUGGAAAGAUAUAGAGAUGGGAAAAAGGAUUUACACAUGGUCUUUUAUAGAUUUGGAAAAAGCGUAUGAUAGGGUCCCAAGAGACAUUCUUUGGAGGAUUUUAGAGAAGAAAGGAGUACGAGUAGCAUAUAUCCAAGCUAUAAAGGAUAUGUAUGAAGGAGCAAAGACUGCCGUAAGAACUCAUGAAGGACAAACCGAAAGCUUCCCCAUAACUGUAGGAUUACAUCAAGGCUCAUCCUUAAGUCCUUACCUUUUUGCGUUGGUAAUGGAUGAGUUAAACAGGACAUAUUCAAGAUGAUAUUCCUUGGUGUAUGCUUUUCGCAAACGAUAUAGUGUUGAUAGAUGAAACUCAGGAAGGGGUAAAUGCGAAACUUAACCUUUGGAGAGAAGUGUUGGAAUCUAAAGGUCUUCGCCUAAGCCGAUCAAAGACAGAAUAUAUGGAGUGCAAGUUCAGUGCAAAUGGAGGCCAAAAUGAGUUAGGGGUGAGGAUCGGAGAUCAGGAAAUACCAAAAAGCGACCGUUUUCGCUACCUAGGAUCUAUCUUGCAAAAGAACGGAGAAUUAGAUGGAGAUCUCAACCAUAGAAUACAAGCUGGAUGGAUGAAGUGGAAAAGUGCAUCCGGCGUGUUGUGUGAUCGUCGUAUGCCACUGAAGCUUAAGGGAAAAUUUUAUAGGACGGCAAUAAGGCCGGCGAUGCUGUAUGGCACAUAAUGUUGGGCGGUGAAGCACCAACACGUACACAAAAUGGGUGUAGCGGAGAUGAGGAUGCUUCGUUGGAUGUGUGGGCACACGAGAAAGGAUAAGAUUAGGAAUGAGGAUAUCCGAGGUAAAGUAGGAGCAGCCGAAAUUGAAGGAAAACUGAGAGAAAAUCGGUUACAAUGGUUUGGACAUGUGCAAAGAAGGCCUACUGAAGCUCCGAUUAGAAGAUGCGACUACGGGACAGAGGUUCAGGGCCGAAGGGGUAGAGGAAGACCUAGGAAAACUUUGGAAGAGACUCUAAGAAAAGACUUAGAGUACUUGGAUCUAACGGAGGACAUGACACAGGAUCGAGCACAAUGACGUUCUAAGAUUCAUAUAGCCGACCCGACUCAGUGACUUGGAUUUUUCAAGUCUCCAAUCGAGAAGUUUUCCCCACUCGGGAAAUUAAGGGAAUACUACCUCAACCUACAUGCUCCACUCACAAAGCUUCAACAUACAAGCUUCAACAAAAGAAAAAUUCAAAGAACUUAGUGAAGAAGGCUUUGGUGUAUUUAACACAAUACGUUGAAAUGAAACAAAGCUUAUUUAUUGAUAUCUCUAAGAAGUUACAAAUAUGUACAUAUACACGAGUCAAAAUAAACAAACAAGAGGAAGCCUUCACAAAGGUUACUUAGGAGAAGUCUCAGCAGUCGGCAGAGCCCCAGAAAGAGAAGGCACCGGAGGGGGAUCAUUCGGAGCCUCAGUACUGGACAGCACCCUAGAAGGAGGAGGCAUCAGAGGUUGAUCAUUUGGAGCUUCAUUACGCGUUACAGCCUCAGAAGACGAAGGCAAUAAAUGCCUUUGGAACAAACCCAUAAACCUCUGAUGAUCAUGUAAAAUCUGACCAUCAGAUUCCUUCAUCUGGUCAAGCUUCCUCUUCAUGUUUGUAGCAUAGUCAUGAGCGAGUUGGUGCAACUGUUUAUUCUCAUGCUUGAGCCCUCUAAUCUCCUGUUUGAGACUCAUCACUUCAGCCGCCAAUGAUUCAACUUGGCGGGUUCGAGCAAAUAGGCGUUGGGCCAUAUUAGACACAGAUCCUGCACACUGAACACUGAGAGCCAGAGAAUCCUUAACAGCCAACUCAUCAGACCGUUUGGAAAGUAGUCUGUUAUCUUUGGGAGUGAGAAGGUUCCUGGCCACCACCGCAGCGGUCAUAUCAUUCUUCAUCACGGAAUCCCCAACGGUAAGAGGACCAAUAGGGGAUAAGAAGGAUGGGCGCCAUAUGUUGUCUGGAGAAGGUGUGGCUGCCUCUUCAACAAGGUUCAAGUCAAAACGACGGUCGGAGGGGCCAGACAUUUUCAAAGGUGUUGAAGAGAAAAGAGGUCGGACAAAUCAAGAUCUUAGAAAUGUAAGAAGGGAGCUUAUACUGGUGGAGAUUCAAGUGUACUUUGGAACUUAAUACCAGCCUCUAUAAAAAUCCGCACUCGAUGGAGCUUCAGAAAUCGAAGAAGCGCCUGCUCAGAAAUCGAAAAGGCGUUUGCUUUCUCAAAAGUUGGGCUGCUCAGAGACCAUGAGGCCCGAUCUCAGGAAUCGAAAAGGCGUUUGCUUUCUCAAAAGCUGGGCUGCUCAAAGACCACGAAGGUCGAUCGCAGAAAUCGAAGAGGCGCUUGCUUUCUCAAAAGCUGGGCUGCUCAGAGACCACGAGGGCCGAUCUCAGAAAUCGAAGAGGCACCUGCUUUUUCAGCCUUGUCAGCACCUGUCACAUGCACAGUCAACUUUGCGAAAAUUACAGGCAUUCUGUCGAAGAUUUCUAGUGAAGUAGAAAGCACGUGAAUGUUACUGUUCAAUCAUUCACUUUCCACACGCAACAUCAGCUCACGGGUACCAUAGAUAACUUUUCCAAAAAUCUCUGACAAAGUUUAGACACGUGAAGCUUCCAGCUCCCAUUACAUCGCUAUGACCAAGAAGGGUAGACACAUAAAUUUUGAAGGUCUAGCUACCAUAUUAUUACCCACAAAGGUAAAGAAACAGGACCAUUGCUAGAUAAUUGGAAAGUCCCUGUGGGUCAACCUCUGUGCUCCGUGGCAAGGUAGACUAGCAAACAGGCCUAACCUUUACUCACAUUCGAGAAAACACUCCCAACAAGAUUGCUUGCUUCAAGAUCGAAGAGGCACCGUCCUCCGAAUCUCGAGAGCCAGACUCCCAACAUGAUUACUUUCUCAAAAAGCGACGAGACACCGCUCUCCGAAUCUUGAGAGCCAGACUCCUAGCAGGAUUGCUUUCUUAAAAAUCGAAGAGGCACCGUUCUCCGAAUCUCGAGAGACAGAUCCCCGACAGGAUUGCUUGUUCGAAAACCGAAGAGGCAUCGCUUUCUCAACUUCGAGAGCCCCUUAGAUAAAGCUUGUCUGUAAUCCUCACACCGCUUUCUCAACUUCGAGAGCCAGAUCUCCUUGGAUAAAGCUUGUCUGUAAUCUUCACACGUAACAUCAGCUUUCCAGAUACCACAGACCACUUUUUCAAAGUGUUCUGACAGAGUUAAAACACGUGAAGCUGGCAGCUCCCAUUACCGUGCUAUGACUAAGCAGGGUAAAAGAAUAGUAUUACUCCUUGUUAGGGAGACUCCUAUAUAUGUCGACCUCGAUCCUCAACGGACAGGCAGACCUGCAAAAAUGCUCAACCCCUCCUUAUAUCUGAGAGGGCACUCCCAACGAAGCCUCUCGAAAUACUCAGCUUUCUUUCCCCCCGAGAAUACCUCUGCAAACAAGCUACACUAGAGCAAGAAUAUCUCAUAUCAUCAGGGUUAAAAGCAAGAGUAUCCCAUAUCAUGUUUUUUCCCUGUCUUUUCCUUUAGCCUUGUUCUUACCUGCAAGACAAGGAGAAAGAGAGCAAUCAGUCAGCACUUGGAAUCAAGCUUCUAGUCCGGAACUGACUGCCUGGAACCCCAUUGCUCUCGAGUACUCAUAUUCAACAUCUUAUGCUUCCCGAGAAGAUACCACAUCUGCCUGAGAAACAAAUAGGGCAAGUGAGAAGGAUACAAGGAAGCAUGUGGAGACAAGCGCAACAGAACACGUGCCGAUACAUCCACUACUUUGUCAACAGCAAAAGUAUCCCAUAUCAGCAGGGUCGAACAUACUCUAGAUUUGAUGGACUUGUUUUGACCCUCAAAUUCUUCAGUCGGCCUUAUACUCUGGCGGAAACAAGAAAACCCUUCAGCCCAGUUCAAGAAUAAGCCUGUGGAAAGUUACUUCUUCAAAAGCAAAAGUAUCUCAUAUCACUUUUUCUCCUUUUCUUCUCUUUAUCCUUCAUGCUACCUGCAAGAUAAGGAGAAGGAUAACAAUCAGCCGGAACUCGAAAUCAAACUUCUGAUCUAGGACUGAUUGCUUGGAGCUCUGAUUGCUUACCUUGUCUGUCACCUCUUUCAGCAGAUCCCCUAGCUCGGCGACUUGGGGGACUCCUACUACAUGGUUUGUAUCGCGCUUGACCAAGCCUGAAACUACAAGUAAGCGUCAAGUGAAAUUGAUACAUUACCUUGUGCAUCUCCACCAGUUAAAGAUACCACCCCUGGAGUGAGGAAGAGUACUUCCAAAGAAGAUGCCACAUCUACCUAUGAGACAGAUAAGGCAAGUGAAGACGAUACCACACUUCGGUACUUAAAAGUUUCGUGAUUACGAGAUCAUUCUUCCACAAUAUUUCCUAAUGUCAUUUGUACUAAAUCAUUCACUUGUACUCACUAAAGGAGAGAUUGAACCUAUAUCCUGUGUAAACCCUUCACAAUUAAUGAGAACUCCUUUACUCCGUGGACGUAGCCAAUCUGGGUGAACCACGUACAUCUUGUAUUUGCUUCCUGUCUCUAUCCAUUUACAUACUUAUCCACACUAAUGACCGGAGCAAUCUAGAAGAUCACAAACUUAAUAUUUAAGAUGAUAUUCUUUGGUGUAUGCUUUUCGCAAACGAUAUAGUGUUGAUAGAUGAAACGUAGGAAGGGGUAAACGCGAAGCUUAACCUUUGGAGAGAAGUGUUGGAAUCUAAAGGUUCUCGCCUAAGCUGACCAAAGACAGAAUAUAUGGAGUGCAAGUUCAGUGCAAACGGAGGCCAAAAUGAGUUAGGGGUGAGGAUCGGAGAUCAGGAAAUACCAAAGAGCGAUCGUUUUCGCUACCUAGGAUCUAUCUUGCAAAAGAACGGAGAAUUUGAUGGAGAUCUCACCCAUAGAAUACAAGCUGGAUGGAUGAAGUGGAAGAGUGCAUCCGGCGUGUUGUGUGACCGUCGUAGGCCACUGAAGCUCAAGGGAAAAUUUUAUAGGACGGCAAUAAGGCCGGCAAUGCUGUAUGACAUAGAAUGUUGGGCGGUGAAGCAUCAACACGUAGGUGUAGUGGAGAUGAGGAUGCUUCGUUGGAUGUGUGGGCACACGAGAAAGGAUAAGAUUAGGAAUGAGGAUAUCCGAGGUAAAGUAGGAGUAGCCGAAAUUGAAGGAAAGAGGAGAGAAAAUCGGUUACGGUGGUUUGGACAUGUGCAAAGAAGGCCUACUGACGCUCCGGUUCGAAGAUGUGACUACAGGACAGAAGUUCAGGGCCGAAGGGGUAGAGGAAGACCUAGGAAAACUUUGGAAGAGACCCUAAGAAAAGACUUAGAGUACUUGGAUCUAUCGGAGGACAUGACACAAAACCGAGCGCAAUGGCGUUCUAGGAUUCAUAUAGCCGACCCCACUUAGUGGGAAAAGGCUUUGUUGUUGUUGUUGUUGUUGUUGUUGUAUAAGCGCUUUUAGCUACUUAAAAAGAAGUUCCAUGCAUGCCGUAAAUAGUAUAUGACCAAGCUAGAAUAAAAGAAAGGUAGCAUGAUUGCUCCUAUCUGAUCUUUAUCAUGAUCUGUGCAGAAUGAUUCAAACAACAUGAUCAAUCCAACUUUGCUUGCUCAAAAGUCUAAAAAAAACGGUGUUCAACUUAACACACAAAUUCAAUUAUACAACCAACAUGCACAUAACAUUCUUAUCUCUCUAAACCAUAAGCAAUGUGAUCAAAAACCACUCCAUCCGUGUGUGCAUAUAUAAUAUCCAAUCAUUAAAUAAUCGACGAAUAAACUAUUAACAAAAUAGAAAAAUCCCAAGAACUAAAAACCUAAAAAGGAGUUGCAAAAAAUUGAACUUUAAUUCCUCAGAAACUAAAACAUGGGAAAUUUCAGAUCUGGGAUUUUAAUUUUAUACGAUUUCAACUACACUGCCCAAAUUGAGCACCCUAAACCUAACUCCACUGCCCUAAUUCUAACCCUUAACUUAAAUUUAAAAACCCCCAAAUUUAAGAACCCUAAGUCUAUUGGGUUUUUGAUAAAAUUAAGCACCCUAAACCUAAACCCACUGCCCUAAUUCUAAUCCCUAACUUAAAAUUAAAAAACCCCCAAAUUUAAGAACCCUAAUUCUAUUGGCUUUUUGGUAAAAUUAAGGCCCCGAAACCUAACCCCCACUGCCCUAAUUCUAACCCCUAACUUAAAAUUAAUAAAAAACCCCAAAUUUAAGAACCCUAAUCUAACCCCUAAUUUAAGGACCCUAAUUGCAACCCACUACCCUAAUUUAAAAUCAAGAACCCUAAUCUAAACCCCAGUGAAGCACCCUAAAUCUAACCCCCAAUUUAAGAAAACCAUAAUCUAACCUCACUGCCCAAAUUCGUUCCCCUAAUUUAAGACCUAAAUCUAACCCCCAAUUAAGAACCCUAAAAACUCUAAUUUAAGAACCUAUAUGUAACCCCCAAUUUAUGAACCCUAAAUCUAAGCCCACUGCCUUAAUUCUAACUCCCAAUUUAAAAUAUAAAAAAACCCUUAAUCUAUAAACCCUAAUUAUCAUGGUAAAUAAAGAAAAUUGAAAAAAAAUUAAGAGGAAAUUACCUGAAGACAUGACGGCCAGAGAGAAGGUCGGAGAGACGAGGUGAAUGAUGGAGAGAGGGGCGAAGAGACGAGGUGAGCGACAGAGAGUGGUAGUGAGAGGGUGAGAGAGGGUGUCAGGGACGAAGAACUAAGGGUGAGAAAGGGGCUGCAAUGGAGUCGGGAGAGAAAAAGGAAGGGGAGAAAGAGGGUAUUGGGAAAAAGAAAAGGAAGAAGAGAGAAGUGAAGGGAGGAAGACGAUACACGGAAGAAAUACUUAGAAUUUUGCGCGUCAGAGGCUUUGUCGCGCAAGGUUUAAAAGUUCGUUGCGAUAUAUUUUUUAAAAUUUAUGCAGAAAAAAAGGUGCAAAUGUAUUUUGCGCAACGAAAUCUAGGUAUUUGUCAUGCACGUGCCUGCAAAUUAAAUCUACCUACGCAUAAUUAAAACGCUUGCGCAACGAACAAGUGUUCUGCGUUGGCAAUUACUUUUAAAAAUGAGUUUUUUUUGUAAAAUUUUGAUUAAAAUUUAUUAUAAAAUACUAAUAAAACAAAUUCAUUUACAAAGUAAGUCACAUAUAAAAUUCAAUAAUCAUUUAAUGUAUUUUACAACAAAAAUUACAAAUAAAUUGCAUUAAUCUUCAUCCAAACUAUAAUAACUUUCAAUUUUGUCACUAUCAUCAUUUUCAGUGUUCCAUUCCUCAUCAUCAUCGCUAGUUACGUCACCAUUGUCGUUUGUGCGCAUUGGACCAUCGUACUGCGGAAGACUACCGAGGUCAAUUGUGAUUGAUUGAAUUGGUACUUCGAUUGAAGAUACUUCUUCUAUCUGAAAUGGUUCUUGGAUAAUAUUAGUUUCUUGGAGUGUUUCCGCACCAAUUUCCAUCGAAGAUUCUAGCCCUUGGUCAACGACAUUGUCGAUGUCGUCGUUAGUUGGGUCUUGUUUUGGUAUAGCAUACACCUUCCUAUGAUCCAUCUUCUGAACAACUUUCCAACCUCCCCCUGCUUUAGGGUCAUUUAGAUACAAAAUUUGUUUUGCCAUGUUUGCUAAGAUGUAAGGGUCGUUAUUGUACCAAGUUUUGGUAGUGUUCACUGAUAGUAAUCCAUGAUCUCUUUUAACACUUCCCUGCCUAUUUGGGUUUGUAUCAAACCAUCGGCACUUAAAAUAGAUCACUUGGCAUCGGUCUUUGUAAAGCAAUUGCACGACAUUUGUUAGUUUGCCAUAGAAUUCAAUGUCUGUACUUUUGCCUCCACCUGGGACAUGAACACAGCUGCACAACUUGUCAUCUCGUGCAACCCUUAAGAACUUGACGCCGUUAACAUGGCAACCUGAGAACUCAAUGUGAAUCGGUCUGAACGCUAAGUCAUAUAACUCUUCAAUGUACGCUGGGGAAUUUGAUACUUUCAAUUGAUUCACCAAAUAUUACACAAAACUUAAAUUUGUUAGUUUAAGCAAAAUAAUUAUUACAAUAUAUAUGUCCAAUAAAAAACACUUCAAACUUACAUAUUCAAUAAACCCCCAGAAACAAUUCACGGUGUUUCUUGGCAUACAAAUGUGAAGGAUGUGCCUGCUUCAUCAUAUCUUCAUGCUUGUCUAGGUAAGACAUUGUCUCGUUACAAUUGUUUAGUACAAACCAAUAUGCUACCUCUAUGUCCUUUUUGGAAAACAAGUCCCUUUGUAUCAGAUCUUCGAAGGGUUCAGCGAUUUGGGAAAAAACUGAAAGUUUCUCCUUUCUCACACCCCCGUCAUUAUUGUGAGAAGGACGAUUGAAAGUUGUCUCCACAUCCUGUAAAUACAUCCCACAAAAUAUAAGCGCCUCAUAUGCCACCCAAUGACACGCCCGACCAUGAUAUUCCCCGAACACCAAGAUAGGCACGUGCUGGCCAACACCUGAAGGUGAUGAAGCCAUAUUAGAAUGCAUGAGAAAAAAUGAAUAUAAAUAAGGCUUAUAAAUUUAAAAAUAAUGAAUAUGCAAAUGAGGAACGUGUUCUAAGCAUACAACUUAUCAAUAACACUAAAACAAAUAAUAUAAAAUUGAAUGAACAAAGGAUGGGUCCUCCACCUAGAGGACUCGAAGAUGCCGAUGCAGAAGUGCCUUGAUGCUGGAAUUGUAUGCCUUGAUUCUAAUUCCUGAGGGGGUGCAAAACAAACAUGAGUGGACCAAGUUGAUAUAAUUAUAAUACUAAAAUAGUUAUUCAACAUACUAACCCCCAAAGUUUUAUGAAAACAUCAAUAGCAUAAUAUGUAAUAGGGUUUUCUGAAAAAAAACCCUAGCAUGCCAUAAAACCUUUCAAAAACAUAUCUCGUAUAUAGUGCAAUAAAUAUUUGUAUCCAAUAACAAUAUCUCCCUGCCCAAUGCCAACUCCAUAUCUCUGUGCUCGUAGCCAACUCCAAUGCCAACUCCAUAUCUCCCUGCACAAAACCAUUUAACAUAGACUUUCCAUACAUAGGUAUACAUAGGUUUUUCUGAAAAACCAUUUAACAUAGACUUUCCAAACAUAGGUUUUUCUGAAAAACCCUAGCAUGCCAUAAAACCUUUCAAAAACAUAUCUCGUAUAUAGUGCGAUAAAUAGUUGUAUCCAAUAACAAGAUCUCCCUGCCCAAUGCCAACUCCAAUGCCAACUCCAUAUUUCCCUGCACAAAACCAUUUAACAUAGACUUUCCAAACAUAGGUAUACAUAUCUCAAAAACAUCUUCAUAGUAUAAAGUCAUCCAUCAUCUAUACUAUAAAGAAGUGUGCAAAAGCAUGUUCAUAAGCAGUAUUAAAUCAUCCAUCAUCUAUACUACAAAGAACAUGAGUUCGAUAAAACAUGGUAAUUCAAAAUAUUCUCAAUAAGCAUAAUAUCUCAUAAAACGUUUCCUAAAACGUAAUCAUUAAAUCAUAUUUUUCAUGUAUGCAUUUCUAACACUAAAACAAGUAUUUUAGAAAGGAUCUACUCACAGAUACUCCGUCAUUGUAGAGCCGUAUGAAAACUAGUGAAGAUAGAAACGCCACAAAUAAUUGCACCUAAGCACAUAAAGGGUCCAAUUAAUCAAACUAUAUUCAAAUGAUUGAAUUUGGAAAAACAGACGUAAAAACCGGAUUCAGGACGUCAAAAUUAGCCUAGGAGGGGUUCUAACCGAAACCCGAAAAGUCAACGAAAAGUCAACGUUGGCUGAUCAAAGUCAACAAUCAACAUUGAUUGUGAGUCAACGGGUCUGGGUCAAAUGGGUUUAGGCCUAAGGGUUCAAAGGAUUUUGGGUAUGAAGGUUAUUGAUGCACAAAAUCAGUAAGGACUUUGGUACAACAGAAAGUGUUAAGUUUGUGACCUUCGCUAGAUUACUCCGGUCACUAGUAUGGAUAAGUAUGUAAACGGAUAGAGACAGGGAAGCAAACGUGGUUCACCCAGAUUGGCUAUGUCCACGGAGUAGAGGAGUUCUCAUUAAUUGUGAAGGGUUUACACAAGUACAUAGAUUCAAGCUCUCCUUUUGUGAGUACUAGUGAAUGAUUUAAUACAAAUGACAUUUGAAAAUAUUGUGAGAGAAUGAUCUUUAUUUAUAGAAGAGAGUUUCUAGUUUCAUUCUAACAUUGACACAUGUCGUGCUGUGAUUGGCCUCUGAUGUCGACACAUGUCGCGUUAUGAUUGGCCUCUGAUGUUGACAUAUGUCGCGUUGAGAUUGGCCUCCUAGUUGGAGGGAGACUCUUGUAGGUCCUUGGCUGUAUAAUGUUGACCAGUUCUUAAUAGUUUCGGGGCUGGUCAAGUAUGGUACAAACAGUGCUUCUCUAAGUUCCCGAGUGAAUGAAGCUUCUCGGUUGGGGACUUGCAAGAUCCAAGCCAUUGAGUAAUCACGAAACUUCUAAGUACCGAAGUGUGGUAUUGUUUUUACUUGGCUUAUCUGUCUCAUAGGUAAAUGUGGCAUUUUUUCUUGAAGUAAUUUUCCUCCAUCCAGGAGUGGUAUCUCUAACCGGUGGAGAUGCACAAGGUAAUGUAUCAAUUUCACUUGAAGCUUACUUGUAGUUUCAGGCUUGGUCAAGCCAAUAAAAACCAUGUAGUAGGAGUCUCCCAAGUCGUCGAGCUAGGAGAUCUGCCGAAAGAGGUGACAGACAAGGUAAGCAAUCAGAGCUCCCAGCAAUCAGUCCCGGAUCAGAAGUUUGAUUUUGAGUUCAAGCUGAUUGUUCUCAUUUUCCCUAUCUUGCAGGCAGCAGGAAGAAUAAAGAGAAGAAAAAUGAGAAGAGAUGAUAUGAAAUACUUUUACUUUUGUAGAAGUAACUUUCCACAAGCUUAUUCUUGAAAUGGGCUGGAGGGUUUUCUGGUUUCCUCCAGAGUAUAUGGCUAACUUAAGAAUUUGAGGGUCAAAACAAGUCCAUCAAAUCUAGAGUACGUUCGACCCUGUUACGCUUGUCUCCACAUGCUUCCUUGUAUCCUUCUCACUUGCCCUAUCUGUUCAUCAGACAGAUGUGGUAUCUUCUCUGAAAGCAUAAGAUGUUGAAGAUGAGUACUCGAGAGCAAUGUCAGGUAAGUAAUAAGGCAAGGGGUUUCAGGCAGUCAGUUCUUGACAGGAAGCUUGAUUCCAAGUACUGACUGAUUGCUCUCUUUCUCCUUGUCUUGCAGGUAAGAACAAGGCCAAAGGAAAAGACAGGGAAAAAACAUGAUAUGGGAUACUCUUGCUUUUAACCCUGAUGAUAUAAGAUACUCUUGUUCUAGUGUAGCUUGUUUGCAAAGGUAUUAUCGGGGGGAAAAGAAGGUGAGUAUUUCGAGAGACUCUGCUGAGAGUGCCCUCUCGGAUGUGAAGAAAAGUUGAGCAUUUUUUUUAUUUGCAAGUCUUCCUGGCUGUGGAGGAUGAAGGUCGACAUAUAUAAGAAUUUUCCCAACAACGAGUGGUAACGCUAUUCCUUUACCCUUCUCGGUCAUAGCAAUAUAGUGGGAGCUGCAAGAUUCACGUGUUUUAACUUUGUCAGAGCACUUUGAAAAGAUGGUCUGUGGUAUCUGGAAAUCUGAUGUUGCGUGUGAGAUUGCAGACAAGCUUUAUCCAAGGAAAUCUGGCUCUCGAAUUUUAGAGAGCAGUGCCUCUUCGAUUUUCGAAAAAGUAAUCAUGUCGGGGAUCUGGCUUUCGAGAUUCGGAGAACGGUGCCUCAUCAAUUUUUUAGAAAGCAAUCCUGUUGGGAGUCUGACUCUUGAGAUUCGGAGAGUGGUGCCUCUUCGAUUUUUUAGAAAGUAAUCCUGUUGGGAGUCUGGCUCUUGAGAUUCGAAAAGAAGUGCCUAUUCAAUUUUUGAGCAAGAAAUCUUGUUGGGAGUGUUUUCUCGAAUGUGAGUAAAGGUUGGACAUUUUUUGCGAGUCUGCCUUGCCACGGAGCACGGAGGUUAACACACAUAGGAACUUUCCAGUUAUCAAGCAGUGGUGCUGUUCCUUUACCCUUGUGGAUAAUAGUAGGGUAGCUGAACCUUCAAAAUUUAUGUGUUUAAACUUUGUUAGAGAUCUUUGGCAAAAUUAUCUGUGGUACCCGAGGAUCUGAUGUUGCGUGUGGAGAGUGGUGCCUCUUCGAAAUCCGAAGAGUGGUGCCUCUUCCAUUUUUGAACCAACAACCCUGUUGCUCUUUCUUUUAUAAGGGCACCAAUUGUGUGCAAGAAGUACAUUCAAAGAGUUAUUGCUUGUAGGAAUUUUCCCUUUAUUUUUGUACUUUAGAGAUUUAUUGAACCUCAUUUCUCCUUCAUCAUUUCUGAAAAUGUCUGGCCCAUCCGACCAUCAUUUUGACUUGAACUUUGGUGAAGAGGCAACUAUGUCUCCUCAAGACAACAUAUGCCUCUCAUCCUUCUUAUCCUCUACUGGGCUUCUUACCGUUGGGGACUCUGUGAUGAAGAAUGAUAUGAUCGCUGCGGUGAUGGCCAGGAACCUUCUCACUCCCAAAGAUAACAGACUAUUUUCCAAACGGUCUGAUGAGUUGGCUGCUAAGGAUUCUCUAGCUUUCAGUGUUCAAUGUGUAGGUUCUGUGUCUAAUAUGGCCCAAUGCCUAUUUGCUCGAACCCGCCAAGUUGAAUCAUUGGCGGCUAAAGUGAUAAGUCUCAAACAGGAGAUUAGAGGGCUCAAGCAUGAGAAUAAACAGUUGCACAGGCUCGCACAUGACUAUGCUACAAACAUGAAGAUGAAGCUUGACCAACUGUAGGAAUCUAAUGGUCAGAUUUUACUUGAUCAUCAGAGGUUUGUGGGUUUGUUCCAAAGGCAUUUAUUGCCUUCGUCUUCUAGGGUUGUACCGCGUAAUGAAGCUCCAAAUGAUCAACCUUCGGUGCCUCCUCCUUCUGGGUUCUGCCCAGUAUUGAAGCUUCGAAUGAUCACCCUCUGGUGCCUACUCUUUUUGGUGCUUUGUCGACUGCUGAGACUUCUCCUGAGCAACCUUUGUGAAGGCUCCCUCUUGUUUGUUUAUUUUGACUCAUGUAUAUGUACAUAUUUGUAACUUAUCAGAGAUAUCAAUAAAUAAGUUUUGCUUCAUUUCAACGUAUUGUGUUAAAUACACCAAAGCCUUCUUCACUAAGUUCUUUGAAUUUUUCUUUUGUUGAAGCUUGUAUGUUAAAACUUUGUGAGUGAAGCAUGUAUGUUGAGGUAGUGCUCCCUUAAUUUCCCGAGUGAGGAAAACGUCGCGGUUGGAGACUUGAAAAAUCCAAGUCAUUGAGUGAUCGUGAGACUUCCUAGUAUCAAGGUGCAGUAGCAUAUGGUAGAAGUCCCCCAAGUCUCCGGUUGAGGGAGUUGACAAAGGAGGUGUCUUGCUAGUAGCCAAGUUUCCAAAGUAACAAAACUUCACCAUUUUCCUUUCUAAGUGGUAGCCCAAAACUCUUCCUUCAUAUAUAUUUGUUAUGAAAGUUGUUAGGCCCAAAGAAAAGUAGGCCUAGGCAAUUUUUAUUUUUUUAAUUUUUUUUUUAAUUUUUUAUUUUUCAAAUUUCUGAAUUUCUGAAUUUUCAAAUUUCUGAAUUUUGAAUUUUUGAAUUUCUAAAUAUAUAUAUAUAUAUAUAUAUAUAUAUAUAUAUAUAUAUUAAGCUUUAUAGGUGAAACUUUGUUGGUGAAGUUUUAAGGUUGAAGCUUUGUUGGGUACCAUGAAUUGAUUUUGCUUCACACUAUCUUGAUCAAGAUAGUGUGAAGCUUUUGUAGGUGAAGCUUUUGUGUUGAAGCUUUGUUGGUGAAGCUUUAUAGCUGAAUCUUUUGUGGGUGAAGCUUUUGUGGUGGGUGAAGCUUUUGUUGGUGAAGCUUUUAUGGGUGAAGCUUUUGUAGGUGAAGCUUUUGUCGUGGGAGAAGCUUUUGUGGGUGAAGCUUUUGUUGGUGAAGCUUUUGUAGGUGAAGUUAUUGUGGGUGAAGCUUUUGUGUUGAAGCUUUGUAGGUGAAGCUUUGGAGUUGAAGCUUUGUAGGUGAAGCUUUUGUUGGUGAAGCUUUUAUGGGUGAAGCUUUUGUAGGUGAAGCUUUUGUGGUGGGGGAAGCUUUUGUGGGUGAAGCUUUUGUUGGUGAAGCUUUUGUAGGUGAAGCUUUUGUGGUAGGGGAAGCUUUUGUGGGUGAAGCUUUUGUAGAUGAAGCUUUUGUAGGUGAAGCUUUUGUGGUGGGUGAAGCUUUUAUGGGUAAAGCUUUAAUGGGUGAAGCUUUUAUGGGUGAAGCUUUAAUGGGUGAAGCUUUUGUAGGUGAAGCUAUUGUGGGUGAAGCUUUUGUGGGUGAAUCUUUUGUGUUGAAGCUUUGUAGGUGAAGCUUUGGAGUUGAAGCUUUGUAGGUGAAGCUUUUGUGUUGAAGCUUUUGUAGGUGAAGCUUUGGGGUUGAAGCUUUGUAGGUGAAGCUUUGGAGUUGAAGCUUUUGUUAGGUACCAUGAAUUGAUUUUGCUUCACACUAUCUUGAUCAAGAUAUUGUGAAGCUUUUGAGAAUUUGUAGUUGUCCUCCAUUGAUGGAGCUUUUGUUGGUGAAGCUUUUGUGGUGAAGCUUUGUUGGGUACCAUGAAUUGAUUUUGCUUCACACUAUCUUGAUCAAGAUAGUGUGAAGAUUUUGAGAAUUUGUAGUUGUCCUCUAUUGAUGAAGCUUUGUUGAAUUUCCCAAUUUCCUUUUUUUUAUGGGAAAAUUAGAAAUUUGAAAAUGUGGGAGAGACAACAUAUACAAAUUUUGCUUCCACACUGUUGAGUAAGAGAUUAUGAUGCAAGCCACACCUUGUAGUAGUCGAAGGUUUGGAUGAACCAUAUAAAUUGAAUUUGCUUCGAAUAGUCUUGAUCAAGAGUGUGUGAAGCAUUCUACGAGUUGUAGUUACCCUUCAUUGAUGAAGCUUUUGUUGGCACCAUAAAUUGGUUUUGCUUCACACUAUCUUGAUCAAGAGUGUGUAAAGCUUUUGAGAAUUGUGGUUGAACUCCCAUAAAUUGGUUUUGCUUCACACUGUCUUGAUCAAGAGUGUGUGAAGCUUUUGAGAAUUGUGGUUAAACUCUCAUAAAUGAAGGUCUUGUUGGCACCAUAAAUUGGUUUCGCUUCACACUAUCUUGAUUAAGAGUGUGUGAAACUUUUGAGAAUUGUGGUUGAACUCCUUUGAUGAAGCUCUUGUUGGCACCAUAAAUUGGUUUUGUUUCACACUAUCUUGAUUAAGAGUGUGUGAAGCUUUUGAGAAUUGCGGUUGCCCUCCAUUGAUGAAACUCUUAUUGGCACCUUAAAUUGGUUUUGCUUCACACUGUCUUGAUCGAGAGUGUGUGAAGCUUUUGAGAAUUGGUUGAACUCCUUUGAUGAAGCUCUUGUUGGCACCAUAAAUUGGUUUUGCUUCACACUGUCUUGAUCAAGAAUGUGUGAAGCUUUUGAGAAUUGUGGUUGAACUCGUUUGAUGAAGCUCUUGUUGGCACCAUAAAUUGGUUUUGCUUCACACUGUCUUGAUCAAGAAUGUGUGAAGCUUUCUACGAGUUGUGGUGUUUGCAUUGUUACAGAGGAGAAAUGUCUGAAGCAGAUGCAAGAGGGUUGAAUAGCUUGAUCUUCGAAUGCCAUGCACUGAAGUUGUUGUUGGCUUGCACUAAGACUUUGUUGGUUACUAUAACUCUUGUUAGGCAUAAGUGUUCCCCUCUUUGAGUUGUCAAGCUUGAGGGUUUUUUAUUGUUUGUGAAUGCUAGGAGUUCACAUAUACAAGUUGUACCACUCGUCUUCUGGUAAGUGGAAUGAAUGGUAAGUUGCUUUCAUCACUUGGUUGGUGGUACGAAGGUGAGUUCCUUCAUCACCUUUCAUCAUAUUUCAUCACCUGGUUGGUGGCACGAAGAUGAGUUCCUUCUUCACUUGGUUAGUGGCAUGAAUGGCAAGUUGCCAAAUGAUAUUAAAGUACGGGUUGUACAUUUCAUCACCUGGUUGGUGGCAUGAAGGAGAGUACGAGUUGUACAUUUCAUCACCUAGUUGGUGGCAUGAAGAUGAGUUCAUUAUUCACCUGGUUGGUGGCAUAAGUGGUAAGUUGCCAAAUAAUAUUAGAGUACGGGUUGUACAUUUCAUCACCUGGUUGGUGGCAUGAAAAUGAGUUCCUUCUUCACCUGGUUGGUGGCAUGAGUGGCAAGUUGCCAAAUGAUAUUAGAGUACGGGUUGUACAUUUCAUCACCUGGUUGGUGGCAUGAAUGAGAGUACUGGUUGUACAUUUCAUCACCUGGUUGGCGCAUGAAUAUGAGUUCCUUCUUCACAUUUCAUCACCUGGUUGGUGAGAAUAAAGGCAAGGUGUCGAGGCACAUUGUAGCAAGUGUCAAAUGACACAAAGUAUGUUGAACCCUUUUGAAGCACAUUUGGCUUAUGUAUGAAUGUGUUGGAAUGUAUGAUUGAACGAAUAUAUUGUGAAGCUGUUCGUUUAUUGGUAUAGUCUUGUUGACAUAUACUUAGACUUUGUUUCAUGUUGGAAGCAUUCAUGUUGAAGCUUUGAACCCGAGUGUUUCAUUGCUAGAAAUGUAAGAGGAUUAGGACCGAGUUGUCUAAAUCACCUCUUCAUUGAAUUCAUGCCAAAUAGUCUUCGUUACAUAGGAUGCUGAACGGCUGAAGCUUAACACUUGUACAAUGUAAGUUUACUUGUAAUAGUACUUCAAGUUAUCAGCGUUCCAUGGAUGGCCAAGGGUCUUGCCAUCGGAGCUUCUAAGCUUGUAAGAGCCAGGGCGACUGAUGCUAAUAACUUCAAACGGUCCAUCCCAGUUUGGACUAAGUGUUCCUUCAUUCAGGACUCUAUCGCAGAGUAAUCUUUUCUUCAAUACCCAGUCCCCACUUUGAAAGAACGAGGUUUGACCCUUGAGUCAUAGUAGUUGGAGAUGCGCUGCUUGUAGGCGACAUUCCUCAAGUGAGCCUGGUUUCUGUGUUCCUCGACUAGAUCUAAGUUGAGGGUAAGUUGUUUGUCAUUUUCGCUUUACACGUAGUUCUGGACUCGGAACAUUGCUUGUUCAAGCUCAACUGGGACAACUGCCUUUGUACCAAAGGCAAGUGAGAAUGGGGUUUCUCCUGGUGAUGUUCGAUACGAAGUGCGGUAUGACUAAAGAACUUGAGGUACAAAUUCUGGCCAACAACCUUUAACCUUGUCUAAGCUGGUUUUCAAAGUUUGCUUGAUUAUUUUGUUGGUGGCUUCAACUUGUCCAUUAGACUGGGGAUGAGCUAGGGAGGCAAAACAUAAGUUGAUGUUGAACUUAGAACAGAACAUCCUGAACUUAUUGUUGUCGAACUGUCGCUCGUUGUCAGUGACUAUCGCAUUGGGAAUGCCGAAUCUGCAAAGGAUGUUCUUCCGUACAAAGUCUUCUAUUUUUACCUCAGUAAUGGUUGCCAAGGGUUCUACUUCGGCCCACUUUAUGAAGUAAUCAACUGCAACGAUUGCAUAGCGGACCUUGCCCUUCCCUGUAGGCAUUGAGCCGAUCAAAUCAAGUCCCCAUUGGGCGAAGGGCCAAGGGCUGAUCAUAGGAGUGAGCGGCUUGGGAGGGGAGUGAGGAAUAGUUGCGUAGCGUUGACACUUAUGACAUAAGCGGGAUAUUCUGAUGGCAUAUUGGUGGAGUGUUGGCCAGUAAUAUCCUUGGCGAAAAGCCUUGUGUGCUAGGGAUCGAGAUCCAGCAUGAUCUCCGCAGACUUUUUCAUGUAUUUCCCGAAGAACAGUUUCCGCCUCUACGAGCGUAAGGCAUCUUAGGUAUGGCAGGUUAAAACCCCGCUUGUAGAGUUGGUCAUUAAUGAUCAAGUAAUGGGUAGCCUUGUAUCGAAUCUGCAUAGCUUGGACUUUGUCAUUUGGAAGGGUGUCAUGAGCAAGGAAUCUAUAAAUCGGGGUAAUCCAACUAUCCCCCUGUUGUAAGUUGCACACUUCCGCAACCAUGUACUUGGUGCAGCUAACAAUUCGACCUAAAUUUUUCUCCCAAUCUUGUCUUCCACCGUUAAGGUGAGGCGAGCCAAAGCAUCUGCAUGAUUGUUUGCCGCUCGAGGAAUUUGGGUGAUCUGGUAGUGGAAGUGUUUGAGCAACAAUUGUGUUUGUGCCAGAUAUGCUGCCAUGGAGCUAUCCUUAGCGUCAAAGUUAUUGGUGACCUGGUUAACCACCAAUUGGAAGUCACUGAAGAUAUAAAUUCGUUUAACCCCAAGGUGUUUGGCCAAACGUAAGCCUGCUAUGAGGGCUUCAUAUUCGGCCUCAUUGUUCGACGCCUUGAAUUUGAAACGAAGAGCAUACUCCAUCGCCACUUUGUCAGGGGUCGUAAGGACUAGUCCUGCUUCACAACCCUGUUGGUUGGACGAGCCAUCAACAUAUAGACCCCAUGAUGGGGCUGUUGGUUAUAUUUUCUGAGCUUCCGAGGGUAAUAAAACAACUUCUUUAGGCGUAGAAACAAUGUCAACAAGAUAUGUGAAGUCGGUGAUGAAGUAUGCCACUGCUUGGCCCUUCUCAGCUGGCUUUGGUUAGUAGGAGAUGUCAAACUCACCCAAUGUUAUCGCUCAUUUUAUCAUUCACCCGGAAGUGUCAGGACUUUGGAGUAUCUGUCGAAGAUGAUGAUUGGUAAGCACGAUGAUGGAGUGUGCUUGGAAGUAAGAGCGAAGUUUUCGAGCAGACAUGACUAAUGCUAAAGCCAAUUUCUCAAUGUUGGAGUAUCGUGUCUCCACAUCUUGUAAGGCCUUGCUAGCGUAGUAGAUAGGCCGUUCGACAUUACCAUCUUUUCGAAUGAGAACGGAACUUAUUACUGAAGCUGAUACCGACAGAUAGAUAAUGAGAGUGUCACCAACCUCAGGGUUAGAGAGCAGAUAGGUUUUACUCAUGUAGUCUUUGAGGUUCUUGAAUGCCUCGGCAUAUUCAUCAAUCCAUGUAAUGUACUUCUUACUUCCUUUAAGUGCUUUGAAGAAAAGAGCAUAUCUGUUUGUGGCCUUUGAGAUGAACCUAGUUAAGGCUGCCACCUUGCCAGUAAGGCUCUGGAUGUCUUUUGAAGUUAUCAGUUUCUUCAUGUCGAGGAUUGCUUUGAUCUUCUAAGGAUUAGCCUCAAUGCCUUAUUGGUCUAUCAUGAAGCCUAAAAAUUUGCCAGAGCCUACGCCAAAGGCACAUUUGUUGGGGUUCAACCUCAUUCGAUACCUCUUCAGAAUGGUGAAAGUUUCAGAUAGGUUGGUAAUGUGUUGGUCAGCAUGUUUACUCUUGACUAGCAUAUCAUCAACGUAAACUUCCAUGCUCUUCCCAAUCUGUUCGACGAACAUUGAAUUGACCAAUCUCUGAUAAGUCGCUCCUGGCCGAAUGGCAUGACUUUAUAACAAUAGAGUCCCAUGUUAGUAGUGAAGGCUGUGUGUUCUUGGUCCAAAGGGUUUAUAAAGAUUUAGUUGUAUCCUGAGUAAGCAUCCAUGAAGCUCAAGAGUUCACACCCUGCCAUAGAGCCUAUAAGUCUAUCUAUGAGAGGAAGAGGAAAGCUAUCAUUCGGGCAUCCUUUGUUUAGGUCGGUGUAAUUGACACACAUUCUCCACAAGACCUUUUAGAGCAGGAGACUUUCUUUGGUCAGAUUUUUCUUAACAAUGACCACAUUUGCUACCCAUGUUGGGUAAUUAACUUUGCAGAUGAAGCCUAUGCCUUUGAGUUUUUCAACUUCUACCUUCAUUGCUUUGUAUAGUUCAGCGUCAUAAGAUCUUUGCUUCUGUCUCACCGGCUUGGUCUUGGGGUCAAUACUCAAGCGAUGACAUAUGAUAUCGGGAGAUAUGCCUAGCAUGUCCUCGUAUGACCAGGCAAAGACCUCAGUGUUCUCUUGCAAAAAAGAGAUCAAUGUCAACCGAAUGGGUGGUGACAAGGUGGUGUCAAUCUUCACCAUGCGAUCUGGAUAAUCUUUUGAGAUAGAAACCUUUUCCAACUCUUCAGCGGGUUGUGCUUGCUGGGUGAAAGAGUCGUCUCAAGGAUCAUCGGGUUGACUGUUGCCACCAUGAAGAUCCAAGUUGGCUUCGUUCGGGCUGGUCUUUAUAACUUGGUCAUGUAUAGAAAGGGUUUCCUUGGGCACAGGCAGGUGUUGUUGCUUGACCAAAGUGUUGUAACAUGAUCGUGCACUAAAUUGAUCUUCUCUGAUGUAACCAUUGCCAUAAGGGGCUGAAAAUUUCAUCAACAACAUAUGUGUGGAUACCAUGGCCUUGAGAUCAUUGAUGCAUGUGCGUCCAAAGAUAACAUUGUAUGUCGUUGGACAAUCGACUACCAAGAAGUUAGUGGUAAUGGUAGUUGUGUAAGGGCAUGUACCAAUGGUGAAAGGUAAGUAUAUGCUCCCUAUAGGUUGCAUGAUAUCACCGGAGAAGCUUAUCAUAGGAGAAAUCCAGUGAUCGAGCAAAUGUUCAGCUACAUUAAGUGCCCUGAAAGCUUCAGCAAACAUGAUAUUGACCGAAGCCCCCUUGCCUACCGGAAUUCGUCUUACUUCAAAGUUGGCUAUGUGAGCCUCCACGAUCAGUGGGUCGUUAUGAGGGUAGAUGAUACCUCUUUCUUCUUCAGGAUAGAAACAUAUUGGAUCCCAGUUAGGCUUUUGAUACUUACCUCCCCUGAUGUCUUCCACGUGAAACACUUGGUGGCUAGGCCUUAAAGCUUAUUUGUUGUUUUUCAUGGCCCUAUUGGAAGAAUCAAAUAUGAGUGUGCCGCUACUUAUUGAAUAUAUCACAUUCACUUAGCGUUAGUUACGGUUAUCCCUUGAAGGGUGAAUGAGGAAUCGAUCAAUUUUUCAUUCACGCACCAAAGCUUCAAUAUGAUCACGAAUGGUGAUACACUUCUCGCCGUCAUGGCCGUUAUGUUCGUGGUAGCAGCAAAACGUGCCCAUGUUCUUCGCAGGCUUGUAACCCGACUGCCUCGACAUUGGCUUUGGUAUCAGGUGUGCUAUGCUGGGGUAAAUGGCCACGCAUAUGGCGUUUAAAGGCGUAUAUGUUUUCAUACCUCGAGGUAGGGCCUGUCCUGACACGUGCUUGGCCCAUUGUGUUGACUGCCUGAAGGAGGGCAUUAUCGUGGCGAUACCCUUGGUAAUCGCAAUAGUGUCCCUUACUUCUUUUACUAAAAUGGGACUGGUAAGGAUAGAAAUCUUUCCUUUUGCCCUGAGAUUGAUAUGUCUGUUGACUUGGCGAAGUAUUAAGUAAGGCAGGAUGAGGCACCGCUGCCGUUUGGAAGGUCGAGGUCUUCUCAUUUGGUUGGAUCUGGCUUCCACUCUCUACUUGCUGAUAAGGGGUGGCUGUGGGGGGUUUCCCUUGAUAUGUCUUUGCCUCAGUGGAUGCAUGGUUGUAAGUUUGUGCCAUCACCUCAGAGUAAGUCUUCCAAGUGUUGGCAUUGAUCAUGUACUUGAAGAAACAAUCACGUAGGCCCACCGUGAAGGCUUUGAGGGCAGUCUUUUCGUCUGCCUUAGCACAACGAGAAUACUCAUGGCUUAAGCGGCUAGCAUACAUACGUAAUGACUCGUCUGGUUUCUGGCGAAUAGUGUACAAGUCAUCCGCAGAGUGCAAAUGAUCGGUCUGGAAAAUGUGUUGAGAAACAAACAGUUUCCUCAAUUCCUCAAAUGAGUCAACUGUCUCAAGUGGAAGACGACAAUACCAGUUUAGAGCUCCGCCAGAGAGGGUGGAGGGGAAGAGAAGACAUCGUUCUUCGUUGGUGUGCAUCUGGUAUGCCAUGGUGGACUCAAAGAGGUUAAGGUGUUCAAUCGGGUCCUCCUUUCCAGUAUAGAGUUGCAAGCCAAGCUUCUCCUUUGUCUUUGCUUAGAAAGGGGUGUCGAGGAUCCUCCUUGUAAGAGGCCAGGCCUAGGUUGGUUCCAAUAAGGUAUCUCAGCUUGUCGUUCAGCCUUCAACUUGUUUACUUCCUUAAAGAACUGUAGAACAAGAGGGUCCUGAGUGGAGUCAUGUACCAUUUGACCUUUCUUUCGUAAAUCUCCAUCUCCUCUUGGAAGUAGAAAGGUUUGAUCAAGAGCAUGUGAUUUUUCCCUGGACUCGCCGUACUGACUUCCAAGGUAUUUCUGUCGGAACAUCUCUGAGUCCUCUACACCUUUGUGUUUCUCUAGGACUUGUUGCCCCUUCCCCAAAUUGGUAGCUGGCCUGGGACAUGGGAGAGGAUCGAGUCUUUCAGAGACCCUUGGGUCAUUGAUCUUCGAGCUUACAUGGAUGGGAUUGUCUCGACGUUGCUUUAGGAAGUCUUAACAGUCGUGAAAGACGGCUUUCGAUCUUUCCACUCCUUCUGUAAGGAGGUGUCUUCCUGCACUCUUCCUGCUUCGGGUCGAAGCAGCUGGGUUGAGAGAAGUCUCAUGUUGGUCGCCAUUUCGAUAAGUAGCUCGCUCCCAACGGGAAUACCCAUGCCGAAAGCAAAUGACCAUCCGUGUUGGGGGGCACCCAGUUGAUGGUUGACUUCCACAGAGGUGAUGAGCUCGUGUGUUUUAGUAUAUCUAGCCUCGUGAAGUAUCUCGAAGACCUUCUCAUACUGCUCUUGGAGGAUCUCAUUCUUCAUCGCUAUCUUGUUGUUCUGAGCCUCCAGCUCAUCGACUUUAGCCUGAAGAGCAAACUUCUUUUAUUUCUUCUUUCGUUGCUUCGCACCAGGUGCAAGAGGGGUGUCAUUCUGUAUGUUGUGGCUUCCUUCGCUCCCCAUGUUGGAAAGGGAUGCCUGGUCAAAAGAGAGUGUAUGAAUGGUGGAAACCAACUUAACAAAGCUGAAAAGAGUGGGAAUAAGUGUUGUUCCCACAGACGGCGCCAAAUGUUGAUGCACAAAAUCAGUGAGGACUUUGGUACAACAGAAAGUGUUAAGUUUGUGACCUUCGCUAGAUUACUCCGGUUACUAGUAUGGAUAAGUAUGUAAACGAAUAGAGACAGGGAAGCAAACACAAGAUGUACGUGGUUUACCCAGAUUGGCUACGUCCACGGAGUAGAGGAGUUUUCAUUAAUUAUGAAGGGUUUACACAAGUACAUAGAUUCAAGCUCUCCUUUUGUGAGUACUAGUGAAUGAUUUAGUACAAAUGACAUUUGGAAAUAUUGUGAGAGAAUGAUCUCUAUUUAUAGAAGAGAGUUUCUAGUUUCAUUCUGACAUUGACACAUGUCGUGCUAUGAUUAGCCUUUGAUGUCAACACGUGUCGCGUUAUGAUUGGCCUCUGAUGUUGACAUGUGUCAAGUUGUGAUUGGCCUCCUGGUUGGAGGGAGACUCUUGUGGGUCCUUAGCGGUAUAAUGUUGACCGGUGCUUAGUAGUUUCAGGGUUGGUCAAGUAUGGUACAAACAAAGGUUAUUGGUUUUGGCCUAAGCUAAAAAAAGUUGGGCCUCUGAGAAGGCUUGAGUUCUUUGAUGAAUUGGGCUUAGGUUCUAAUAGGCUGGGUGACCCGGCCCAAAGGCCUCAAUUCUAGGGUGGUUUCUGGGCACCAUUUCAAACGGCCAUAACUUCAUCGUUACUCAACAAAAUCAAGUGAUCCAAAAAUUAAAGUUGUAGUAAUCGACGAGAUGAAGAGAUUGGUACCUUGCACGAUAGCUAACAUGUUGUGGUUCGGCCAGAAAAUGCCUCAAAAUGUGGCUGUCCGCAUGAAAACUGUUAACUCGCUAGAAUUUCUGGGUUAAAUUUAAACGUCUAUAACUUUGUCAAUACUCAACGAAAUUAAGUGAUUCAAAAGCCAAAAUGUAGUUAGUAAUGUGGAAAAAGAUUCAUACCAAGUGGGGACCGAGUAGUGGCCAAAGUUGGCUGGAAAAUGGCCCGAAAGAUGGAAAAAUGACCACGGCCAUUGACUUUCCUUAAGCUUUUCCGAGUUCCUACCACCAAAAAACUUACUAACCGUGAACCUAGACAUGACCUACAAUGAUAGGGACCAAUUUAGAGGCUUACUUCAUCGAAAAUCAUGAAAACACGUCGAGGAAGAUGAUGAAUAGUGAUAGCUUCACUGUGGGGCUUCCCGGUGCACGGCCUAGGGUUUGUGGGGCCCCUCUGUCCAGGUGUGCAGGUGGUUGUGUGUGUGUGUGUGAUCUCAGAGAGGAGGAAGGUGGGUUUGUAGAGUGAUGAGAGCUCAGGAAGAGGGAGUCCGAGAGUGAAGAGAGGGAGAGAAACUGAGAUAAAAAAGAGUUGUGAGAGAGAGAGAGAGCUCUCAGGUCCAACAAAGGAGAAAGGAAAAAGAAAAAGGGUCGGGGGAAAGGGAACCAAAAAGGAAAGUGGGCCCCAAAUAGCACACAAAAUAAGACCCAAAAAAGCAAUAUUUUAAACAAAUGAAACCCAACCAAACUAAAAAUAUGAAAAUACCCUUCCGUUAUGUAAAUUCCUGGAUGGGUUGUUACACCUAAGCUUGUAUAAUUGAUCAUUCGGGCUUCGCUUUGUUUUGUACACUUCUCUUUAAGUCUCCGAGAAGCUUGCCAAAAUAAAACGAUGCGAUACAAAUUUUACUAAUCGUAAGAUAUUGAUUAAUAAAAAUGAUGAGGAUUAUAUACAAUCGUAAGAUAUUGAUUAAUAAAAAUGAUGAGGAUUAUAUACCUUUCUAUUGGAUACAUCCAUCAAAAGUUGACUGGUCCAACAAGCAAUGCCUUAUUCGAUAAGUGAACCAUCACAUGGAUCAUACUUGUGAAGAAAGCUGAAGGAAAUAUCAUCUCAAUUGUGAAAAAAAAGCUGGACAACAACAUGAUUGGUUUCAUUACAUCAGCUGGCAAGAGAUGUCGAAUACCCACAUGGCAGUCAUGACUCUUUAGUCCAGCUAAUUUACCCCCGUCAACGUUUAAUCAACAUGCGAUAUUUGAAGCAUACCCAUCGGAAAACUUUACAGACGAUAAAAACUUUAAAAAUUCUUUUUUUUGUCAUUCGGUUUCAUGGAAAAAAAAUGCAAGAUCCCUUCUGGCCUUAUCACUGUCCAUAUUCAUCCAUAAACCAUGUCGUAUUCCCAUUCAUUCCAACUUAAGACAAGCUUUGAUUGUUUCCUUUGUCUUGCCCUCGAUAUCUAGAAUUAUGCCGACCAAUGUGUCAAAUACAUUUUUCUCAGCAUGUAUAACAUCGAGGUUGUGUCCCAAUUUUAGUUUCGACCAAUACAGGAGCUCAAAAAAUAUAGACUUGUGCAUCCAGUUCAUAUGUGUAGAAGGUCUGGUCCUACUUACAGUUUUCCUGAACGGAGCAAAAUCUAAAUAGUUAAGCUGUUCCAAAAUCUGGUCACCAGACCAUUCUUUAGGUCUAAGGUGAGGCUUUUUUUCCCGUCAAACUUUUUAUCCUUCUCUCGCCACUCGUGGUCCCAUGGCAACUAUCUUCGAUGACCAAGGUAACAAACUUUUCUGGUGUGCCAACUAGAUGUUAUGUCUUCUUUGCAUACAUGGCAUACCAUGUGAACCCUAGUGAUUCACCCAGAAACCAUUGCAUAUGUGGGGAAAUCGUUCACAGUCCACAUCACUACUGCCCACAAAGUGAACAUCUUGCCAGUACACUUAUCAUAUGUGCGCACACCGUGCGUCCAUAAAUCUUUUAGCUCAUCCACGAACGACUGUAAAUACACAUCAAUUGACUUACCAGGAUCCUCGGUUAUCAAUAAAGUCAUCAUCAUGUAUUCAUUUUUCAUACAUUUCCAUGGCAGCAAAUUAUAUAGAAAUAUGAAAAUCGGUCAAGUGUUAUGGUAUCGGUUUAGAACCCCAAACAGAUUAGAUCCGUUAGUGGCAAGUCUCAAUCUAACAUUCCGAGGAUCAACAGGAAAAUCAGGGAACGUUCGAUCGAACUCUUUACAUGCCUCCCUAUCUGUAGGAUGCCUCAGGACAUCAUCAUCUACCCGUUUUUCCUUAUGCCAUAUCAUGUCGGUGGCAGUAUGCGUUGACAUAUACAACCGCUGCAACCUAGGUUUCAAAGGCAAAUAAUGCAUGACUUUUUGUGGGAUCUACGUCAAUCUAUUCUGAGAUGUCACUUUGAACCUCAACUCAUUGCAUACAGGGCAUUUAUCCAACGCUUUAUUCUCCUUAUAGAACAAUACAUAAUUAUUUUUGCAAGCAUGAAUUUUUUUUAUAACCCAAUCCCAGACCAUUCAACACCUUUUGAGCAUUUCUAUUGACUUUCGGCAAACAAUUGUCCUUUGGUAGCAUUCUCUUGAAAACCCCCAAAAUAUAAUCAAAACACUAGUUCGACAUACGAUACUUUAUUUUCCCUUGCAUUAGUUCCACAAUAGCUAUGAGAACGGAAAAUCCCUCACACCCCGGGUAUAACUCUUGGUUGGAAUUUUUUAAUAGUUUUUCAUAUUGUUCGAAUUCUUCACCAUCCAUUGGUGUAGGCACGUCAUCUUCCACUUCCUGAUUGGUAUUUGUCGAAUCAAAUGGAAAAAACAUAAUUUAAGAUUUCCAUGACUUGUCGACUCUUGUCACGUUUGAAGACGAAGCAUUGUCUAAUUGUUCCCCGUGAUGGUUCCAAAUAUUAUAGGUCUCUACCAUUCCAUUCCGCCAAGGAUACGUAGGCAAUCUAGAGAUUCAAUCUAGAUGCAACCGCACAAGGACAAAAAUCCAAAAUUGAAUCCCUAGUUCACCUUCACCAAAUUCACCAUAAAAUCCAAAUUGAUUCCCAGGUUCAUUCAACCAAAUUCACCGAAUACAAAAUCUUUUUUUAGUGGGUCAUUCACUCACUAAAAAUCUCAAACCAAAUCAAAGGAACUACGAGUGACUUGACCCUCAAGAGGGUAUGUAGGCAAUCUAGGGCUUGACCUAGGUGUAGUUGCAAAAUCAAAUAAAUACCCAAAUCCCCAAGUUACGAUUUAUUCAUAAUGGAAUCAAAGGGUUUUUCCUUUUAAUUAAUGAAGGAUUGUAAUAGACGCAUAGUCUAGAAUGAGUUGAACUCAAAUUAAUAAAACCCUCUUUAGAAAAAUGAACGAGGGUGAAAUUGUGUCGAGUGAAUUACUUGUUUACAUAUUGUGUACAAUUUUUGCUCAACAAUGACCAUCAGGAGAAUCAGUCCAAAUCAAGGUAUCAUUAAUUUCAGCAGUCUUAGGCAAGCAAAUAAAACAAAUUUGACCCCAAAUAAGAUGUAAGCUAUCAAGGAGAGAGGCAGGACAAAACCGGUUCCCAUCAAUAAUAAAAUUGGAGACCCGUGCAUGCAAAGUUUUACUCAAAGCCUUGGAAUGUUUAAAACUUCAAUUAAGAAUUUAUCCAACAAAUUGGCAUGCCAAAAACAAACUUUUUUACCUGAACCAAUAAUCCAACAUCAGUUAUGUUGUAAAUUAAAAUAAAUUAAAAAGAAAAUUAAAAAUGGUUUUUGUAAAAUUAACUUGAUAAGUAAGAAAAACAAAUAGUUUUGAAAAAAAUUAAUUGUGAAGGGCACUAGGUUUAGCCAUUGUCAUUAACAAUUCUUUGUAAUUCUACCAAUAGUACCAGAAAAUAGAGCUUGCCCUACAAAUGUUUGCCAAGCGGACUAAAUUUCGUGGGGUAAAGGGAAUUUACCCAAUGCAUGUUUUAGUAGGUAGGGCAACGAUGGUCAACAUUUAGGGUUUACUCAAAACCUUUACGAACCGGAAACCUAUCAUAGGGCAAGUCACAAUUCUUCCGCCAAAAUUUUGGUGCGAAGAGGGCAAAAAGUGGCGCGCAAUAUUUAGAUAUUUGCCCAACAAAUUUAGUAUUCGUCGGCAAGGUUGGAUUUGCCCGACAACCAUGUCCGUCGGGUAAGUUCUACUAUAGGUGGUCAAAGGCCCACACUGACGUGUAAUAAAUAUCCACCGACACAACCCUUGUUCGACGCUUUCCAUGUACUUGCCAUAAUGAGUGGUGCGUCGGGCAAACCCCUAUUCAUCAAUUAUAAGUAUGUGUUUUUCGAUCCUCAUCCUCUUUCUCCUCUUUUUUUUUUUUUUUUUUUUUUGUUUCAAUACUCUAAGAAAUCAAACGAUGAAAGAUUGUUUAAAAGUCAAACUACUUGGUAAACUAAUGAAGACAAAUCCUAUGCAAGUACUAUAUCUCUAUAUACUAAAACUCAGUCGGAUGGUACUGUGGAUGACCAGUGUGAUGACAAUUUUGCCCCUCGAUUUUUUCUUUCCUUUGCCGUUUUGUUGCCUGCUUCGCACAGUUAAAUACCUGUGUUGCUCAUGAUUGCCACGCGUUGAUCAUCCUUUGUCUGUGUGGUUCGAUUCUAUCGUAGCGAAUGGACGACGUUUCCCUUCUAGCCCACGCGUCCAUCAUCGAUGGUCCCUUCAGUUCGACUUCUUCUCGAUUUCGCUUCUCCCCUUUUGGGUAUUUUGGAACCUAGGUUUUUUUCUCUCCCGCAUCGCCCUUUUUACUUGCUGUUUAGCGUUGCCAUCUUUCUCCAGAUUGGCAGGCCGAUAGAAUCCGGCGAGGUCAGCAUGUACGUCUAUAGAAUUACCGCCUGUGAUCUCAGCCAUCUCAGCCACACUCGCGUAACCGUUAAUUUCGUUGUUCUGUUCAGGUUCGCACAUUUAAUCUCAUUAUUUGCAUGUUUAAUUUAGUAUUCAUGCAAUUAAUUGUGCUUUUGAUUAGUGUGGAAGUUGAAAUGUUUGAUUUUAUGCAUGUACUUUAUUUUUUCUGUUUUCUGUUAGAAAUUAAAUUACUUUUCGUUGAAAAUCGUUGAGCUGCUAGAAGUUUUUGCCUUUUUUCUUAAUUUGAUCGAAAUUCAUUUCUUAUCCACAUAACCUAGAGUCUCCUGAUGAGUUUUUCGUCUUUGUCAGUGUGUCUGAUUUUAUUUUAUUUAUUUUUCGAUUUACAGAUAGAUUUGUGUUUAAAUUUUCUUUUUAUAAUUUUGGGGUUUUGUUUUGUUUGUGUGCUCGGAUGCUGUGUGUGGCUGUCUGGUUUCAUUCUUUUUUGCUUUCAGGAAACACUGGUGUUCUAAUUUUGGGGUUUUGCUGAAGGUAUAUAUUAGUUUUUAAUAUAUCAACAGUUUUGCAGGGUCAGUUUUGUGUUAGUUUUGUUACUGACUGUUUUUUCCUGUGGAGAAGUACGGUGGCUCUACAGCUCACAACAGUGUAUGUUAUUAUUUUAUUCUUGGGUUAGAGCAUGCAUAUAUUAUCAGUUGCUAGAUGUCAUGAUCAAUCCCUAUAUUCUAAUGUGAAGUAAAAAAAGAAGGAACACUCUAUAACUCUAAUCAGAUGUCCACUGAAAAGAAAACAAAUCAUAUUACCAAUAUGUGUUAAAAUUGUGGUGAAAUAAUAAGAUGAAUACAAUGUUUCUGAUAGAGAUGACCCAUGAUAACAAAAUGGUCAGGCGGAGUCAUUUAAUGGUUGUCAAGGUUGGGACUUUGUCUUAGUGAGUAAGAGUACAUCCUAUAUCAGGGAAAAACACUAAGAUCCGAUACACUAUCAAUCUCAUAUGACAGGAGAAAUAAAAGCUUUAGAAGGUACUCCUGUCUUUUUCUUUUUCUUUUUUUUUUUUCUUUUUUUUCAUGUUUCAGUUUGUUUUUCAAUUCAGUUAUCAAUGCUAUUUGCUUUUUACUAUUUUGUUUUUCGUUUUUAAUAGUAUACGAACAUAAAAAAGCCUCCAAACCUCCAAAGAGACCACAGGUUUUGAAAACCCCUGUGAGUGGAGUCACUGAGCUGCUUAGAUUCAAUCUUUGAGAUUUCCGAAUUUUCGAGCUUUCAAUUUUGUGUGGGGUUGAGAAUUUGGAUUAAUUCUAUGAUGUUUUAAAUUAUCCUUAAUUGCUUGGGUUUGUUUGGGGGGGGGGGGGGGGGGGGGAGGGGGAAGGAGCAGAGACAAGCGGAAGAGAAGAGGCGGAGGAUGGAGGAAGGAGAGUGGAGAGUAGAGAGAGAAACGGGCUGGGUCUUGCUUGGGGUUUUGUUUGGAGUUUUGUUGGGGUUUUGAUUUUGGGUUUUGUUUGAAUUUGGGGAAUUACCAUUGAUAGAUAGCAUAACUCCUACGCACAUUUUUAUUCAUAUUCCUUUUCUCUCAUCUCUUAUUUAGUUUUUUUCAUUUAAUAGACAAAAGAGAAGGAUUUUCUUUUUUUGUACUCUCCCGAACUGUAACAAAGUGGUAAAUUGCUAACAGCGCAUUAGAGAAAGUGUGGGGAUAAGGCCGACCUCGUUCCGCUACAUUCAUGAGAUUCUACGGUUUAGGGAGUUCGCUGCUCGUGAUUGACCGGAAAGGAUCCGCCCCUAAAUUCCUCACGCUAGUUUACGAUUACAUGGGUCAACUUAACAACAAAACCCAUAGAGGCAGAAGAAUGGCUUCCAAUAGCUGUUAUGAUCAAUCCAAAAAAAAGGAAAAUUAGGAUGCCUAAUCCAGACCCAUUCGCCUAUGAAAGACCUUAUGAUCCUAUUUUGGAUUUGGAUUCUGGAAGGAAAAGUCUUUUGACACAGAACAUUUGGUCUAUGUUCAUGAAAGCAACAAUAACCAAUUUGGCGAUUAUUGCUCCCUGCUUGCGUUCUUUGUGAUUUUAUUAUUUAAUAAUAUCGUGCAUCCAUGAUAAAUUUUUUCCAGCCUCCCCCAACCCAAUGCCAAACAAAGUUUUGUAUAUUUUUACAAUGAUAUAAUCUGGAAGGUGUCCUAAGAUUCAACAAUAUUGCUUUUAUUAAUCAUUUGGUUGCUCUUAAAUUGCAGCUUUUGUGUUGAGUAUUUUGGGUUAUUUUUUUCUUCCCUUUAUUUGUUGUUGGAAACACUGUUCUACUCUUGCUAAUUUUGAUGACAAGGAACUAUGUUAAACUGCAGGACUAAUUCCUAAACUGCAGGACUAAUUCCUAAACUGCAGGACUAACUAUAUAUAAAACAAGACAUAGUAUGCCAUAAUACAUUUGUGUACAUGUAAUUGAAGAGGAAUGUAUCCAUUAUUAUGAUAUGAAAUUGCAUGAAUACUAUUUAGCUAAAUAGUUUUCAUGAGGUAUAGUUUUUACUUUGUUGAUUGAAGAGUUUUUUUUUUUAGCCAUGAAAUCUGAAGAUUUUAGUUUUUGGUUUUCACCUCUUGAACCAUCUGAUCGAUUGCAUUACAUUAAUGUGGGUAGUCCAUUGUUUUUAAGCCUGGGAAAUAUUAAAGUAUAAAACCUUUCUUCUAAGAAAAUUUUCUGCAUGUUUUCUCAAUCAUCUUAGUUUAUGAUUGAAUUUUAUACUCCAUUCCUGUAUUUCAUCAAAUUAUCAAUUGGGUUGUUUUUCUUUUGUCAUUUCAAGAAUUGAGUUAGUUCUUCUUUGUGAUUUCAGUAAUUGAGUCUUUAGUCACUGCACAGAUUCAUGGUUUUUUCACCCUUUCAGAAGCAGUUGAUUGAGUGGAUGCGAUUCUGUUGAAGCUGAAAAUCUUUGGAUGAUAGUUUUAGUUUUAUGAUCAUUAACCUCCAUUUCUUAUGCACGGUCAAUAACUAUACAAUGCGUGAAGGUAGCCUAGCUUUUAUUGUUCCUCCCUGCGACCUUAUAUUAUCUGCACUCAAAAUAUGUUGUGCAGCAUAUUUUCUGUUUCAUUUUGUCGACAUAUGCACUGUUUAUAUUAUCUGCACUCAACAUAUGCACUGUUUAUAUGCAGUGGAGUGGAUUAGAAUUACCUCAUUUUGAAAUGUUCUUCAAAAUUUAAAGUGUGAUUUUGCAUUUUGUUAGUUAGGCGGCAGCCGGGUUGGAGAGGUAGUGGGAGAAGAAAUGUAUUGCCACCGAAGAAAAUUGUCUAGCUUUCGAUAAAUCACAGAUAUGACAGAUCAAAAGGUAAUGAUUUUUACACUUCCGUUGUCUAUUAUAUUGUAUCACUCUAUUCUCCUCCAUUCUUUUCAAUCCAAAAAAUUCAAUUCAGAUAUUGUAUGAAAGUAUGGUUUAUUUUAUUCUCUUUUAAAUUGAGAAUUGGAGGAUUUUUUUUUUUUUUUGGUUGAGUUCAAAUCAAAGAAAGUUUUUGGUCUUAUCUUAUUUUCUUUUUAUUAAUUUUUCUUUUCUAUGAAUAAUAUUAGUAAGACCGCUUUGGUAAGCAAAAUUCGAUUAUAUAGGCAUGGUUGCUUACAAGACAAAAGAUCUGUUCUUUUUGCUUUAUGAUUUCUAGGCUUUUAGAUUAGAAAUGUUAGUUUCUAACACCAUGGCAUAUGGUCAAGUACAAGAUUGGGGUAAUGACACUUAUAAAAUCUGGGGUUGUAAUAAGUAACUUUUUCUUUGUUCUCUAUCAUAGCACUAUGUAUUCGAAUUGCAUAGGGUGUUGUUGCUGGUGCUGUACUCUCCAUGGAUAUUUUGGAGCCGUUGUGUGAUUUAUUGCAUCUAGGCCGGCCUUGCUUAUGGAGAUCUUUGUUGAUGGUAAGCUAUUAAUCUCUGAGAUCUAUUUCUUUUUGUUUAUUUCACGUGUGGCUAUUUAUUGAAAUUUGAUCUGCCAAGAACUGGAGAUGGUCUUGGUUUUUAGGUUAAAAUUGAAUCAUCCAUCAUUUUGAAAACAUGGUAUUUCUGAUUAAACCUAUAACAAUGGAUGCAUAGGUUAUACAUGUGGAUUGUCACAUUAUUGUAGUUCUCAAUUGAUUUAUGAAAGGUAGUCUUAACUCUUCGUCUAUGUACCAAUUUUCUUAUUUUAGUGCUCAGGCAAAAAUUAUAGAGGAGUUUAUUUGUUGGAGACUUGAAGAGUAAAACUUAGCAGCGCAGUACCGCUGGAAGUGGUAAUUGCUAAUCAGGUUUCCACUCUUUUUUCCACAUACUUUGGUUCAAAAGUAAUGCCAUUUGAAUGAUGAAACAUUAAGUUGGCAUCUCAAGCAAAUGUUAUUUGCCACUUCCUUUUUAAAUGAAUUUUAAGAUUAGCCCCAGUCCAUGUUUGUUUAACAAUGUUGUAUCAUUCAUUAUAUAGUUUCACAAAGAGCGAGCAUAAUUCUUGCUGAACUUGGUUUGGUUUUCUUUUGUUUAGGGAUCGAGCAAGCGAAUCACAGUUCGACCAAGUCUUGAAUGAUGAAUUGAGGCAAAUCAUUGAGGUCUCUUUGUCAAGUUAAAUUUUCAUCUACUUUUCAUUUGUAAUGCUUAGUUCUUCACUCAUGAAUUUGCAUAAGAUUAAAUAAAUUUUCAAACUCGCAGCAACGUGUUGGCACUGUUGCUAGUUAGCUUCUAUUGGGCAUUAUUAAUAUUUCUAUGAUUGGGUGCGUAGUUCUAUGAUUAAGAUUAUUAAUUCAUAUUUUAUGUGGUAUAUAUGUAUUUGUGAUGUUUUCAACAACUGAGUUGUUUAAUUAGUUGAAGUCAUUGGACAUGAUUCCAGAUUUUUAUUUUUUUUUCCCACCCCACCCACACCAGGCCUCGAACCUGGGACCCCACACCCACACCCUCACCACUAGGCUAUUCCUAGUGGCUUAACAUGAGGCCAGAUUUGAUUGAAUAGCAUGAUCUCAUUCUCAUUGCAGAGCUUUAACUAAUGUGGGGACAAUGCAAGCUAACCGAAAGAAUAAUGUGGAUGGAAAAUGAACUCUUUUGAUUUUCGUACAUGUGAAAUUUAUGACGCCAGAUUUGAUUGAAUAGCAUGAUCUCAUUGCAGAGCUUUAACUAAUGUGGGGACAAUGCUAGCUACCCGAAAGAAAUAAAUGUGGAUGGAAAAUGAACUUUUUUUAUUUUUGUAAAUGUGAAAUUUUUGAAUUGACCGUGCCUUAUGUACAUGAAGAUACAUUUAAGCACUUAAUCAGUCACUAGUCGGUUAUGAGAAUCUUUUUACAAUUGGGUAAAAUGGAUUAAGAAAUGUUUACUUUAGUGGUAUUAAGCAUUUAUCCCACACCCCAGCAAAGAGUUUCGAACAUUCCCCUCCCAUUUUGGCCUCCAUUCCACAGAAGAGAGACAAAAAUAGAGAUUUGCUGAAACAAUUCUAAAUUUGUGAACUUCACUUGAAAAUUAUUUGAAUUUGUGGAACUGGCUUAGCGAGUUUUGUACUUAGUCAAGAGUUUGAGCAUUCUCUCCUCUGUGCCGAGUUCGAACAAUCCCCUCCCAUCUUGGUCUACUUCUAAAGAAAAUUAAGAAAAAAAAAUAUAGAGUAGUAAAAGUACACCGGCAUCUCUAGUGGAAAGAUGCAAUUAUGAGAUGCUAAAACACAUUUACUUCUCAUUUUGUAUCUCCAAGAGAUGUGAAUGUAGAUUCCAAUCCAAUGGAGGAGAUGUAAAUUUGGGACCCUAAUUUUCUUCUCUCUAUAACUUUGUCCAUGUUCUAAAAAUGUAAAAUAAGUGUACAUUUGCUUUCUUUUUAUUUACAUUUUCUGCCAAUGAUGAAUUUUUUACAUCUUUCCACGGAGAGAUUUUUGGCCAACAAGAAAUGUAAAAUGCCAAUUUCAAGGCAUUGUAGAGCAUCUCAAAAAUAGAGGUGUAAAAUAUUCACCUUGGCUAGAAUAUGUAAUUCAGAACUUAAUUUACAUCUUUUGGUGGUGGGUCCUGCCAAUCAAAUAAAAACAUUAAAUGAGAUCUCAAACUUGCAUAUUUCUCAUUGGAAAUACAACUCAUAUCUAAAUCUUCCAGAAAUGUAUAUUGUGAUGUAAAUAUGAUUUUUACAUCUCAAAUUAGAAUUUAUCUUUCCAUUGUUGAUGCUCAUACAUCUCCCAUUAGAGACGUUGUUCGAAAAUUAUUGGAAGUUCUUGAAAUUGACUUAGGAAGAAUUUCAUCGAGUUAGUUAUUAAUGAGUUAUGACCCCUUAGUUUGAUUUGAAAAGAAAAAAAUUGGACAUCGUAGUUUAAAGAAAAUUGAAAACUACAAACACAUAUCCGGAAGGUUUAUACUUUUAUAUUCACAAAGUUUUAUGAGGCCUGUCAUAUUCAUUGGUUUAAGAUGCAUGAAAAUAGAUUGCACUACAAUACUAAUCCUCUACCGGAUCGAACCCUAAAUUGAUGCAAGGCACCAAUAUUCCCUUCUCACUUAUUUACAAUAGAGUUGCAAGUUUGUAGUUCCUUCUCGGUUUCUUAAUUAGUUUAAUUAGUACUUAAAGCUACUGAAAUGUGAAAUUAAAGUGAUAGAUACGUCAUUAAAAGCAAGAAUUCCCAAGAUUAUUGGUUUAACACACACACAAUAUAGUGAAACUGAAAUACUUGGAAACUAAAAAAUAAGAGAAACUAGUGAUGAAAACUAAUGCCACUUUCGCAGGGAACUCGAUUGCAUUGAGCGCAUGCAACAAGCCUUUUAAACCCAUAGGUGACCCUGAUGGGACGAGUGAAGUCUCGUGAGGGUUUCCAGAGACGUUACCCACAAACAUUAUGUGAUAGUUAUGAUCAUGAAUGCCGAGUGGCUGUAGAGAGAUCCCUUUUUUUAGAGUCCGACUUUGUGUUGUCUUAUUUGAGGUUAGGGUUUGCCUUAUCUUCUUCAGGGUCAGGGUUUGCCUUAUCUUCUUCAGGGCCAGGGUCUGCAUUGUCUUCUUCAAGGCCAAGGUCGGGAUUUGCCUUGUCUUCUUCAAGGCCAGGGUUGGCAUUGUCUUCUUCAGGGUCAGGGUUUACCUUGUCUUCUUUAGGGCCAAGGUCGGGAUUUGCCUUGUCUUCUUCAAGGCCAGGGUUUUCCUUCGAAACUUCGACAACCCUUUUAUCGUUGAUUUUGAUGUUGUUGUUGUUGUUGCUACUGUCUUUGUUGUUGUUGCUAUUCUUGUUGUUGUUGUUGUUGUUGUUGUUUUCGUUAGUAGUUGUUGAUGUUGUUGUUGUUGUUGAUGUUGUUGUUGAUGUUGAUGUUGAUGUUGUUGAUGUUGAUGUUGCCUUGUCUUCUUCAGUUUCAGGGUUUGCCUUCUCUUCUUUAGGGCCAGUGUUUGCCUUGUCUUCUUCAGGUUCAGGGUUUGCCUUGUCUUCUUUAGGGCCAGUGUUUGCCUUGUCUUCUUCAUGGUCAAGGUUUGUCUUGUCUUCUUUAGGGCCAGUGUUUGCCUUAUCUUCUUCAGGGUCGGGGUUUGCCUUGUCUUCUUCAGGGCUAGGGUUUGCCUUGUCUUUUUUAGGGUUAAGCUUUGCCUUGUCUUCAGAAAGGGCUGCCUUCAAAACUUCGACAACCCCUUCAUUGUCGAUGUUGAUGUCUUUGUUGUUGUUGUUGUUAUUGCUAUUGUCGUUGUUGUUGCUGUUCUUGUUGCUGUUGUUGUUGUUGUUGUUGUUGUUGGUUGAUGUUGUUGUUGAUGUUGAUGUUGUUGUUGAUGUUGUUGUUGAUGUUGUUGUUGAUGUUGAUGAUGAUGAUGAUGAUGAUGAUGUUUCCAUGUUAGAUGGUAUGAUCACUCUCACUACUCUCUUCAUCUUUUUUCUCUAUUCUCUCUUCUCUCUUUCUCGUGUGUUUUACUUGCUCCAUAGCUUUGAAACUGCUAUCCUAUUUAUAAUCAAGGAUAAGCGCACACCAUUUUUCUCUAUUCACAUUAUGUGUUCACACUAAUGGUUUCGUAUAUAAGGUGUUUUUAUUUUUUAUUUAGGGUAAAUAUCAAUUUACUACACUCAAAUUUCGUGAUUUUCAAUAUUUGGUACAUGAAGUUUUUUUCGUUCCAGAGUCAUACCUAAAGUGUUAAUUUUUGGACAGUCUCAUACAUCCGUUAGUCUGACUAUUAAAUCUCCUAUUAACUGAUGACGUGGUGACGUGGUUAACUGAUGACAUGGUGCCCAUGUGGACAAUGAUUGAGCGCCACGUGUCAUUAAGGUACCGUUUGAUACGUGGGAUGGGACGGAACGGGACGAGCCGUUCCGUCCCACGUUUGGUGCGCCUAAAAAUUGUAGAACGAGUUGUCUCAUGAGACAAAAUUUGGCUGAUUUUUCGUUCCACCUCUUCCCCCUGGAACGACCUGUUCCACAUCCGUGGGACACAAAUUUAUAACAUUUUAUGACAAAAUUUCUCCUUAUCUUUUUCAAUAUUUACAUCAUUUGUUCCGUUCUGUUCCGUCCGUUUGAGUACCAAACGGUACCUAAGGGUUCACUUGGAAAUAAAAAAUUCGAUAAAAAAAAAAGGCUUCUACCUCACCCGCCCUUCCCACCACCCAAUCCUCCCUCCCUCUCUUCUUUCAUCUACUCCAAGCUGGAUACUGAGGUCAGCGCCCAAGGUCGAGUUGACUGCACGGUCGGCAGAGCCAAGGCAGAGGAUGAACUGGUAGGGGCGGAGGCGGCGCUUGGCUGCUCGUGGGUGUUACGCGAGGGACUAGAGGAGCACGGCGGAGGUGGACUCGAUCUUACCUUCCGCGAGGCGACUGAGCGGUUCGUGCUCAACAGCGGCGACGCCAGUCAAGAAGUCAUGCUCCAUGCAGAAGUCAUCGAUGCAAUUGAGAGUGACAACCAAUGGGAACGAUGAGGUUACGAUGAGGUAACGUGCUGUGCAAGCAAAAAGUGCUGUCCAGAGCUAUGUGCAUGGGACCAUUUCACACCACAGAUUCGUAGAUCUACAUUGAUACUGAAUUUAAUUUCAACGUCAGAAAAUUGAAUACAAACAGGGAUACAAGGACCGGUGUUUGGUAAAAAAAACCUUUAGAAAUCAAAGGAAAAGGGCCUACAUUGUAUCUGCCUUACGUUACAGCUGUCACAGGUCUAAAACAUCAGAUUCGUACAAAUACAUUAAUACUGUUCGGUUAAAAAUAAGAUCUAAAAUAUCGAUAUUAUUCUGAUAUUUAUCAUCGAUAUUUUAGACCUUGAUAGGAACUUUAUGUGGUAUUAUGUCACUAAUGUAUCUUACCAUGUAAUGCAUGAAGUGUAAAAUAUUGUACUAAUUCAUUAUAUAUAAAUGAUUAUGGUGUUUUUAAACUUCUUUAAUUAAUUACUAUAUAUUUUCUACACUCACAAUGUUUGCCAACUUGCUAUAGAAUCAACUUAAAUAAGUUAAAUCUAUCAUGCAAUGCAAUUCCUUCUAUUUUUUGUGAUAAACUAAUAGAUAAUUGACUAAAUAAACAUCCUGGAAAGUUUCAGAAAAAAUUUCAAAGUUUUUCUUAAAAUUUCCGUGGUUUUUAUUCAAUUUUUAUCGAUAUCGAUAAUAUUCCGAUAUUUCCAUUGAAAUUUCCGUGUUUUUGGACUACCGAUAUUUCCGAUAUCAUCGAUAUUUUAUAACUUGGGCCUCAGUUUUUUUUUUUAAUUAUAAUGUUUUUUGAAUUUUUAAUUUCCACGUAGUGCCCAAUCAUUAUUCAUAUGUGCGUCACGUCAUCAGUUAACAAAAAACUUAACAACCAUACUAACAAAUAUAUGAGACUGUCUUAAAAUUAAAACUUUAGGUAUGAUUCUGGAAUAAAAAAAUUUCAUGUACCAAAUAUUAAAAACCACGAAACUUCAGAGUAAUAAACUGAAAUUUAUCCUUUUAUUUAGUAUGUGGUUAGAAAGAAACGUGCAAAUGAUCAUGCGAUCAACGUCCUGUGCAAACAAAAAUGCUGUCCAGAGCUAUGUGCAUGGGACCAUUUCACACCAUAGAUUCGUAGAUCUACAUUGAUACUGAAUUUUAAUUUCAACGUCAGAAAAUUGAAUACAAACAGGGAUACAAGGACCGGUAUUCGGUAAAAAAAACCUUCAGAAAUCAAAGGAAAAAGGCCUACAUUGUAUCUGGCUUACGUUACAGCUGUCACAGGUCUAAAACAUCAGAUUCGUACAAAUACAUUAAUACUGUUCGGUUAAAAACAAGAUCUAAAAUAUUGAUAUUAUCCUGAUAUUUCCAUCGAAAUUUCUUUAUUUUUGGAGUAGCGAUAUUUCCGUUAUCAUCGAUAUUUUAAACCUUGAUAGGAACUCUAUGUGGUACUAUGUCACUAAUGUAUCUUACCAUGUAAUGUAUGAAGUGUAAAAUAUUGUACUAAUUCAUUAUAUAUAAAUGAUUAUAGUGUCUUUAAACUUCUUUCAUUAAUUACUACAUAUUUUCUACACUCACAAUGUUUGCCAACUCGCUAUAUAAUCAACUUAAAUCAGUUAAAUCCAUCAUGCAAUGCAUUUUCUUCCAUUUUUUUGUGAUAAACUAAUAGAUAAUUAACUAAAUAAACAUCAUGCAAAGUUUCAAUAAAAGUUUCAAAGUUUUUCUUAAAAUUUCCGUGGUUUUUAUUUAAUUUUUAUCGAUAUCGAUAAUAUCUCGAUAUUUCCAUUGACAUUUUCGUGUUUUUGAACUACCGAUAUUUCCGAUAUUAUCGAUAUUUUAAACCUUGGAUAAAAACCUUUGAUAGGAACAGAAGGGAAAAGGCCAACGUCGUACGUACCUGCACUAAUUACAGUUGUUACUAUAUAUUGAAAAACAUUGAUCAGACGUCUGCUAUAAAGGAAAAUGUUGUUGUUUUAUAAUGACUCGCAUAUUAGCACGGGAGAAUAAGGGAUCCUCUCCGGAUCCUAUUCAUCAAAUUCAUCAAGUUUAUCAAUCUAAAUCUUUGAAAUUUGAUCUAACGGUUAAAAACAGGAGUAUCUUUUAAAACUUAUAAUAAUUUUAGCCGUUUGAUCAAAUUUUAAAGAUCCGGAUUGAUGAACUUAGUGGAUUUGGUGGAAGGGAUCCGGAGAAAAUCCAUUUCCUUGUUUCACAUUAUUAUUAAUUUUACUGAUUUGUAUGUUGACUACUUGUUUAUCUCAUGAUAAAAGUUUGUUAUGAUGAAGAAAGCUGAGCUCUCUAAAAUUAAUCGACAAUAUGCAAGUUAAUUACUUAUAAGUUAAUUACUUAUAAGCAGAUGCAAUGUCCUCUUUUAUUCGAUGUGGAAUUCAUACUCCUAAUAUGCACAUUAUGUUUGUUAAAAAGGAAAUGACAAUUUUAUUCGAUGUACAAAAACAAAAUAGAACAAAUUAUUCUAUCAUUUAACAAAAUAGAACUCACUAAAAACAAUAUUAUGUUUGUUAAAAAGGAAAUGACUACACCCAACUUUUAUCUCUUCUCACCCAACAAACUCGUUUUACUCUACAAGAUUUUAAAAACUUAACAUCUACUCUCCGCACUCACCAAAUCUUCCAAAAUUACCCCUUCCUAAUCCUUCUCUAUCUUACACGAUAUAUCUUCUCAUCCAAGAACACCCCUUCCUAAUCCAUCUCUAUUUUUUUUUUGUCAUAAGGUAAAUUGUUGUUACCGACCAACAUAACUUACAUACACGACUAGAGACCAAACACAAAAAAAAUACAAAAACAACAGAUGAGCCUCCAAUAUAACAACAAAAGAAAACACCAAUCCGAAAGUAGAGCCCAAUACAGAAAAACACGCAAGAAAACCAUAAACUCCUCGAUCCUCUUCCUCCGCUGAAGUGCUUGCCGCCGCCGACGAUCCAGUCCCCCUGCAAAUCACUAGAGAUAAGAACCAGCCAAGCUCUGAAACAGAAAAAAGAAACAAAUUUCAUCAUCCUCGAGCAACGUCCGCACAACUUCAAAUUGCAACCACCAAGAGAAUGAAUGGAAAGAAAAGAAACAAAGUUCAUCGUCCUCGAGCAACCUCCCCACAAUCCUUCUCUAUCUUACAUGAUAUAUCUUCUCAUCCAACAACCUCUCCUUCCAUAUGGGGCUGCCUAACCCACUUUCCUCCAUCAAUAUUCGGUUCUUCAUCAAGUUAUGCACAAUAUUAAAGUACGCAACGAACAAGAUUACAAAAUAAUAAGAAUAUUAUUAAAUAAACGAGAAUGCCGAAACGGUUACAAAAUGCUAAGAGACUACAUUGUGAAUAACUUAUUAGUCAUGCUAAACUAUAAGCUAUAUUUAUAGAGAGCAAAACCUAGAAACCCUAAAUCGGAUGGGCUAGGCGGCCCAUAUACUAACUAACAAGCAAACUCAAAUAAUUAUAAUAUACUAAUAUUUUCCAACACCCCCCCCCCCCCCCGGUCAAACUCAUAGCGGUAUACGACAUGAGUUUGCAAACAACCAGAUGUAGACUGGCUCCGUUAGGCGGACUGGCAGACAUGCAAGCUUGACUGGACUUGACUUGACUUGCGAACUGGCAAAUUUGACUUGACUGGAUCGCCGAACUUGACUUGACUAGCGAACUUGCAAACUGGUUCCUAUUCAGGUAUGUUGAUUCUGGCUAACAAACUGAUUAUGAUUCACACUGGCUAAUGUUGAGAGUAUGGAAAGAACCAGUCACUAAACGGACGAGAUUUCCAUAUCUCAAUUGUACCAAUAACAACACCAACAACGUGUGUGGCCCCAAAACAAACUUAACUAUGUUUUUUUUUCCUUGCCCGUGUGGGCCUAAAACAAACCAAAACUAAUUUCUUUUCCUUUUUUUUUCUUUCUUAUUUUCUUUUCCACUUUUUUCUUACUUCCCUUAUCCCUUUUUUUCGUUUUUUCUUCUUUCUGGACUAACGCCAUACACCUCCAGCAUUGGUGCAACAAGUGAGUGGUUCUAAGGCAGCGGGUACGGCAGUGGUGUGGUGGAUUGCAGGCAACAAUUUGGUGCGGGUUGAGAUUGUGAGUACAAGGGUGCGGAUGAGGUUCUGAUUUCCAAGCUUGCAGGGUGGUGCAGAAACGACGAUAAAGAAUGGGGUCUAUCCAGGCUUGCAGCAACAGGUCGGAUUCUGGGUUAGAUUACAGACGGUGGGACGGCACAAGACAAGCAGACGGCGAGGCAAGAUCUGGAGGAAGGAAGCUUCAGGUUUUUGUUUUCUUCUGCAAACUAAACCAAGGACAGAAAACAAGAAUACGUACAUACUGACAAACAGAAUACCAACCCGACCAAGCAGAUUAAAUACUGAAGGAUUGAACCUGCUUUGAUACCAAGUUGAAUAUCAGAGUGCGCAGCGAACAAGACAAACAAAAUAAUAAGAAUAUUAUUAAGUAAACGAGAAUGCCAAAACAGCUACAAAACCCUAAGAGACUAUAUUAUGAAUAAUUUAUUAUUCAUGUUAAACUAUAAGCUAUAUUUAUAGAGAGCAAAACCUAGAAACCCUAAAUCAGAUGGACUAGGCGGCCCAUAUACUAACUAACAAGCAAACUCAAAUAAUUAUAAUAUACUAAUAUUUUCCAACAAUAUCUUCUCAUCCAACAACCUCCCCUUCAAUAUGGGGCUGCCUAACCCACUUUCCUUCAUCAAUAUUCGGUUCUUCAUCAAGCUAUGCACACUCUUUUGAGAAUUCAACUUAAUUAUAAGGAAUAUGAAACCAGCAGCUCUUUGCAACUACCUGUUAAUUAUAUCUUUAUUUGGGUUUAUUUAAGUUGGUGGCUAGCCAUCAAAUUGUUCUUCCCCAUCAAUUUUUAGAAGAAAUCAAACCAAACUAGACUCGAGUGUUCAUAUAUUCAUUGGAGUUGAAUAUAACAAUAUGUAAAAUUCCAUCACUAAGAAGCCAAAUUGUAUUAAGACUUUGUAACAGCAGCACGAAGGUCAGGAGUCGACUUGGAGGAGAAGAUCGCGAGCGGGUUUGGCUAGCAUUGGUUAACCGAACCCCCAAUUCCUUGUUCAUGGCUAUCGGCUAAUCUUGUGAACAUUGAACUUUUUGUCAAUUUUGUGUUCGGCAUGUUCAAACCAAGGUCUAAAAUAUUGAUAUUAUCUCGAUAUUUCCAUCGAAAUUUCCGUGUUUUUAGACUACCGAUAUUUCUGAUAUCAUCGAUAUUUUAGACCUUGAUAGGAACUCUAUGUGGUACUAAGUCACUCAUGUAUCUUACCAUGCAAUAUAUAAAGUGUAAAAUAUUAUACUAAUUCAUUAUAUAUAAAUGAUUAUGGUGUGUUUAAACUUUUUUCAUUAAUUACUAUAUAUUUUCAACACUCACAAUGUUUGCCAGCUCGCUAUAUAAUCAACUUAAUCCAUCAUGUAAUGCAUUUUCUUCCAAUUUUUUGUGAUAAACUAAUAGAUAAUUGACUAAAUAAACAUCCUGCAAAGUUUCAAUAAAAAUUUCCAAGUUUUUCUUAUAAUUUCCGUGGUUUUUUCAAUUUUUAUCGAUAUCGAUAAUAUCCCGAUAUUUCCAUCAAAAUUUCCAUGUUUUUGGACUACCGAUAUUUCCGAUAUCAUCAAUAUUUUAGACCUUGGUUCAAACACAUGAUUCAAUCUAGUUGUAUUUUAUUUAAGAAAAUAUAAACAAACACAAGAGGAUUUCAGAGAAAAGUGACGACUUAGGGCAGAACAUUGCAGCUCAAACCUCACUUACAUACUUCAAUGACUUAGGGUUUUGGUCACAAUACCACCUUACAUCUCAUUUAAAUUAGCUAGCUAACAAACGCCUUCAAGACCCCAGUUGUUCUAAGCUAUUCUAAACCUCACACCAAAGCAAACCUAUCUCAGCCCUACACUUGUAAUUUUGGACUGAGUCAACAUAUUGGCCGUUACAAAGUUAGAAAAACUAAGCCAUUACUUUGUUUAAUACAAAAAAUUGGAAGCUAGAAAUCAGUUUAGGCAUCACCACUCUCCUUCAAAUUGUUUUUAGUUUUGACACCAUGCAAAUCCCUGAGGUAUACAAAUCUCUAAGGUAUACAAAACUCUCUUUUAGCGUAGCCUUAGUAAAUAUAUCAACAGUUUGAUCCUCAUAUUUGCAAUAGAGUAAUUCAAUCACAUUAACUGACGUACAAAGGAUCUCUAAUAAAGUGAUGGUUCCUCUUGACAUGUUUUGUUUUUUAGUGAAUCAGAGGAUACCUUGUCAUAGUAAUUACAAUGGUGUUGUUGAGUUUUAGUGAUAUAGCAUCUACUUUGAAAACGUAGCUGGGUCGAGGAACCCAAACCCAAUAGAUAAAUAAUCUCAACUAAAAUUCUAGACGAGGUUCAAGUAAGUACGAUUUCAAUCAUACUACAUAACAAUGAAGAACAAAAUGAAAUAGAGAAAAAGAACAAAAGACUCAUGAUAGUCUUUUACGUGGUAAUACCCCACACACAAUGGGAAAAAUUCAUGGGCACACAACCGAUUAAAGAACCACUGAGAAAUAAGAACUUUUACAAGACUCAACAAGACAGACACCUACUACACUUGAAGUUUUCUCUUGUACUUUUAAUCUUGUAGCACACAAUCCUUCUUUUGCUCUCUUUUGGAUGAACACGACGCACUCUGCAGGUUCUCCUCACGACUAAAGAGAUUGCACUCAACUUCGUCACAAAGAUGGACACAACUUCUUCACACAAAUGAAUGUGAUGAAUAAUAUGAAAGGUAUGAAGUGUUUCACUAGGAUCACUCUUCUAACCUAGCACUCAAGAACUUUGCUUCAAACUUUUUAUGCUCAAAUCUUGUAUCCAAGCAAAGAUGAAUGAUAGGCUUGAUUUCCAAUGAACCAACAGCCUAGAAUAAAGGAAACUGGAAUACGUACUAGAAUAAAAUCAAAUUGGUUUUAUUUCUUAAAACUAGGCAAUUAAACUGAUCUUAUAAUCUUCAAGAUAUGCAAUGAUGUGAUUCUUGUUUCCUAUAUGAAUGCACAUGAUACUCCAUUAUAUUCCUUGAUGUGCACGUUUUCAAUAAUUAAACCUAGAAACUACGACACGCCUAAAAUCUAGAACUAAUAUAUUACAGACGCAUUAAACUUGUCUAGGAAAUUAGCCAAAUAGAAAAGCUUGCUCUUUCUCACUUGCAUUCAAUAAAGUCCCUAAGAACAAACCUCAGCCAAAUUGCUUGAGAAGUAGCCUCUAGCACCAAGGAAGAACAUCGCUUUGAAAAAAGUUGUCUUUGACUUUGGGCAUAAUCAAGGGUUGUAAUUCCUAUAACUCUAAUGGUGAAACUGGGUCAAGAUAAACCUCACAGUAGGCUAGCAUAAUGCGGUUCAAAUUCGGUUUUGUCGAGAAUCGAACCUAAAACCUCUCACUUACAAGUGAAUAGGAAAACCACUAGACCAUAGUACUAAGUGGCAAACUGUUUGGUAUUCCUGUGCUUUCUAAAAAAAAAGAAGUUAUUUUGUUGUCCUAUGAGGAUAAACAUUUGUAAAAUAAAGUUGUUGGGUGUUUUUAUUAUUAUUUUUUUUUUGUAAAAGUACUUUUAACAAUAAAAACAGUGUUUGAGUGUUUGGUAAAAUUUAUAUAAAUUGUUGUGAAUGUGUUAAAUAACUAAAAGGAUAUGGUAUGUAGUGUGAUAUAAUAAUUGUUAAAAACAAUAACGUAAGGGCAAAAAUUGUAAUUUUGUAAAAUAUGUGGGGUUGUACUUGCCCUUUGAAAAUUUUAUUAAAUGAGCACUAAUUACUGUACUUUGAAAAAAAUGCACUUUCUUUAGAAGCAUAGUAGACCUGACUUUUGUUUUUUCUAUGCUUUUCUACUGUCAUUGAUAACAGUUUUUUUUUUUAAAUCACACUUAAUGUUCCAGAUUUUUUAAAAGCACUACAAUACCAAACCAGCCAUUUGUUAGAUUGUUUAGAAUUUUCUCAAACAAAUGGCUCAAAUGUGUAGGGGGAAUACUAUUAUCUAGUUGGCAUUCAGUGACAUGGUUAAUUUCUUUGAUUAGUGAAUAUGUUCUGGAAUGUUAAAUUAUUUUGUAUAAACUUAGCAUCCAUGACGCAUUUUAAGUUAAACCAUAUUCACUAGCAAGAGCAUUUAAAUUGAGAGAGUAGAAGACAAUUCUGAGAUCAAUCCCAAUCAUGUUUCGAAUUCAAGAGAUGGGGUCAAUUUUUUAUUUAUUUAUUUAUUUUAUUCAUUUGGUUUAUUCAAUUUGCAACCCAAAUGUCUUAUUGUUAUACUUUUCAGAAUAUGCCUUACAUAUUCACCUUCACCCCAAUCUCCUCGCUCUAUAUCUUGGGGAAAGAAGUAUAGAUUUCAAUUUGAAGCCAAAAUGCCUGGUUAUAAUGAUUAACAGAUUAAUUUUGUUGGAAUGUUUACAUUUUUGCAAUUGAUUUACAAUUGAGUUGUAAGGAAAGACAUUCACUAUUCUUCCAAGAAGAGGCCAAAUUCAGAUUCAUAAUUUGGAAUGAGGGCCCCAAUGCAAAGCGUGAGGAGACGGUGGCUACCAACAACAGAGGAAGCAGAGAGGGAAUUGGAGAAUUGAUCCUGCCUUGCCUUCCUCCUCGCGGUAUUUUAAAAUACAGUCUUGUGUAGGCGUUUGUUUCCUAGUUGAUCCUUUCCAUUAUUUUAUUUUGUUCAAUGCUUCAACGUGUAAUUAGUUUUAAUCUUCCAUAUGAAUCCCUUAACAGUCGUUGGUAACGUAGACCCUGUCCUUUCCUCUCUUGGACCGUCACUAGUUAGUAUAUCGUUUAGUUUCUUGGGCAACUAGCAGGAAUGAUCACUUUUUGACAUUUGGUUGCAGAAAUGAUCAUGAGUCGUUAUGUCAUCAUUGUGUGGUCGAUAUGUUAUUAAUACGUCGCCGAUAUUAAAAAAAGAAAAAUUAAUGAAAAAAGCUUGAAAAUUUUGAGUUUUAAUAAAAAGAACAAACUAAAGGGUAAAGUGAAUUGUACCAGGAUUGACUUUUUAGUAUAAAAAUGUGGUUUUUCGUUAAAGUCAAUAGUACCGGAAGUUUUUCGUUAAAGUUCCCAUUAAAAAGUGAUAAUUUUUGCAAACAAAUGUCAAAAAAUGAUUAUUCCUGCUAAUUGCCCUAAUUUCUAAUUACCAAAUAAAAGAAUAGUACUAUUAGUCAGACUUGAGUAUUGAAAGUGUACAAACAAAGGUCAAAGGUAGUACGUUAUAAUCUGCUACACUGAGACAUUAUUUUUUAGAGACGGAAUCUACUCUUAAAGAUAGUGUCUAAAUUGCCUCAGUGUUGUUCUAAUUGAACAUCAGCGUAGAGCGAUUUUUACACCCUAACAGAUAAGUAUUCAAUAUAUUGCUAAUUUCUUUAAAUCGAAUGUGGCAAUGGAAAUUCUCAUUAACUGUAUAUAUCUUUUGUGAAUUGUUGUAGACGAAGUAGCAUCAACGUCGCUAAUUUUUUCAACAACAAACACCACUUGUAAAGCAUCCCUUUCUGAAUGAAAAUACGAAAGCUCAAUCGGAGGGCUAGUUGAACACUUCGUAACGCUACCAAUUCUUCUACGUGAAGGGGACUAGCAGUACCCCUUUGAAGAGUAGCAACCAUAACAAGACAGGUCCCUUCCCCAUCCCUAACCACCCUAAUGCCACCAUUACCACUGCACUCGCAAAAAGCAAAAUACAAAAUUAUAUUCACCCAGAGGACUCCAUCAUUGAUACUGCACUGGCUGCUUACCUCGACUACCGGUCACACAUGUUACGCAGAAUACUAGUCCUCGACUACCAAAAAGACCAUAAGAGCAUCACGAAGGAGAGCAAACUACUCCUUGGACAUGUCAAUCGCCAUUGGAAUAGCCUUUCUUUUAGGCUACGAUAUCGCAACAAACUUUUCUGAAAAGACAAGGGACUAACAAACUACAUGGAACUUUUUAUAUGGAGCCUCGAUGGGCAUGUACAUGCCCUGUUUUUUUCCUCAGUCUGCUUACUUGCUUGAAAUUUCAUAUGCAAAAAUUGCUUUGCUUCCCUCUUUUCAUUUUGGAUUUGACGGCUUGGCUACAUGGACUUUUUUUUUUCUUGGACAUGUGACUUUCUUGUUGUUCAAUUUUGUGUGACCAUUGUUAUUUACUUGACUUUGUUUUCGGUUUGGUAGGUCGCUUAAGCUCUACUUGAACCAGUGAAACCUGCUUGGUGAUGAGAGCUCGAAAUACCUAUUAAUCAGAUAAGCAAAUCCAAUUUUAACUUGCAAGUGCACAAGACCAAUAGUAGUAUAGUAAGAGGAAGUAAGAAGUCAUUCCCACGAGUAUUGAUUUUUAAUUUAAUUUGAGUCUCAACUCAAUUCAAAUUCAACAAACUUUUUAACACAAAUAGGGCUGAAAAUUUUACCUAGAAUGAAGGAGACAAGGAGAUCUCAAAACCUUAAAUUACGAGUGGGUGGAAAGAAUAUUUGAGUGCUUGUAAUUGUUUCUCCAUAUGCUUCUACAGUAAGCAAGGCUCCUAUCAUUGUGUGUGAUUAGUUUACUUUUGUGUUCUCAAUCGCAUAUAUAUCAUUUUGCACUUAUUGGUUUGAGGAAAUUAAGGCUCAGACUUCGUGACAUUUUCAUGAUUCUUUAGGACAUCCAUUGAAAUCUUACUAAAUUGUCUAACAAAUGAGCAAUUUGAUUCUUACUGUUGGAGGAAAGAUUAGCAGUUUUCAAUUACACUGCAUAAAGGAAGAAUACAAGAGAAUAUAUAUGGAGGAUGAAUUUUGAACGGGAACUGAAAAUUUUCAACUUUAUUGCUUUCAGUUUUUCAUUACAACACUUGGCCAUCUUAUUGGCUAUUUAUAAUAACAUUCAGACCUUUUGAUAACAGCCAUAACUCUUGGAUUAGUUCCAAGAGACACAACUCUACAUUACAAAAGUGCAUUAUACGUUUAACACUUAUAUCUCCGCAAUGGCGUUCAGGAACUGGAGCAAUCCAGUAUUAGAAAAUAACUCUGAUAUUUUCAUUUCUUAAUGAAUAAGGAAAUUACAACUGGUUUAUAUACAUUUGUGAGAAAUAGCUUAGUGACUAAUUACCCUUGGUUAACUGACUAAUCUAGUAAUUAGUUACAUAGACAGUUGUAACAGACUUGUAACCAAAAUACAACAAACUAUAUAUGUGACUCUUUACACCCCCUCAAGCUAAACGGAGGAGAGCCGAGAGAAAGCUUGGAUUGAAGGUAUUGAAACCGAGCCUUAGAAAGAGAUUUGGUGUGAAUAUCAGCAACUUGAAACUGAGUAUUGAUAUACUGCACUUGAAGUAGCUUAGCAAGAACGAACGAGUUCACGGAUGUAAUGAUAAUCAAUUUCCACGUGCUUGGUACGAGCAUGGAAAACCGGAUUAGAGGCCAGAGAAAUAGCGGAAACAUUAUCACACCAAAGAGUGGGAAUGGUAGUGAGUUGAAAAGCGACAUCUCUGAAAAUUUUACAUAUCCAUGUAAGUUCAGCGGCUGUGUGCGCAAGAGAACGAUAUUCAGCCUCGGUAGAGGAACGAGCAACUGUAGGUUGCUUUUUAGCACUCCAACUAAUCAAGUUGCUGCCCAAAUAUAUACAAUAGCCACUGGUGGACCUUCGAUCAAACACACAACCUGCCCAAUCCGCAUCAGAGUAGGCAGUAAGAUGCAAGGGACACUUCUUAAACCACAUCCCCUGAUCAAAAGAACCUUUUAAAAACCGUAAUAUCCUUUUGACAGCUUGAAAAUGUGAAUCCCGGGGACAGUGAAGGAACUGGCAUACUUGAUUCACAGCAAAGGAAAGAUCAGGUCUUGUCCAAGUGAGAUACUGUAAAGCCCCUACAAUAGACCGGUAUUCCUUAGGAUCAGCUAAAAGAGCUCCAGUAUGAUCAAGCUUCUGAGUUCCCAGAGGAGUAGGACAGGGCUUGCAACCUGCCAUGGAAGUCUUGACUAAAAGAUCUAAAGCAUACUUGCUUUGAGACAGGAAAAUACCAUCAUCAGAUCGGUGGACCUCUAAGCCAAGAAAAUAGUGUAAAGGCCCCAAGUCCUUAACUGGAAAUAAGGAACUGAGUUGCUGAAUAAAACGUUGACAGAGAGAGGUAUUAGGACCAGUCACCAAGAUGUCAUCCACAUAUACAAGGACGAGCACAGGGAAUGGUUGAAGUUUCACAAACAGAGAACAAUCAGAUUGGGAGUUUGUGAAACCAAGAGAGACCAAAGCUUGAAACAACUUAUCAUACCAAGCCCGAGGGGCUUGCUUCAAUCCAUAGAGAGACUUCUGGAGUUGACAGACAUAAGAAGGUUUGGAAGGAUCAAUGAAACCUGGGGUUGUUGCAUAAAAACAUCUUCUUGGAGAUUGCCAUGGAGGAAAGCAUUGCUGAUGUCAAGUUGAUGUAAAAACCAAUCAUAUUGCACUGCCAUUGUAAGAAGAAUGCGAAUAGUGACAGGUUUGGCAACCGGACUGAAAGUCUCCUUGAAAUCAAUACCCUAUUGUUGAUGGAAACCCUUAGCAACAAGACGGGCUUUAUACCGAUCAAUAGAACCAUCAGGUUUCCUUUUGAUCCUGAAAAUCCAUUUGCAUCCAACCAAGUUUUGACGAGGAGAUGAGGGUACAAGAGUCCAAGUGCCGGUGGAUUGAAGAGCUUGAAAUUCGUCAAGCAUGUCCUUAUUCCAGUGAUCAUACUUGGAGGCUUGCAGAUAAGUAGUAGGGACAAAUGAACUGGAAUCAAUAGGAUGCUUCGUGGCUGCUAACACUUUAGGCUUGAAAAUUCCUGCUUUAGAUCGAGUGAUCAUUGGAUGAGUGUUGGUAGGGACUGAGAUUGUUGAAAGUGAAGAAGGAGAAGGCACCGGAGAUGAAAUAGAGGCUUGAGGUUGCUGGGGAGGUUGAGAGUGCCGUGUAGAUGGUGAAGGUUGAAGGUGUUGUGGAGGUGGAGGUUGCUAUGGAGAAUGCACCCGAGAAGAGCUUGAGCAUUGACCUUGAGAGAAAACUGAAAAAGGCGGUGGUGCAGGGGGACAUGAUUGAGGAAAUGGUAGGGAGAAUUCAAGUGAUGUAGGGGAGGGGACAGAGGAAGAACACUGUGACGAGCUACUGUGAUGAAAUGGAAAAUGAUCUUCAUUAAAGAUAACAUGCCUUGAAAUGUAGACUCUGUUAGAAGACACGUCCAAACACCGAUAACCUUUGUGUUGAAGGCUAUAACCGAGAAAUACACAUGGUUUGCUUUUACCAUCAAAUUUGGAUUGCAUAUAUGGCUUGAGCCAAGGAUAGCAGCAGCAACAAAAAACCUUUAACUUGGAAUAAUCAGGAGGCUUUUUGAAAAGCAUUUCCCAUGGAGACUGAGAAGAUCCAGAAAAAGGCAUCCGAUUGAUAAGAUAUAGUGCAGUAGAAAAGGCUUCUACCCAAAACUUGUGAGGAACUUUGGAAGCAACAAGAAGUGUCCGAGCAGUUUCAGUGAGAUGUCUAUGCUUGCGUUCCACACACCCAUUUUGCUCAGGUCUGUGGGGACAACUGUACUAAUGAGAAAUACCAUGUUGAAGCAAGAAGGAAGCAAAAGCAGAACCAGUGAACUCACCCCCUGAAUCUGUUCGAAGAAUCUUGAUUUUAUGGCCAAGCAAGUUUUCAACAUAUGCUUUGAAAGUGAUAAAAGUAGAGAAGACUUCAGACUUGUGUUAUAAAGGAAACAGCCAACUGUAUUUGCUAUAUUCAUCCACAAAGAGUACAUAGUACGUAUAGCCACUAACUGAUGAAACUGGAUAGGGACCCCAGACAUCACAAUGAAUUAAAUCCAAACUAUGAGAUACAGUGGUAGUACUAAAGGAAAAGGGCAACUUAUGAUUUUUGCCAAUAGCACAGUCUGCACAAAAAAACUGAACAGAAGUUGAAGUAUGAGGAACAAGCUUAUUUGUACGUAAAAUCCUUCUGAGAAUGGCUGUGGAAGGAUGCCCGAGUCAUUUGUGCCAUUGAUGUAAAGAUGCUUGAGUGCUGACAAGUGCAGAAUAUGAAGCUUGGAAUGGCUGACCAUGCAGAGGAUAGAAACCAUCCCUAACUGGGCCUCGAAAAAGCAUCUUCCUAGUGGAACGGUCCUUGAUGACAGAACCAUCAGAAUCAAGAGUUAAAGAGCAAUAAUUGUCUCUUAGAAAAUGAUAUGCAGAGAGCAAAUUGAAUUGCAUCAUUGGCACAUGAAGAACAUUAUUUAAUCGAAAGGCAGCAUGUGGUGUUUGGAGAAUAGAAGAACCUGUAUGUUGGAUGGGCAUACCUUGGCCAUCACCUGCAUAAACCUUGUCUUCACCAGAGUACAGAAUGGGGGAAGUGAUAGCGGAGAUAUCAUUGGUGACAUGAGCAGUAGCACCAGAGUCCAGAAGCCAUGUAGGCUGAGAAGAAGAGGCAGUAGAAGCACACAUAGCAGCAAGCUUGGCAGGUGGAAUCUUUCCAGCAAAGGCAUGAUUCAUGCGAGCAUAGCAGUCAAGAGCCUCAUGAUCAAAAGAAUUGCAUAUUUGACAGGGAGACCGAGUUCCAGAAGAACGAGGAAAGCCACCAGAGUUGCGAUUAUAAUGACUAGUAUUAUGAUGAAAAGAACCAUUACCAGGGCCAGAGUUAGUAUAAUUUCCACGAUAGUUGCCUCGACCUCUGUUGUUCUUCUGAAAAUUGUUGCGGCCACGAUUAUUGCGCUGAAAAUUGUUGCGAUUGUUGUAGGUAGAAUGUUGAACAACAUAUGCCUGGGAGGGAGGAGGCGUAGGUAAGAGACCUUGCUGGAGAGGCGGAGCUUGAGCAGCAAAUGCUUGAAAUGGUGCAGUGAGAGAUGACGAAUGAGCUUUCUUCUUGCGAUGCAUAAAGAUCUCUUUGUUCAUGAGUAAGCCAUGAAGUUCAUCUAAAGAAGUAGAUGAAAUGCGAAGCAUUAUCGAAUCAAUGAAAGACUCGUAAUCAUCAGAAAGGCCAUUGAGUGUAACAGCAAUGAGAUCUGGUUCUGACACCAAGUGCUCCGGGCAGCCAUAAGAGCAUUCAGAGAUGCCUUUGAUAUGCUGCAGAUAAUCAGAAAUUGACAAAUCACCUUUUUGAAUCGCAUGAAGACGCGAUCGGAGCUGGUGAAUGUGCGCCGCCGAGACUCCGCCAAACCGUUGUUCAAGAAUCUGCCAUAAUUCUCGAGAUGAGGUGACGCCAACGGUGAACGGAAUAAGAUCUUCAGAGAGAGAGUGGAAUUCAACCAGAUCAGGAUAUUUUGAUCCUUUUCAAACCAGAUCUCGUAAUCAGGAUUAGGAACGGCAGUACCGAUACCGUUUUGAUUGAGAAGAAAGGGCGAUGGACAUUGCUCCGAUCCAUCGAUGAUACCUGUAAGUUUGUAGCGUCGGAAAAUUGGAGCGAAAAGAGCUUUCCAGGCGAGAUAAUUGUCCUUCUUAAGCUUUGUAGGAACCAUAACAACUGAUGUUUUGGAUUGAAAUUGAUGAAAACGAAGAAUUAGGGUUUAUCGGAGCUGAAUUUGAGGAAAUGGGAGUAGGAUUCUGAGCGAAAACUUCUGGAUUUGCAGGCGAAGAGGUAGAAGACGCCAUUGUUGAUCAAGGAUUUGCAGAGAGAAAAUGAAAUCGGGUAGAAAAAUCAAAGAUUGCAGAGGAAGAUCUCAAAGAUUGCAGAGGAAGCUAGGAUCGGAGGAAGCUAGGAUCGGUGCGUGAGCAGAGAGGCUCGUGAUACCAUAUUAGAAAAUAACUCUGAUACAUUUCUUAAUGAAUAAGGAAAUUACAACUGGUUUAUAUACAAUUGUGAGAAAUAGCUUAGUGACUAAUUACCCUUGGUUAACUGACUAAUCUAGUAAUUAGUUACAUAGACAGUUGUAACAGACUUGUAACCAAAAUACAACAAACUAUAUAUGUGACUCUUUAUCCAGGUGCAUCACACUUUGUGUAGGCGCAAUGCAAGUAUGAAACCUCCACAUGUAAGACGGGUCACCUGCAUAAUGCAAAAGUUAGUAACUAGACUUUUUUCUUGAUCAUCAUAUUCGUGCUAGUUAACAAAUUCUAAAGAAGAAAAUACAAAAAAGGGGUCUAAAUUAGAUGAUCUAAUUAGGAAACAAAAAUUUCAAAAAAAUUAGGAAUAAAUUCAAGAAAGAUGGAGUCUCUUUGAAAGAGUCUCGUGCCUGUUGUAGUUACUUGAAAGAGUCUUUAAAUACAGAGGAAUUUUGACGAAACGCUUAUGGAAGAAAGAAAAAUUUAGACAAAAGACGAAGAGGACAACAUGACAACUGGCAAAAACCCUAGAAGAAGAACGACAAAGGAAAGCGUAGACACUAAAGUUGACGUGAGACUGGUAGAAAGAACCUAGGACCUAAUUAGGCAGAUACCAUGUAGAAAUAUAAUUUCCUUGAUUUGUUGUGUAUAUAAAUUUUGCAAUAUAGAGGGUUAAACAUAAGUAUUGUCGAAAAAAUUAAUGAAAAGUGACUCAUAAUCUUUUCUUUCCAAAACCACCUAAUGAACUUUCUUUAACCAUAAGAACAAAGAGGUGUGGUAGUACCAUAGACAAGUUCAAGUUUGGGUGCGGUGGCAGUAUGUUGAAUUUUUUGUUAUGAACAGGGUUGCCAAUUUUAUGAAAAAAGUUAAAAACAGUUGCGGUGCCACCAAACUUCAACUUAUUUACAACAUUGUUGGCGUUUUCUUGUUUAUACCCUUUUUUGUUAUUAAAAAUUUCAUAUGUAGUUUAUUGCACUAAUUUCUUACAAAAAAAAAUGUUCGGCAUGUGUAUGUGACCUUAACGCAAAAAACACUACUCUUACCCUUAACCUACUUCAAUAUUUUUUGUAAAGCAUUAAUAUGGCAAUGACCAAAUAUGAAUACAAAAACCAAUUUAACAUGUAAUUAAUAAUUAAUUGAUUCACAUGAACUAGCAGCAAAUGACAACCAUUAAUUCCAUUAGAACCUGGGAAAUUAAAUAAGAACUCCUCUAAGAGUGGACAAGGGGGUAGAAUUUUGUCUCCUAGUUGUUCAAGUGUGACAUCACCAGAAGCCUCGACGAACAAGAUACCUUCACCAUUGCAAUCAACCAUAAGCUUUCUGUUAGGCCCUUCCCGAAGCCUACCAACUAAAGGAUAGUAAUACACUAAUGCUCUGCUUAAGGCUUCCCUAAUCGCCUUAAUGGGAUCACGAUUUUCUUUAAGUGAAGGGUUGUUCUUGUAACACAUUAUGACUAUAGAACCUGAAACCUUAAGCUUUCCUGGUCAUCAAUAUCUGAGAGAAACUUUGUUUCUCGAGGCAUUGGCUUUGCCGAAGUUAUAAGUUCCAGCUGCAAUCGUUUCACCUCAAGUACUGAGGGUGGCAUCAUUUCAGUAAUGAGCUUAAGAACCAGCAAAAGAUCAAAGGAUUUCGAACUUUUAUUUUGCGGCAUGCAUGCUAGCUAAAAGUUGAUAGUCAAUACUUAUCUAUAUAUAAAGAGAACACAAAAGGGGAAUAGUGUUUGUGGUGUCAUCAAGCUUCAACAAAAAUAUUUGGACAAAAAUACCCCAAGACAAAAACCUUCAAAGGCAUCCCAAAAUAAUGCAUCAAUUAAGGCAGGGGCUUUUUUGUCAUUUUAAUAGUUAAUUUUCUUGUGCUGUUUUUUUUAAUUAGUAUCUCACAAUAGACUAGUAAUAAUGUGAUUCAAUUUCUCUAUUUUUAAACACGUUCAAAACAUCUUAAGAGGCGUGUAAUGCCGGUUAUAAAAAACAAGUCUUUCGCAUGCUAAUAAUAAUGCUAGUAAUAAUGUAAUUAAAUUAGUUGUCAAAUGGUUGUUUUUUUUUUUUAACGAACAAUAUUAUCUACACUAAGGGGAAGGGGGGUGAGCUUAGCCUCACAAUGGGCUAGCAAUAAUGUGAUUCAAACAGUUGUUCAUUCAAUAUUAUUUUCUCUAUUUUUAAACACGUUCAAAACAUCUUAAGAGGUGUGUAAUGCCAGUUAUAAAAAAUUUCUUUCGCACGCUGAUAAUAAUGUGAUUAAAUUAGUUGUCAAUUUUUUGUUUUUUUUAACAAACGAUAUUAUCUACACUAAGAGGGAGGGGGAUGGGUUUAGCCACACAAUGGGCUAACAAUAAUGUGAUUCAAUCAAUUGUUUAUUAAAUAUUAUUUUUGUUCUAGCCUAUUUUAUUUGACUAACAAGAGAGAGCCAACGGCAAGGGAAGAGAGAGAGGAGAUGUGUUUGUAGAAGGGGUGUGAUAUCCACACACCCCUUUUUACUUCUCCCACACCUUUUUGGUUUUCGGCCGUCGGAUCAAAUGAAUUGAAGAAGAUCAACGGAUAAAAAUUAACAAGGGGUGUGUAAGAAGUAAAAAGGGGUGUGUGGAUAGCACAUCCCUUGUAGAAUUGUAGGGGAAUACGUGUGUUGAGAGAUAUGUUAUUCCCCCCCCCCCACCCCACGUAAUGCCUUUAUUUAUAGUAGUAAAAGGAAGAAGAAAUCCUUCAUCCUCAAGGAAUACAAGACCAUAUAGGAAAGAAUAACUAGAAUCAAAUCUAAUCUAGGAUUUACACAAUCACACUUAAACUAGGAAAGUUUACAACACUCCUCCUUGAAUGUUUACAUACUCAAGGUAGAUUUCAUCAUCAUGCAGAAGUUGAGGAAGUUGACUCGUCGGCACUGAUUCUGGGAACAACGCUUAUUCUCAUUGAGGUAAGAACUUGCAUAAGGAAGUAAGUCUAACAAAAAAAAAAACCCUAAGGCUAUGGCAAAAAGCCGAGUAGGGACAAAAUCUAUAAUCUAAGGAAAAAUGCGUGAGAAAUGAAAAGUCAAAAGAAACGUCUAUGGGACAUCAUCAGGGAUAUGAUCAGCCCAAAGAGGCGUGGUAGUAUCUUCAGGAUAUUCCCCCUGAGUUUGACAAAAUUCCAAGGAGAAAUAGCAAUGUUACAACUCAGAAAGUAUACACAUACCAAUUCCUAAAACAAGCUUCCGAAACGUCGCAUUCGGUAGUGAUUUAGUGAAGAGGUUGGCCAGAUUGUCUUGUGAACGAAUUUGCAUGACUUCAAUCUUCUGAUGCUCUUGUUGUUGACGUGAGAAGAAGAACUUCGGCGCAAUGUAUUUGGUGUUGUCUCCUUUGAUGUAACCCUUCUUGAGCUGUUUAAUGCAUGCUGCAUUAUCUUCAAAGAUCAUCAUUGCGACAUCUAUGACGGGAUAAAGAUCGCAUGAGCUUCGAAUAUGGCCCACAACUGCUUUCAACCAAAAGCAUUCCCGAGUUACUUCAUGUAAGGCGAGAAUUUCAGCAUGGUUAGAUGAAGUGGUAACUAAGGUCUAUUUAGUUGACCUCCAAGAGAUUGCGGUACCUCCAACGGUAAAGACAUAACCCAUUUGAGAAUGCGCCUUGUGCAGAUCAGAUAAGUAUCAUGUGUCAGCAUAACCAACAAGGAGAUAAUCAACUCAAGAAGUAGGGGGUGCGGCAUCACUCUAGGAUCCGUAAGGAUAGAACAAGCCUAAAUCUGUAGUACCCUUAAGGUAGCAGAAGAUGUCUUUAACGCCAGUCCAAUGUCUGCAUGUUGGUGCAUUACUGUAUCUUGCCAAAAGAUUAACAGCGAAUGAGAUAUCGGGUCUAGUGCAUUCAGCUGAGUACAAUAAAGCGCCUAUCGCACUUAGAUAAGGAACUUUAGGCUCUAAAAAAUUUUCAUCAUCCUCAUUCGGACGGAAAGGAUUUCGUUUUGCAUCUAGCGAUCGAACAACCAUAUGAGUACUUGAAGGCUUCGCUUUAUCAUCAUUAAAGGGGUGCAGUACCUUCUGGGUGUAGUUCGUUUGAUGUACUAAGAUUUCAUCCGAAUAGUGCUUUAUCUCAAGAUUGAGAUAGUAUCGAGUCUUUCCUAGAUCUUUCAUUCAAAUUUUGACUUCAAGUGCGCAACAGUUCUCGCUAGCUCUUCAGGAGUUCCGAUAAGGUUCAUGUCAUCGACAUAUACUACAACUAUUGCAAAACUAGAAUGUGACUUCUUAAUGAACACACAAGGGAAUAGUUCGUUGUUCACAUAUCUAUGACUAGUCAAAUACUCACUUAGACAGUUAUACCACAUUCUUCCAAAUUGCUUCAAACUGUAAAGUGAAUGCCUCAUAUGAAUUGAGAGAGUGUUGGGUUUGGAAAUAUUUGAUCAAGUCAAUGUAAGUCCUUCGGGAACCUUCAUAUAGAUUUCCGUAUCAAGAUCCCCAUAGAGAUACGUAAUUACUACAUCCAUCAGUUGCAUACUCAGUUUUUCGGAAACUACGAAACUGAUAAGGUAGCGAAAAGUAAUCACAUCCAUAACGGGUGAAUAAGUUUCGUCAUAAUCAAUCUCGGGGUGUUGUAUGAAGCCUUGCGCCACAAGAUGCACUUUGUAAUGUACAAUUUCAAUCUUCUCAUUACACUUCCGAAUGAAAACCCACUUAUAGCCAAUAGGAUUCACAUGUGGAAGAGUAUGAGUCACAGGUCCAAACACCUUAUGUUUCGCAAGCGAAUAGAGUUCGACUUGGAUUGCUUUUUCCAAUUUGACCAAUCAGUUCUACGUCGACAUUCAACAAUAGAACGAGGUUCAAUGUCAUCGCUCAACAUGAUCUCAGUAGCUACUGGAUAUGCUAAUGCAUUGUCGACGAUCAUCUCAUUUGUACGCCACACAUCAUCAAAGCCAGCAUAAUAGAUCGAAAUCUCACGAUUCUCGGGAGGAGGAUUCGUCUCUUCAAGGAUGCUUAUUUAAUCUAGAAUUUCCUCAUGAGUUGGAUUGAAUGAGUAAGCGAUAGUCCGAUUCACGGUAGGCUCUUCAGGUGCCUAUGCCAUGGGUAUCCUCUUCUGGAGGUGUGAAUCAUUUGAACCAAGAGGCCUACCAUGCUUUUGUGUCGGGGCAGAUGAUUGGCUGCAUUUCAGUUUCAAACUGAGUGAUGCGAGGAUCUAAAUAAUACAAAAUGAGAGUCAUCCACAAUAAUUCGCGUCGUUCUUCAAGAACAUUGAUGUUUUUAUCUACCCCUAACGACGGGAAGACUGUCCCAUAAAAGUGACAAUCCGCAAAAUAAGCAGUAAACAAAUCACUUGUCAAAGGUUCUAAGUAAUGAAUAAUCGAAGGAGAAUCAUAUCCGACAUAGAGAUGAGGCCUCAUUUUUGUACGUAAGGACGGUGAAAUUAGCACAUAGUUUAACGAUCUAUCCCUAUAAAUUAUAGUUUUUAUACUUUUAAAAUGUGAAAUUUUGAAAAUGCCCUUCAAGGAAAAUACAUUGACUUUUGUUGACUACCUUGUCAUGUCACGUAAGAAUCUUUUUCUUGGCGUAUCCUAGUAGUACUCGUCGCUACGAACAUGUGGACGCCAACAUAACUCAAUUUAGAGUUAUAACGAAUGAGUUAUUAACUAACAAAGUCGAGGACAAAAUGGUCAAUUAGUUAUUUUCUAGAAAGCUCCAGAUUUUUUGAGCAAAAUCUGGAAAGCCACGUGUGUGGCCCAGAUUAAAGGAAAUGAGAGAUGGACGGAGGAUGGAAGAAAUAAAUGAGAGAUAAGGGAGGGAAGACAGCCAAUAAGGAAAAGAGAAGAAGGGUGACCAAUGGGAGAGGAGAGAAAUGAGAGAAAUGAGAGAGGAUGAAGGAGGGGACCGGUCCCUUCCCUCUGUGAACCAACCCGUUUCUCUUCUAAUUUUUCGGUGGUUUUAUUCGGUUUUUCUUCGAUUUUUAGAUGAAUUCCACUCAAUCGUCACUUCCAUACUCCACCCCGGUCUCCAUUCUUCAAUUUCCACCAAAAAUCCGAGAGCUUUUGGCCUCUAUUUCACAAAACAUUGCACCAAGGGUUUCGUAGGUGCACGGCGGCAAUUCCGCCAUUCUUGAAAGGUUAUCCAUCAACCACCAACAUCAAUAGACUCUCCUCAACACCAGGAACAAAGCCUAAGAAAUGGUUGAGGCAUCAGAGCUUGAUUGGAGUUGAAUCAAGAACACCCAAUUUUUAGGGUUUCCGACGGGUUUUAGUGAAAUGGGGCUUUUCCCGGUCAAAUUGGCCUUAGUCGCAGGUAUGAAAGUUGUUCCUCUCAUCGAGAUCUUCAUUCUUGUAAAUUUUAGGAAUUUUUGGAGUUGUUGGAUUUUCCAGGGAGUCGUGGUGGCUGACAGCCACACACGGCAGCGCGUGGAGGAAAACGUGAGGUUCCUUGAUGUGCCGAAUCUGAAUCUGCCAUCUGUUUUCCAAAAUUAUAACAUUUUAGUAGAGUUUUACUAAAAGGUUCUUAAUUGUGUUUAGGCGCUUUGGCGGGAAGUGACGUCAUCCUCACUAAUUCGGGCAGUUCUCGGGCAAUAAAAUCAAUGAGUGGACCCCUUCAUAACUUAUAUAUUUUUAUAAAAUAUUAGCCUAGCAUGCAUUUCAUAAUUCAUGCAUUUAAUACGUUUUAUACUAUGUUUUCUGGAUUUAUAUAAAUAUGGUUUAUAUCGAAUUCAUGGUUUAAUUGCUUUUACGGAAUAUUCAUGAUUUUAUUGAAAUUAUAUUUAUGCACAGUUAUGAAUUUUGGGAUAUGCAUAUAUGGAUUUCUAUUAAUAUUGAAUGACUUAUAUUAUGAAGUUAUGAUGAUGAUUUAUUUUCUAGAUUUGUGAACAUGAUUUGUCAUGGAUUUAUGAUACGAGAUUUUGAAAUAUGUUUUUAGUACUUAUCUAGUGGGUUAUUAUACGACACAUCCGCACACCAAGGGUAUUGUCUAUGGCCAUAGGCACAAAUGAUAGAGGAGUGAGAUAUGAUAUAUUAUAUACACUUUGCUUUACCGUCGAAACGAUGUCGGACAGCUUCACUAGCUACGGCUAGUGUCGAUGUGGAUGUUAUGCUUUUUAAUUUAGCUUCACCUAAGGAUGAUGGACAGGUUAUUCAGCUUCACCUUCGGGUGAUGGAUAGGUUAUACAUCUUCACGUUCGAGUGAUGGACAUGUACCGCCUUCGGGUGACUAUGAUACCCCUAGUUAAGUACAACACGGAUAUGAUUUACGAUGUUUCACAAAAAAAUUUUUACACUGCAUGCUAGGGUUUUUCAUAAGAUCUAUAUGUAGUAUUAUAUAUAUGUUUUCAAAACAGGGGGUUAUUAUGUUCAAAAAUAAAAUGUUUUCAUACUAUUAGUACUAAUAUUAUAAACUCUGGUCCACUCACCUUUUAUGUUUUGCCCCCUUCAGGAGUUAGGAUCGAGGCACAUGAUCCCGGCGUCAGGGCAUUUUAGCUUAGUUAUCCUCGAGUCCUCCCAGUAUAGGCAUCAUUUCCUUUUCAUAUCUUUUGUUAGUAAUCCUUUCAUAUUUUUCCUAGUAGUUGUAUGCUCUGAACACAAUUCUGCAUUGGUUUAUAUCUUUCUAAUUACAUAUUUUAUUAGUAUGCAUGUUUUUAAUGGUGUCAUCACCCUUGGGCGUCGGCCAACACGUGCCUAUCCUGGUAUUUGGGGAUAUUAGGGUUGAGGCGUGUCAGUUUAGUAUCGGUGGUUUGUUCAAAGCAUACUUAGGAUCUUUUCCUACUGUAGUAAUGUGUCGGCUUUGAUAUCAUUCGGAUAUCACGGCUUCCGUUGAUCAUUGUCCUCUGUCCCAGUUGUGCAAUCCUCUUUCAGCUUGAAUAGUCACAUCCUAUUUAGAAGUUUAAGAAACUUGUCUCGGGAUUGUGCCUUAAGUUAUUAUAAGUGAUUGAGGAAAUGAGACGUCAACAUUGGAUCGAUAUUCUGCGAAUUGUGUUCCUUUGGAAUGGCAGGCAGAGUUAUACCGAUUGAGAGAUUACUCAAAAUAUCCAAAGUUUGCGGUAAAGGAAAUUAAGGAAACACCAGUUAUAGGCAAGGUUAGCCGUGGGGUAGAUCGAAUCAACUUUCUAUGACUUGAUUGUUCUCACUGAGGGAAUUUGUGUGGACUCUUAGGAAAAUCUUCUUAGUAAUUGUUCUAAUUAUAUCAUCCUUGCCUACUCCGACCACAAGGUUAGCUAUUAGACAUUUACAUCCAGCUUUAUACCAAUUCCUCAAAUGUCGAUCUUGCUUCAAUUUCGUACUUUUCUUAGGAGACUUCAGCAUAGCAGAAGUUAUUCUUACCAAAUUCAAGAUUUUGAUUGUUGGAAAUAAAAAAUCUCCUCGAGUGUCGUGAAUAACGAAAGAGCAUCAGACUUGCCGACUUCUAUCGACAGUUGUCAAUGAUUAUUUGAUAUAUCCUUAUUUUCAUUUUCUUCGGUUAAGAAACAAAUCAGUUUUGUUCGAGUGUUGUUGCCUCACCUGAUCAUUGUUCUUAUACUCUUCCAUGCCACCAACAAAUUUUGAAUGUGACGGUGAUGUUUUACUGAAGGUGUAGUUGUGCAUUGAUGCAGCAUAUCCGGUGACCUGUUAACCCUUUGGCGGUUAGGACCACAUGAUGCAAACUGUCCUAUCUACGACCUUGAGUCAUCUGCUAUCAUCUUGGUUUGGGAAUUUAAUGACACUUAUCUGUGGAGAAACGCAUCAGAUUGUUACCAACCUCUCACACUUCUCAUAUUACUUCACUUGAAUACAGGUAAGUCUCACGGAGCGGUGAUGGUUAGGAGAUAUAUCGAUGUCUAUGAUUGCACCAUCGCAUACCACCCCGAUUGUGCAAUUAUAGUUACUGAUGACUGCAGUAGGAAAGCUUAUAGAUACCUAAUACUUUUCUGUCAGUUAUAUUUCCACCUUAUGCAAAACACUCAAAUAUUUUUGUGACGUUACUUUUUGAUCAUCAAGAAACCUUGGUAGCAAAUUUCAAGUUCGACCUUUCUACCUUUGGCCUGAGACGACAUCGGAAUUGUUUAGUCUUUCAGCAUAAUUCUUCAUUUUUGAAAUUGUCUAACUCUUUGAUAUUUUAGUCUGCAUCAGCUCUGUUCGUACCCUCAGUUUCACCUCUUGGUAUUAAAGGUAUUUUAGUUGAUUUUGAGUCACUCGUCUGUUACCCAUAUCAUUUCUGAUGUUGACAGACUGUCUAGAAGGACCACUUAGAUGUCGAAACUUUGAGUUUAGACCAUCAGUCCUUGAAUCACCCAAUCAGCAUGCUAUCGAGCAAAUCGUCACCAUUGGUGAUUUAUUAUUCCUAGAGCUAACGUUGUAAAAAACUGUUGUGAAUUUUGGGUCAAGGAAAAAUCUAAGUUUCCGUUCGUCAACCUUCCUUAGACUAUCGUUCAAGUUGAGUUAUCUUCCAAUCCUUUCGUUUGCUAACACAUGAUUAAGUUAGAUACUUUCACGUUUCAGACUUCGAAAUUGUAUAUUCAACCCAAAUAUCUUGUAUUUUAGUUUUGAUGAACUUGUUUUGACUCUUAAAUUCUUUAGGGUUCUUUAACCUUCUUGUCGCUCAAUCAGUGAGGAAUUCAAGAUAGAUUGAUUCGGCAUAUGCAUGCGUCCAAUUUCAUAUCAAUGCUAGCGAAAACCAUUGGAGUAUAAACUUUUCGCAAGUUUACCAGACUUACCAAGAAGAAUUCCAAGCGGCUUUGAUGAUUGAGCAGUAUUUCAGCAAAGGAUUGGUAAAGGCAUAAAUGUAGGUUUUGAGCUUGGCGAUUAUGGCGUUAAUUUUCAAGUAUGGCUUGAGACUGCAACUGUCAUUCGAAGGAUGUUGUUAGAGAUAUAGUUUCUCUAAUUCAAGUUUUCAGAUCUUAUACCAUCGAUUUGGAAAGUGAUCAUCGUGAUUAGUCUCGAAGGAAAUGUGUUAUGACAAGUGUCCGUCCAGAUGCAUUUUCACUACUUCACUUCAUGACUUGAUGGUUUGGGCUUACAUGGACGUCGAAACACUUCUAGCAGCUGGAUUGGUGCGCUUUGGGAUAUUUCGGCAUCGCGAUUGAGGCAUGAAUCAGAUGAUCUAGACAUAUUCGCACGUGAAAAGCAAAACGAUAUUUUGGCAUCCUCGGGAACUUCUCACUAGCUUAUUGAGACAACAAUGUAUUAUCGGCGUUACAGGCAGCAGACUAUAAUAUCGAUGACCUAUUUGUUGCGUUCGCUAAGCAAGUGAGCAAGUUAGCUUGUCUAUGGCAGCAAUUGUUAGUUAGUGAUGGUUUGGACUCGACUCAUGACAUCACACUCAUUCUUGAAAUUUGUGACACGACAAAUGAUUGGCAAGGUCCAUUUUCAUUUUGGGUUUUGAUUUUUUCAUGCAAUAUUUUUCUACUACAAAAUUUUAUUUAUAUGGGUAUUUUACCAUUACAAAUUUUGAUUGAGUUACUUCCAUUUUCGAUUUUCAACUCCAUACAAGUAUUUUAAUCGUACGUUUCUAUAUAUCUAUUUCUUGUUGUUAUCUUAUUAUAUGCAUAUAUUUUUGACCUUAUGUUGUUACGUAGUAUUAUAUAUUUUUUUACUCUAUGUUUUUUACGGGUAUCAUACUACUAUAUUAUUGAGGAAGGAUGAAGGUAUGAGCUUGGAGGCAUGAAGGAGGAAUAAUUGCAAUCCGAUCGUGACGGAAUGGCAUUCUCUUUUAUGCAACCGCUCUAACUUGAUUUCUUCCUUGUAUAUGUAUUUAUAUACAUAUUUUCUCCCUAUUUUUGAGUAUUUUACAUACAGCAAGUUAUUUUAAAUUUCGGGGACAAAAUUUUCUUAAGGCGAGUAGAUUCUAGCGACCCGUCCCCAUAAUUUAUAGUUUUUAUACUUUUAAAAUGUGAAAUUUCGAAAAUGCCCUUCGAGGCAAAUACGUUGACUUUUGUUGACUACAUUGUCGUGUCACGUAAGAUUCGUUUUCUUGGUGUAUCCUCGUAGUACUCGUCGCUACGAACUCGUGGGCACAAAUAGAACGCAAUUUGGAGUUAUAACGAAGGAGUUAUUAAUGAACGAAGUCGAGGAAAAUCUGGAAAGCCACGUGUGUGGCCCAAAUUAAAAGAAAUGAGAGACGGAUGGAGGAUAGAAGAAAUAAAGGAGAGAUAAAGAAGGGAAGUCGGCCAAUGAGGAAGAGAGAAGAAGGGAAGUGACCAAUGGGAGAUGAGAGAAAGGAUAUAAAGGAGAGAGAGGAAGAAGGAGAGGACCUGAUCCCUUCCCUUCGACCCGGUUCCCUUGGUAACCCGACCCCUUUCUUUUCUACUUUUCCAUCUGUUUUCUUCAGUUUUUCUUCGAUUUUCGGACGAAUUCCACUCAGCUGUCACUUCCAUACUCCACCCCGAUCUCCAUUCUUCAAUUUCCACCGAAAAUCCAAAAGCUUUUAGCAUCUAUUUCACAAAACAUUGCACCAAGGGUUUCGUGGGUGUACGGUGGCAAUUCUGCCAUUCUUGGAAGGUUCUCCAUCAACCACCACCAUUAAUAGACUCUCUUCAACCCUAGAAACAAAGCCCAAGAAAUGGUUGAGGCGUCGGAGCUUGUUUGGAGUCAAAUCAAGAACACCCAAUUUUUUGGGUUUCCGACGGGUUUUAGUCAAAUUGGGGCUUUUCCCGGCUAAAUUGGCCUUAGUUGCAGGUAUGAAAGUUGUUUCUCUCAUCAAGAUCUUCAUUCUUGUAUAAUUUGGGAAUUUUUGGAGUUGUUGGGUUUUCCGGAGAGUCGUGGUGGCCGACAGCCACGCAAGACAGCGCGUGGAGGAAAACGCGAGGUUCCUUGACAUGCCGAAUCUGAAUCCGCCAUCCAUUUUCCAAAAUUAUAACAUUUUAGUAGAGUUUUACUAAAAUGUUCUUAAUUGUGUUUAGGCGCUUUGGCGGGAAGUGACGUCAUCCUCGCUAGUUCGGGCGGUUCUUGGGCAAUAAAAUCAAUGAGUGGACCCCUUCAUAACUUAUAUAUUUUUAUAAAAUACUAGCCUAGCAUGCAUUUCAUAAUUCAUGCAUUUAAUAUGUUUUAUAUUAUGUUUUCCGGAUUUAUAUAAUUAUGGUUUAUAUAGAAUUGGUUUAAUUGUUUUUACGGAAUAUUCAUGAUUGGGUAAAUUACAUAGUAGCCCCUCAAGUUUGAGGUCUAUUACAACCCCAUACAACAUCUUUAAAACAUUUCACUUUCAUACCUCAAGUACUAUUUUAUUUCAACAUAAUGCAUCCAUUAGAUUUUCCAUCCAUUAAUCCAUUCAAACCCAUCCCAUCUCCCCGCAACCCCCCCACCAAAAACAAACCCAGAUCAUUUUUCCCCCACCCCCACCCACCCAUCUCACAGAAACCUCAUUCCUCUUCCUCACCCCCUCCUCAUUCUCCUCUCUUCUCCCUCAUAUUCAUCUUUUUCCUCUGCCACCUAGCCCGGCCCUCCCCUAACUUCCUCGAGCGCACCCGCACCCACCCUCACACCCUCUUGUACACACUCUUCUCCUUAAAUCCACACCCAUUCCUUCCAUUUUCACCUCAUGAACCUGACGAUGGCAGACGAGAUCUAUGUUGUUUUGUUUUGUUUUUUUCUUCUAGGUUGCAAGUAGGGGGUCGGGCGCACCCUCACCCACCCUCUGCACCCACCCUCGCACCCACCCUCUUCCUUCCUCUACACACCUCACUCAUUCCACACCCAUUCCUCCCAUUUUCACCUCACGAACCUGACGAUGGUGGACGGGAUAUGGGUUUUAUUUUUUGUUUUUUUUUCUUCUUCUAGGUUGCAGGUAGGGGUUGGGGGAAGAAUAUGAAGAUGGGGGAGAAGAGAAGGAAGGAUGAGGGGGGAAGACGAACUGAAGGGGUUUUUUUAAUUUUUAAUUUAUUUUUUUUUUUCUGGGUUGCAGAGAAGAUGAAGAUGGGGAAGAAGAGGGUGGGUGCGAGGGUGUGUGCGGUGGGGUGGGGUGUGUAGAGGAAGGAAGAGGGUGGGUACGAGUGUGGGUGCAGGGGGCGGGUGCGAGGGUAGGUGCGGAAGAAGACGUGGAGGAUGGGUGCGGUGGGUUUGGGAAAGACGGGAGGGGGAAGAAAGGGGUGGGUUGCAAGGAAGGGGGGUCGGGGAAGAUGAAGAUGAGUUUUUUUUUUUCUCCUCUUCUUCUUCUGGGUUGCAGAUUGCAGGUUGGGUUUUAGGGGGGGGGAGGGAGGGAGGGAAGACGAAGUGGGCUUUGGUUUUUGGUUUUUUUUUUUUUUUUUAAAAUUUUAUAAUCUAUUUAGAAGAUUUAGGUUUUUUUAAAAAAAUAAAAAAAUUAUUUUUUUAGCCAUGUUGCACACAUUUGGCAGCCACGUGACACAAAAGUGGCAGCCACGUCAGCAUUUAACAGAUUAAUGGAUGGAAAAUCUAACGGAUGUAUUAUAUUGAAAUAAAAUAGUACUUGAGGUAUGAAAGUUAAAUGUUUUAAAGAUGUUGUAUGGGGCUGUAAUAGACCUCAAACUUGAGGGGUUACUAUGUAAUUUACCCUUCAUGAUUUUAUUGAAAUUACAUUGAGGAACGGUUAUGAAUUUUGGGAUUUUCAUAUAUGGAUUUCUAUUGAUAUCGAAUGACUUAUAUUAUGAAGUUACGAAGAUGAUUUAUUUUAUAGAUUUGUGAACAUGAUUUUUCAUGGAUUUAUGAUACGAGAUUUUGAAAUAUGUUUUUAGUACUUAUCUAGUGGGUUAUCAUACGACACAUCUGCACACCACGGGUAUUGUUUAUGGUCAUAGGACACAAAUGAUGAAGGAGUGAGAUAUGAUAUAUUAUAUACCCCAGCUUCACCGUCGAAAGCGGUGUCGAACAGCUUCACUAGCCAGGGCUAGUAUCGAUGUGGAUGUUAUGCUUUUUGAUUCAGCUUCACCUGCAGGUGAUGGACAGGUUAUUCAGCUUCACCUUCGGAUGAUGGAUAGGUUAUACAUCUUCACCUUCGAUAAUGGACAUGUACUGCCUUCGGGCGACUAUGAUACCCCUAGUUGAGUACAACACGGAUAUGAUUUACAAUGUUUCACAAAAAAAAAUUUACACUGCAUGCUAGGGUUUUUCAUAAAAUCUAUAGGUAGUAUUAUAUAUGUGUUUUCAAAACAGGGGGUUAUUAUGUUCAAAAAUAAAAUGUUUCCCUAUUAUUAGUACUAAUAUUAGGGUUAUUAUACAAAAUGGUCCCUGAGAUUUGUAUGAUCAAUAGAAAUGGUCUUUAAGAUUGUCCACCAUCCAUGAUUUUAGUCAUUCUGUUAAAAACUCUUUGGGCAAUUUUCAAAGCUUUGUAACUCAAUCAUUUCUUAAUCAAAUUCGACCCAUAAUAUAUCAAAAUGAAGAUAGGAAAGUGUAGAAUAAGAUUAUACCUUUUUAGAAGCCCAAUGGUUGCUAGAGAUGACCAGAAAAUAGCUUAAAAAUUGACUGGUCCGCUGGAAAACUGGAAAACUCGCAAGAAACAGGGUAAACUUUAAAUGUUCAUAACUUCUUCAAUACUCAACCAAAUCGAGUGAUUCAAAAACAAAAAUCAUACUUCUUGACGAGAAACAAAUAAUGGUACCUUUUUUGAAGGCUAACUCGCCGUGGUUUGGUCGUACAACAGCUCGAAAUUGGCUAACCAUUUUCGAGUUAACCACUUUCGAGCCGUUUUCCGGCAAACCAACGAUGAGUUAGCAGUCAAGAAAGUUACCAUUCUCUUCGUAUCGUCAAGCAGUAUGAUUUUUGUUUUUUAAUCACUCGAUUUUGUUGAGUAUUGAAGAAGUUAUGAGCGUUUAAAGUUUACCCAGUUACCGGCGAGGUUUCCAGUUUUCCCACUGACCAGUCACCUUUCAGGCUAUUUUCCGACCAUCUUCGGAACUCAUUGGGCUUCCAAAUAGAUAUAAUCUUGUUCUACACUUUCUUAUCUUCAUUUUGAUAUAUUAUGGGUUAAAUUUGGUUAAGAAACGAUUGAGUUACAAAGCUUUGAAAAUUGCCUAAAGAGUUUUUAAAGGAAUGACCAAAAUCAUGGAUGGUGGACAAUCUCAGGGACCAUUUCUAUUCAUUUUAAAUCUCAGGGACCAUUUCUAUUGAUUAUGCAAAUCUUAGGGACCAUUUUGUAUAAUAACCCCUAAUAUUAUAAACUCUGGUCCACUCACCUUUUCUGUUUUGCACCCCCUUCAGGAGUUAGGAUCGAGGCACUUGAUCUCGGCGUCAGGGCACUUCAGCUUAGUUAUCCUCAAGUCCUUUCAAUAUAGGUAUCAUUUCCUUGUUCAUAUCUUUUCUUAGUAAUCCUUUCAUAUUAUUCUUAGUAGUUGUAUGCUCUGAACACAAAUCUGCAUCGGUUUAUAUCUUUCUAAUUACAUAUUUUCUCAGUAUGCAUGUUUUUAAUGGCUUCGUCACCCUUAGGUGUCGGCCCGCACGUGCCUACCCUGGUAUUUGGGGAUAUCGGGGUUGGGGCGUGUCACAUAGACCGCACAACCAAAAAUGCGCAGAUGCGAUAUGUCGGGUUCAUAUCCGGUAACUAACUAAAUUGUGAUAUAUGGUUGGGUCACAACAGGCCUCAGGCGGACCAACAUGGUUGCGUGCAAUAUUGCAUGGCCCCAAGCAGUGAUCGAGAGCUUAGUACAUAUGAACAAUGAUCGAGCAAUCAUUUGUAAGCGUUUAAUCAAUGCCUUGGCCAUGACGUUUUGGGUGUGAACAUGGGGUACUAGGUGUUUAGCUUCAAUCCCAACCGACGUGCAAUAAUCAUCAAGAGUUUUAUAUGUGAAUUCUCCAGCAUUGUCCAAUCGAAUAACUUGAUCGGAUAAUCAGGAUGGUGAGCCCUGAGCUUGAUAAUGUGAGCCAACAAUUUGGAGAAUGCAGCAUUCCUUUUAGACAACAAGCACACGUGUGACCAACGUGUGGAAGCGUCAACCAAAACCAUAAAAUAUCUAAAUGGUCCGCAUGGAGGGUGAAUCGGUACACAAAUGUCCCCCUUGAAUCCGUUGUAGAAAAUAAGGAGGAUUCAAACGAAUCUUAUCAUAAGAAGGCUUAGUAAUAAGCUUUCCCAUAGAACAUGUUUGACAUGCGAUUCCUUGAAUCGAACCUAUACUUCGGGUUAGUAGAUGCUCGUGUGAUGAUUUGAGGAUAUGGCACAUUGCUAUUUGUCCAGGAUGUCCCAAACCAUCAUGCCAAAGUGUAAUUUGGUGCGUGGUCCCAAAGGUAAGGCCGGCCACAUAGUGGCUCUUUAUAGGGCGUAUGGUCGUAGUAUACAAACCACUCGGGAUACGUUCAUCUUCUCUAGCAUCUCUAAUGUCCUUAAAGCUCAACAAUGUUAUUCCGAAACAUGGAGAAUAAAAAGCCUUAUCAGUGGUCAAUAUUGUACCAUUGGACAACACCGUAUCCUUCGAUCAGGUUGGAUAGGCCUGAGAGGGUUGUCAGAGGUGCAUUCUUAGGUAUGAAGUUAGUGAAAUAAAUGCGUUCACGUAAAAUGGUGUGCGUGGUUGCACUAACUGCCAGACAACUAACUUCCCCACGAGUCAUACCUAAAAUGAAAAAUUAAUUUGAAUCGGUCACAUGCAUAAAAGUUCCAAAAAAAAAAAAUAUCCAUUCAAAAUAAUUUUAAGUAUUCAAUGACGGAAAUGAAUUAAAACUUAAUAUAAAAAAAAAACAAAUCACCAACAAAUAAUCCAAACAUAAAGGAAAAUUGUUCAAAAUUAACCAAAAAACAAAGUGGGGUUCGGCCACUAUUGUGGAAUUCGGCUCCAUUUUCUAAUUUCAACUAAAAAAUAAGUCUAUGUCUAAGAUUCUAAUCUUCCAUAGGGGUGAUAUCCUCCUAAAAGUCAGAAACCUCCAUUUUGGUACCCUCCGGUUCGUCCACUUACACAAUGUUUGAUUCAAACUUCUUACGACAAGAAUGAUAUUAAGCUACAACCUUCUAGGGAGCUUGGCAAACAUGGGACCAAUGGUCCUUUGAACCACAGUGAUAACACAUAUUCGUAUCCAUGGUUUCAGGUGCUUUGCCCUUAUUCUUGAAGUUUGGGGCCUUGGGAGCGAGGUUUGGACGUUUCUGGGCUUUGUUUCCUCACUUAGAUGGGCCUUGGCUCUAUUGACCUUGGCAGGAUGGCUUUUGGCUACCCCUACCACGCCUCUUUUGGCGUUUUAGGUGCUGGUUCGUGUUGUAGUGUGCUUCAGGCACAACAGUCGCCCAAGUAGGUCGAGCUUGAUGAUUCUUCAUCAACAGCUAGUUCUACUUUUGAGCAAAAAGUAAAAUAGAGAUCAAAUCUGAGAACUUAGUGAACUUCUGAGCUCUAUAUUGUUGUUGCAUGACAAUAUUAGUAGCAAAAAAGGUCGAAUAUGUAUUCUCAAAGAGAUCAUCUUCGGUCAAAGUCUCAUUACAAAAUUUGAGAAAUGAUCGAAUUCGACAAAUGAUAUGAGCAUAUUUAUGCGACUUAGUUAGCUUGUUUCUUGGCAUUUAUGUUGUUAGUUCGUAGUUAUUUUAGUAUUUUUAAGCUAUUUUCAUGUGUUUGUAGGUCCAAAGGGUUAAUGUGGCAAAGAAGUGCAUUUUGGAGCAUUUUUUGGCAUGGAAUGGAUAGCAUAUGCUUGGAGCAAAAGGAAUGGACGAAAUUUGAAGUUUGUGCAUCAUCCUCUCCUUAUAAAUAACCAUUUUAGCACACUCAUUUCACACCCAACACAUCCAUUCACCUACCACUACAUCCACUCAUUUCACCCAACACAUCCAUUCACCUACCACUAAAUCCACUCAUUUCACCCAACACAUCCAUUCACCUACCACUACAUCCACUCAUUUCACCCAACACAUCCACUCAUUACAACCACCCAACACAUUCACCUACCACUACAUCCACUCAUUACAACCACCCAACACAUUCACCUACCCAUUACAUCCACUCAUUACGACGACACUCACCCACUACACCCAUUACAUCCACUCAUUACCACAACACUCACCCACUACACCCAUUACAUCCACUCAUUACAACUCCAUACACUCCUCUCCCUAGCAUAUAAAUACAUCCACCCUUCACCAUAACUAUGGAUCCAUUCAAAAGACCUUACAUUCAUCCAUAUAUUCCCACAUCCCACAAACACAUACAAUUCCAUUCCCUUGCCGUGGCACUCAUCCAACCAAAAAUCAAACACAAUUGCAUACAUUCCCUUCCCCUUGCCGUGGCAUCCAUCCAACCUAAAUACAUUCAUAACCUUUCCAUAUAUCCAUACACAUCCUUAGAUACUUGUGAUGCAACAAGGUGGGGAAAACGAAGGUCCUUGGUGUUUCAAGCUUGAAACUUUGGAGUGUUUUCGGUGUACUUCGUUCUUGCUUUCAAUGUCUACUUUGUUAUUUUCUGAUUUUGUUGCAAUUAUGAGUAACUAAAUCCCCCUUAGUUAGGGGGGAAUUCGAAACCAUGUUCAUGCUUGCAAUAUGAAUUGAUUAGCUUCAAUUGUGAUUUCAUAAGUUGUGAAUUCAAUUUGUUUAACUACUUGAUUGAUAACUUGUUCGUGUAUGUUUAUUAAAAGUGCACACUUAGUUUGCAUGCAUGAAUAUGAUGCUAGAGUAUAAGGGAGUUUCACCUAAUAGUUACAAACUUAUAUUCACAAGUAGUGGAGGUUGCUUAUAAACGAUCGCGUUAAAUGAAUUCUUGGCAGGAGUUUCAUGCUCAUCAUAGUAACGAAUGCCUCGUCAAUACUUAUAGUUUUCAUAAUGCUUAAUGAUCUUUGAUUGUAUCUUUAUUGUGCUGUUCACGUAAAGGACUUUUGAAGAAUGCUUGAAUUGUUGUAUGCGCUUUCCCAUCCAAUUCAAUAACUUAAGGAGAACUUGAAGGUUAAUUUAACCGGACUUAAUUAACCUGGGGUGUUGAGUUUCAUGAUUUAUCGAAAGAACAACUGAAAAUUGGUUUAUGUGCAAGUGUGUCAUGUGUGGAGAAGAACCCUCUAGCUAGCCCAUCAUCCAUAGUUUACCCAAAUUCGUCCAAAAUCUGUUUUAGUUUACAAUCUGUUUGUUUUGUUUUCAAAUUCGUCAAAAUCAAAUCCCCCUUUACUUUAAAGUGUUUUGUUAGUCAAAAUCUGUUUUGAUUUGUGUUUUUUAAGUGUCCUGAGUCAAGUUAGAACCUAAUUUCGUCCAAAACCAUCCCUAGAGUCAGUUUAGAGUCUAAUUCAUUGUUUUAAGCUGUUUUGAGUCUUUUAAACUAGUUUUGAGUCUUUUUAGUUUGUAUUGCAUCUUUUGAGUCUAGUUUGGUGUUUUAAACUUAAUUUUACGUUUUUAAGUUAGUUUCAAGUGUUUUAGCAAUCCCUCAUAAUCCCCGGCCUAGAACGAUCCCUACUUACAUUGUUUACUACAUUUGACAACAAAAGGGUUUAAUUUGUGUGUUAAGUUAAUUUCGCAUCAACAAACUUCAUAAUUAUAUUCAUUCACAGACUUAAAGUCUUGAAAGUGCAAAUGCUACCAGUUAUGUCUUGCUUCAGAUAAGAUGUCCUUGUGGUGAUCAAAACGAUCAACCAAAGCGACUCAUAGUGCUUGUGGAUCCUCCUCAGCAAGAUAUUCAGUUUGCAGUGAAUCAUGAAUAUGUCUUUGGAUGAAAAUCAUAGCAGUGGCUUUCUUAGCUUCGCCAACAGGGUUGUCCGUUUCAUCUUCAAUGGUGGGACACAAAUUCUUUGCAGUAAGGUGGAGCUUUACAUCUUGGACCUUCUUGAGGUAGUUUCUUCUAGAGACUUCCAAAGGGGUGAAGUCGAGUUUGUUCAAAUUCGACAUGUUCCUAUCACAAAAAAAAUUACAAGAUGUGAUUAGUGCAAUGGAGAAAGAAAAAUCAAUCCAUUCACAUAGGAGGUUCUAAUAGACAUGUAUUGGUUAAAAAUCGCAUGAAAAACUUCGAGUUUUCAUGGGUGAUGUUUUUAAUGAAAAACUUCAGGUUCAUAUGUCCCUGCAAACAAACGCAUAUAUAUCCACAUAAAUAUGCAAAUAGAACUUCAUGUCCAAAAUUAUAAUUGAAUUAAUUAUUUGGACUUUAGGCCAAAAUUUAAGUGUGGGUGAAAAAAAUAUAAAACCUAAAUUGUCUAAAAAUAUUAAACAAUCGAAGCUUGGAGCCCAAAACUAUAGGCCAAAGCCCAUGGGUGGGCUAAGCAAGUCUCUUACCAUGAGGUCCAUGCCCAUAUUAGGCUGCGUUGAUAUUAGCUGGGCUACAGGCCCAAAGGCGAGAGAGAAAAGAAGAAACGGGCAAGAUCCAAAAGAACAGCCCAUGAAAGGGUAUGAUCUGGUGCGGAGCGAACAGUGAAACCGGGGGAGGAUACGAUCCAGUGCGUCGCACGGUAAAGGACACCAUAGCCCUUGGGCUGGUGUCGUGCUUAGGCCAGGUUUCAAUGUAUAUUAUUUCUUUUAGUGUUCUAGUUAGUUGUAUGCUCUAAACACGUUCCUCAUUUGCAUAUUAAUUAUAUUUAAAUGUCUUUUAUCUGAUUCUAUUUUAGUUCUCAUGUUUUCAAUAAAUGACUGUCGUUACCCUCGGGUGUCGGCCAUCACGUGACCAUCCCGAUAUCCUACGAACAUUGGGAUCGAGAUGUGUCAAUGAGGUUGUUGACUACCGGCAAAUAAUUGGAUGGUUGGAUUUUCUAUUUCUCCCCUUAAUUCAAAUAUGGGGUAAAAAAGAAAGUUCACAUGACAAAUUUGAAGUUUGAAGUGUCUUCAUAAGAUUGUGGGGUGUUAAUUGAAGGCCCAAACACAAAAAAUACAAAGCAAUAGAUGAGCUUCCAAAACAACAGCAAAAGAUAAGCCCAACCUGAAAGUUGAGCCUAAUAAAGAAAACACACAAGAAAAUCCUAAACUCCUGGAUCCUCUAUCGCCGCCGAAGUACUUGCUGCAAACGCCGAUCUAGUCCCCCUGCAAAUCGCUGGAGAUAACAACCAGCCAAGUCCCUAAAACAGAAAAAGAAACAAAUUUCAUCAUCCUCGAGCAACCUCCACACAACUUCAAAUCGACCAGAAUAAUGAAGGGAAAGAAAAUAAACAAGUUUCAUUGUCCUCGAACAACCUUCCCACAAUUUUUCUCUAUCUUAGACGAUAUAUCUUCUCAUCCAACAACCUCCCCUUUAACAUAGGGCUGCCUAACCCACUUUCCUCCAUUACUAUUCGGUUCUUCAUCAAGCUAUGCACACUCUUUUGAGAAUUCAACUUAAUUAUAAGGAAUAUGAAACCAGCAGCUCUUUGCAACUACUUGUGAAUUAUGUCUUGAUUUGCGUUCUUUUAAGUUGGUGGUUAGCCUUCGAAUUGUUCUUCCCCAUCAAUUUUUAGAAGAGAUCAAACCAAACUAGACUCGAGUGUUCAUAUAUUUAUUAGACCUAAAUAUCGACAAUACAUAAAAUUCCAUCACUAAGAAGCCAAAUUCUAUCAAGACUUUGUAACAACAACACAAAGGUCAAGAGUCAACUUGGAGGAGAAGACACGGUUUUGGUCGCGAGUGGGUUCGGCACUGGUUAUCUAAACCCCCGAUUCCAUGUGCAUGGCUAUCAGCUAAUCCUCAACUUUUAUGUUCGAUGUGUUGGUACCAUAUAUUGGGCCUCGUAUUUGGGCUUCACCCCUAAGCCCAUGGCAAAUGUAAAAAGGGACGGAGCCCUUAUUCUAUAAAAGGGACUCCCUCACUCUCAUGAAAAGGAAAGACACAUUCAGAUCUCCUCACAUCCAGAGAGAAAUAAAGGGUCUUAGAUCCAUCCCUCACAAUAAAUGGCAAUACCCUCUCAGCCAAACAGAGAGCAAAAUAGCAAAGGCUGUAUCCACAUAGAGCUCCCUUGCCGAUCUAUUGUAAUCCAUACAUACAUACAUAAUCCACAUCAGUGUGGACGUAGCCCAAACAUUGGGGUGAAGCACGAUACAUCUUCGUGUUCUUGGGCGUUUGCAUGAUUCACGGUCGGAUUUACAUUGUUCCAAGACCUUCCGGUUUUGUGCAUCAACAUUUGGUGCUGUCUGUGGGAAACGACACGAAAAGCUAUGUCAGUUCUCUUUCAUUUUUUCAUCUCACCACCGUGAGACCUCAUCAUUGUCCACCGUGAAUCUGCAUAAACCCAAAAAACCAAAACCAAAACCAAAAGCCCAAUUCCUUCACCCAACACCCACACUCAGAGACACACCCAUUCAAUUAGCAGAGAGAAGAGGAGAGAGAGAGGGAUGGAGGGAGAUCAUGAUCCAAACACAAACGAAGUAUACAAAUAGUACUUGAGAAACCAUGCAGCCAGCCUCGACAGCUAUGCCACAGAUGGCUGUGGCGAGUUCACACUUAACCACGCAUCCCCAGGUAGCCUACAAUGUGUCACUUGCGGAUGCCACUGCAACUUCCACCGCAGAGUCACUUACGCAGCCACGUCAUCGCAAGCUGCAGGAGGCGGUAGAUCAGGAUGUCAUCAACACCAUGUCAUCAUAAGUUGCAGUGGCCGAGGUCGAGAUCCUACCGAAAUAUCAUAACACAAGACCAACUCAUUGACUAUAAUGCCGGUAGAGGUGGGUCACCGGACAGCGGAGAAAGGAUGAGCAAUGGGAAGAAGUGGUUCAGGACGAAGUUCACGGCGAAACAGAAGGAGAAGAUGCUGGCGUUUGCUGAAAAGUUAGGGUGGAAGCUGCUGAGAAAAGAUCUAGAGGACGAGAUAGAGAGGUUCUGCAAGAGUGUAGGGCUAUAUUGGUACUGCUCAUCAUCGGGCAGUUUAUGGAGAUGGUUGACCAAAACAACGGGAUUGUGGGCUCCACCACCGACUCCAAUUACUAUGUUAGGAUUCUCAGCACCAUUAAUCGGGAGCUCCUCAAGCCUUCCGCUUCCGUCGCCUUGCACCGCCACUCCAAUGCCCUCGUCGACGUUCUGCCUUCAGAGUCCGACUUGAGUAUUUCUCUCCUCAGCCAAUCCGAGAAGCCUGACGUCACCUACUCUCUCGAAUUACUGCAAUUCAGUCCAACAAUCGCUUCAUGUUCAGAAAUGUCAGCCCAGAAGCAAUCAGAGGAACCAUAACCUUCAACCAGACCAAUAAUAGAGAGGGAGAAGAUAAGUUUUCUUAUAACAAUUUUAUUAUUAUUCCCUGCCAUCUGCCAAAAGAAAAAAGAAAAGAGCUUUACUUUUCUUUUGUCUACCUCAAUUAUUCUAUAAAUGGUGCCCCAUCUCCAGCGAAUACCACGGGAAAAGUAGAGAUAAGAUUCUUUUCUCAUAACAAUUCUAUUAUUAUUCCCUGCCAUCUGCCAAAAGAAAAAAGAAAAGAGCUUUACUUUUCUUUUGUCUGCCAUCUGCCAUCACAUAUAUUUAACCCAAGUACCUGUGCAAUAUUUAUUUAUUGCCUAGUGAUAUUGGGACUACUAUUAAACUAUAGUGAUAUUGGGACUACUAUUAAACUAUAGUGAUAUUGGGACUGCUAUUAAACUAUGUCACUUAUACAACAUGUGAUUUACCACACGACUGAAUAAAUUAUUUAUUUAUAGAAGGCAUGUAGUACAAUAUUUUGCCUUGACAAACUUUGUCAAUUUGAUUUAUUCAUUAUACGAUCAUACUUAUACUGUCAUUUAUUGUCAGGAAUUAUUGAGCAACUAAAUCCACUGAUCAAUAUUGUUGCUGAUUAAAAGAACCCAAUAUGUGAACCCGACAAGCGAACCCGAGUCAUGUCAAGAAUCAACUCACACUGAGUGCAUGUUGACAUAAAGUAGAUGCUUGGAAUGAGGAAUACCACGAUCUGAGCUGCCUCAUAACGAGCAUAGCCUCUAACAGAGCAGCCUCGCAACGAGCAUCACCUUCAGCCGAGCAACCGCCUCACUGCGAGCAUAGCAUCUAGCCGAGGAGCCUCGCAAUGAGCAUCGCCUUCAGCCGAGCAGCCUCGUAACGUGUGAUACCUCUAGCCGAAUAUUGCUUUAUGUUGAGCAUUGCCUUGGGUUGAGUACUGGUUCAAGACAUCUAGCCACUUCGGCCCGUACAUGUAUUGGAUUUGAAGUCUCCAGCCAUAAGACUUUCUUGACUGAAGACUUGGGGGACUCCUGUUGGUACCAUGUAUUGGGCCUCGUCUUUGGGCCUCACUUCUAAGCCCAUGGCAAAUGUAAAAAGGGAGGGAACCCUUAUUCUAUAAAAGGGACUCCCUCACCCUCAUGAAAAGGAGAGACACAUUCAGAUCUCCUCACAUCCAAAGAGAAACAAAGGGUCUCAGAUCCAUCCCUCACAAUAGAGGGCAAUACCCUCUCAGCCAAACAGAGAGCAAUAUGGCAAGGGCUGUAUCCAUAAAGAGCUCCCUUACCGAUCUAUUGUAAUCCAUACAUAACAUAAUCAACAUCAGUGUGGAUGUAGCCCAAAAAUUGGGGUGGACCACUAUACAUCUUUGUGUUCUUGGGCGUUUGCAUGAUUCACGGUCAGAUUUACGUUGUUCCAAGACCUUCCGGUUUUGUGCAUCAACACAAUGCUUAGCUGCCGAACACUGAACUUUUUGUCAAAUUUUGUGUUCGGCAUGUUAAAACAUAUGAUUCAAUCUAGUUAUAAUUUGUUUAAGAAACUAGAAACAAACCCAAGAGGAUUUUAGAGAAAAGCUUAGGGCUGAACAUUGCAGCUCAAACCUCACUUGUAUACUUCAAUGAUUUAGGGUUUUGGUCACAAUGCCAACUUACAUCUCAUUUAAAUUAACUAGCUAACAAAAGCCUUCAAGACCCCAUGCCUUGCACCAAAGCAAAUCCAUGUCAGCCUUACAAUUGUAAUUUUGGACUGAGUCAACAUAUUGGCCGUUACAAAUUGAGGAAAAAAAAAACUAAGCCAUUACUUUUGUUGAAUACAAAAAAUGGAAGCUAGAAAUCAAUUUAGGCACCAACACUCUCCUUCUGUUGAAUACAAAACUAAGCCAUUACUUGUUGAAUACAAAACAUGGAAGCUAGAAAUCAAUUUAGGCACCAACACUCUCCUUCAAAAUAUUUCCAGUUUUGACACCAAGCAAAUCCCUGAAGUAUACAAAACUCUCUUUUAGCAUAGCCUUAAUUAGUAUAUAUAUCAACAAUUUGAUCCUCGUAUCUACAAUAGAGUAAUUCAAUCGCAUUAUCCGACGUUUAUUAAGUGAUGGUUCCUCUUGAUAUGUUUUAUUUUCUAAUGAAACAGAGGAUUUUUGUCAUAACAGUUAUAGAGAUGUUGUCACAUAUUAGUGAUGUAUCAUCUACUUUGAAAAUGUAGAUAGAUAAAGGAACCCAAACCCAAUAGAUAAAUAAUCUCAAUCUAAAUUAACAAGGAUUCAAGUACGAUUUCAAUCAUACUAUGUAAUAGUGAAGAACAAAUAGAAAUAUGUGGAUAAAAAGAACAGAAGAAACACGAUAUUCUUUUACAUGGUAAAACCCCACACACAAUGGGAAAAAUUUACGACUCAACAAGACAGACAAUUUUUGUACUUGAAGUUCUCUUUUGUAGUUUUAAUCUUGUAGCACACUGUCCUUCUUUUGCUCUCUUUUGGAUGAACAUAACAUACUCAGCAGGAGUCUCCUCACGAGCAAAGAGAUUGCACUCAACUUCGUCACAUAGAUGCACACGACUUCUUCACAAAAAUUAAUAUGAUGAAUAAUAUGCAAGGUAUGAAGAAGAUCACUCUUCUAACCUAGCUCUCAAGAACUUUGCUUUAAAACCUUUUAUGCUCAAUCUUAUAACCAUGAAAAGAUGAAUGGUAAGCUUGAUUUCCAACGAAACCAACAGUAACCCCGCCAAUUUAUUUCGGAAUUUACCUUUAGGGGUAGACCAAAAAUGUCAUAGUUACCCUUUAUGUUAAUAACCAUUCUAACUUUUCUUUUCUAACGAUUUUCGACUACAAUUUAAUCUCGUUUAUUUUAUGGCUACAUCUAACUUCUCAUUAGACUGCCCUUUGGAAGGAUCAAGCCAAUCGUAGUUCACCAACCGUAAGAGAAAUUGAACAAACCCUACUUAGUCACACACUUACUUAAUACUCAACAAAGAAUUAUACAUACAUAACCAGAUUCCGCCAUUUUCUUAUAAUUCCUCCAUCAAGUCCAACAUGAAUAAAAUUAACCAAAUAUUACCCAAAAUCCAAGGUAAGGCUCACGGCAAGCCUACUCAUCAACUUAAACCAAUUCUUUACCACUUUAGUUACAAGUUUAAAAAUCCACACAAAUUCAUCCAACUUACACCAAGAAUUUAACAUAAAUUAACUCAUCUAUUAGAACCAAAAAGAAAAUAUGAUAGGGUUUCUUGGGUUCUCACCUCCAAACUCCUCCAAAGUUGUUCAUCAAUUUGCCACUUCACUACUACGCUCUUAAAUCAACUUCAUUACCACAAAUCCUCAACAAGAACCCCAAAAUUUCAAGUUAAACACUUCAAUCUCAAACUUGUUCGAAAAUGAAACUUGGAAUUCGAAAGAUCCACUUACAUAUCCUGGAAGUGCAUGAUGAGAUGAGUAUUUUUCUCUAUUGGGUCGAGACCCAUCUCAAGCAAGGCUGGACAGAAUCGGCAAAAAAUCCACGAAAAUCCGUUGAAACUUCUAGGCUUCAAUAUAUGAGCACGCUUGGUUCUAGUGUAUGGUUUUGGUAUAAAAUUGAAGAGGGCUUCGCUAUGAAUACAUAGCCUUCAAGCGUGAUUUCGAUGUCGUAUGAGAAAGUUAUCAUUUUUGGAUUGAAGAAGAAUUAAGGAGGAAAAGAACAGAGCAGCCCCCCUUGCUGCAUCUGCCAACCGGGGAAAGAAAAAAGAAGAGAAGCCUUUGGCUUCUAGAAUACUCCCUCCCAAAAUUACCAUUUUGCCCCCUAACUUUGCUUGUUCAUAUCUUAUUCGUUAUAACUCCGUUUCACGAACGGUUUUUGCCUACACCCUCGUAGGGUCGUUCUCUAUUUAAAUAUAUCAAGAAAUACAAUAAAAUAUAUGAGGAUAAAAUACGUCCUUGUAUAAUUACUUUAACCAAAUAGGGGCAUUUUUUUCAUUUUUGAUUUAACGAAAAAUUAUACGACAUAAAUAAUCAGACAAUCCGGAAGCAGGAUUUUACAUUUUCCCCAUUCAAAUUUCAUAACCAUGAAUCGAUUUAUUUUCGAUUUUCUCCACAUAUUCAUAAUUAUGAAUAUCAAAUUCAUAUACUUAAAUUUUUCAGGGUAUUACACCAACAACCUAGAAUAAAGGAAACUAGAAUUAUGUACUAAAAAUCAAAUUGGUUUUAUGAGACAAUAAUUAUUGCAUACAUUUUAAUAUCCUUUUUAUUUAGAUUCUUGUGAUGUUUUUGAGUGAAUUCAGUUCUCUUUCACUUACUUUUGUGUUUUUCCUAGGUUUGUGGAGUAAAGACGAAGACACAACAAAAAUGAUAGAUUUUGCAAUUGAAGCGAGUUAUCUGUCCUGGAAGCAGAAACUGUCUGUGUAGAUCAGCCAACUUGACGGAAUAAAUUGUUUCCUCAGAAGGAAUGAGCUGUUGAGCCUUAUACCAUUGCAAAGAUAUAGAUGUUAGCUUUCAGAGGAAUUUUACAGACUAUGCUUUUGAGUUUUCUAGACGAUGUUAUGAAGAUUUUCAUACAUGACGUCGGCCAGCAAAGUUUACGAGGAAAUUGUAAAGUCUGUUGGGUUUUUCAAGUCACAAAUCAACCGAAGCCCAAAGCCCAAAAUAGAACACGUUGAAGAUGACUUGAAUCCUAUUUCAAAUGGGUCUGGAGUAAUUUACUUGGGAAGUUUACUCGCCACAUCAUCAGUUGUCCAAUACAAAUGAGGAAAAGAUUGCACAUGACCUAAUCAUGCUAGGAUUUUGACGAAUAUAUGAAACAUAGAUUGUAGGAAGUCUGAAUGACGUUCUUUUUGGAGGGAGAGAUAUCGAGGAUCUCUUUCAAAACAUCAUUAUUGCCCCAAUUAUCAUAUAUUAUUAUACUUGCUAUGUAUACAUAAUACUUGGUCAUGAAUAUUUUUGAAAUGUCAUAUGAACUUACACAUAUUUAUUAAUUUGAUCUAUGAAUUAAAAUGUUAAGUUAAUUUGAUCUAUGAAUUAAAAUUUUAAGCAAUUUGUCAUAUGAAUUUUAUGAAAUUAUUAAUUUGUCAUUCAAGUUUUAUUAAGUUUUCCAUUAAAAAAAAAGGUUAUUUAAGACUUUUGACCUUAUUUUUUACAAGUUUAUUAUUUAUUUACAUAUAGGUGGAGACUCAACAUCUUAUCCACUAGGAUAUUAUUAGACCACAUGCACCUUUUUACAAGUUCUCUGCUUAUCUUUUGGUACGAAAAAAAAACAUUGUCAUGUUCGUUUCAUAAAUUUAUGGUGAAUUACUAAAAAGUAUAUUAGGGUCUAACAUGGAAUUUACAAGCUUUGAGAAUUCAACGUGGCCAAUCAUGUUCAUUAAAGAAAACGGGAGUUGAAAUAUCUGAAACAACCUUGAAAUGUCCAAAACAAUCUUGAUAGAGAUCGGAGAGGGGAGUUAAAAUGGCCAAAAAUAACCAUGAAAAUAAGUCAUUGUGAUUUUGGAUGGAAAACCAAAUGGAGUUAGGGUGAGAUAACAAAUUCUUGAUUUUCAAAACUUGAGAGACAAAGAAUCAACAAGCGAGUCGUGGUGGCUUCGCAACAUGGUGGUUGUGUGACGUGGUGGUGGACAUGUGGUGGUCGUGCCACGAAGUCAUUUGGUGGUGGUGCGUGGUGGCUGCAUUGGCUGGGUGACGGAGAAAUCAGAGAGAACUCAGAUGAGGGAGGGAGAGUGAGGGAAAUAAUAUCAGGGUUAUGUAUGAAAGCCACGUUGGUUUUGUAUUGUGAAGGCGAAGUUGUCUUUUAUGUUUGAAAGUCAAUAUGCCUAGAGUCUAGGUGCUAGCAAAGAGGUGGAAGUAAUUAUGGCUUCAGACAUAAUGAUGAUAGCUAAGGUGUAGGAAGCUUUGUGGAAGUGAGAUGAUAGAUGGGAGAGUUUGGAGUCUUUGAGGAAGUGAGGUGACAGAGAGUAACAAACGGUUGAGAUUGAACCUCAACUAAAUCCAAUGACCAUUAUUAAUUCAAAUAUGUAUAAAACUAUAUUAAAAUAUUGAUCGGUUCGAUUCGGGAAUACCAAACUAGGCCAUAUGAGAUCCCAAUCCCAUACCAAACUUUUCGGGAUUGGGUAUCAAACUGUUCAAAAUUUUCAAUUUGGGAAGUUUUCGGUUCGCUUUUGGGAUUAUUUUGGUACGGUUUGGGAUUUUUGGGAUUUUUUUCCAGCCCUAUACCAAGAUGUCACACCCUGACCGGAGUCGAAGCAUGUUGGGCGACACCCGAAGGUGACGUAACCAAAAAGGAAAGUGAAGCAUAAACAUAUGGAUAAAUUUAAACCAAAACUAACAUUUAUUAAUCUAAAGCAGUGAGUGCGCAAUAGUGGAAAUAACCCAUAAAACACAAGUGUUCAGAGCAUAGAUGACAUAAAACUGUGCAGUCGAAACUAGUUAAAGUGCUUAAUACACAACCGGGAAAAAGCCCCUACACUUAUUUAUGGAUAUGUCAAAACCAUCAAAUAUUCCUCGUACGCCAUAAAGUAAUCAACUAACUAGGACCUGGAGGGGUGAAAAACAGAAGGGUGAGUGGGCAAAAACAAAGGUUUAUAAAACACAUUUAUUUUCUAAACAUACUGACCCUCACUGUAAAACCUGUAUAAUUUCUAGAAAAUCAUACUACGUAAAAGUAUGAAAUCAAAUGUAAAUCAACAAUAAAUCCAUAAAUACGCCAAAUCACCAUAUCUCAACAGUAGCAUAAUAAAAUCAGGUGCUCAUCAAUCUAUGCUAACACACGAGUUCAUGCAGAGGGGAUCUGACAUGAAUUGGAUUGGGUGUAAUCAUAAUAUAUAUGCUCUAGUACUACAAUCACGUGAAGAAUGGGGCUAGGCACAUCACAUACGAGUCAGAGUUGCCUAAUGCAACCUGUACGACAUGACUAACACCUAUAAUGGAUCCAAGGUGAGCGUGUGGUGAGAUGUGAACAAACACGUGAAGCCUAGCCAUGGCCGGGGUGAGUACUACACCGGUGCAAGCAUGCAUGAUGAUGAGCAAGUAUAAUGUUUAUGAGCAUGCCAUAAAUAUAUAUAAAUCUCACUAAAUAAUGACAUUAUUAAGAUUAAAUAAAACAUGGCAUGUUAAGUGUAAAAUCAAUCCAAAAGCAUAUGUGGAACUAUAAAGUUUAUAUAUAUAUGAAAACAAAUGCCCACUCACUGAUACGUCGAUGCAUCGUAGCCUCCUAGCCUUGUUUGUCCUCGUACGUCCUCGGGGUAAUUCUCACCUAUAUGCAAAAUAACUAAACUAAUUAAUUAAAAAGGACAUAUACUAAAAGGCUUGGAAAAGCCCCCAUAGUUUGCUCAAAAUGAGGGUUUAAAUAUACGAAAACAUUCUAUUCGACGUCGUGGACCCAUACACAUCAAGCACACACCGGCUAGCGGCCAGACACUCCCUUACGUGCCGCCAGGUCAAGGCCACACAUACGCCCACGCGUUUGACAAACUGACAGCAACCCUAGGGGAAUACUCCGUCAGACUUGACAAAAUAUUCCACUAAAUGGUAACGGCAUCAGUUACCUUUAACGGCGUUAGAAUAUUUCAUUAACUUUAAUGGAAUAUUCUGAUUUCUUCUCCGGUGGACCUCCAUUGCCAUUCACCGAAAUAUGGGGAAUUUUCAUCAGUUUCUGAAAAAAUUUCAAAUCUUCAUAUCUUCUUCAUUUCUCAACCAUUUUUUACAAACUUUAUAUGCAAAUGAAGCUUAUGAAGAGUAGAACAAGUCUAUACCCUUUGGAAGUCCAAAAAAUGGACGAAAAAUUGACUAAAAAGGAUCGAAAGUCCUGGACCUAGUUUUUACUCCUUGAAACUGUGUGUUUCAACGUUGGCUCCUCUCCCAACUUAGGUUAGUGGCCACGGGGAGUUGCAUAUGUGCUUCCAAAACUCCCAAAACCUUGUAACUCUCAUGGGAAAACAUCGGAGAUUCCACACCCGAGUUGGAGCUCCGAGUUGCUCCAAGUUGGACACUCAAAACUCAUCCAUUUCAUGAUCGGUUCAUAAGCAUGGGUUCGUGGGUUUGAGAAGAACACUAUGGUGGUGUUUUAAAGGCCGAUUUGUGAAGUUUUGAAGGUGGUCCUUGUUGUUGAAAGAGUUACGAGUGAGGGAGAAAGAAGGAGAAUAUGAGAGAAAGAGAGAAGGAGACAUAUUUUUUCGAUUGGUGGAAAAGUGAUGGGAGUUGUCUGGUUGGGUGAGGUAUAGGAGAGUGACUGAUUGGUAGGUGAGGUAUGGGUCACGGAAGAGAUUUUUAUAGAGAAGGGAUCAGAUUUCGUGCAAUAUAAAACUACAAGAAAUCUAUAAAAUCUAACUCACCCUAUCUAGAACAGCGUUUCCAACACUAAAUAAUUAGCACGCAUGUAUACCAUUCUAGCCGUUGUUAACGUACUUUAAUUAAACAUAACGUAUUCAUUACAAAACUAUUUUGGGUCUAACUCGCGUUCACAAGAUCAUAACAACGAUUACUAUUUAAUUAUGAUAACGAGAAAAGUAAUUUAAAGCCAAAUAACUACGUCCACAUCACUUUUCCAACAAAGGGCAUAAAUGACACACCCCGACCUAGAUCGAGGCAUGCUGGUCGUCACGUGAGGGUGACGUAUCCAUGUGCACAAUGCAGAAGCAAUAGAGAUAUAAGGAAUUACGAAUAAACAAAAAACCAAAUCAACUAGAGUACUAGAUAAGAUAAGGUGCAAGUGCGAUAGAUAAGAUAAGGUGCAAGUGCGAGAUUAAGUGUGAAAUACACAACCAGAGCAUAAUAUCCUAGAUGCAGUCAAGCAGGACAAGUACUAAGAAUACAACACCCGAGGGUGAUCCUACAUGGUGAUGUUCUGUCAGAACCCCCGUCAGAAUCCUCAUGAUCCACCAAGUACUUCUACUUAAAACUGGAGGGGCACAAAACAGAAAGUGUGAGUGGGCAAAAACAAAGCUUUUCAAAAUCAUUUCAUUUCUCAAACGUUAUAACCCCUCGCCGUAAAACUUGUAUAAUUUCCCUAGAAAAAUAGAAUAUAUAUAUAUAUAUAUAUAUAUAUAUUUAUACAUAUCUCAAAACCAUGCUUAGAAAAAUAAUAUUCAUAAGUAUGCCAUGCCAAAGUAUCUCAAUGCAAUGCUAUAGGUAAACCAGGCAAAAUAUAUAAAUAUCAAAUAUCGCAUCAGCCAAAUCUCUCUAACUCAAACUGCACUGCUGAGUAUAUAGCUCAUAACCAAUCUCAAUCAUAUCAAAUCAAAUCCAUUUCUUGCACAUGAGUCGGAACCACCUUAAGUGGCCUGUACGACAAGACUAAGUGUAAAAUAAAUAUGCUCUAAUGCUACGAUCACGUGAAGGUUGUGCGAAUAAUUGCGGGCUACCUACGAGUCGAAACCACCUAAAGUGGCAUGUACGACAAGCCUGUGCACCUAACUUGGAUCCAAGGUGAGCAUACGGUGCGGGAGGUGAACAUCACGUGAAUGACUGUGCCCUAACUCUAGGCAGGAGGACUAACACCAGGUCCAGGUUUAUGAGCUCUCAAUACAUCACAUUAUAUCUCACAUAACCGAAACAAUCUCAUACCUUUGAUUUAUGAACUUACCUGGCACUUACCUGUGCGUCCGCAGUACCAAUCAUGAAUGUAUGCAACUACUAAUGCAUAAUUAAAAUAUAUAUAUACUUGCAUGGCAUUUCCAAAACAUAUAUUCAUUUAAAUUCAUUUUUUGGGAAAAAUCCCAAGUAUAUAGGUAUAUACGAAAAACCAAAAGCCCACUCACUGAUAUGUCUAAGGGUCGUAGCCCCCGAGCCUCGAUUGAUGGUGCUUGUCCUCAGGAUAGGUCUCACCUAUAUGUGAAAUAACUGAAUAAAUGUUGUUUAAAGCACAUAACCAAAACUAAGUAAUAACUUCUCAUACAAUUCUCAAAUGGGGUAUUUGAAUAUACCACCAUGAUCUACUCAAUCUCAGGAACAUCCCCAUAUUUUUAGAAAAAACUUCCGACCACCCACGCGCCGGCCAAGGCACGGCCAAACGCACCGCCCACGCGCGGGAACGUGCCAGGCACACUGACAGAACAAUUAAUGCUAUUAGGGAAUAUUCCGUAAAAAGUAGCAUAUUCCGUUAAAACUAACCUGACGCCGUUAGAAUAUUCCGUCAAGUUUGACGGAAUAUUCUCUGUCUUCUUCCUUCGAACUCUAAUGAUCGUCAUCAUUGCUGGAAAACUGUGGAAUUUUCAAACCUUAAUAUCUCAGUCCAUACACAACCAAAGUCCAUGAAAUUUGUACCAAAAUGAAGCUUACAACGGGCAGAACAAAACCUUACCUUUCAAAAGUCCUAAAACCGACGGAACUCAUCGAAAAAUCCCUCGAUAAUCCGACUAAACCUGCAACUCAUCAAAACUCAACUUCCCGACGUCUAAAUCAUUUCAUUUUUCUUCUCUAAGCUUCGUGAAGACAAUCUAAAGCUUCCUAUAACCUUAGAAUCUUCCAAAAACUCCACAUUUAUGUGUGAAUGAACAGUGCUCAAAUCGGAGAUUAUGGUUUCUUGGGUUUUUCGAGGUUUCACGUCCAAAUAAUAGUAUUAAUGGGUUCCUGGGCUCGCAAGGAACUUGAAAAUGGUCUCCAUAACCUCGAUCCGUGAAGAAAUGGUUUGGUUGAGGUUUGUACGUAUGGUACGAAAAUGGAGAAAAACCGAGAGGGAAGAGAGAGAAAGAGAGGGUCAACGGGAGAGAGAGAGUGUGUGAGUGUGUGUGUGUGUGUGGUCCUGAUCCCCUUACAACCAACCAAAACAAUUAGAACCUUUAGUUCUAAUUGGGUCCAAAAGGUUAGGAAGAAAAUAAUUUGGUCCACAACACAAGAUAAACCACACAACACCACAAACGUCUAAGGGUAUUUUAGGCAAUUCACACCAUCAAAAAUUAUAUUUUGGGACAGGCUGUCACAAUAAACGUCAAUUUACACACUCAGGAGGAAAAUUACAUAGAAAAUUAGGGACGGGUCGUCACAAUCUACCCAUUAACAUUACAAAACAAAGUGUCAUUAGCGAGGGUCAUAUGUCGUUGAAAAAGGCAUUUUGCCGUCGCAAAUACUUAUUUACGACGGGAAAAAGCCCUCGAUGGAAAUACUUGUCCCAUUGGAAAUACUUUUUUCCCAACUAGUCGUUGGGAUUAAUUCAUUUUCGACGCACAUGACUUGUUGUUAGUAGAUAGUUUUUUUAUCGGAAAUGAAUUUUCAUAAUGGCAAACUUAUUUUAUUUUCAACAUGGAAAUGUGGUCGUAAAUAAUUAUAGAGUUGUCGAAAUUACUUUUAAAACAACAAAAAAUAUUUUUUACGAUGACUUUUUUUUCCGACCAAACAAUCAUGUCAGAAAAUCUUUUUCCAACAAAAUAAUCUUUAUUUAUGAGAGUGCACAAUCAUUGCAAUUACAAUUACCGACCAUACGAGGUUGUCACAAAAACAUAUUUGUGAUGAUCAAGCGUCGUCAAAAAUAUGUAUUUUCAAUGGUGAAGCUUUGUCGGUAAUACAUAUUUGCAAUGGCAAGGUUUGUCGGGAAUAUAUAUAUUUUCGACAAAGAAGCCUCGUCAAAUAUAUAUAUUUGCAAUGGUGAAGUUUCGUCAGUAAUUUAAAUUUCUGACGAUGAAGCUUCGUUGGAAAGAUAUAUUAUUGACCAUAUUUAGUCGUCGCAAAUUUGUUUGUAACCAAUAUUUGGUUGAAAAUGGGUAUUUCCUAUACGAUCGUUUUUGUUAGAAAUGUGCACAUUAACGAGAGGAAUUUACAAUCUAAAAAGUUAUUAUUCUAUUUAUAAUUAAAUUAUAUAUUGAAAUUAAAAUAUGAUAAAAAUAGGUAUGUAUUCGUUACUAAUAAAUUAACCAAACCAUUGUAUUAAAUUUCUCAACAUCCAAACGAAAUUAUUCAUAAACUUAUUUAAAAAGGAAAAUAGACAAUACUUAAAUUGGAAAGAAAAAAAAGCAAUACCCCACGAAUAAAACUUAAUAGGUUCAUAUAUUGGGUAAUAUCAAAAUGAUGGUAUGAUGCACUACUAAUCUUCAUGUUGAGCAUCUGACCAACUUUCAACAUUCUCCUAUCAAACAAACAAUAAAGAGAGUACUUAAGUAAAGAAAUAAUAUAUUAUUCAACAGUAAGACAAACAAUAAAAAUGAGCGCGCAUAAUUAUUUGAGUUGUUUGGCAUCAGUCUUUCAACUAAUUCUUGCAAAGAAUUCAACUUAUCUGUUAAAGUGUUGACUUGGUCCUUCAAUUUCUCAUUGCUUUCUUUACAUUCUAAGAACGUACGUAUAUUACAACUUUGGCUAUUUGAGGGAUAUGCAUCUGUAGUACUAAAGCCAGCACCUACACCAAAAAGACGACCAUCCAAUCACCUCUUUGUAUAUGACCCAAUCACUUACUUCAUUUUGUUCUUCCAUAGCAGUAUUCUUUUUGUUGUCCAUUUUUUCCUUCAAUAAAAUUGUAAUAUGUAACCAUAGGUAAUACACACAAUAUCAUGUAAAAAAAAAAUUGAAAUUGUGAUAACAUACAUAAAGUUCUUUAGCCUUUUCACUUGCCCAAGUUUCUUCACCUUCAUUCUUACGCUUACUCACAUGGAAUUUUUUGAAACAAUCAAUCGGGCUAGGUUUAAUUCCACUACGAUCAAGCUAUUAAGAUUAAAAAAAGAAGGUUUGUUAAAGAAAUUUUAAAUAUGCAAGAAUGACGGUAUGGAAACAAAGCAUAAACAUAGUAUUUUUACCUCAUCUUUUCUGUACUUUGCCAUUGGAACCGAACUUGUGGUGUGCACAAUUGUGGACUGCUCCCUAUUGCACGCGUUUUGCACACUUUGUUUCUGCAUGAAAAUGAAAAAGAAAGUAAAGUUAAAACCCAAUCAUCUCACUAUAAGCAUCUACAUGUAAGGAAAAUAAUACAUUAACCAUCAUAAGAUGAUAUAACUUAAAUAAAACUUUUACCUUCCAUUCAAGCUUCUCCCAUUUUUCAACCAUUUUACACCAAACAUCUUUAGAUACAUUUGAUGGGCAAUUAAUGUAUCUCUCCCCAGUAGUCUUGUACUUGUGAAAAACAAAAUUCCUGUGCUCAUCCAAUCGGCAUAUUUUGUUUUAAUAUGUAGGUCAAAAGCAGCCCUCAUCUCUUCUUCAGAACACGUGUAUGUGUAUCCAGUUCCCUUAAAACGACCAUACAAUUCAUCCAUUUGCUCUUUUGGAUGAUCUUUAAAUGUAAUCCAAGACCCAUUAAUAACUUCAUUAAAUAGCACCCCUAUAGUUUUCGUAGCAUUUGCAGUUACAAUCCUAUAAAAUUAAAAUUAGAUUAAAACAAUCACAUAUCUAAAUAGUUAACUAUUUGACAAUCAUGCUUUCAGUGACUUGUGCUUAUUACCUGCUAUCAUGUAUUACAAUCGGAGUGCCAUUCCCAUCUUUACCCUUAGCCUUCCCUCUACCCUUCUUUUUGGUAGGACCUAAUCAAUAAAAAUAAUAAUGUGCUUGUAUGUUUAAUAAAUAACUAAUUACAAAAAUGCACAUUUUGAAACCGAUAUAAAUACAGUACCUUCCACACUUGAAGGUUGAUUCUCAAUAGAUGUUUGUUGUGUCUCGUGUAUUUCGCUAUCAUGUGAUGGUUGGGUAACAUCAAGUUGGUCUGCACAGGUUGUAGGUGAAUGAGUAGUAGUGUGCAGUACUCUAUUUUGACUCAUUCCUCUUGUUGUUGUGGCUACAAAUUUACAAAGAAAACACAAAGCUAAAUAAGACAUAAUUAUUAGAGAAUUAGUUUCUUUUAACAUAUGACAAAGUUCAUUAAACAAUCAACAAAGACAAGAAAAUUAGAUGCCUAGUACCCGAAGAUAGAAAAAUGAAAAAAAUCCACAUAUAAAAUUACCUUGUAUUUUUGCAUGUUGGAUCUCUUGCAUUUCAUUGUCAUGUAGUUCAUUGGUGGUAUCAUAUUGGUUUAAAGAGAGUCUAGAUGAUAGAGGACGUGUGCUUGAUGAAUUUUUUUGGCUCCUUCCCUUUUUUGCCGUAUCUAACAAUCAUACAAAGACAAGAAAAUUAGAUGCCUAGUAUUGAAAGAUAGAAAAUGAAAUAAACGAAACCAUGAAAGCUAAACUAAAAUCAACUAGAAUUGGUGUUUCAAUGGCAGAAGGCAAAAUAUAUACAUAAACCCUAAAUGUUAGGAAAUCCCAGAAGCCAUGAAAAAUGAAUAAAAUUGAAAUUUAAUAUUUACAUAAACCCUAAACUUAAAAUUGGCACAAGGAGAACUAUUGGUGUUUCAAUGGCAGAAGGCAAAAUAUAUACAUUAAAAAAUAAAGAAACUAGAAUCUUUGCUUUGAAAAAUCAAAACCAAAUCUGGACGGAUUUGAUUUGAAGUUUGAACAAGAGAACAACAUGGUUGGGUUCGAGUUUGACCACUCCAAUUCUAAAAAGGCAACUGAACUAGGUCGGUAAUAUAUACAGAAACCUUAAUUGUAAGGCUAGUAAGCCAAUUCUUACCAACUCAAAUAGCGAAGAGGCACAAUGUUGUCAGUACUACGCUGGUUCACGAUCAUGCACUGGGUUUGAAACACGGUAAACAAUGUUGAGGAAUUGAUGUAGCCCUAAUCUAAUCAAGGUUAGAGGUGUUAAUAUAGAGAACAACAUAGAUGUAGCCCUAAUCUAAUCAAGAGUAUGAUAUCCUUUUUAGUUUCUCUCCUUUUUUUUUUUUUUUUGUUGUGGGUGGAACAAAUUCUACAAAACAUUUUUGGAAAUUGUGGGAGAAAAGGGAGGGACAUGCCAAAACCCUAAUUAAUUUGGAGAAAAAGCCAACCUGCUUAAAUUCCAUAAAAACAAGAGUUUGGGAAUUGUAGGAAAAAGAGGAGGGAAGCCAAACCCUUAUUUAUUUGGGGGAAACGGCCAACCACUAAAUUCUACAAACAGUUUUUUUAAAUAAAAAAUAAUAUUGUUUCUUUUGAGGAAAAGAGCCAAAACCCUAAACAUUAUCAGAAAUUAAUAUUUAAAGUCUGGAAAGUUAAUUUGAAUGAUCCGACCAUCAAAUUUGUUUUUAUAUACCUCGAGAUCGCAUAUGCCAAAAAUUGCAAAAAAACUGACAUUUAGAUAUUAGUUUAUGGGAUGAAACCCUUCAACGGUUAUAAAUGAAAACUCACGAUUUAACGGUUAACUCCGAUUUUGCAUAUUUUUUACAACUACACUCCUCAACCCUAUAAGAGUACAAUGAGAAUUCGAUAUUCAAUUUAAAUUUUUUGAACUAGUGGAUACCACAAAAUAUUAUGUUCUACUUAAUGGAAGUAUAAAAUAAACUUCAAAUGUUUGGUGAAUCUAUCGUUUUCAAGGAAUACACAUUUUACAAAACAGUUUCAACGAUCCAACCAUCAAACUUGUUUGUAUAUGCUCUAAGAUCACAUAUGUUAAAAAUCGAAAAAAAACAGAAAUUCAGAUAUUAGGUAACGGGAUGAAACCUUUCGACGGUUAUAAACAAAAACUUACGAUUUAACUGUUAUUUUAACUGCAAUUUUGCUAAUUUUUUACAACUACACUCCUCAACCCUAUAAGAGUACAAUGAACGAAUUCGAUCUUCAAUUUAUAAUAUUUGCACUAGUGGAUACCACAAAAUAUUAUGUUCUACUUAAUGGAAGUAUAAAAUAAACUCCAAGUGAUUGGUGAAUCUAUUGUUUUGAAGGAAUACACAUUCUACAAAACUAGUUUCAACGAUCCAACUGUCAAACUUGUUUGUAUAUGCUCCAAGAUCGCAUACGUAAAAAAUCGCAAAAAAACAUACAUUCAGAUAUUAGGUAACGGGACGAAACCUUUUUAUGGUUAUAAACGAAAACUCACGAUGUAACGGUUAUUUUAACUCCGAUUUUGCUGAUUUUGUUACAACCACACUCCUCAACCCUAUAAGAGCACGAUGAACAAAUUCGAUCUUCAAUUUAAAAUAUUUGCAUGUUCUACUUAAUGGAAGUGAUGUGGUUAUACUUUGUUCAAUAUGCAUGACAAAUGUUAUGAGUUAACAAAGGCAUGCAAAUUAUUUCUUUAUCAUAGAAUACUAUAUUAAGUUAUACAGCUUUUUCCUCAACAGUUUUAUUUUUAAUUUUAAGGUCCAAUCUUCUCCUUAUGUAUUCUAAGUUAUAUGAUCUAUUUAUUGUAAAAUUUAAAUUAAGCAUCAAACUUAUUUCAAGACUAUUCCUCAUAAAUAAUUGAUUCCAACAAAACCACAUGCCUUAAAAAUUUAUUCUGACAAAGAAAAAAUUUUGUCGGAAAAAAUAUGAUUACUUCCGACAACAACUAAUCACCCUCGAAAAUAUAAAAGUAUUACUGAGAAGACUUUUCCCCUCAAAAAUAUAAAAAUAUUACCGAGAGGACUUUUUUCCCUCGAAAAUACUAAACCAAUUUCGUCAACAUGAGUAAACCUUCGGAAAUAACCAUUCUAUUUCUGUGACAUCCCACAUCACCUAAGGGAGUUGUGACAUCCCACAUCGCCCAGGGGAGUGAUCCUUGAAUGUAUAUUCCCAUCCUUACCUAGCACGAGGCCUUUUGGGAGCUCACUGGCUUCAGGUUCCGUAGGAACUCCGAAGUUAAGCGAGAAGGAGGCCAGAGCACUCCCAGGAUAGGUGACCUACUGGGAAGUUGCUCGUGAGUUCCCAAAACAAAACCGUGAGGGAAUGGUAAGCCCAAAGCGGACAAUACCAUGCUACGGUGGUGAAACGGGCCUAUGAUGUGGUGGACCCAGGCGGGGAUGUGACAAUUUCCGAUAAGAACUUUACUCGUCGUUAAUACAACUGACGCCAAUUCUUCCCGCCAAACAAAAGUGCAUUUCCGACGAAACUUGAGACUUUUUUCGAGGACAUUAUGUGCGUUGGUAAUCAAAACUUGUUUCAUGCAAUGUUACCGACGACCCAUAUUUUAUGGUCGCAAAAUGUGCUUUUUAUGACGGUUUUCUUGGGCCCUCGAAAAAUCUUCGUCAAUAAGAACUAUUUUUUCUUGUAGUAUAAGAAAAUUUCAUCCCCGAAAUUUCAACACUACUAAAGAUCAAUCAAAGAACAAACGUGGAUAAAGAUUUCACAUACGCUCCUCUGUCUCCCAAGUAGCUUCCUCAACAGAGUGGUUUCGUCAUAAGACUUUCACCAUACAAAUGGUUUUGUUCAUGAGAAUUUAUCUUUCCAGUUGAGAUUCUUCAUUGGAACCUCAUCAUAAGUCAAACCUGGGUUAAUCUCUAAUGGCUGAGGAGGAAUCAUGUGGAACACAUUAUGCACUCUUGACAACUCUAGAGGUAGAUCAAGUCGGUAAGCAAAUUCACCAACCUGCUCAAUGAUUUGAUAUGGUCUGAUGUAACGACGACUUAGCUUUCCUUUCUUCCUGAAAUGUACAAUGCCUUUCCAUGGUGACAGCUUGAAGAAUACCCAAUCUCCAACCUUAUAUACUAUGUCUGUCGAAUGUCUGUCAACUAUACUCUUUUGUUGAUCCUGUGCUGCUUUUAGGUUAGCCUUUAUCACUUGAAUAUUCUGUGUCAUCUCAUCCACGAUUUCAGCGCCCACUAAAAUCUUUUGCCUACUUCGGACCAACACAGUGGAAAACGACAAGGUUUCUUAUAAAGCGCCUCAAAUGUCAACAUACCAAUGCUGGAGUGAAAGCUAUUACUGUAGGCGAAUUCUAUCAAAAGUAAACGCUUGUGCCAUGCGUCUCCGAACUGCAGGACUAAAGAUCUUAGCAUAUCUUCCAACGGUCUAAGGGUGAUAGGCGGUGCUGCAGAGUAAUUUCGAACCUAGAGUUUCUUGAAAAACUACCCAAAAUUUCGAAGUAAAUCUAAGAUCCCGAUCAUAAAUAAUAUUAACACCAGGAUACUUGACAAUUUCCAAGACAAAAAGUUCGGCCAACCGACUCAACGGGUAGUUUUCACGAAUAGGUAGGAAAUGUGCUGACUUGGUAAUCUAAUAUAUAAUCACCCAGAUACUGUCAUAGCCAUUACGUGUACGAGGUAGCUUGUACAUGAAAUCCAUUAUGAUAUCUUCCCAUUUCCACUAGGGUAUAACAAGUGGUUGUAGCAACCCGAAUGGUUUAUUUCUUUCCGCUUUUACUUGCUGACAGACUGGACAACGACUGACAGACUGGACAACGACUCAACGUACUCCGCAAUUUCUCUUUUCAUUCAUGUCCAGUAGUAGAAAGGUCAGAUAGUAUGACACAUUUUAGUACUCCCAGGAUGCAUCGCAUAAGCUGAAAUAUGCGCCUCAUCAAGUAUUUCUUUCUUUAGUUCUUCCACAUUCGGUACAUACAUUCGAUCGCCUUGCAUGAGCAUACCAUCAGGCCUUCGAAUCCUUAGAUCUCCUCUAUUACCUUUCAACACUGCUUGAUUUAACUCUUGGGAUUAUGAGUCAUUCAUCUGAGCCUCGAGAAUACGAUCCAAUAAAACUGGUCGGACUUGAAAGUUGGCAAGUAGAGUUCCCUGGUGAUCCACUCCCAAGCUAGCUCCAGUAGAUCUUAGGCCCAUGAGAAGAGGAACAUGACAUGCAUAAAGAGCAUUGAGUCGACCGUGAGAUUUCCUGCUGAGAGCAUUUGCUACAGUAUUUGCACAACCAGGGUGAUAUUCAAUAGUGUAGUCAUAAUCGCUGAUCAAUUCCAUCCAUCUACGCUGCCGGAGAUUAAGUUUUUUCUGAGUAAAUAUUGGUUUAAAUCACUUAAAAGUAUCUGAGUGCAUUCUGCCGAUAGAAAGUCUUUCAGGAGUCUAGUAUUCUGAAGCAAUCUCUGCCACCAUGAGUUCCAGUUCACCGUUGGUCUUAGAGCAGUUCCAGGCUUCUUAAAAUGUCGGGUAAUUAGGCACAAAAUUUCUCAUAAAUGGAGAGGGUUUUUAUCACAAAUGGUCUAUGAUAUUUACCCUCACCAGCAAGAUGGUCCCUGAAAUUGAAAAUCAAUCAAUCCAGUCCUUGAAAAUAGGUGUCGCAAAUCAAUGUGGUCAUUUCAUCACAAUUCUGUUAAAAAAAUCCGUUAAGUGCUGAUGUGGCACAUAAAUAGGUCCCACAAGUCUUUUUUUUUUUUUAUCACGAAUGGUCCUUGAAAUUGACAUGCGACAUCAAAAUGGUCCCUGAAAAUUGACCUGCAACAUCAAAUGGUCCCUGAAAUUGAAAAUCGAUCAAUGUUGCCCCCGCUUAUAAGUGUCCCAAAUCAAUAUAGUCAUUCCGUCACAAUUCUGUCAAAAAUUCUUAUGCGCAGAUGUGACACAUAAAUGGAUCACCCAAGUCUAAUUAAAUGUUAAAAAUUACAAAUAGGUUUAAUAAUUUAACAGUUAAUAAAAAGUUGUGCACCUAAAAACCCAGUCCUGCAAUCACCUUUGAUUUCAAUCCACAUUCCUUUACUUCAUUCGAUGUCUAUUAUAUAAAACAAAAUCUCAAUACACUCAUCUUUACACACUUCGACACCCUUCACCGAAUUGAACCUGGAUCGAGAUCACCUUUGGUGACGGUUUGGUUGAUUGGCAACGACUUUUGGGACAUCACGUUAACAUUUAGGUGAUCAACAUUCUUACAACCUUAAUCUUGGAGAGCUUGUUCGGCAGUUCCCAGGUGGUCUGGUGACUCAAAUAAUGGCGAGGUUUGCUUUAAGAUAAUGAGGUUAUAGCCUAGGUACUUCUAUUGUUGGUUGAAAAUUAUUUCCAAACCCCCUCUUAGGCCUUGGUUAAGCUUUAUGCCUUUGAAAAUUUAUAGAAGGGAUCCCUCUUCGGAGUCGGUCAUACUAUAAGAAAAAAAUUAUAUUGUGCAAAAAGGUAUUUAGACAACUUUUUUAAUUAAUUAUUAAACUCACAUCAGCACAUAACAAUUUUUUUUUUUUACAGAAUUGUGGCGGAAUGAUCAUAUUGAUUUGCGACACCUAUUUUCAAGGACUACAUUCAUCGAUUUUCAAUUUUAGAGACCAUCUUGAUGGUGUGGGUCAAUUUUAGGGACCAUCUUGAUGGUGUGAGUCAAUUUCAUGGACCAUUUGUGAUAAAACCCAUAAAUCUUGUGGGGCCCAUUUAUGUGCCACAUCAACACUUAACGGAAUUUUUAACAUAAUUGUAAUGGAAUGACCACAUUGAUUUGCAAUACAUAUUUUCAGGAACUACAUUGAUUGAUUUUUAAUUUCAGAGACCAUCUUGAUGGUGAGGGUAAAUUUCAAAAACCAUUUGUGAUAAAAACCCUCUCCAUUUAAGAGAAAUUUUGUGCCUGAUUGCCCGACAUUUUAAGAAGCCUAGAACUGCUACUCGCGGUGGCAGAGAUUGCUUCCGAAUACUACACUCCUGAAAGACUUUCUAUCGGGAGAAUCCACUCAAAUACUUUUAAGCAAUUUGAUGGCCCUGGUCAUCUUAAGUAAUUCCAUGACCAAAAAAAAUUGCAAUUAACUAUUUUAGGGUCGAGAAUUAGACCUGGUAAUUUUUUACAUGACCCGUUAAUACGACAUGUAAAUGAUACGAAAAUAACAGUUCCAGGUCGACACAAUAAAUAAUCGGGAUGUUAUCGGGUCACACGAUAAGAACCCGUUAAUAACGGGUCCUUAAUAGGUUUACACGAGACUGACAGACGGGUAACCCGUUUCAACACAUUAAGAAAAAAGUUAUUUUUGAUGAUUUUAAUGUUUUAAAUUACAUAAAAAAACUUAUUAUAAAAUACAAUAGCUAUAGUGUAUAUGUAUACACAAUACGGAUGUUACACGAUACGGUCCGUUAAGAUAUCGAGUAUGUUACGAAAAUGAUACGAACACGAAAAACACGACAUGAAUGCCUAGUCUAACAGAAUAGUGGAUUUGACUACAAUACUUCGUUUUUUGUGACAUAAAAAUUUAAUCAAUUUGUGGCCUCUACUACUGAGAAUUUUUUAGAACUGUUCGAAAAGAUUUUAAUUCGCGAACAAAAGCACCACAACUGCUUGAAAAUUCUAAAACUGCUUGAAAAUUUGUUUAAAUUAAAUAUUUAGCUCUUUGUUCUGCAAAUUUGAAUCAUUGAAUGUCUAAACCCUCCUCUUUGGGGAUAAUUGUUGUAUUGAGAUGUUUGUGCAUUUCUUAUAUGUAUUUGAUACGGGUAAUGUUAUGAAAAUUAAAAUUUUAAAUCAAAUGAUGUGUCACUAAUAAGAAAUAAGCACGUUAAUUAAUGUUUAAGUAUUAAUACUGUGACAGCCUGUCCCUAAAAAUUUUGGUUUUUAUAAUUUUAAUAAGUGAAAUUACGGUAAUGCCCUAUGGGCAAAGCGUGAUUUUUCGAGGACGUAUAUGAUUCCCGUAUAUUUUUUCAUGUUUAUUGACAUAUUCGGAUAGAGCUCGAUCUUACGGACGCGUAGGCAUGGGUAGAAGUGAUUUUGGAGUUACGGUUAAAGUUUUAUUGAGUUACGAACCCGAAGGUAUUUGGAAUGAAAUACUAUUUUAAUUAUUUCACACUAUGUUUUUAUUAUUACAAAAUGAUUUAUAUGCCAAGGGUGUGUGUGUGUGAGGGGAGGAAGAAACAGAAAAAGAAAGAGGGAACAGAGAAGGAAGGCUACUGCCUAAUUGGGGGAGAGGAAGAGAUGAGACUGACCAACCAGAGAGGAGAGAAAGGAGGGAAAGGAGGGAAGGUGAGAAGGAGGGGAAAUUGAGUCUCCUCCUUGACCCGCGUGACCCGGCCAAGCAUUAAGGCCAAAUUCGUUCAUUUUUCAGCCAAUUUUCGGUGAAUUGUGUUGAACCACUACCUGGAUAUACCACCCUCACCCUCCCUCUUCCAUUUCCAUCCAAAAUUAGAAAGAAUUUGGUGGUAUUUUAGAGGAAAAACGGACGGUGGUCCGUGUGGGUGUAUGGCGGCAAUCCGCAAAUAUUAAAGCUAACGCAACCAAUUACCACCACCCAUAGGCUCCCUUCAACCUCAGGAACAAAGCCCAAGAAAUGGUAGAGGCGUCAGAGAGAGUAUGGAGGUUGAAUUGAAGCACACCCUUUUCUAGGGUUUCCAGCGGUUCGUGGCCAGUUAGAGCGGCUUUCCAGCCAAAUUGGCCUUGGCCGCAUGUAUAAAGUUUGCUUUACUCUUUGAGAUCUUCAUUUCUGUAAUUUUUGAGAAUUUUUAGAAAUAGUUGAGUUUUCCAGCGAGCUAGGGCAGCUGGUGCGGCGGCGCACGGCCAGGGAGCUGAGUUGGUUUUAUUUUAUGAAAUUUGUUAUUCUAAUUAUGCUUUUGAGACCUAAUUGUUGUAGUUUGAAUAUUAGUACGAUUGUAGUAUAUGUUGGAUUAAAUGAAUAUAUUCGGAUUUGGUUUGAACUUUGGAAAUGUGAACUACGAAUAGCUUCAUCCCUUUUUAGGGUACGUAGGUAGUCUAACGAGACGUUAGAUGCAACCAUACAAUAUUUGAGACAAAAGCCUUGUUUGGGAAAUUGAGCAAUGUGAAGAAAAUUGGUGAAAAUAUGAGAUUUAACCUCAUGAUUUAGUGAUUGGAUGUUAGUCAUAAAUCAUUGAGUAAGGGAUCGAGAAGUUGAAGUAAAGAAUAGUAAGUAAUGAUAAUCAAUUAAACUAGUGUUUAGUUGGGUUUGUCACCGAUAAGUAUUCCCGAAAAUAAUUAGUUCAGGAGUAGGGUGUUAUAGAUUGUGCAUUUUAUGCCACAAUAUAUAUAUAUAUAUAUAUAUUUGGAAGCACUACGAUAUGGUUAAGUUUUAAAUGGCAUUAUGGUAUAUCCAUAUAUAUAUUACCUGCACAUAAUUAUUGUGAACGCUUUGAAGUGCAAAGGUGAAUGCAGGACACACAGGUAAGUUUAGGUGAGUUUAUGGUAUUAGUUGAAAUGAUGAAGUUAUGGCAUGACUACAUUUAUGUUUUAGGCAACUUCGACAUUAUUGUACAGGUUGCAAUAAUAGGCAACUCCGACCUUGUCGUACAGGUUGCAAUAAUAGGCAACUCCAACAUUGUUGUACAGGUUGCAAUAAUAGACAGCUCCAACACUGUCGUACAGGUUGUAUAUGAGUCGUACAUGCCAUAUUAGAUGUAUUUAGAGCUCAUAAACCUGCACCCCGGUGUUAGUGCUCCCGCCCAUGGCCAGGGCACAGUCCUUCACGUGAUGUUCACCUCCCGCACCUUACGCUCACCUUGGAUCCAAGGUAGGUGCACAGGCCUGUCGUACAGACCACUACAGAUGGUUCCGACUCGUAGGUGACCUGAGAUUAUUUGCACAAUCUUCACGUGAUCGUAGCACUUAAGCGUACUUAUUUACACCCAGUCCUAUCUUACAAACCACUAAAGGUGGUUCCGAUUCGUGUGCAGAGAUAUUUGAUGAGCUAUAGGUUCAACCGUACAUGCCACAAGAGGUGGAUUCGGCUGACAUGUUAUUUACCAUUGAUUUAUUUCACUUGGAUUACCUAUUCGUUAUACUGAGAUACUUGACAUGGCAUACUUAUAGAUAUGUUAUUCUGAGUAUGGUUUUGAGAUAGAGAUAUAAUCUAUCUUCUGGGAAAUUAUAUAGGUUUUACGGCGAGAGGUUAUUACUUUUGAUAAGUGGUUUUUGAAAAGUUUUGCUUUCACCCACUCACAUUUUCUAUUUUUGCACCCCUCCAAGUUUAGUAGCAAGUUUCUGUAUCGAAGAGAAUUCGUGGCACUUCCCAGUUCAGGUGGCCUCUUAUAAUGGUAUAAUCAUUAUCUUACCUUACUGUACCUUACUUAUGCUCUAUAUCACGUGUGAAUGGGUCCAUACCGCUCACCACGCACUCGUGUGUUUAGGCAUUUUUAGGUUUAAAUUUGUUCGUAGUUUAUACAUUAUCACACUUUUUGGCUUCGUCACCUUCCUGGUGUCGGCCAGCACGGCUCGAUUCGGAGUCCUAGUGGACAUUCCGGGUCGGGGUGUGUCAAAUACAAUCAUCAACAACACUAUCUUUUAAUUUGCAAAUUUGGUUUAAAAUUUUGGUGUCCCUCUCAUUAUCCUUUUUGUUAAUGAAACUCUAAAUAAAUAAUUUUAAUUCACGAGGUAAACAUAUAUUGCAGUUUUUUUUUUUUUUUUUUGUAUUUUCUUUUUAUAUUAAACAAACGAUAUAUAUACCCAGGGGAGGGGUUGGGCUUUGCCUCACAAUGGGCAAACAAUAAUGUAGUUCGAAUUCACCAUUACAAGUAAAGAAAAAUAACACCAAAUCAUAAUACCUCUCACUUACAAGUAAAUAAAAAUAUCAUUAGACCAUAAUACUAAGUGGCGUAUAUUGCAGUUUCUUAGUUGCCAGCUUCUUUGCCAAUUGGUUUUGAUGAAGCAUCUAGUGUGGAGUGGUCAUACCCUUGUGUGCAUUAAUGAUCAUCUUGAAGAUGUGAAGCAUUAAUAUCCUGCAUCAACUCACUCUUUCUCCUUAAGAAUACUGACUAUUGUAGCAAGAUAUUUGUGAGAUUUUCUUUUGAUACACACUCCUACUACAAAACUUGUGUUAUCAAUUAUUGUGCCUUCCGAGAACUCACGACAAUAACCGCUAUCUCCUAACCAUGAAAAACCUAAUGCGACACUUAAGGAGGAAUGUUUUGAAUAGAAUUAUUCAGUAGGAAACUUAAAGUAAAAUCCCAAUAGGAUUUGGAGAUCAAUCCUCAUAAGUUUGUAUUAUUUGCAAGGCAAGAAAACUCAUCAAGAUUAAUAUAAAUAAAGGUACAAGGCCAAGUGGUGAGGACUCAUACAGCUGACCUUUCUCUCUCACCCACUUUUAUAAUUAGUUUCACAACAUCUCUCAUUUAAAAAUAGGCUUGAUUGAGAGAUAUUCUAGCAACAAUAUAAAGAUUGACCAUGCUCUCACAAUACAUUCCUUAUACCAAUGCUAAACCAUAUUCACUAGCAAGAGCAUUUAAAUUGUAGGGAGUAGAAGACAAUUCUGAGAUCAAUUCCAAUCAUGUUUCGAAUUCAAGAGAUAAGUCAAUUUCUUUUGUAUCCAUUUGGUUUAUUCAAUCUGUGAUCCAAAUGUCUCAUUGUUGUGCUUUUCAGAAUAUGUCUUACAGAUUCACCUUCACCCCAAUCUCCUUGCUUUAUAUAUUGGGGAAAGAAGUAUAGAUUUAAAUUGAAGCCAAAAUGCUUGGUUCUAAUGAUUAACAGAUUAAUUUUGUUGGAAUAUUUAAUUACAUUUUUGCAAUUGAUUUACAAUUGAGUUGUAAGAAAAGAUAUGGACUGUUCUUCCAAGAAGAGGCCAAGUUCAGAUUCAUAAUUUGAAUUGAGAGCCCCAAUGCAAAGCGUGAGGAGACGGUAAGCAGAAAGGGAGUCGGAGAAUUGAUCCUGCCUUCCUCCUUGCGGUAUUUCAAAAUACAGUCUUGUGAUCCUCACAAUGGUAAAUUAUUUAUCCUGCCUUCGGACAUGGCAAAUUAUUGAUCCUCACAAUGGUGCACAACAAUGUAUUGCUACUUGAUCCUUGCCAUUAUUUUAUUUUGAUUAGUGCUUCAACGUGUAAUAAGUUUUAAUCUUCCAUAUGAGUCCCUUAACGGUCGUUGGUAACGUAGAGCCUGUCCUCUCCUCUCUUGACCCGUCAUUAGCUGGUAUAUCGUUUAAUUUCUAGGGCAAUUAGCACAAAUGAUCACUUUUUUGACAUUUGGUUGCAGAAAGGAUUAGGUGUCAUCAUCGUUGUGUCGUCUUUUUAUUUAUUUAUUUACUAAUCAAGAAAAAUAUAUUAAAGGGAAAACCCUCAAGUACAAUUGUUCCCUACAUAAUCAAACUGAAGAACAUGAAGAACAAAUGAAGGAAUACAAUGAUCCCAAAUAUGACAAUCAGUAAUAAGAAGGCCUUGGUGAGCGAAGGAAUCUACCACAAAGUUAGCCUCUUUAUCAAUAUGUUUCUAGUCAAUGCAAUCAAAAUUGGUCGCCAUCCACUUGAUAUCUUCAAUAAUAGGAACCACAUUCCAUGGUGUCGCACCUCGGUCCAACAUUGACUAAAUGACCAAUUUAGAGUCACCUUCAACCAUAAUCUUUGUAUAGCCCUUCCAUGUCAUCGUUGUGUCGUCGAUAUGCAAUCAAUCAUCAAUAUAUCGCUGAUAUUAAAGAAUGGUGAUUUCUACAACCAAUUGUCAAAAAGUGAUUAUUCUUGCUAAAUUUCCUAAUUUCUUUUACCAAAUGAAAGAAUAGUACUAUUAAUCAGACUCAAGUAUUGCAAGUGUACAAACAAAGGUCAAAGGUAGUACGUCAUAACCUUCAAGGAGACAUUAUUUUUUAGAGACGAAAUGUACUCUUAAGGAUAGUGUCUAAAUUGUCUCAACUUACAGUGUUGUUCUAAUUAAACAUCGGCAGAGAGCAAUUUCUACAUCCUAAAAGAUAAGUAUUCAUUAUAUUGUUGAUUUCAUUUAAUCGAUUGUGGCAAUGAAAGUUCUCAUUAACCGUAUUUAUCUUAUGUGAAUUGUUGUAGAAGAAGUAGCAUCAACGCCGCUAAGCUUUCCAACAACAAACACCACUUGUAAAGCAUCCCCUUCUGAAUGAAAAUACGAAAGCUCAAUAGGACGGCUAGUUGAACACUUCGUAACGUUACCAAUGCUUCUACGUGAAAAGGACAAUUAGUAGCCCUCUGAAGAGUAGCAACCGUAACAAGACAGGUCUCUUCCCCAUCCCUAACCACCCUAAUGCCACCACUACCACUGCACUCGCAAAAAGCAUAAUAAAAAAAUAAUAUUCACCCAACUGUGACCCAGAGGACUGCACCAUUGAUGCUGCACUGGCUGCUUACCUCGACUACCGGUUACACAUGUUGUCCUUGCCGCAGAAUAGUAUUCCUCGACUACCAGAAAUUAUGACCAUAUGAGCAUCAUGAAGGCGAGAAAACUACUCCUUGGACAAGUCAAUCGCCAUCUGGAAUAGCCUUUCUUUAAGGCUACGAGAUCGCAACAAACUUUUCUGAAAAGACAAGGGACUAACAAACUACAUGGAACUUUUUAUGUAGAGCAUCGAUGGGCAUGUACAUACCCUGUUUUCCCUCAGCCUGUUUACUUGCUUGAAAUUUCAUAUGCAAAAAUUGCUUUGCUUCCCUCUUUUUUUUUUUUUUUUUUUUUUUCUUCGAAUAAGUUAUUAAGAUGUUGGUUUCUUGCAUUCUGGAUUUGACGGCUUGGCUACAUGGAUUUUUUUUUUUCUUGGCAUGUGACUUUCUUGUUCUUCAAAUUUUUGGCUUUAUCUUGCUCAAAUGGUUUGCGUGAAACAUUGUAAUUUAUUUUACUAUGUUUUCGGUUUGGUAGGUCCACUAAGCUAUACUUGAACCAGUGAAAUCUGCUCGUAGAUGUGAGCUCGAAGUACCCAUAAAAUAGAUAAGCAAACCCAAUUUAAAUUUGCAAGUGCACAAGGCCAAUAGUAGUAUAGUAAGAGCAAGUAUGAAGUCAUUCCCACGAAUAUUGAUUUUUACUUUGAGUCUCAACUCAAUUCAAACUUUUAACACAAGUAGGGCUGCAAUUGAUUGAUUUUAACUAGAAUGAACGAGCCAAGGAGAUCUCAAAACCCUAAAUUAAGACUAGGUGGCAAGAAUAUUUGAGUGCUUGUAGUUGUUUCUCCAUAUGCUUCUACAGUGAGCAAGUUAUAGAAAAAGGAGAAAACUAGCAGAGAGAGAGAGCAACGGAAAGAAAUAAGUGCAGGAAGUUAAUGGCCUGUAAUUGGGAUAAUGGCUUAAUAGCUUGUUCAUUAUAUUCGUACAAUAUAUACACUUAGAGAUUUGACUCUGUACAAUACAGAAAGGGCAAGUAAUAACUAAUUGUUACAUGAUAGUAUGAUACAAUAUGGAGAGAUUGAUGAAAUCGGAGUGAUUUGAGGCUGGAUUGAUAUUCUUGUCACAAGUCUCCUAUCAUUGUGUGUGAUUAGAGUUUACUUUUGUGUUCUUGAUCGCAUAAAUAUCAUUUUGUACUUAGUGUUUUGAGGAAAUUAAGGCUUGGACUUCCUGAUAUUUUCAUGAUACUUUAAGAAAUCCAUCGAAAUCUUACUAAAUUGUCUACCAAAUGAGCAAUUUGAAUCGUCCUGUUGGAGGAAAGAUCAGCAGUUUUCAAUUAUAUUGCAGAAAAGAAGAAUACAAGAGAAUAUGGAGGAUAAGUUUUGAACGGGAACUGAAGUUAACAUACUUUGUUGCUUUCAAUUUUUAUUACAACACUAGGCCAUCUUGUUUUGGCUAUUUUUAAUAACAAUGAGACCUUUUCAUAACACCCAUAAGUCUUGGAUUAGUUCCAAAAGACACAACUCUACAUAACAACUGAUACAACUAACCAACAGAAAGUGCAUUACGUUUAACACUUACAUCAUUGACAUGAUCCUAGUUAAUCUAAGGUUGUUACAUAUAUCCUCCUUAGGUUCCAGAGUAAUCCUCUCUAGUUCCUGCUGAAAUCUCUCCAUGGCCGAGAAUGGCAAGCACAUUGGUACCAAUAUUCCAUCCUCAGAGUUGUUUUUGUGUUGAACGUAGAAGCUAAUCAAAUCCAAGGCCUUGGCAGGUCCAGCAAAUAUCGGUUGUCCCCAUCCAAAAUUGACAUCUCCAAAACCUGCACGCGUAUUAUCAGAAACUAUUAAAUAACUUCCUGUCGAUGAAUAUUGAGGUCGCCCUCUUAGUACCAAAAGAUCUGCCACUGAUCUUAAGUAUUCUUCAUUCAUGGUAGCUUUAGCCUUCUUCACCAACUCCAAAGCAUAUCCCAUUGGAUUUUUGCAUAGAGGUUCAGCCUUUGAAACUGCAGCUGGAAAUGCAAAUGCAUUGCCAUAGUAUCCCAAGGGAAGACGUACAUUGUGGUGCUUUCCCCGUGCAUUGACAAUGCAUGAAACGCGAACAACCUGUUUUGGAUUAAUUUUAAGUGCAAGAGUGCGACAUUUCCACAAACAAGCUGUGAUCAAGUCAAAUGUGGAGCAUGUGGAAAUUAGGUGGGGUGGAAUUUGUUUUCGAAGGAUUCUCAUCUCCUUGGCACCAAAAUAGAAAGAUCGUUGAACCAUGUUUGACGGGUUACUGGAUGCGUAUGAGCCAUCAGAAUGAUCAAUCACGUCUUCAUAUUCAUGAUGAACACAUGUAAUUCUUGGUGGAUCUCGAGCGGACAAGAGCUCUCUCUCCCACACUGGUAGAAUAGAUGGUGCAUGUGCGCCUCUUGCCAUCUCCGCAAUGGCGGUCAGGAACUGGAGCAAUCCAGGUGCAUCACACAUUGUGUGGUUUAGGCGCAAUGCAAGUAUGAAACCUCCACAUGUAAGACGGGUCACCUGGAUAUUGCAAAAGUUAGUUACUAGACUUUUUUCUUGAUCAUCAUAUUCGUGCUAGUUAAUAAUUCUUUAGAAAAAAAGACAAAAAAAACUAUCUAAAUUAGAUGAUCUAACUAGGAAACAAAAAUUUCAUAAAAAUUAGGAAUAAAAUUCAAGAAAGAUGGAGUCUCUUUGAAACAUGUUGUAGUUAGUUGAAAGAGUCCUUCGAGGAAUACAGAGGAAUUUAGACAAAAUGCUUAUAGAAGAUAGAAAAAUUUAGACAGAGACAAAGAGGACGACAUGACGAUAGGCAAAAAACCUAGAAGAAGAACGGCAAAUGAAAACCUACAUAAGAAAGGUGAUGUGGGAUUGGUAGAAAACGUAGGGCCUAAUUAGGCAGAUACCAUGUAGAAAUAUAAUUUCCUCGAUUCGAUGUGUAUACAAAUUUUACAAUAUAUAGGGUUAAAUAUAAGAACUGUCGAAGAAAAAUUAGUUACGAAAAAUAAUGAAAGGUGUCUCAUAAUCUUUUCUUUCCUAAACCACCUAAUGAACUUUCUUUAAUCAUAAGAACAAAGAGGCGUUGUAGUAUCGUAGAUAAGUUCAAGUUUGGGUGUGGUGGCAGUAUGAUAAAUUUUCGUUUAUGAAAAGGGUUGCCAAUUUUAUGAAAAAAGUUAAAAACAGUGGUGGUACCACCAAACUUCAACUUAUUUACAAUAUUGUUAUAGCUUUCUUGUUUAUGUCCUUAUUUGUCAUUAAAAUUUUCGUAUGUUGUAGAUUGCACUAAUUUCUUACAAAAAAUCUCCGGCGUGUGUAUGCAACCUUAACUCAAAAAACACUAUCCUACUUCAAUUUUUUUUUUUUGUAAAGAUUUAAUGGCUAUGACCAAAUAUGAAUACGAAAAACUAAUUAACAUGUAAUUAAUAAUUAAUUGACUCACCUGAACCAGCAGCAAAGGACAACCAAUAAUUCCAUCAGAGCCUGGAAAAUUAACUAAGAACUCCUCUAAGAGUGGACAAGGGGGUAGAAUUUUGUCUCCUAGUUGCUCAAGUGUGACAUCAGCAGAAGCCUCAACGAACAAGAUACCUUCACCAUUGCAAUCGACCAUGAGCUUUCUGUUAGGCCCUUCCCUAAGCCUGCCAGCUAAAGGGUAGUAAUACACUAAUGCUCUACUUAAGGCUUCCCUAAUCGCCUUAACGGGAUUACGAUUUUCCUUAAGCGAAGGGUUGUCUUUGUAACACAUUAUGACUGGAACAUGAAACCUCAAGCUUUCUUGGUCAUCAAUAUCUGAGAGAAAUUUUGUUUCUCGAGGCGUUGACUUUACCGGAGUUAUAAGUUCCGGCUGCAAUCGUUUCACUUGAAGUACUGAGGGUGGCAUCAUUUCAAUAACGAGCUUAAGAACCAGCAAAAGAUCAAAGAAUUUGGAACUUUUAUUUUGUUGUAUGCAUCCUAACUAAAAGUUGAUAGUCAGUACUUAUAUAGCGUUAUGCAGAUGCUCUAGGGUUCCCGAAUCUUCCGUCCAAGUUCCCACCCGUUGUGAAUAUGAUUCUUUUCUUUUCCAUUAAAAACGUUGUUAGAAAGAAACGUUUAAAUCAACUGAAAAAAAAAAAAAAAAAAAAAACAUGUUGAGAGCUACGUGCAUGGGACCAUUUCACAGCUCACACCACAGAUUCGUACAUAUACAUUAAUACUGAAUUGCAUUUCAACAUCAGAAAAAUGAAUACUAACAGGGAUAUGAGGACAGGUGUUCGGUAAAAAACCUUCGAUAGGAAUGGAAGGAAAAAGGCCAACGUCCUACGUACCUGCCCCAAUUACAGCUGUCACUUUUAUAAUGACUGGCAUAUUAGCAUGGGAUAAUAUUGUUUCACAUUAUUAUUAAUUUUGACUGAUCUGAUAUGUUGACUACUCAACUAUUUUAUGAUAAAAGUUUGUUAUGAUGAAUAAAGUUGAGACUCUAUAAAAUUAAUCGACAAAUAGGGAGCAGCUUAACACUUAUAAGAAUAUGCAAGGUCCUCUUUUAUUCGAUAUGGAAUUCAUACUCCUAAUACGCACCUUCAUGUGUGGCGAAUUUUUAAGCUUAACAUGUGAACAACACAAACCAGGUGGCGUAGAGCACGUCAAGUGUUGGGCUUCACACAUGAGACAAUCUGUUCUAAUACCAUGACAAAUGUUGAGGUUCCAUCGCCACUUUGUACUAUGGUCUAGUGAUAUUCCUCUUCAUUUAUAAGUAGAGAUUUUAGGUUCAAUUCUCACCAAAGACGAAUUUGAACCAUAUUAUUGUUAGUCCAUUGUGAGUUUAAGCUCAUCCUCUUCCCCUUAGUGUAAAUAAUGUCAUUUGUGAUGAGUCGAUAUUAUACUAUAUAUUUUAUCCUAUUCUUAGUUAUAACUUAGUAGUUAUUUUGUGAGAAUUUUAAUACUUUGAUUUAUAUUCUUAAUGUAGGACAUUCAACUUCCUUUGGAGCAAAACAUGAUCAAACGGAUGAAUUUUAGAGUGAUUCAAAUUGAAGGACAUUCAUGUGUCUGUCAACUUGUUUGUGUCAAAGUUUCAUAUUUUUCUACCCAAUGGUUUAUUUAUGGCAAUGAAAUAAAGAAGAAGCGCAGUGCUGUCAAAAUGACGUUUUGGAUUUAUUUGGGCUUUUUAACGUCCAAGAUCAUGUCUUUUGGGUUUAAGGCCUUUUGCAAUUAUGUUUGGGGCAUCUCAAGAUUUAAUUCAAGUCAUUUUGGCUGAUUUGUGGUUUGGCAGAUUUCUCAAAAUUAGAAUAGAAAUGUAUUUCCUAGUUAUCUUAUUCUAUUAUGUUUCGUAGUUUUUAGAAGACCUUUUCAAGUAAGGAUUUUAAUUAUGUAGUAGUAUAAAUAAGGUUUUUUACCCAUUAGGGUUAAAGGACAAAAAGAGAGGAGAAGAACACAUAUUUUGGAGAACUUUGCUAGGCUUUGACGAUUUGUAUUUCAAGGUGUUUUCUAUCCUUGUUUUUAAUAAUAUUUUGUUUUAUGAUUGUUAGUGUUUGGGUUAAUAUUUGAACUUUGGGCUGAAGGAAGAGAAGCCCAUAAGGUAUGACUCUGCCCGAAGGCCUAACAUCAAACCCAUUCGCUCAGCCCAAGGCAAAAUUAUGAUUCCACAUUAAUGCAAGAGCAAGUAGGAAUAAGUGGCCUACAUGGAAGUGACACUUGAUGGAAAUCAACCUACUCUCAGCCCAAAAACACUUUCUGAAUGGCAGAGUACGUAAAUUGCUGAUGAGUCACUACCCCUCAGUUGCUUUCGGGCAGGAAUCAAACUGCAAGCAGUUAGGCUAAUUCGCCUAUAAAAUGAGGAAGAGGGCCCAGAGACAAGGACACUCAACCAAUCAAACAAACAAAUACACAAACUCUGGGCAAGCCACAUUUGCAUACGAAGUUGUAGUCAACCCCCAACCUCAAUCCUUUUCAAGAUCAGCCCUCACAAAAGCCAUCUUUUGUCUAGUUUAAUAGUUUUGCUGCUCACCAGUAGUAUCGAUUCUCUUGUGUAAAUUUAUUUGUCAUCCAUCCUCUUUUAAAACCCUCAGAUCUCUGUAGUUGCAAAGAAAGGAAACGGCGAAAGGUCCAGCCUUGCUCGACAAGGUUCAAUCUUGCCCGAUUCCCUUUGUUUGGUCUUUUAGUUAAUAGAUCUGGUGUUGUAAUGAAUUCCUUAGUAUGUAUUCAAAUCAUUUUAGGUCUUUUAAUGAUCCAAAGUUCAGCUUACUCUCAGAUCUAGUUUUAGUUAAAUGGUUUUACUAUCUUAAGAGUGAAUCCACUUAAUCCCUUGAUUAGAUCCGGACCUCUGCCCUUUUACCAUACAAGAUAAACAAAAGUCCUUAAUCUCAAGGCAUAGAAAAGAAUCUAAUGUGGACUUAACCCAUCCACGACAAUCCUUUGAUAAUGAGAAGUCAGAGUAACUUGGGGCGCAAGUAAUCGGCUUAUCUACUCAUUUUACAUCUGCAUACUGAGAUGGCAAUGGCACGCCUCAGCACUUAAGUUAGUUUUGAUUGCGAACCUCACGACUUAUACUUAAGGCCUGACAUAGGCACCUUUCAGAAUUAACUCUGCCAUCUUCUUGCAGCCAGACGAACAAAGCGAGAACCCAAUAGUCAACCAAAGUGUCAACUUUGCGGGGAGCUGUGUGCUCGAGUUAGGAACGCCUACCGGCGACAUUCCUACCCGAACAUAGUUUUGGCACGCCCAAUGGGAUUAAAUCUCGUAUGCCAAGAAGACAAAGGAAGGAACAAACCUUUGAGUAGGGAUCAAUGCAAAGAUUGCCCCACUCACACUGAGAUCCAGCAUGACAAAUCUCCCCGAAGAUUUACAAGGACCUAUCUUGAUGGGAAGUCCGACCCCUUCUGAGAAAUCAAAGGAGAGGGUUACAAAAGAAGAUCUUCAAGCUACCCUGAUGGCUAUCUUGAAAAGCCUGGAGAGAAGUUCUCUAAAUAUAGAGAGAAACUCUGGGGGAGCUAAAGAAGAAAUGGACAAAGGUUGUUCCAUGAAUCCGUAAAGAAGGUCGGAUCUGGAGCACUCUACUCCAGAAAAUGAUAAUGUUGGAAUGGCAGCAAACCAGACUAGCACUACGAAGGAACCAGUUGUUUCUUUGUUCCCUUUAAUAAAAGAAGAAGGGGAUAAGGAAAAGAACAAGGAAGAGACCGGAGCCAGCCAGUUAGCUUUGAAUAAGAUCAAUAAGCCCAAGUUGUCUGACCCCUUGUCGUGCUCAUUGAAUAACAGGGGGCAAUGCGGGCUAGAAAUAGUGCAAACAUUGGGAGAAUCUCAAACUAAUGCAGUAAUAGGUGCUAAUCCUUAUCUACAAGCCCCCGUAAACAUAAUCAAUUUAACGUGGGCAGAGAAAGGGAAAGAAAAAGCUACCGAGGAAGUAAGAGUUGAAAGGUGACAAUUUGAUAGGCCGACGGAAUGAGCUAUCAAGUUGCCUAAAAAGCCUAAGGUAGCAAUAAUCAAAGGAGUGGUUUUGUGCAAUAAAUGUCAAUGUGAGUGUGAGCUGGAAGUACCAGCUGUAGGAGCCAUCAUGGAUCAGGAAUUGAUCUAAAGAAGAGGAAAAUAAGAGCAAGAAUCCCGCAGAGAUAUCAUACGGGUAGCCAAAAAGGAAACCUCUCGGAGCAUCUUCUAAAGGUUGGAAGGAGACUCUCAACCAAAGAACUUGUCAUAAGUAUUCAAAAACUAUGAAGCUUCAGAAGAAGUAAAGGACAAGAAGGCCGAGACACCAAGGUGGGUAGACGUAAGGCCACCUCAACUAAGUUAUGCUAGUGAUGUUAGAAUAAAAGGAAAGAUAGUGAACCCAGUCACUAAAAAGAAUGUUGCCCGACUCAGGCGGAGAUGAUAUAUAGUUGGAAGGGACGGAAAGCUCGUUAAAGAGAUGGGAGCUUCCAUGAUCAGGAGAGUCCAAAGGCAACAUAAAGCCCACAUGAACUCAUUGAAAAUCCUCACCACAUCAGAGACCUCUAAAAAGGAGAGGUAAACAAGGUACCUAAUGAAGGAAAUAAUCAAAUCCGCUGGAGAACCAAGAAGGAGGUAGAGAAAGCCAGUAGCAAGACUGAAGGGGAAGGAGACCAUGCGCCACCGAGCCUUCACCCUGGAAAAUAUAGAAUCCUAAGAAGAGCUCAGCAUAUAUGGUAAUGAUGCCAACACUUAGGUGGAGCCCAGAACCAAGCUGUUUCAGAACAAUCUCACCCGAGAGAGGGAUACCCUCGCCAUUGUUGGUUGAUACACUCUGUGAGAGCCUAGUGCAGGUGCAGAACUUCGGCAUAACAAUAGAGGAGGCAGUGUCUGAAUUAAUAUUGCCAGAAGAAGCACAAGCCUGGUUAGAUGGGUUUAUGAACCACAUAGGGGGCAAGGAGGGAGAUGUACCUGGACCCAGUGACUUCCACAUAAACAUGACAUAUGUUUUAUCAGCCAUGUUUCGCGCCGAGCAUGAUCAACCUCCCAUCAUGGAAGGUGAUUACCUGGCGACAAAACCCAUGAUGGCGCAUGUUAGUGUUGAGGAUACGAGACAAGGAGAACCUAACCAAACUGGAUUGCCCGAACCAUCAAUAAGGAAGCCUGAAAGGAUAUACUCAGACAAAAUGGUUUUUAUUUGCCUGAGUUCAAGCUUGGCUAACCAUCUCAAGCCCAUAUAUGUAACUGCACACCUAGAGGGAGUACCAUUUAAGAGGGUCUUGAUCGACGGUAGGGCUGCAAUUAAUGUGCUGUCAUACAAGCAGAUGAAGAAGAUGUGUAGGAGUGAAGGGGAUCUUAUUCCCACCGAUCUUACAGUUUCUAGUUUCUUUGAAGCUAUCACCAAGACGCAUGGGAUACUGCCAUUAGAGGUGUAUUUAGGAUCAAAACAAAUGUUGGCCUUUUUUGUUAUGGACAACACUUCCACUUAUGUAGCUUUACUAGGCAGAGAUUGGAUUCAUCAGAGUCUCUCUGUGCCAUCUACCUUACACCAACAAGUGGCCAUCUACCAUGAGGAAUGGGAAGCAGGACUUGGAUUUUGAGAGAUGGUAGAGGCCGAAUCACGGCCAUUUCUCCCUAUAGCCAACAUUGCAGAAGCCAACUUCUAUAAUCCUGGUAUUGGGAUUCUUCAAUGUUUAGGAGCUGAUAAGAACGGCCGCCCAACCAAGGUGAUUCCCGAACACCUUUAAAUGUCAGAGCAGAAAAGGAAGGACCAAGUGAUCGCAGUCAGAUCCUUAAUAAAAAGACUGUUGGUAUAUGGGAGAGAGAAAAAACAGGAAAGGGAAAGCUCAGCCAAAGAAGAAAAGGGCUAGAGUAGAGAAGCCUCAAGUAGCCAAAUGACUAAAGAGGAUUGUUUUGGGAAAGAGCUAGAAGAGGCCAUCCAAAUGGCUGAAUGUAUAUAUGACUUGGACGGGCCAGAACAUUUGCCCGAGAGUCCAGAGUUGGUUGAGUUUUUGUGUGCAGAGCCUGACAAAUGGGCCCCAAAGGUACAAGAUCCAUUAGAGACCAUUGAUCUAGGGACGGAGGAAGAUCCAAGACCUAUACAAAUUAGUGGUUUGUUGAAAACCGAAGAUCGAGCAAGUAGGAGUAAGUGGCCUACAUGGAAGUGACACUUUAUGGAAAUCAACAUACUAUCAGCCCAAAAACACUUUCUAAAUGGCAGAGUACGUAAAUUGUUGAUGAGUCACAACCGCUCAGUUGCUUUCGGGCAAGAACCAAGCUACAAGCAGUUAGGCUAAUUUGCCUAUAAAAUGAGGAAGAGGGUCCAGAGACAAAGACACUCAACCAAUCAAACAAACAAAUACACAAACUCUGCUCAAGCCAGAUUUGCAUACGAAGUUGUAGUCAGCCCCCAACCUUAAUCCUUUUUAGGAUCAACCCUCACAAAAGCUAUCUUUUGUCUAGUUUAAUAGCUUUGCUGCUCACCAGUAGUAUCGAUUCUCUUGUGUAAAUUUAUUUGUCAUCCAUCCUCUUUUAAAACCCUCUACGAAAGGUCCAGCCUUGCCUGACAAUGUUCAAUCUUGCCCGAUUCCCUUUGUUUGGUCUUUUAGUUAAUAGAUCCGGUGUUGUAAUGAAUUCCUUAGUAUGUAUUCAAAUCAUUUUAGGUCUUUUAAUGAUCCAAAGUUCAGCUUACUCUCAAAUCUGGUUUUAGUUAAAUGGUUUUACUAUCUUAAGAGUGAAUCCACUUAAUGCCUUGAUUAGAUCCGGACCUCUGCCUUUUUUACCAUACAAGAUAAACAAAUAUCUUUUAUCUCAAGGCAUAGAAAAGAAUCUAAUGUGGACUUAACCCAUCCACGACAAUCCUUUGAUAAUGAGAAGUCAGAGUAAUUUGGGGCGUAAGUAAUCGGCUUAAAUCUACUCAUUUGACAUCUGCCAUACUGAGAUGGCAGUGGCACGCCUCAGCACUUAAGUUAGUUUUGAUUGCGAGCCUCACGACCUAUACUUAAAUCCCGACAAAGGGACCUUUCAGAAUUAACUCUGUCCUCUUCUUGCAGCCCGACGAACAAAGCGAGAACCCAACAGUCAACCAAAGUGCCAACUCCGCAGGGAGUUGUGUGCUCAAGCCAGGAACGCCCACCGGCGACAUUCCUGCCCGAACAGUUAGUAACUGAUUUCCGUUUGCUAGGGCGAGGCCACGAGCCUUAGCAAGAAUAUGUAGUUUCUUUUCAAUUUACUUAUGAUAUUAUGCAUGCAGGUUUUGAAUUAUUAGUCACCGGUUGAAACUAUCUAAUUGUCUUAAUGCUUAGCUACCAUUAGGAUCUUUAGAAAAAUAAUUUGAUGCUUAGCUACGAUUAGAGAACGACCUUACUAGAGCUGCUAUAUUACAAUAACCUUGUACUGUUGCAAGUAUUUAAAGUAUUUUUAUCCCUACUUUUGUAGGUGGUAAAAAUCCUAUCAAUUUGUUCAAAAAAAAAAAAAAGUAGUUGAUGUUCCAUCAUAAAACUAAUUAACAAUAUGAAGAGUAACUCAAUUACUUAUAAGAACGUGCAAAGUCCUUCCCUUACCUAAUAUGAGAUCUAUACUCUCAACAUGUCACUAUUAAGCAAAUAUGUACUAACACAAAAUGGAACAAAUAAUUCGAUCACUUAACAAAAUAGAACUCACUGAAGACAAUAUUAUGUUUGUUAAAGAUAGGACACACUGAAGACAAUAUUAUGUUUGUUAAAAUGGAAAUGGAGCAUCUGAUUACACCUAACUUUUAUCUCUUCUCACCCAACAAACUCUUUUUACUCUACAAGAUUUUAAAAACUUAACAUCUACUCUCCGCACUCACCUAAUCUUCCAAAAUUACCCCUUCCAAAUCCUUCUCUAUCUUACACAAUAUAUCUUCUCAUCCAACAACACCCCUAGCUAAUCCUUCUCUUUCUUUCUGUUUUUUUUUUUUUGUCAUAAGGUAAAUAUUUAUUAGCAACAUAACUUACAUAUAGGACUGGAGGCCUAAACACACAAAAAAUAUAAAGCAACUGAUGAGCCUCCAAAACUAGGGGUGGGCACUUGGAACCGAAAACCGAAACCGAAACAUGAAUCGAAUCAAACCGCACCAAACGGUUUGGUUUUGCGGUUUUGAAACGGUUUCGGUUUCAAAACCGAACCGCGGCACACAAAACGGUUUGGUUUCGGUUUUGGGUUUUCAAAACCGCACCGAAACCGAAACCAAACCGAAACCGCACUUUUUUUUUUAUUUAGUUCAUUAUUCAACUAGGUUAUACAGAACACUUAAACAUUUGGUUUUGCGCCGCCAGAACUUCUGGGUUUGCACCGACACCGAGUGGGUUUGCGACUGCGUCUGCGCCUCCUUGCAUCUCCGCAUCUGCUUUGCGACCUGGUCACCUGCGAGCGACUGCUUCUGCAUGUGCUUCUGCCUGCCUGCAUCUACCUCUGCGAGCGACUGCUUCUGCCUGCAUCUACCUCUGCGAGCGACUGCCUGACUGAUUUCAUCUCUGCUUUGUUGUUGUAUGUUGCUGUUGUAUUUAUCAGAAAUUUCUCAUCAGAAUGAUGUAUUUAAGUAGCAAUCAUGAACUCUGUUUAGUGUAUCCUUGCUCACAUUACCCUUGCUAAAAUCCGGUUCUUGGUGGGAUGAGAAGUUAUGGGAACAAUUCCAUCACUUCUCUGACUCUGUAUAUCUGCCAUCUGCAUAAGAAAAUUUAUGGUAUUCUUGCAUGAUUUCACAUGUGGAAUAGCUUCUUUGAGAAGAGAUUAUGUAAUAUGUCUUGGGGUUUAAUUAUUUAAGUGGUAAAAGCAAGGUGUGGGUUUCUAUAGUUCUGCUCUAGCUAGCAAAAUGAACAAUCGGUCACCCAAAUUUUUACGUUAUGACAUAUAAGUUCAUAGUUUUUGCAUUGCCUGAAGUUGUUUAACUGCCAUCGGUUUGAUUUGUUUUCUCUUGUUUAUUUCUCAUGCAAAUUUAUUUGUUUGUUGAUGUUUAUCCUCUUGAUUUGAAGAAUUCUUUGUCUCCCCGCGUUGUAGGACUAUCGUUUUACACCAAGUUGAGAAGGGGUUAUCUGAAGCGUUCUCUCAGUAUGGACAAGUGAUAGAAGGUGAUUUGCAUUCAAAUGCAAGAAUACUGAGGCAACUAUCUCUAAACUGAUUAUAUUCUGUCAUCUUGUUCUUAAACCUUAUUUAUUUUUGGCAGCCCAAAUUGUAUCGGACAGAGUCUCAGAAAGAUCGAAAGGAUUUGGAUUCGUGACCUUUGCUUCAGAAGAUGAAGCCCACAAAGCCUUGGAGAAGAUGAAUGGCAAGGUAAUUCCUUGUUUUCUGUUUUCGUUAAUCCAUUUGAAUCUUGCCAUAUUAAAUAACUCCAAAAUGACAUAUUCAAAACACUCACAGCCACUGAAUGGACGCGUUAUUUUUGUGGACUAUGCAAAGCCGAGAACCAAUUAUGGCAGUGUAAUUUUUGCUGCAGUUUAGCUGCUGUUUUUUGUGCAGUUUUGUGCAGUUUUUUGCUGCAGGUUUGGUACAGUUCUUGGUCUUGUUUUGUUGCAGGUUUGGUGCAGUUUUUGGUGCAAUUUUGGUGCAUAUUCAUUAAUUAAUAUACAAGGAAAAUAAGACCAUCUUAUACAUAAAUAUGUGUAUAUUUUAAAUUGUACAUUUUUUCCUCAAAAACCAAACCGAAACCGUUUGAAAUCGCACCGAACCGAACCAAACGGUUUGGUUUCAUUUCGGUUUUGGCUUCAAAACCGCACCGCACCGCACCGCAAAAAGUUUCGAUUUCGGUUGUGGUUUCACUCGAAACCGCACCAAACCGCACCGCGCCCACCCCUAUCCAAAACAACAACAAAAGAAAAGCUCAACUCAAAAGUUGAGCCCAAUACAGAAAAAAGAAACAAAUUUCAUCGUCCUUGAACAACCUCUCCACAUAACUUCAAAUCGCAACUGCCCAGAGAGAAAGGAAAGAAAAGAAACAAAUUUCAUCAUUGUCGAGCAACCUCCCUGCCAUCCCUCUCUAUCGUACACAAUAUAUCUUCUCAUCCAACAAUCAACAUAGGGCUGCUUAACCCACUUUCCUCCAUCAAUAUGCAGUUCUUCAUCAAGCUAUGCACACUCUUUUGAGAAUUCAACUUAAUUAUAAGGAAUAUGAAACCAGCAGCUCUUUGCAACUACUUGUGAAUUAUGUCUUUAUUUGCGUUCAUUUAAGUUGGUGGUUAGCCAUCAAAUUGUUCUUCCCCAUCAAUUUUUAGAAGAAAUCAAACCAAACUAGACUCUAGUGUUCAUGUAUUCAUUGGAGUUGAAUAUAACAAUACGUAAAAUUCCAUCACUAAGAAGCCAAAUUGUAUCAAGACUUUGUAACAGGAGCACGAAGGUCAGGAGUUGACUUGGAGGAGAAGAUCGCAAUCAGGUUCGGGUAUCACUGGUUAACCGAACCCCUAUUCCAUGUUCAUGGCUAUCGGCUAAUCCUCAACUCUUAUGUGCGGUGCUUAACUUCCAUAAAAUUAAUCAACAAUAUAUGGAGCAGUUUAAUCACUUAAAAGCAUAUGCAAUGUCCUCUUUUAUCCGAUGUGAAAUUCAUACUCCCAGUACGCACCUUCACAUGUGAUCAAUUUUCAAGCUUAGCAUGUGAACAACACAAACCAAGUGGCGUGGAUCGCGUGCUAGUAUUGAGUUUCACACAUGAGACAAUCUUCUCUGAUACCAUGACGAAGGAUGAGGUUCCAUCGCCACUUAGUACUACAAUAUAGUGGUAUUCCUCUUCACUUGUAAGUAAGGAUUCUUAGGUUCAAUUCUCGCCAAAGGCGAAUUUGAUACAUAUUAUUACUAGCCUAUUGUGAUGCUAAGCCCAUCCCCUUUCUCUUAGUGUAGAUAAUGUCGUUUUGUUCAAAAAAAAAAAGUAAUUGAGGUUCCAUCAUAAAACUAAUUGAUAAUAUGAGGAGUAACUUAAUUACUUAUAUGCAUGUACAAAGUCGUUCACUUACCUAAUAUGAGAUCCAUACUCUCAACAUGUCACUGUUAAGAAAAUAUGUACAAAAACAAAAUGGAACAAAUAAUUCGAUCACUUGACAAAAUAGAACUCACUCAAGACAAUAUUAUGUUUGUUCAAGAUAGGACUCACUAAAGACAAUAUUAUGUUUGUUAAAGAUAGGACUCACUAAAGACAAUAUUAUGUUUGUUAAAGAUAGGACUCACUAAAGACAAUAUUAUGUUUGUUACAAGGGAAAUGGAGCUUCUGAUUACCCCCAACUUUUAUUUCUUCUCACCCAGCUGACUCUUUUUACUGAACAAGAUUUUAAAAACUUAACAUCUACUCUCCGCACUCACCAAAUCUUCCAAAAUUACCCCUUCCUAAUCCUUCUGUCUUUUUGUUUUUUUUUUUGUCAUAAAGUAAAUUGUUAUUACCAACAUAACUUACAUAUAGGACUGGAGGCCCAAACACACAAAAGAUACAAAGCAACAGAUGAGCCUCCAAAACAACAACAAAAGAAAACCCUAACUCGAAAGUUCAAUCCAAUACAGAAAAACACACAAGAAAACCCUAAACUCCUAGAUCCUCUUCCUCCGCCAAAGUGCUUGUCGCCACCGAUGAUUCAGUCCCCUUGCAAAUCGCCAGAGAUAAGAACCAGCCAAGCUCUGAAACAGAAAAAAUAAACAAAUUUCAUCAUCCUCAAGCAACCUCCACACAACUUCAUAUUGCAACCACCAAGAGAAUGAAUGGAAAGAAAAGAAACAAAGUUCAUCGUCCUCGAGCAACCUCCCCACAAUCCUUCUCUAUCUUACACGAUAUAUCUUCUCAUCCAAUAACCUCCCCUUCAAUAUGGGGCUACCUAACCCACAAUAUAUGGUUCUUCAUCAAGCUAUGCACACUCUUUUGAGAAUUCAACUUAAUUAUAAGGAAUAUGGAACCAGCAGCUCUUUGCAACUACUUGUGAUAUGUCUUUAUUUGCGUUCAUUUAAGUUGGUGGUUAGCCAUCAAAUUGUUCUUCCCUAUAGAUUUUUAGAAGAAAUCAACUAGACUCGAGUGUUCAUGUAUUCAUUGGAGUUGAAUAUAACAAUACGUAAAAUUCCAUCACUAAGAAGCCAAAUUGUAUCAACACUUUGUAACAGCAACACGAAGGUCAAGAGUCCACUUGGAGGAGAAGAUCAUGAGCGGGUUUGGCUACCACUGGUUAACCGAACCGCCGAUUCCAUGUUCAUGGCUAUCGGCUAAUCCUCAACUCUUAUGUUCGGUGCUUAACUUCCGAACAUUGAACUUUUUGUCAAAUUUUGUGUUCAGCAUGUUCAAAUACAUGAUCCUAUCUAGUUGUAUUUUAUUUAAGAAAAUAGAAACAAACCCAAGAGGAUUUCAGAAAAAAGUGACGGCUUAGGGCAGAACAUUGCAGCUCAAACCUCACUUAUAUACUUCAAUGAUUUAGGGUUUUGGUCACAAUACUACCUUACAUCUCAUUUAAAUUAGCUAGCUAACAAAAGCCUUCAAGAUCCCAAUUGUUCUAGGCUAAUCUAAACCUCACACCAAAGCAAACCUAUCUCAGCCCUACACUUGUAAUUUUGGACUGAGUCAACAUAUUGGCCGUUACAAAUUUAGAAAAAACUAAGCCAUUACUUUUGUUUAAUACAAAAAAUUGGAAGCUAGAAAUCAGUUUAGGCAUCAACACUCUCCUUCAAAUUGUUUCUAGUUUUGACACCAAGCAAUUCCAUGAGGUAUACAAAACUCUCUUUUAGCGUAGCCUUAGUAAAUAUAUCAACAGUUUGAUCCUCAUAUUUGCAAUAGAGUAAUUCAAUCACAUUAUCUGAAGUACAAAGGAUCUCUAAUAACGUGAUGGUUCCUCUUGACUUGUUUUGUUUUUUAAUGAGUCAGAGGAUAUUUUGUCAUAGCAAUUACAAAUGUGUUGUUAAAUUUUAGUGAUAUAGCAUCUACUUUGAAAAUGUAGCUGGGUCGAGGAACCUAAACCCAAUAGAUAAACAAUCUCAACUAAAAUUCCAGAUGAGGAUUCAAGUAUGAUUUCAAUCAUACUACUUAACAGUGAAGAACAAAAUGAAAUAGAAAAAAAGAACAAAAAACUCACGAUAUACUUUUAUGUGGUAAAACCCCACACACAAUGGGGAAAAUUCACGGGCACGCAACCAAUUAAAGAACCACUGAGAAAUAAGAACUUUUACAAGACUCAACAAGACAAACAUCUACUACACUUGAAGUUUUCUCUUGUAUUUUUAAUCUUGUAGCACAUAGUCCUUCUUUUGCUCUCUUUUGCUCUCUUUUGGAUGAACACGACGCACUCAGUAGGUUCUCCUCACGACUAAAGAGAUUGCACUCAACUUCCUCACAUAGAUGGACACAACUUGUUCACACAAAUGAAUAUGAUGAAUAAUAUGAAAGGGUGUUUCACUAAGAUCACUCUUCUAACCUAGCACUCAAGAACUUUGCUUUAAACCUUUUAUGCUCAAAUCUUAUAACCAAGCAAAGAUGAAUGAUAGGCUUGAUUUCCUAUGAACCAACAGCCUAGAAUAAAGGAAACUGGAAUUAUGUACUAGAAUACAAUCAAAUUGGUUUUAUUUCUUAAGAUUAGGCAAUUAAACUGAUCUUAUAAUCUUCAAGAUAUGCAAUGAUGUGAUUCUCGUUUCCUAUAUGAAUGCACAUGAUACUCCAAUAUAUGCCUUGAUGUGCACGUUUUCAGUCAUUAAACCUAGAAACUAUGACACGCCUAAAAUCUAGAACUAAUAUAUUACAGACGCAUUAAACUUGUCUAGGAAAUUAGCCAAAUACAAAAGCUUGCGCUUUCACACUUGCAUUCAAUAAAGAUAAAGUCCUUAACAACAAACCUCAGCCAAAUUGCUUGAAAAGUAGCCUCUAGCACCAAGGAAGAACAGCACUUCGAAAAAAGUCGUCUUUGACUUUAGGCUUAAUCAAGGGUUGUAAUUCCUUUAAUUCUAAUGGUGAAAUUGGGUUAAGAUAAAAAUAUAAAACAAAAAAUAAUAACAAAUGAUAUUAACUACACUAAGACCAUCUCCAACCCGUGGGCUAAAACCUAAAAUUUUUAGCCCAUAAAAUUUAGGUUUUAGUCCAGAACAGUUUUUCUGCUCCAACCCAUCUAGCCUAAAAUUUUAGCCCCAGAUUAUUAAAAAAUGAAGGCUAAUUUUUUUCUUAAAUUAACUUAAAAAUAAUAAUAAAUUAUGUAGACUAUCAUAAACUAAUUUUGUGAACAUUUUAAUCUAAAAAUAUUUAAAUUCCGAUAAAUAUUGAAAAAUCACUAAAUCGAUACAUGAAACUAAUGAAAUACUAUGGAAGAAUAUGAAAAUCAUGAUAGAGAUGUAUAAACACAAAAUACAUGAAAAACACAAGACACACAAAACACAUGUGAAGCACAUACAAAACACAUGUGAAGGACAUACAAAACACAUGAUAGAGAUGAAGCACACACAGAACACAUGUGAAACACAUCACACACUAAACACAUACCAAAUACAUACAAAACACAUGAAACGCAUGAAACACAAACCUACACACAUGAAACUGAAACCUUCAAUCAUCCUCUAUAUAAACACAGGUUGAAUAUCAAACCAUCACACAACAUAUUCACCAAGCAAGCCUUGACAAUGCAGAUGCAGAAAUGAUCAACGCAGAAGCCGAAUUUGCAAACUCGUUUAUGCAAUAUGAGCACCAUGCCGAAUCUAGCUAUCGUGGUUCUGUCACGGAGGGUUCAUUUGUGCAGCGUGAUAGAGAAGAGUGCCAUGACCGAAUGAUGAAAGAUUAUUUCAUCGAGUGUCCGAGAUAUCCUGCUCAUGAUUUUCAGAGGUGGUUUCGGAUGAGGAGAGAACUUUUUGAAAGCAUCUUGAACGCAGUUGUCAAUCAUGACCACUACUUUGCAAGGAAGAUAGAUGUCGUAGGCCGACAAAGUCUAUCACCUCAUCAGAAGCUCACAUCUGCAUUUCGGAUGCAAGCUAAUGGGUGCUCUGUAGACUCAACUGACAAGAAUUGCUGACUUGCGGAGACUACUACUAUUGACAACCUGAAGCACUUCUGUAAGGCAAUUGAAGCCAUAUAUGGAGCCACAUACCUCCGUAAGCCAUUUCGUGAAGAUUUGAAUAUGCUUCUACGCAAGGCAGACAAUAGAGGCUUCCAUGGCAUGAUAGGAAGUCUCGAUUAUAUGUAUUGGGAGUGGAAGAAUUGUCCUACUGCUUGGGCUAGCCAAUUCAAAAGUCGUCAUAAGAAGCCAACCAUCGUGCUUGAGGCUGUGGAGUCUUACGACACAUGGAUUUGGCAUGUAUUCUUCAACGCUCUUGGAUUAAACAAUGAUAUCAACGUUCUUUGGUCUUCUCUUAUGUUCGAUGAUGUUGUCAAUAGAUAGGCACCAAAAUGAAGGUACAAGGUAAAUGGUAAUAGGUAUGAGCUAGGUUACUACCUAACUGAUCGUAUAUCCUAGUUGGUCUACCUUUGUCAAAAGUUAUUCUCAUCCCGAUAGUGUGAAGAAGAAAUUAUUUUCGCAGAGGCAAGAGUCUUACAAGAAGGAUGUGGAAAGAGCAUUUGGGAUCCUACAAGCUCGAUGGGCCAUUGUUAGAGAGGCUGCACCAUUAUGGCAUACCGAAGACCUCCAUUCAAUCAUGAUAAUGUGCAUAAUUUUGCACAACAUGAUUGUGGAAGACGAGUAUAUCGAAAUUGAAGAAGAUUCUGACGAAGAUGUGGAUGAUGACUAACCAACACAUGCGAGAGUUAUGGCAAGAGAUGUUGAAUAUCUCGCUGCAACCACAUAUGAGACCCAACAGGAUGGGGUCACAUUAAGUGAGUAUAUGAGACGUUUAAAUAGAAUUCAAGCUCCUCAAGGUCAUGACACACUCCGCAAGGAUUUGGUUAAGCAUAUAUGGCGCCGAGAAGGUGAACGUUGAUGAUGUUGGUGUAUUAAUGUGUUCUUGUGUUAAAUUUAAGUGUGCUAUGUUGUUAUUUUAUGUAAUAAUUUUAAGUGUACUAUGUUGGUAUUUUCUAGUAAUAAAUUGAAGUGUCUUCUUGUGCAAAGUCUUUUGUCUAGUACAUUGUAAAAAUUAUUGAAUGCCAUUUGAAUUAUUGAAGGCAUCUAUUGCACAUCAAAGUGUGCAAUAAUAAGUACAAUAAUUAUUGAAGGUGUCUAGAUUAAUAGAAAUAAUAAUUAAUAAGCCAUAAAUUUAAUACACAUGACAAUUAAUAAACUACAUAAACUUAAUACAAACGACAAUUCAUAAACCACAUAAACUUAAUACAAUCGAUAAUUCAUAAACUACAUAAACUUAAUAAUGAUGUCCACCAUCUUGACUUGGUGGUGGACUUGGGAUAUAGCCUUGAGAUGAAUUAUCAUCUUGAAAUGUACUCCUUGUGGCAUACUUUCACAAAAUUUCAUUUUGCUUACCAUGUAAGAACUUCUUCCUCUUUGGAGUGUAUUUGUUGAGGUCCUCCAUCAUGAAAUUAAUUUCGAACCUCUCUUGCUCCCUAUCCCCUUCUUCCUUCAUGGCCAAACACAUUUGGGCCGCUUCUUCUUGCCGUGAGCUAUGGCUUUCACUCAAUCUUGCAAAUCCGGUAGCAAUGUGUGCACUCAUCAAAUCUUGGGACUUCCCUUUUCUCUUUGCUUCCUUUUGCUUAUCUCUUCCCGGGGGCCUUGCAAAAGAAGAAGUUGGGGUCAAUUCAUGGACACUUUCAUUGACACCUUCAUCUCCAUCAUUUGUCGGUGCAGUUUCACGUUGAAAUAAUCUUCCUCAUUGUUGGUCCGCAUCGGUUCCCCACCUCGAACAAUCCUUGAGGACGUCCCAAGCAUGAUGCAACUUAAAUGGUUGAUUUUUUGGUGUUACUCUUGUCUUGUAAAUUUCCAUUGUUUUGUCACCCUAUGCAAAAAAUACAUAAAAACAAUUAGUUGCAAAAUAAUAUUAGGUACAUGACAAAUAAAAUAUCAACAAAAAAACUCACAAUUUCUAUGGCUCUCCUUCCACUAGCCUUGCCAACCACGGUUCUCUGCAAGCUUCCCUUCCAUAGAGUGCAUGUUUUGUUGAUAACCUUCUACCGAUCGUAAACACCACCACCUUCCCUCCUGCCGCCGUUGCAAUUUACAUGGAACUUAUCAAUGAUUUUAUCCCACAAAACCUUUUUAUUUUGAUUAGUGCCAACUACACCAUCUUCGCUAAUAGAAACGCAUGCCAAGCACAAAACAACAUCUUCCUCACAAGCCCAAUUACAACCUCUAAUAUGCUCGCUUGCCAUCUUGAAAAAUUUGGAAAUGGGAGAAAUGGUAGAAAGAAAAAUUUGAAGAAUUGUAGGAGAAACGUGAGUUUUGUGUGGAUGUUUGAACAAAUACAUAUGUAUUUAUAGAGUUUUUUGGUGAAUUUUGAGUUAAAUAUAUUUUUUAAUUAUUUUAGCCUUUGGAUUUAAAUUUCAACUGUUAGAUCUUUUUUUUUUUACCGUUAGAUUUGAUUAUAUUCGAUCUAAGCCGUUGGAUUCAAUAAAUAUAUAAGUAUAAAACUAAAAAAAAGGUUUGAAUCUAGGCUGUUGGAUCAACCAACGGCCUAUUGAUUCCGUCCGUCCGAUCAAAAGAGUCAUUGGCUCGCCUAGGAAACGUGGCCGACAUGCCCACGUGGGUGGGGCCCAGUCAGUUUGAGCUCUUAUGCGUCGCGCGCGUCUGUCAAGUGGGUGGGGGGAGUUUGGCACACAAUCACUCGGUUUCAGUCACACCGGUGGGGCCCACAUCGAAUUUUGGGCUAUUUUCUGGGUGGAAUUUGGCUUUUAGCUUUUAGCCCUCAAAUUUAGCUUGGGUUGGGUUGGGUUGGGUUGGGUUUGGGGGGGGAAUAAAACCAAAAAUUUGACUUUUAGCCCAGGGUUGGGUUUGGUCUAAGGGGAGAGGGUGGAAUGUAAUGAUUAACAUAAUGAUUAACAGAUUAAUUUUGUUGGAAUGUUUACAUUUUUGCAAUUGAUUUACAAUUGAGUUGUAAGGAAAAACAUUCACUAUUCUUCCAAGAAGAUGCCAAAUUCAGAUUCAUAAUUUGAAUUGAGAGCCCCAAUGCAAAGUGUGAGGAGACGGUGGCUAUCAACAAUAGAGGAAGCAGAGAGGGAGUCGGAGAAUGGAUCUUGCCUUCCUCGUUGCGGUAUUUCAAAAUACAGUCUUGUGUAGGCGUUUGUUUCCUCUCAUCUACAUGGCAAAUUAUUGAUCCUCACAAAGGUGCACAACAAUGUAUUCCUAGUUGAUCCUUUCCAUUAUUUUAUUUUGUUUAAUGCUUCAACGUGUAAUAGGUUUUAAUCUUCCAUAUGAAUCGCUUAACAGUCGUUGGUAACAUAGAACCAGUCCUUUCCUCUCUUGACCAGUCAUUAGCUAGUAUAUCGUUUAAUUUCUAGGGCAAUGAGUAGGAAUGAUCACUUUUUGACAUUUGGUUGCAGAAAUGAUCAGGUGUCGUUAUGUCAUCAUUGUGUGGUCAAUAUGUGAUCAAUCCGUCGCCGGUAUUAAAAAAUGAUCAUUUCUACAACCAAAUGUCAAAAAGUGAUUUUUCCUGCUAAUAGCCCUAAUUUCUAUUUACCAAAUAAAAGAAUAGUACUAUUAGUCGGACUCGAGUAUUGCAAGUGUACAAUCAAAGGUCAAAAGUAGUACGUCAUAACCUGCUACACUGAAACAUUAUUUUAGAGACGAUCUCCUCUUAAAGAUAGUGUCUAAAUUGCCUCAACUUACAAUGUUGUUCUCAUUAAACAUCGGCAGAGAGCAAUUUCUACACCCUCAAAGAUAAGUAUUCAAUAUAUUGUUGAUUUCAUUUAAUCGAUUGUGGCAAUGAAAAUUCUCAUUAACUGUAUUUAUCUUUUGUGAAUUGUUGUAGAAGAAGUAGCAUAAACGUCGCUAAAGUUUUCAAUAACAAACACCACUUGUAAAACAUCCCUUUCUAAAUGAAAUAACGAAAGCUCAAUAGGAUGGCUAGUUGAACACUUCGUAACGCUACCAAUACAUAUGCUUCUACGUGAAAAGGACUAGCAGUACCCCUCUGAAGAGUAGCAACCAUAACAAGACAGGUCCCUUCCCCAUCCCUAACCAUCCUAAUGCCACCAUUACCACUGCACUCGCAAAAAGCAUAAUACAAAAUAAUAUUCACCCAACUGUGACCUAGAGGACUCCCACCAUUGAUGCUGCACUGGCUGCUUACCUCGACUACCGGUUACACAUGUUGUCCUUGCCACAGAAUACUAGUCCUCGACUACCACAAAGACCAUAUGAGCAUCAUGAAGGAGAGCAAACUACUCCUUGGACAUGUCAAUCGCGAUUGGAAUAGCCUUUCUUUAAGGCUACGAGAUCGCAACAAACUUUUCUAAAAUGACAAGUGACUAACAAACACAUGGAACUUUUUACGUAGAGCCUCGAUGGGCAUGUACAUGCCCUGUUUUUCCUCAGUCUGUUUACUUGCUUGAAAUUUCAUAUGCAAAAAUUGCUUUGCUUCCCUCUUUUCAUUUUGGAUUUGACGGCUUGGCUACAUGGACUUUUUUUUUCUUUGGGCAUGUGACAUUCUUGUUGUUCAAUUUUGUGUGAACAUUGUAAUUUACUUUACUAUGUUUCCGGUUUGGUAGGUCCCUUAAGAGUGUGUUUGGUUGCCAUCACUAGCCUUCACUAGAUUAGGCUGUGCUAAAACUUAGAGCAAUACCGUGUUUAUUACGCAGCAAGACAAUAUUUAGUGGGACUAGUCGGGACUCGCCUCGACAAAGGACAUCGCUAGACGGUCUUAGCGAGUCCCAUCGAAAAGCAUGGGAUUGCUAAGACCUUCACUGCUUCACUUCGGGUGGUGUAUUCAAUAGAGAAUUGGAGAGACUUUAAUGGAUUUAUAAAUUCAUGAAUUUUUAUUGAGUUUAAUUGAUUUGUAGAGAUUUCAUAUAAAAUUUUGAUUCAAUUCCCUCAAAAUCUCAUGAAAAGAUGUGAGAUUUGUGAAUGCUUAAAAUAUACUAUGAAAUCUCUCAAAUUUCCUCUAAUUCCUCAACUUUUUCAAAUUCUUUAAAAUCAAUUUCUAAUUGAAUACACAUGAAAUGUUAUAAACUUCUUUAAAAUUCUAAUUGAAUAAAUCCGAAUUUCUAAGAAUUUUAAUAAACUAUCUUAAAAUUUUAAUUACAUACACCUUAAAUUUAAGAAAAAAUCACUUAAAAUCCUGAUUGAAUAUGUCUUGAUUCAUUAAAAAAAUUAUAAUCCUCAAAAUCUCAAUUAAAUACACCCCUUCAUCUGCUGUUCUUCGUCCGCUUCUCUCUCCCUUGCCCUAACUAUCUGCUUCUAUCUCUCCCUCCAUUCAUCAUGCCGGUCGAGAUCGGCGUCCCUCUCAAUUGCUUCCCGGAAGCCAGAGCCGUCGAGCACGUUCGAGUCUUGGCCCAAGACAUCGACGACCGCCAGGUGAGCUCACUUUUCAUUGCCCUCACUGCAUUUUUCUCCCUUUUUUGUCCAAAUUGAAAGAAAACAAUUGGGAUUUUUCGCUGGGUUUGAUUUGAAUUCCAUUGUAAUUUCUAUUGGAGAGAUUGGGUACAAUGUUUUGUUUUGGGUUGAGGUACUUUCGCAAUUUCCUAAUUUGUUGAGAGGAAGGGCAUCCUGGUUUGACGGAGGUUGCUCGAUACAUUACAGGGCAAUUGGAAAUGAUAAAGUUGAUCUUCCAUUGAUUCAUUACUUGGUGUAUUCUGUAUUUUGAUUGCAUGUGUUUGUUUGUGCAUUGGGUUUUGUCCGUUCGGUUAAUUGUGUUGUUUUUGCUUCAAAUAUUGAUGGAUUUCUGACCGAUAUUGUUAUAUUUGGGUCUUUUUACACCCGGUGUUGGUUGUAUGCUUGUGAUAAUAUGCUUUGUGUGCGGCUAGUCCGGCAUUGCACCAAACGUUUCAUAAUUCUAGUACUGUAGUCUAAGCCAAGCCAAUCCAUCUUAGUCCCUGAAGUUAAUCCAGUCCGAGAUAGUCGGUGCAACAAACGCACCCUUAAGCUCUACUUGAACCAGUAAAACCUGCUUGGUGAUGUGAGCACAAAAUACCUAUUAAUCAGAUAAGCAAACCCAAUUUUAACUUGCAAGCGCACAAGACCAAUAGUAUUAUAAUAAGAGCAAGUAUGAAGUCGUUCCCACGAAUAUUGAACUUUACAUUAAUUUGAAUCUCAACUCAAUUCAAAUUCAACAAACUUUUAACACAAAUAGGGCCGAAAAUUUUACCAAGAAUGAACGCGCCAAGGAGAUCUCAAAACCCUAAAUUACAAGUGGGUGGGAAGAAUAUUUGAGUGCUUGUAAUUGUUUCUCCAUAUGCUUCUACAGUAAGCAAGGCUUCUAUCAUUGUCUGUGAUUAGUUUACUUUUGUGUUCUCAACCGCAUAUAUAUCACUUUGCACUUAAUGGUUUGAGGAAAUUAAGGCUCAAGACUUACUGACAUUUUCAUGAUUCUUUAAGAAAUCCAUUGAAAUCUUACUAAAUUGUCUAACAAAUGAGCAAUUUGAUUCUUAAGUGUUGGAGGAAAGAUUAGCAGUUUUAAAUUAUACUGCAGAAAGGAAGAAUACAAGAGAAUAUAUAUGGAGGAUGAGUUUCGAAUGGGGACUGAAAUUUACUUAACUUUAUUGCUUUCAGUUUUUUAUUACAACACUAGGCCAUCUUAAUGGCUAUUUAUAAUAACAUUCGGAUCUUUUGAUAGCAGCCAUCACUCUUGGAUUAGUUCCGAGAGACACAACUCUACAUUACAGAAAGUGCAUUGCGUUUAACACUUACAUCAUUGACUUGAUCCUAGUUGAUCUAAGGUUGUUACAUAUAUCCUCCUUAGGUUCCUGAGUAAUCCUCUCUAGUUCCUGUUGAAAUCUCUCCAUGGCCGAGAAUGGCAAGCACAUUGGUACCAAUAUUCCAUCCUCAGUGUUGUUUUUGUGUUGACUGUAGAAGCUAAUCAAAUCCAAAGCCUUGGCCGGUCCAGCAAAUACCGGUUGUCCCCAUCCAAAAUUGACAUCUCCAAAACCUGCACGCGUUGUAUCGGAAACUAUUAAAUAACUUCAUGUCGAUGAAUAUUGAGGUCGCCCUCUUAGUACCAAAAGAUCUGCCACUGAUCUUAAGUAUUCUUCAUUCAUGGUAGCUUUAGCCUUCUUCACCAACUCCAAAGCAUAUCCCAGUGGAUUUUUGCAUAGAGGUUCAGCCUUUGAAACUGCAGCGGGAAAUGCAAAUGCAUUGCCAUAGUAUCCCAAGGGAAGACGUACAUUGUGGUGCUUUCCCCGUGCAUUGACAACGCAUGAAACGCGAACAACCUGUUUUGGAUUAAUUUUAAGUGCAAGAGUGCGACAUUUCCACAAACAAGCUAUGAUCAAGUCAAACGUGGAGCAAGUGGAAAUUAGUUGGGGUGGAAUCUGUUUUCGAGGGACUCUCAUCUCCUUGGCACCAAAGUAGAAAGAUCGUUGAAGCAUGUUUGACUGGUUACUGGAUGCGUAUGAGCCAUCAGAAUGAUCAAUCACUUCUUCAUAUUCAUGAUGAGCACAUGUAAUUCUUGGUGGAUCUCGAGCGAACUGGAGCUCUCUCUCCCACACUAGUAGAAUAGAUGGUGCAUGUGCGCCUCUUGCCAUCUUCGCAACGGCGGUCAGGAACUGGAGAAAUCCAGGUGCAUCACACAUUGUGUGGUUUAGGCGCAAUGCAAGUAUGAGACCUCCACAUGUAAGACAGGUCACCUACAUAUUGCAAAAGUUAGUUACAAGACUUUUUUCUUGAUCAUCAUAUUCUUGCUAGUUAACAAUUCUUUAGAGGAAAAGACAAAAGAAACCCAUCUAAAUUAUAUGAUCUAAUUAGGAAACAAAAAUUUCAUAAAAAUUAGAGUCUCUUUGAAAUAGUCUUGUGCCUGUUGUAGCUACUUGAAAGUCUUUAAAAACAGGGGAAUUUAGACAAAACGCUUAUAGAAGAUAGAAAAAUUUAGACAGAAGACAAAGAAGACGACAUGACGACAGGCAAGAAGAAGAACGACAUAGGAAAACCUAGACACUAAAGGUGACGUGAGACUGGUGGAAAACCUAGGACCUAAUUAGGCAGAUACCAUGUAGAAAUAUAAUUUCCUCGAUUCGGUGUGUAAACAUAAGGACUGUCAAAGAAAAAUUAGUUUAAAAAAAUAAUGGAGAGCAUCUCAUAAUCUUUUCUUUCCAAAACCACCUAAUGAUUUUUUUUUAAUCAUAGGAACAAAGAGGUGUGGUAGUAUUGUAGAUAAGUUCAAGUUUGGGUGUGGUGGCAGUAUGAUAAAUUUUCAUUUAUGAAAAGGGUUGCCAAUUUUAUGAAAAUGUUAAAAAUAGUUGCGGUGCCACCAAACUUCAACUUAUUUACAAUAUUGUUAGCGUUUUCUUGUUUAUGUCCUUAUUUAUCAUUAAAAAUUUCAUAUGUUGUUGAUUGCACUAAUUUCUUACAAAAAAACUCCGGCGUAUGUAACUCAAAAAACACUACUCCUACCCUUAACUUACUUCAAUUUUUUUGUAAAGAAUUAAUGGCAAUGACCAAAUAUGAAUACCAAAAACUAAUUAAUAUGUCAUUAAUAAUUAAUUGACUCACCUGAACCAGCAGCAAAGGACAACCAAUAAUUCCAUCAGAGCCUGGGAAAUUAAAUAAGAACUCCUCUAAGAGUGAAAUUUUGUCUCCUAGUUGCUCAAGUGUGACAUCAGCAGAAGCCUUGACAAACAAGAUACCUUCACCAUUGCAAUCGACCAUGAGUUUUCUGUUAGGCCUUUCCCUAAGCCUGCCAGCUAAAGGAUAGUAAUACACUAAUGCUCUACUUAAGGCUUCCCUAAUCACCUUAAUGGGAUUACGACUUUCAUUAAGUGAAGGGCUGUUUUUGUAACACAUUAUGACUGAAACUUGAAACCUCAAGCUUUCUUUGUCAUCAAUAUCUGAGAGAAACUUUGUUUCUCGAGGCGUUGGCUUUGCCGGAGUUAUAAGUUCUGGUUGCAUUCGUUUCACCUGAAGUACUGAGGAUGGCAUCAUUUCAGUAACGAGCUUAAGAACCAGCAAAAGAUCAAAGGAUUUUGAACUUUUUUUUUGCCGCAGGCAUGCUAGUUAAAAGUUGAUACGGUCAGUACUUAAUGGCGUUAUGCAGAUGCUCUAGGGUUCCCCAAUCUUUCGUCCAAGUUUCUACCCCAGUCGAGAUUCUUAUCUUUUCCAUUAAAUAUGUGGUUAGAAAGAAACGUGUAAAUGAUCUUGCAAUCAACUUGCUGUGCAAACAAAAAAUGUUGUCCCGAGCCAUGAGCAUGGGACCAUUUCCAUUUCACACCACAGAUUCGUAGAUCUACAUUGAUACUGAAUUUCAUUUCAACGUCAGAAAAUUGAAUACAACCAGGGAUACGAGGACCGGUGUUUGGUAAAAAAACCUUUGACAGAAAUCAAAGGAAAAAGGCCUACAUUUUAUCUGCCUCACGUUACAGCUGUCACAGUUCUAAAACAUCAGAUUCGUACAUAUAUAUAUUAAUACUGAAUUUCAUUUCAACCUCAAAAAACUGAAUACUAACAGGGAUAUGAGGACAGGUUCGGUAAAAUACCUUUGAUAGGAAUGGAAGGAAAAAGGCCAACGUCGUACGUACCUGCCCCAAUGACAGUUGUCACUGUUGUACAACAUCGAUCAGACGUCUGCUAUACUGGAAAAUGUUGUUGUUUUAUAAUGACUGGCAUAUUAGCACGGAAGAAUAAGGUCAUCUCCAAUCGAUCCGAUCAGAGGGUCAAAAAUAACCCGAAAUGACAUGAAAACUGUCUUCAACUUAGGGCUAGGCCAAAGAGCUCGUGGGCUCCAUCGGGCCAAAAAAGAGGAAUUAGGCCAAUCGGUUAGCCCAAAUGAGCCAACCAGCUAGCCCCGGGCCAUACACAGAAUGGCUUGCAAGCGGAAGGCGAAGGCCAUGACUCAGGAGGUAGCCGCGGCUAAUGAUGACAGAGAGGAAGCGAGGUUUCUUGGGAAAAAGCUUUUUCCCAACUUCAUCAAAUUUCAGGCUCUAAUUGAAAAUUUCGACCUCUGAUCAAAUCGAAAUUCGAAAUUUAGGGCUUGGAUUGGUGAAAUGGCGAUGCUUUUGGAGGAUAUUCUGAAGUCGGUGGAGCUCUGGUUAAAGAUGAUCAAGAAGCCCCAGCCUUACAUGGACCCAAAUCUCGACCCCGUUCUGCUAGUUUCGGGCAUCGCCGGUUCGGUCUUGAAUGUCGUCAAUGAAGAGAGUGGUGCAUAAUUAAACAAAAGCUAAUUUGUGGCUUUUCAUUCUCGUGUAGGUGCACCUGGAUAUGUCACUUCUACCUUUUUAAAUGGAAUGUCAUUUGUUGAUGGGUGGGAACAUAAUUUUUUUAUAUCAAAAUGGAGCAUGCACCAACUGGUAUGAGUCCAUUUCUAUGGGCCGUGGAAUUUGAAACAAAAAUGUAAUCCUUUUACGGGAUGAAGAAAGUUAUUUGUUAAAAGAGAGAAUGUUUUAAAAUUAAAACAAAAAAUAACAUAAGAUGGUAGAAGUAUUUGAUAGUAAAGCAUUUCACAAACAUUUAUUUCUUCUUUGCAUUCCUUUUUUUAGUAUUGAGGUUUGUUGCAAUUUUACAGCUUAUUGAGUGCCCAUCAGUCUAUGAAUUGAUGAAUUGUUGUUUUUAAAUUUAAGUUGUUAUAGUUUUUAUAUUAAAAUAAUAAAUUAUGUUUGGCCACUUGGCCCCCUCGAUUGGAGAUGGUUUUUUGUCACAAGGCUAUGUUUGGCCUAUGGUCCUUUGGCCCCUCGGUUGGAGAUGGUAAGGCCAUCUCUAACCGAAGGGUCCAGAGGGCCGAAAAUAGCCCGAAAACGCCCUCCAACUGAGGGUCAUGCCAAAGGGCUCGUGGGUCCCACUAGACAAAAAAUGGCCAAAAGGCCAACUGGCCGGCCCAAAUGAGCCAGCUAGCUGGCCUCGGGCCGGGCUCUAUUUUUGAAUCCCCAACGGCUAGCUAACAUCAGUUACAGUUGGCUUUUGAUUUUUUUUUUUGGGCCAAAUUUUUUUUUUAAAAUUCUCAUUUUUUCCUAUAAAUACCUAAACCAUUCCUUACAAAUUUUUCACCAUUCCUACACCAUUUCAAUUCUCAUAUUUUCUUACCUCUUCUAAAAAUAUUUCUUUCAAUUUUUUCAAUAAUUUUCAAAUGGCCUCGUCUGCAAUGAAAUGUAGGGCUUGGACCUGAAAAGAAGAUAAAGCUCUUUGCAGGGCUUAUAGAUGGGUGUCGAAAGAUAGUGUGAGGGUGAGUUCUUAAACAAGUGAAGGUGUUUGGACUUUUGUGUCCAAAAAAUACUUAGAGUUCUACGAAUGCACCACUCCACCAAAUAUCCGAAAUCACGAGAGUUGUUCUUCAAGAUGGAAGAAACAUCUUCAGCCAAGUUUGAACAAAUGGCACCAAGCACUAUUAGCAGUUACGAUGAAGUAAGUGUUUUCACAAUUUAUUUUAAAUAUUUAAUUAUAUUACAUUUAAUUUCAUAAAUUAAUUUCUUUAAUUUUUGUAAUUAUAUUUUCUAGAUACGCCAAGCGGAGGAAUUGUAUAUGGAGGGUAGCUCGAAACCCUUUCAGUUUCACGGUUGUUGGGAAAUUUGUAAACGAUGGGUGUUAUUUGAAGAUCUACCUCAACAUAGAGUAAGUCAUACGCCGUUGUUUGAAACUGCAUCCUCAGCUGUAGAUAUGGAUGAAGAUGGAUCUCCUACCAUUCAACAAACAAACGUAGAAAAUCUGUCUUCGGGUGAAGGUUCCAUACCUAGGGCUAUGGGACGAAACAAGGCCCGAAGGUUAAGGAAAAGGGCAACGUAAAUGAUGAUUACGCCGCUCAACAGGAAGUGGCGGCCUCAUUGCGAUUAAUGGCGGAGCAAAAUGAUAUUGCCGCGGAAGAAAUGAACCAUAGGCAUGAAGAAUAGGCCAAACAAAUAAAAGAAGAGAUGGAUGAUAAGAAUAUGGAAAUGAACACUUCGAAUUACACUCCAAUGAGUAAGGCCUAUUUUGAUAGGAAAAAAAAAAGAUAUUAUGACUCGGCGGCAGUUGUUUACCUCUAACUAUACUCCUACAAUGGCAAAUGAUGAAGAUGAUGUUGAUUAUGGAUAUUAAAUUUAAGUUGUUGUAGUUUCUACAUUUAAGUUAAUGUUGUUUUUAAAUUUAAUUUGUAGUUUUUAAAUUUAAGUUGUAGUUUUUAAAUAUAAGUUGUAGUUUUUAAAUUUAAGUUGUUGUAGUUUUUAAAUUUAAGUUGUUGCAAUUUUUAAAUUUAAAAAAUAAAUUAUGUUUGGCCCUAUGGCCCAUUUGUGUGACAGCCCGUCCCAAACGUAUUUAUCAUUUUGUCCUCGAGAGCAUGGAAUUUACUAGAAUAGCCUUGGGCGUUGAAUUAUUUUGUGUGGUGUUGUGAAUUAAGCUUAGGUUUUGGACCAAUUAGUUCUAUUCCUAAUUAAUUGGACCUAAUUAGAACUAAAAAGCCUAAGGUGUUGGUUGAUUGGCUGCAAAUUGGACCACACACACACCAAACAAUUCCGUUAAUUCUCUUUCUCUCUCCCCCUUCUCGGAUUUUCUUCCAUUUCCAUACAACCGUACGGUCAUUUCCUAAACCAGUUUUUCCUUGCACAGAUCGAGGCUGUGAAGUUGGUUUUUGUGUUCCUUGCGAGGCUAGGAGCUCAUCCAUACCCUUGGUGGGACGUGAAGACGUCAGGAACUCAAGAACCAAGAAGCUCCGAGGAGCUACACUGUUCACUCGACGUGAUCGUAAGUGCUUCUUAAAGUUUUGAGCUCUUUGGAGGUCUUAAAUCGUCUUCAUGAAGCUUUUAGAAGAAUUUUAGAGGGUUUUGAACGUCGAGAAGCUUGGGUUUGGCGAGUUGCAGGAGUGACUGGAAUAUCAAAGGAUUUUCCGGUGACUUCCCGUUGGUUGUAGGACUCUUAAGUGGUAAGAACUUGUUCCUUUCGUCCUAAGCUUCAUUUUGGUUUAAGUUUCAUGGAUUUUGGUGGAAAAAUGAAUAAGAUAUGAAGAUUUAAAAUUUUCCAGAAACGUGUGGAGAACGUUCGAGUGGUCAGGCAUUUUCCUAACGUAUUCCCUGAUGAUUUACCUGGAUUGUCGCUAGACCAAGACGUGGAGUUCACCAUUGAUUUACUUCCAGGUAUAGAUCCUAUAUCUCUAACUCUUUAUCAAAUGGCUCCUACUGAAUUGAGGGAGUUGAAGAUUCAGUUGCAGGAAUUAGUUGAUAAAGGUUUCAUUCAGCCUAGUACUUCACCCUGGGGAGCUCUAAUUUUAUUUGUGAAGAAGAAAGAUGGGACUUUAAGGCUAUGUAUUGAUUAUAGACAAUUGAAUCGGGUAAUGAUUAAAAACCGUUAUCCAUUGCCGUGUAUAGAUGAUUUAUUUGAUCAGCUUCGAGGCGCUUGUAUGUUUUCUAAGAUUGAUUUAAGGUCUAGUUAUUAUCAAUUGAAGAUUACAAGUGAGGAUGUCCCUAAGACAGCUUUUAGGACUCGAUAUGGUCAUUAUGAGUUUCUUGUCAUGCCAUUCAGGUUGACUAAUGCACCUGCAGCUUUUAUGGAUCUGAUGAAUCGAGUAUUUCAUCAAUAUCUAAACAGGUUUGUCAUUGUUUUCAUUGAUGAUAUUCUGAAAUCAGAGCAUGUUCGGCAUCUCACUUUGGUGUUGAAGAAAUUGAGGGAACACCAGUUGUAUGCUAAGUUUAGCAAGUGCCAAUUUUGGCUAGAUCAAGUGGCAUUUUUGGGACAUGUUAUAUCAGCUCAGGGUAUUCUGGUGGAUCCUCAAAAGGUAGUAGCUAUUGAGAAUUGGGAGCAACCACGAACCGUCACUAAGGUAUAGAGUUUUCUUGGUUUAGUAGGUUAUUAUCAACGGUUUGUUAAAGAUUUUUCAGUUAUUGCAUUACCACUGAUGCGAUUAACCAAGAAGGAUGUUAAGUUUGAGUAGGAUGAUAACUGUGAGCAGAGUUUUCAGCAGUUGAAAUAUUGUCUCACUCAUGCACCUGUUUUGACGCUUCCUGGUGAUAGUGGUAAUUUUGAGAUCUACAGUGAUGCUUCCUUGAAUGGUAUAGGAUGUGUGUUGAUGCAGCAUGGUAGGUUCAUCGCUUAUGCUUCGCGUCAGUUGAAGCCUCAUAAGAUGAAUUAUCCUACUCAUGAUCUGGAGUUAGCAGCUAUCGUCUUUGCUUUGAAGAUUUGGAGACAUUAUCUUUAUGGUGAAAAAUGUCAGAUUUUUACGGAUCAUAAGAGUCUUCAGUAUCUUUUCACUCAGGGGGAUCUUAAUCUUUGACAACAAAGAUGGAUUGAGUUGCUCAGUGAUUAUGAUUGCACGAUUGAUUAUCACCCUGGUCGUGCAAAUGUGGUGGCAGAUGCACUUAGUAGGAAGCCUCAAGCGAGAAUUAAUGCUUUGUACACUUGUCAUGCUCCUUUUCUUGCAGAUUUGAAGUCCGCUGGAGUGAAGUUAGGGGUGGAAGAAAAAGAGGAAGCUUUACUUGCUAAUUUUCAAGUUAGGCCAAUUUUAAUUGAUCGAGUGCUCGAGGCUUAAAUGAAUGAUGAGGAAACCCAGGAAUUAAUUCAAGCAAGAAAUGAUGAGAAAAAGAAAGAUCUCAGAAUUCGGGAGACUGAUGGUAUGCUUAUGCAGGAAGGAAGAAUGUAUGUGCCAAAUAAUGCAGAGUUAAAGAAAGAAAUUUUGAUGAAGCGCAUGUAUCGGCAUAUGCAAUGCAUCCUGGAGGUACUAAAAUGUAUCAUACUAUUAAACCAUUUUAUUAUUGGCCGGGUAUGAAAAGGGAAAUUGCUGAGUAUGUGAGUAGGUGUGUCAUUUGUCAGCAGGUCAAAGCUGAGAGGAAAAAGCCAUUUGGAAUGAUGCAGCCACUUCCCGUUCCACAAUGGAAGCGGGAAGAUAUUACUAUGGAUUUUGCAUACAAGCUUCCUCGUACACAAAAUGGUUAUGACGACAUUUGGGUAAUAGUGAAUCGACUUACUAAGUCAGCGCAUAUUAUUCCCGUAAGGGAGAAAUAUUCUUUAAGCCAAUUAGCUGAAUUAUUCAUAUCAAAGAUUGUUAAGUACCAUAGAGUUCCGGUUAGUAUUAUCUCGCAUCGGGAUCCUAGAUUCACUUCUAAGUUCUGGGUAGCAUUUCAGGAGGCUCUUGGUUCGAGGUUACUUUAUAGUACAGCAUAUCAUCCUCAGACAGACAGGCAGUCUGAGAUGACUAUUCAGACAUUAGAGGAUAUGCUGAGAUCUUCGGUAUUACAGUUCGGUGACGCCUGGCAUCAACGGUUAAAAUUGAUGGAGUUUGCAUAUAACAAUAGCUACCAUUCGAGUAUUGGUAUGUCACCAUUUGAGGCACUUUAUGGCAAGUCUUGUCGUACACCUUUGUGUUGGUCAAAGGUUGGUGAAAGAGUUUUAGUGGGCCCUGAGAUUGUAGAGGAGACUACUCAGAAUAUUCAUGUAAUUAAAUCUAACCUAAAAGCAGUCCAGGAUCGACAAAAGAGUCUAGUAGACAGGCAUGUCAUUGAUCGAGUGUAUAAAGUUGGUGAUUGGGUGUUUUUGAAGCUAUCACCGUGGAAAAGUGUAGUACAGUUAUGGAAAAAGAGUAAGCUAAGUCCUAGGUACAUCGGACCCUAUCAGAUCACUGAGUGAGUCGGUGAAGUUGCUUACAGGCUUGAGUUGUCUUCAGAGUUUUCUAAAGUGCACUAUGUAUUCCAUGUCUCUAUGCUUCAUCAUUAUAUCUCUGAUCCAUCACAUGUGAUACCUCAUCAACCAUUGGAAAUUAAUUCAGAUUUGACUUAUGAGGAAGAGCCAGUGACAAUUUUGGAUUGGAAAGAUAAGGUUUUAAGGAAUAAGACUGUGCGCUUGGUGAAAGUUUUGUGGAGAAAUCACUCGGUGGAGGAAGCCACCUGGGAGACGGAGGAGAGCAUGAAGAAAAUGUAUCCACACUUAUUUUAUGAUUAUUAGUGGUUUGUAUUAGUGUAUGAAAUUUUAAGGAAGAAAUUUUAUUAAGGGGGUAGGUUGUGACAACCCGUCCUGAAAUAUAUAUUAUUUUGUCAUCGAGAGCAUGCAAUUUACUAGAAUAUACUGGGACGUUGAAUUAUUUUGUGUGGUGUUGUGAAUUAAGCUUAGGUUUUGGACCAAUUAGUUCUAUUCCUAAUUAAUUGGACCUAAUUAGAACUAAAUGGCCUAAGGUGUUGGUUGAUUGGCUGCAAACUGGACCACACACACACCAACCAAUCCCGUUGACUCUCUCUCUCUCUCUCUCCUCCCUCUCGGAUUUUCUUCCAUUUCCGUACAACCGUACGGUCAUUUGCUAAACUAGUUUUUCCUUGCAUAGAUCGAGGCUGUGAAGUUGGUUUUUGUGUUCCUUACGAGUCCAGGAGCUCAUCCAUACCCUUGGUGGGAUGUGAGGACGUCGGGAACUCAAGAACCAAGAAGCUCCGAGGAGGUACACUGUUCACUCGACGUGAUCGAUAGUGUUUCUUAAAGUUUUGAGCUUUUUGGAGGUCUUAAAUCGUCUUCACGAAGCUUUUAGAAGAAUUGUGGAGGGUUUUGAACGUCGGGAAGCUUGGGUUUGGCGAGUUGCAAGAGUGACUAGAAUAUCGAAGGAUUUUUCAACGACUUCCCAUUGGUUGUAGGACUCUUAAGUGGUAAGAACUUGUUCCUUUCGUCCUAAGCUUCAUUUUGGUUUAAGUUUCAUGGAUUUUGGUGGAAAAAUGAAUGAGAUAUAAAGAUUUUAAAAUUUUCCAGAAACCGGCGAUCGCAGCGGCUCCAACGCCUGACUCCGGCGAACCAAGGUUGAAGGAGGAGAAUAUUCCAUCAACUUUGACGAAAUAUUCUAAUGGCGUCAGGUAUCUUUAACGGCAUAUUCUAUAUUUUAACGGAAUAUUCCCUAAUGUCGAUAGGGAAUCCGUCAGUGUGCCAGGCAUGUGCCUGAGCAUGGGUCGCGGGUCUGGCCGUGCCUUGGCUGGCUCGUGAGUGGUCGGAAAAAUUUUCUAAAAAUAUUAGGUUGUUCCUGAGGUUGAGUAGGUCACGGUGGUAUAUUCAUAUACCCCAAUUAAGCAAUGUAUGAGUAGUUAUUACCUAGUUUUGUUUAUGUUCUUAAAAAUAACGUUUAAAUAGUUAGGUGAGACCUAUCCUGAGGACGAGCGUAGUCAAGCAAGGCUCGGGGGUUACGACCCUUCCACAUAUCAAUGAGUGGGCUUUUAGUUUUCAAUAUAUAUAUAUAUAUACACACACACUUGGUAUUUUUCCCAUAAAACUUAAUUAAAUGGUUUGAUAUUUUUGAAAUGCCAUGUCAAAUGUUCUUUAUGUUUAAUAGUGCACUGGUAUGGUUUAUUGUUGCUCGAUGUUGUGGACACGCAGGUAAGCUUUAGGUGAGUAUAUUGAUGGUAGUGAUGGUAGUGAAUAUAUUAGUGUUGAGAUGCAUUUCGAGUUAUUUAUCCUGCACCUCGAUGUUAAUGCUUCGCUCGAGGACAGGGCCUAGCCUUCACCUGAUUGUUCACCUCCCGCACCACACACUCACCUUAGAUCCAAGGUAGGUGCCAGCCUAUUGUACAGACCACACUGGGUGGUUCCGACUCGUAGGUGACUUGCGAUACUUCGCACAACCUUCAUGUGACCGUAGCACUUGAGAGUAUUUAUUUACACCUACCCUGUCGUACAGACCACAUUAAGUGGUUCCGACUCGUGUGAAAAAUUUGAUUGAUGAGUUGUGGACCCAGCCGUACAGGUCACUUUAGGUGACUCCAGCUGAUAUACUAUUUCUUAUUGAUUUAUUGCACCUGGAUUACUUAUUUCUUGCUGAGAUUUGACAUGGUAUUUUCGGUGGAUUGCUAUUUUGAAUAUGCUUUGAGAUAUAAUUGUAUAUGCUAUUUUCUGAGAAUUAUACAGGUUUUAUGGCGAAAGGUUACAACUUUUGAUAGUGAAAUGGUUUUGAAAAGCUUUGGUUUUGCCCACUCACACUUUUUGUUUUGCGCCCCUCCAAGUUUUAGGUAGGAGUGCUCCUUGUUGGCUCACGAGGAACUCACGGCAGCUCUGACAGAUUAUCACUAAUGUAGGACCAUAUUUGAUAUUUUAUAAUUAGUAUUCGUCCUACUGGACUGCACUUAGGCUACUUAUGCUCUGAUCAUCGCACUUUCACCGUAUCCCAUCUAGUAUUUUAGUCAAUUAGUUUUUAUUUAUUUGCUUUUCUUAUAUCAUUGUUGCUUCCGCACUAUGCACAUGGCUAUGUCACCCUCACGUGACGGCCAGCAUGCCUCGAUCUAGGUCAGGGUGUGUCACUUUGGCCCUCGGUUGGAGACGAUUUUUUGUAACAGGGCUAAAACAAGCCCUAUGGCCCUUUGGCCCUCAGUGCCAUCUCCAACCAAACAAGGGCCAGAUGGCUCGUUUUAGUCCUCUGGCCCUCCAAUAUAUUAAUAAUUUAAUGAACAGUACAUUGUCAUAUUUGCCUCUAUCUCCAACCCAGGGCAAUAAGGCUCGUUUUAGCCCUGUGACAAAAAACGGUCUCCAACCGAGGGCUAAAGAGCCAUAGGGCCAAACAUAAUUUAUUAUUUAAAUUUAAAAACUACAACAACUUAAAUUUAAAAAUGGUGAAAAUUAUGUGAAAAAUGGUGUAGGAAUGACUUAGGUAUUUAUAGGAAAAAAAAGGGAAUUUAAAAAAAAAAAAAAAGAAUUGGCUAAAAAAAAGGACAAUAUUGUCAGAUAUAUCCGACACUAAAGAGGACAAUACUAUUGGCUAUAUCCGACAAAAAAUGUAUUAAUAAUAAAAAAUCUUGCCUAACCCGAGGUUGGCUGGAUUGGGCUAGCCGGUUGGCCCCUUGGCCUUUUUUUGUCCUGUGGGGCCCACAAGCCCUUUGGCCUAGCCCUCGGUUGGAGAUGGUUUAAGAAAUAUGGCCCUGCACUAUUCAUUAAAAUAUUAAUUUCUUGGAGGGCCAGAGGUUGAAGAUGACCUAAGGGAUCCUCUCCGGAUCCCUUCCACCAAAUUCACCAAGUCUACCAAUCUAGGCCCUUGAAAUUUGAUCCAACGGCUAAAAACAAGGGGCCCCAUUUAAAAGUUAUAAUAACUUUAGCCGUUGGAUCAAAAUUUAAGGAUCCGGAUUGGUGGACUUGGUGGAUUUGGUGGAAGAAAUCCGGAGAAAAUCCAUUUCCUUGUUUCACAUUAUUAUUAAUUUUGACUGAUCUGGUAUGUUGACUAAUCGUUUAUCUCAUGAUAAAAGUUUGUUAUGAUGAAGAAAGCCGAGCUCCCUAAAAUUAAUCGACAAUAUAAGGAGCAGCUUAAUCACUUAUAAGCAGAUGCAAUGUCCUCUUUUUUCAAUGUGGAAUUCAUACUGUAAAACCCCACCCUCGUUUUAUUUUUAAAAAAUGGUUUUUGGGUCUUAAUUGGUGAGCCCAAGGGGCCCACCCUCUGAUUUGUCCCCCGGUUCCCUUCCCUUUUUUCUUUCUUUUUCUGAUUUUUAUAUCAUCUCUCAUCUCUCUCUUCUCCCUCACUCUCCCUUAUCUCUCCCUUUCAACUCUCUGUAACUUUCUCCUUCCCUCUUACGCAAACUCACACACACACACAGGCAGCCAUCGCCACAUUCACACCAUCACCAUCAACUCGGAGCCUCCCUUUUCUCCCUUACCUCUCCGAGCUCACUCUCUCUCUCUUUUUGGCACUUUGCACAGUCAUGGUGCAUGUGAUUUCCGACGAGGUAAGUCGUAAACAUCCUUCCACCUUUCUCCCUAGUAGUCUUAGAGGCGUAGUGGUUGCUAAAAAGUUGUUUUUGGAAAAGGUUUGAACGUGAAAACAGCUCAAGAAGUUUCUCCCAUAUUUUUCGGCGAGAACCCAACCUUUGCAUACGUUUUUUCGGCCAACUCCAACCACCUCUCAAUCUCCCAAUGUUAUAAACCUCUUCCUUAUUGUCUAGGCUUCAUUUUGGUGUAUUACAUCGCAUGUUUUGGUUAAGUUUCGAGCUCCAUCGGAGCUCGAGGGAUUUCCCGCCGAAUUCUAACCUUCUCUUUCAAAUGGGUCUGGCGACCCACAAUUAGAACUCAGGUCAGGCUUUCAAGCCCCAAAGCCAAUUCGAACCAGGCCCUUGGGCUGUGCCAAAACCUAGGGCCUUAGGCCCAUUGUUUGAAAACCCAAAACCCUUUUCUUUAUUUAUUUAUUUGUUUAUUUCCUUUUAAAACCCAAAGGAAUUGGACCGGGCCUCAAGCCCAAUACCCAAAUCCCUUUAAACCCUAAACCCUAACUGGCCCAACCCAUUACCCAUAAAAGCCUAACCCAAAACCCUUUUGGAAAUUUAGGCUUUUGGGCCAAUGAGCCUUUCAACCCAAACCCACCAGCCCAGAUCUGGCUUAAACUUUCCAAGAAUAUUCCUGGAACAUUUGGAGGAAUAUUCCCCCUGUUGACUCUUAAGAAAUUUAAUCGGGACCCUUCUUAGGGUAAUUCGACGUCUUGGAUCCAUUUAUAACAUCCGUUUUCUCAAAUUCAAUCGUUUGAGUAUAGUUUUUGGUAAUCGCACUCUUUAUAUGCUUAGGUGCAAUUUCUAGCGACGAAUUCUGUUAUUCCUAUUUUGUACAGUUGUGCAUCAACGAUGUAAGGUGAGUGGACCCCUUCAAAAAUGCAUGUUUUAAUGGUAGAAAUGCAUACAUGAAAAGCAUGAUUUAAUGAUUAUGUUUUAUGAAACAUUUUAUGAGAUAACAUGCUUAUUGAGGCUAGUUUGAAUUACUACUAUUUUUCCUAUAACCCGUGUUCUUUAUAGAAUAUCCAAUGGAUGGCGAUAUAAUAUUUAGAACAUGUUUCGAACACCUCUUUAUAGUAUAGAUGAUGGAUGACUUUAUACUAUGAAGUUACUUUUCAAAUAUAUGUAUGUUCAAUGGUUUUGUACUUACCUAUUGGUCCCUAUUCCGCUAUGGGGCGAGGGAUAGAUUCCGUCACGGGCGACGUUAAGACGUUGGCAUAAGGCCUAAAGAAAUAAUGUCUAGCUACAGGCUGAGAGACAAGGGAAGCUGGCUCGGGGCCUGAAGGUGAUUUUCCUCUGGUAAUUGGCACAAGGACGGGGAGCUGGCACGGGGCCUGAAGUGAAAUUAGAUGUUCACUAGCGAUUACUAUAUAUACGAGAUAUGUUUUGAGACAUUGCACGGCAUGCUAGGUUUAGGAAAACCGAUUUUAUUUAUCAUGCUAUAUGUGUUUUCAUAAAACCUGGGGGUUAGAAUGUUGAUAACAGUUUUAUUAUAUCUAUAUCAACUUGGUCCACUCAUGUUUGUUUUGCACCCCCUUCAGGUCUUAGAAUCGAGGCAUAUAAUCCCGGCGUCAAGGCACUUCCGCAUCGGCAUCUUCGAGUCUUCUCGGUGUAGGACCCAUUCUUUUAUUCAUUCAAUUUUAUAUUAUUUCUUUUAGCGUUCUAGUUAGUUGUAUGCUCUGAACACGUUCCUCAUUUGCACAUUAAUUAUAUUUAAAUUUCUUUUAUCUUAUUCAUAUUUUAGUUAUCAUGCAUUCAAUAAAUGGCUUUCAUCACCCUCGAGUGUCGGCCAGCACGUACCUAUCCUGGUGUUCGGGGAAUAUCGGGAUCGGGACGUGUCAGAUUAGUAUCAGUGCGUGGUUUGCUCAGAGCAUACUUAGGACCUUCUGUUACUAUAUUAGUGUGUCAAUCAUGAUUUCGUUUAGAUGUCACGACUACUGAAUUUGGUGCCAUUCAACGCAAUUAUGCAAACCUUUCGCUAUUUGAAUUGUCACCUUCUGGUUGAAAUACAAGAAUUCGUGUCGGGAUUGUGCCUCAACAGUGAUGAAGUGGAUUGUUGGAUGACUUUCAAUAUCAGAUCGAUAGUCUGUCACAUGUGUUCCCUAGGAAUUACGGGCGAAGUCGGAUCUACUUAGGAGUUUUAGGAAGCGAAAAAAUUGUAACGGUAUGAGUUGGUUAAGACCAACUAGAAAUCUGAAACGGUGAUAUCACUCUGCAACAUGCAUUCCCUAGGAAUGGGGGGCGGAGUCAUAUCUUAGUGACAACUACUCGACCAUUCGAAGUGCAUGGGGAACCCGAGUAAGCGCCAAUUGUUACGAAGUUUAGUAUGUGGUAGUUGAUGGGAGCAAAUCAAUGUUAUCGGACUCAUUACCACUGAAGAAAUUCGUGUGGAUCAUUAGAACAAUUCCCAGAGAUUGUUCUGUCAAUAACCUUCUUGCUUACUCCAAUAGCAAAGUCUAGUCCCUAACCUUUGAUCGUCAGCUUGACACCAAAUCUCUUGAGCGUUGACUUUGUCUAGAGAUUAUACUUUUCUUGGGAAACUUCUCAAUAGCAAACAUUAUUCUCACCAAUUUCCCAAAAGAAGUUACGAUCUUGUUGUUGUUGUAGUUAGACUUGGAUAAUGAAGAUCCAGUCUUGGUUGGAUAAACAAACUCCUUGAACUUUACCUGGGUUUGGUACUUGGCAGUAAACCCUAGCUUCUUGUCCACGUAUUUUUCGGUAGAAAUGAACUUAGCCUCUUGCUUGUAGCCCAACUAACCAGUGUUUUUGUCCACUAGUUGUUCAGCCUUGUAAUUUUCAGUGUAAUGGCUUGAGACUCCACCAUAUUCAUCAUUGUAUGAAGAUCUAGCUUUGCUCUGAACUUCUCUGGACUCAUUGAGCUUUGGUUUGCUCAAGGGCAUCACUUUAAGGUAGUCAAUCGUGUCACUGCAUGCAUAUGCAAACUGCUUUGUAUCUUUCUUCUUCGUCAUUCUGUUGAUUCAAAGGUUCUAUGUUUAAUUUUUGAACUUUAAAAUAGCUCUCACAAAGUAUUGUGAAUUACGAAAUGCCUUUGGCCGUAUCAAAUCUUAUUAGCUAUUCUUAACUAUUCUUUGAGCUCAGACCUAUUUCCUUUUUUGCUAAGAAACCAGUCAACCUUACUGUGAUGAUUAACUAAAUAAUCAUACCCAGUGACUUAUAUUUCUUCAUCUUCACCUUCCUUCACUUGUUCGUUUCUUAAUGUAAAUCUGGAUCUUAUCGAAACAUUACACGAAGGGUGUAAAGAAAAGAAAAAAAAACGUUUGUUCUCGACAUGGUUUCUGGUUCAAAUCCCAAUAUCUUGUACUCUAGAUUUUAAUGGACUUGUUUUGACUCUCAAAUUCUUGAGUGUUCUUUCAGCCUUCUCGACAUGGUUUCUCGCUCAAUCAGUAAGGAAUUCACGAUCGAUCGAUUCGGCGGAAGUCUGUGCCCAAUUCUUAUCGUUUCGGAUAAGAACGUUAGGAGCAUAACCUCUUCACAAGCUUACCAGACUUACCAGAAAGAGAUCUACAUGGGUGUGAGGUUUGAGCCUCCUUUUGGUAAGAGUUGGAUGAAGAUUGUAAUGAAAAAGGUCAACAGAUUGUGUCACCAUCUUGCUGCAAUUCAUAAACAUCAUAUCGUACUCUAGUAGUUCUUUACCAACGAUAUGUAAAUAAGUUCAUUUGCCCAAAUAUUUUAAGGGUAUCUUUCACUUAGCCCUAACACACCUUUGAUAGGCAUAUACUGAGAUUAAUUAUUGGUUUGGUAUUGAGGUGCUUUUAUAAAAAAAUGGGUAUCAAAAAAAGUUGAGCUCAAAAAAGUGUUUGGUAAACACUUAAAAACAGCUUAUUUUCACAGUGUUGGGUGAAAAAAAGUUGAUGAAGCAGCAAAAAUGAACUUAUUCUCACAGCACAGCAGAAUCAGUUUUUUUUUCAAAGCACAGCAAUACCAAACCAGCCCUAAAUUCCAUCUUGAGUUCCGAGUCUAGUAUCUGAACGAACUAUCUAGACCUUGGAGGACGCGUUGUGUUCACUCGUAUUCUGGCUUUAGCACAUUUAGAAGUUGCACUUCUCUCGAAAUGUGUGUACUCUCAUGAGGUUUUUAGGUUGAUCACUUGAAAGUCCUUCUUUCCACCAACUUUGGCCUUGUUUGGCUAGAAAUCUGCAACUAAGCAAAAAUGGAUAGGUGGAUUUAGCCCUUCAACAACUCCCAAGAGAUACUACUUGUUGAGGAAGGUGACUUCUCGUUUUCUGCUUGCUUGAUUCGAGCUUUUGAGUUUACUAUUAACAUGGUAACCACUUCUCUUGAAUCCCAAGAUACCGUUUUCAAAUGGGUUCUUUGUUGGCGAAACACUGGUGUAGUUGGUCACAUUUGGAAGAACUAAGGAAGAUGAUGUGCUUGGUGUUGGAUGGAAUUAUUACGUCGACGAUUUUAUUUGAUUCGGGUUGAAGAUGGCACUUUUUGUGACACGGUACGAGAACUUCUACAUGCAAUGUUGGUUGACAGAAGGGCUUUGUGAACUUGUAUUCAGAGGAUCGAAUUUACAACGUGUGAAAUUGUGCACUCUCAGGAAAUCACUGCUUCCUUAUCAAGACAACAAAUGUGUGAUCAAUAUCACGGGUGGCCGACUGUUGUAUUGAUAACUUAUUUGUUGGGUUCAUUAAGCAAGUGGGCAGGAAGUCCCGUCUACGACAAUUGUUACAGAUUCGCUAUUGUUGGGGCUCGACCCAAAGACACACCUUUCUCAGAGUACGUGACAUUACGUAUGUUUGGGCAAGACCCACCUUCAUUUGCAGUUUUGGUUUCAGAACUAGUAUUUUAAAUUACCUUAUUAUAGUUUUAUAUUUGUAUUUUCGAAGUUACAAAUGUUUUGGGGGAAGUAUUUCUGUUUUCAGUUUUAAUCUCAGUACGAGUUUUUAACCUCUACGUUAUUUCAUCUCUAUUUUAACGUUAUCGUAUUUUACGUUCUUACUUUUGACCUUAAGCUAUUUUAUGUUUUCGACUUUAUAUCUUUAUUAAGUAUGUUUGGCUACUUUUUACGUAUGUGGGAACAAAGUAGGAUUUUGAGGCAUGAAAGAGGAUUUGGCAAACAGAUCGCGACGGUGUGGCAUUUUUCCUUUUGUGCAACCGCUCUGACCUGAUCUCUUUGUUACGUAUAUGUAUAUUUUUCUUCUUCCUAUUUUUGAGUUUUUCAGUGUAGUAUGUUAUUUUAAAUUUCGAGGACAAAAUUCUUUUAAGGGGGUAGAUUGUAAAACCCCACCCCCGUUUUAUUUUUUAAAAAAUGGUUUUUGGGUCUUAAUUGGUGAGCCCAAGGGGCCCACCCCCUAAUUUGUCCCAUGGUUCCCUUCCCCUUUUCUUUCUUUUUCUGAUUUUUAUAUCAUCUCUCAUAUCUCUUUUCUCCCUCACUUUCCCUUAUCUCUCCCUCUCGACUCUCUGCAACUCUCUCCUUCCUUCUUCCCUGAACUCACACACACACAUACAUACAUACAUACAUACACGCAGGCAGCCAUCGCCACGUUCACACCAUCACCAUCAACUUGGACCCUCCCUUCUUUCCCUCACCUCUCUGAGCUCACUCUCUCUCUUCCUAGCACUGUGCACAAUCAUGGUGCACAUGAUUUCCAACAAGGUAAGUCGAAAACAUCCUUCCACCUUUCUCCCUAGUAGUCUAGAAGGCGUAGUGGUUGCUAAAGAUUGGUUUUUGGUGAAGGUUUGGAUGUGAAAAUAGCUCAGGAAGUUUCUCCCAUAUUUUCAGGUGAAAACCCGACCUUUGCAGACAUUUUUCCUGCCAACUCCGGCCACCUCUCGAUCUCCCAAUGGUAUAAACCUCUUCCUUAUCGUCUUGGCUUCAUUUUCGUGUACUAAAUCGCAUGUUUUGGUUAUGUUUCAAGCUCUAUCAGAGAUCGAGGGAUUUCCGGUCGAAUUCAAGCCUUCUCUUUCAAAUGGGUCCGGCGACCCACAAUUGGAACUCGGGCCAGGAUUUCAAGCCCUAAAGCCCCUUCGAACCAGGCCCUUGGGCUAUGCCAAAACCUAGGGCCUUAGGCCCAUUGUUUGAAAACCCAAAACCUUUUUCUUUAUUUAUUUAUUUGUCUAUUUCCUUUUAAAACCCAAAGGAAUUGGACCGGGCCUCAAGCCCAAUACCCAAAUCCCUUUAAACCCUAAACCCAAACCGGCCCAACCCAUUACCAUUUAAAGCCUAACCCAAAACCCUUUUGGAAAUUUAGGCCUUUGGGCCGAGGAGCCUUUCAGCCUAAACCCACCAGCCUAGAUCCGGCUGGAACCUUCCAAGAAUAUUCCUCAAAUAUUCUCUCGAAUAUUCCCUUGUUGACUUUUACGAAAUUUAACCGGGACCCUUCUUAGGGUAAUUCGACUUCCUGGAUCCGUUUAUGACGUCUGUUUUCUCAAAUUCAAUCGUUUAAGUAUAGUUUUGGUAAUCGUACUCUUUAUGUGCUUAGGUGCAAUUUCUAGCAGUAAUUUCCGUUAUUCCUAUUUUGUACGGCUGUGCACCAACGGUGUAAGGUGAGUGGACCCCUUCAAAAAUGCAUGUUUUAAUGGUAGAAAUGCAUACAUGAAAAGCAUGAUUUAAUGAUUAUGUUUUAUGAAACGUUUUAUGGGAUAACGUACUUAUUGAGGCUAGUUUGAAUUAUUAUUAUUUUUCAUAUAACCCGUGUUCUUUAUAGGAUAUUUGAUGGAUGACGAUAUAAUAUUUAGAACAUGUUUCGAACACCUCUUUAUAGUAUAGAUGAUGGAUGACUUUAUACUAUGAAGUUGCUUUUCAAAUAUAUGUAUGUUCAAUGGUUUUGUACUUACUUAGUGGUCCCUAUUCCGCUACGAGGUGAGGGAUAGAUUCCGUCACGGGCGAGGUUACAAUGUUGGCAUAAGGCCUGAAGAAAUAAUGUCUAGUUACGGGCUGAGAAACACAGGAAGCUGGCACGGGGCCUGAAGGUGAUUUUCCUCUGGCAAUUAGCACAGGGACGGGGAGCUGGCACAGGGCCUGGAGUGAGACUGGACAUUCACUAAUGAUUACUAUAUAUACGAGAUAUGUUUUGAGACAUUGCACGACAUGCUAGGAUUGGGAAAACCUAUUUUUAUUUAUCAUGCUAUAUGUGUUUUCAUAAAACCUGGGGGUUAGUAUGUUGAUAACUGUUUUAUUAUAUCUAUAUCAACUUGGUCCACUCAUGUUUGUUUUGCGCCCCCUUCAGGACUUAGAAUCGAGGCAUACAAUCCCAACGUCAAGGCACUUCCACAUCGGCAUCUUCGAGUCCUCUCAGUGUAGGACCCAUUCUUUUAUUCAUUCAAUUUUAUAUUAUUUCUUUUAGCGUUCUAGUUAGUUGUAUGCUCUGAACACGUUCCUCAUUUGCACAUUAAUUAUAUUUAAAUUUCUUUUAUCUUAUUCAUAUUUUAGUUCUCAUGCAUUUAAUAAAUGGCUUUCGUCACCCUUGGGUGUCGGCCAGCAUGUGCCUAUCCUGGUGUUCGGGGAAAAUCGGGAUCGGGACGUGUCAUAUACUCCUAAUACGUACCUUCAUGUGUGGCGCAUUUUAAGCUUAGCACGUGAACAGCACAGACCAGGUGGCGUGGAUCACGUGCAUGUGUUAUACUCAACACAUGAGACAAUCUGCUCUGAUACCAUGACGAAAGUUUAGGUUCCAUCGCUGCUUAGUACUACGGUCUAGUGGUAUUUCUUUUCACUUGUAAGUUAGAAGUCCUAGGUUAAAUUCUUGCCAAGGGCGAAUUUGAUACAUAUUAUUACUAGCCUAUUGUGAAGAAGCCCAUCUCCUUCCCCUUAGUGUAGAUAAUGUCAUUUGUUCAGAAAAAAAAAAAAGUAGUUGAGGUUCCAUCAUAAAACUAAUUGACAAUAUGAGAAGUGGUUCAAUUACUUAUAAGCAUGUGCAAAGUCGUUCUUUUACCUAAUAUGAGAUUCAUACUCUCAAUAUGUCACUAUUAAACAAAUAUGUACAAAAACAAAUAGAACAAAUUAUUCGAUCACUUGACAAAAUAGAACUCACUGAAGACAAUAUUACGUUUGUUAAAAAUGAAAUGGAGCUUCUGAUUACACCCAACUUUUAUCUCUUCUCACCCAACAGACUCCUUUUACUCUACAAGAUUUUAAAAACUUAACAUCUUCUCUCCGCACUCACCAAAUCUUCCAAAAUUACCCCUUCCUAAUCCUUCUCUAUCUUACACGAUAUAUCUUCUCAUCCAACAACACCCCUUCCUAAUCCUUCUCUAUCUUUCUUCUUUUUUUUUCUUUUUUUUUUCUUUUUUUUUUUGUCAUAAGGUAAAUUGUUAUUACCUACCAACAUAACUUACACGACUAGAGGCCCAAACACACAAAAAGUACAAAACAACAAAUGAGCCUCCAAAAUAACAACAAAAGAAAAGUAGAGUCCAAUGCAGAAAAACACGCGAGAAAACCAGCCAAGCUCUGAAACAGAAAAAAGAAAAUUUCAUCAUCCUCGAGCAACGUCCACACAACUUCAAAUUGCAACCACCAAGAGAAUGAAUGGAAAGAAAAGAAACAAAGUUCAUCGUCCUCGAGCAACCUCCCCACAAUCCUUCUAUAUCUUACACGAUAGAUCUUCUCAUCCAACAAUCUCCCCUUCAAUAUGGGGCUGCCUAACCCACUUUCCUCCAUCAAUAUUCGGUUCUUCAUCAAGCUAUGCACACUCUUUUGAGAAUUCAACUUAAUUAUAAGGAAUAUGAAACCAGCAGCUCUUUACAACUACUUGUGAAUUAUGUCUUUAUUUGCGUUCAUUUAAGUUGAUGGCUAGCCAUCAAAUUGUUCUUCCCCAUCAAUUUUUAGAAGAAAUCAAACCAAACUAGACUCAAGUGUUCAUAUAUUCAUUGGAGUUGAAUAUAACAAUACAUAAAAUUCCAUCACUAAGAAGCCAAAUUGUAUCAAGACUUUGUAACAACAGCACAAAGGUCAGGAGUCGAUUUGGAGGAGAAGAUCGCGAGUGGGUUCGGCUAGCACUGGUUAACCGAACCCCCGAUUCCAUGUUCAUGGCUAUCGGCUAAUCCUCAACUCUUAUGUUAGGUGCUUAACUUCCGAACAUUGAACUUUUUGUCAAAUUUUGAUUUCGGCAUGUUCAAAUACAUGAUUCAAUCUAGUUGUAUUUUAGGCUAAAUAGCAAAAAUGGUCCCUGAGAUUUGCAUAACUCAUCACUUUUCCCUAACAUUUCAAAUCAAUAAAAGUGGUCCCUGAGAUUGUCCACCAUCCAUCAUUUUGGUCCUUCCGUUAAAAACUCCGUUAAGUGUCCCGGAGCUCUUGGACGGAAGUUUGGGCAAUUUUCAAAGCUUUGUAACUCCAUCGUUUCUUAACCAAAUUCGACCCAUAAUAUAUCAAAAUGAAGAUAGGGAAGUGUAGAAUAAGAUUAUACCUAUUUGGAAGCCCCGUGGUUGCCGUAGAUGGCCGGAAAACAGCCUCAAAGUUGAUAGGUCCAAGGAAAACUGGAAAACUCGCCGAAAACUGGGUAAAUUUUAAACGUUCAUAACUUCUUCAAUACUCAACAAAAUCGAGUGAUUCAAAAACGAAAAUCAGACUUCUAGACAAGACGAAAAGAAUGGUACCUUUUUUGACGGCUAAAUCGCCAUGGUUUGGCCGGAAAACGGCUCAAAAUUGGUACCAUUCUCUUCUUCUCAUCGAGAAGUAUGAUUUUCAUUUUUGAAUCACUUGAUUUCUUUGAGUAUUGAAGAAGUUAUGAACGUUUAAAGUUUACCCAGUUUCCAGCGAGUUUUCUAGUUUUUCCUCGAACCAGUCAACUUUGAGGGUAUUUUCCGGCCAUAUCUGGCAACCAUUGGGCUUCCAAAUAGGUAUAAUCUUAUUCUACACUUUCCUAUCUUUAUUUUGAUAUAUUAUGGGUCGAAUUUGAUUAAGAAACGAGUGAGUUACGAAGCUUUGAAAAUUGCCCAAACGUCCGGCCAAGAGCUCCAGGACACUUAACGGAGUUUUUAACGGAAUGACCAAAAUGAUGGAUGGUGGACAAUCUCAUGGACCACUUUUAUUGAUUUGAAAUGUUAGGAACCAAAGUGAUGAGUUAUGCAAAUCUCAAUGACCAUUUUGGCUAUUUAGCCUGUAUUUUAUUUAAGAAAAUAGAAACAAACCCAAGAGGAUUUCAGAGAAAAGUGACGGCUUAGGGCAGAACAUUGCAGCUCAAACCCUACUUAUUUACUUCAAUGAUUUAGGGUUUUGGUCACAAUACCACCUUACAUCUCAUUUAAAUUAGCUAGCUAACAAAAGCCUUCAAGACCCUAGUUGUUCUAAGCUAAUCUAAACCUCACACCAAAGCAAACCUAUCUCAGCCCUACACUUGUAAUUUUGGACUGAGUCAACAUAUUGGCCGUUACAAAUUUAGAAAAAAACUAAGCUAUUACUUUUGUUUAAUACAAAAAAUUGGAAGCUAGAAAUCAGUUUAGGCAUCAACACUCUCCUUCAAAUUGUUUCUAGCUUUGACACCAAGCAAUAGGAUGGCCAGUUGAACACUUCGUAACACUACCAAUAUAUAUGCUUCUACGUGAAAAGGACUAGCAGUACCCCUCUGAAGAGUAGCAACCAUAACAAGACAGGUCCCUUCCCCAUCCCUAACCACCCUAAUGUCACCAUUACCACUGCACUCGCAAAAAGCAUAAUACAAAAUAAUAUUCACCCAACUAUGACCCAGAGGACUCCACCAUUGAUCCUGCACUGGCUGCUUACCUCAACUACCGGUCACACAUGUUCUCCUUGCCACAGAAUACUAGUCCUCAACUACCACAAAGACCAUAUGAACAUCAUGAAGGAGAGCAAACUACUCCUUUGGAAUAGCCUUUCUUUAAGGCUACGAGAUCGCAACAAACUUUUCUGAAAAGACAAGGGACUAACAAACUACAUGGAACUUUUUAUGUAGAGCCUCGAUGGGCAUGUACAUGCCCUGUUCUUCCUCCGUCUGUUUACUUGCUUGAAAUAUCAUAUGCAAAAAUUGCUUUGCUUCCCUCUUUUCAUUUUGGAUUUGACGGCUUGGCUAAAUGGACUUUUUUCUUUCUUGGGCAUGUGACUUUCUUGUUGUUCAAUUUUGUGUGAACAUUGUAAUUUACUUUACUAUGUUUCCGGUUUGGUAGGUCCCUUAAGCUCUACUUGAACCAGUAAAACCUUCUCGGUGAUGUGAGCUCAAAAUACCUAUUAAUCAGAUAAGCAAACCCAAUUUUAACUUGCAAGUGCACAAGACCAAUAAUAGUAUAGUAAGAGCAAGUAUGAAGUCGUUCCCACGAAUAUUGAAUUUUACUUUUAAUUUGAGUCUCAACUCAAUUCAAAUUCAAUAAACUUUUAACACAAAUAGGGCUGAAAAUUUUACCUAGAAUGAACGGGCCAAGGAGAUCUCAAAACCCUAAAUUACAAGUGGGUGGGAAGAAUAUUUGAGUGCUUGUAAUUGUUUCUCCAUAUGCUUCUACAGUAAGCAAGGCUUCUAUCAUUGUGUGUGAUUAGUUUACUUUUGUGUUCUCAAUCACAUAUAUAUCAUUUUGCACUUAUUGGUUUGAGGAAAUUAAGGCUCAGACUUCCUUACAUUUUCAUGGUUCUUUAAGAAAUCCAUUGAAAUCUUACUAAAUUGUCCAACACAUGAGAAAUUUGAUUCGUAACUGUUGGAGGAAAGAUUAGCAGUUUUCAAUUAUACUGCAGAAAGGAAGAAUACAAGAGAAUAUAUAUGGAGGAUGAGUUUUGAACGGGGACUGAAAUUUACUUAACUUUAUUGCAUUCAGUUUUUUAUUACAACACUAGGCCAUCUUAUUGGCUAUUUAUAAUAACAUUCAGACCUUUCAAUAACAGCCAUAACUCUUGGAUUAGUUCCAAGGGACACAACUCUACAUUACAGAAAGUGCAUUACAUUUAACACUUAAAUCAUUGACUUGAUCGUAGUUGAUCUAAGGUUGUUACAUAUAUCCUCCUUAGGUUCCAGAGUAAUCCUCUCUUGUUCUUGCUAAAAUCUCUCCAUGGCCGAGAAUGGCAAGCACAUUGGUACCAAUAUUCCAUCCUCAGUGUUGUUUUUGUGUUGAAUGUAGAAGCAAAUCAAAUCCAAGGCCUUGGCUGGUCCAGCAAAUACCGGCUGUCCCCAUCCACAAUUGACAUCUCCAAAACCUGCACAUGUUGUAUCAGAAACUAUUAAAUAACUUCCUGUCGAUGAAUAUUGAGGUCACCCUCUUAGUACCAAAAGAUCUGCCACUGAUCUUAAUUAUUCUUCAUUCAUGGUAGCUUUAGCCUUCUUCACCAACUCCAAAGCAAAGCAUAUCCCAGUGGAUUUUUGCAUAGAGGUUCUACCUUUGAAACUACAGCUGGAAAUGCAAAUGCAUUGCCAUAGUAUCCCAAGGGAAGACGUACAUUGUGGUGCUCUCCAUGUGCAUUGACAGCGCAUGAAACGCGAACAGCCUGUUUGUAUUAAUUUUAAGUGCAAGAGUGCGACAUUUCCCCAAACAAGCUGCGAUCAAGUCAAAUGUGGAGCAAGUGGAAAUUAGGUGGGGUGGAAUCUGUUCUCAAAGGACUCUCAUCUCCUUGGCACCAAAGUAGAAAGAUCGUUGAAGCAUGUUUGACUGGUUACUGGAUGCGUAUGAGCCAUCAGAAUGAUCAAUCACAUCUUCAUAUUCAUGAUGAGCACAUGUAAUUCUUGAUGGAUAGCGAGCGAACAAGAGCUCUCUCUCCCACACUGGUAGAAUAGAUGGUGCAUGUGCACCCCUUGCCAUCUCUGCAAUAGCGUUCAGGAACUGGAGCAAUCCAGGUGCAUCACACAUUUUGUGGUUUAGGCGCAAUGCAAGUAUGAAACCUCCACAUGUAAGACAGGUCACCUACAUAUUGCAAAAGUUAGUUACUAGACUUUUUUCUUGAUCAUCAUAUUCGUGCUAGUUAACAAUUCUUUAGAAGAAAAGACAAAAGAACCAUCUAAAUUAGAUGAUCUAAUUAGGAAACAAAAAUUUCAUAAAAAUUUGGAAUAAAAUUCAAGAAAGAUGGAGUCUCUUUGAAAGAGUCUCAUGCAUGUUGCAGUUACUUGAAAGAGUCUUUAAAUACAUAGGAAUUUAGACAAAAUGCUUAUAGAAGAUAGAAAAAUUUAGACAGAAGACAAAGAGGACAACAUGACGACAGGAAAAAAACCUAGAAGAAGAACGGCAAAGGAAAACCUACACAAUAAAGGUGAUGUGAGACUGGUAGAAAACCUAGGACAUAAUUAGGCAAAUACCAUGUAGAAAUAUAAUUUCCUCAAUUCGGUGUGUAUACAAAUUUUACAAUAUAUAGGGUUAACCAUAAGGACUGUCGAAGAAAAAUUAGUUUCGAAAAUUAAUGAAAAGCAUCUCAUAAUCUUUUCUUUCCAAAACCACCUAGUGAACUUUCUUUAAUCAUAAGAACAAAGAGGCGUGGUAGUAUCGUAGAUAAGUUCAAGUUUGGGUGUGGUGGCAGUAUGAUAAAUUUUCGUUUAUGAAAAAGGUUGCCAAUUAAUCAAAAAAGUUAAAAACAGUUGUGGUGCCACCAAACUUCAGCUAAUUUACAAUAUUGUUAGGGCUUUCUUGUUAUAUCCUUACUUGUCAUUAAGAGUAAACUGUCGGUUUACCCCCUGAACUUUCACCUUACUUUCGAUUUCCCCCCUGAACUUUUCCAUUGGAAAAUUAAGGACUCAAA